RNAcentral lists this long non-coding RNA (230047 nucleotides) under Triticum aestivum (bread wheat). Its description in RNAcentral is "long non-coding RNA (TAES_LNC001083)". Lineage: Eukaryota; Viridiplantae; Streptophyta; Magnoliopsida; Poales; Poaceae. The record is from RNAcentral.
AUGAACACAGCGGUACUCAUAAACUCAUAACCUGAAUUGUUGCAACCAAUCCAAUAAGUUUCAGAGAACUGAAACCUACCAUUAACAAUACAGAUGUUCAGUCCAGUGGCACAGUUCGGUUCAGAAGAGCAGAAAAGCAAACAACAGUCAGAUCAUAAGCAACGCUGCUAAAUCUCAGCUUGCAAAAGCGGCACCAUAAGGUUCAUAAUUCUGUUCUUACAGCGAACGAAGCAUCGGUAAGCAUUCAGCAACUCCCAUCCAGCACUAGCACUACUUCUACUUGGCGAUAACCAGAGUGAACAACCACAUCUGGUACUAGAUACAGGCAACGGAAUCUAAGAGGAGGUGAACUUGGUGACGGCCUUGGUGCCCUCGGAGACGGCGUGCUUGGCGAGCUCCCCGGGGAGGACGAGGCGGACAGAGGUCUGGAUCUCCCGGGAGGUGAUGGUGGGCUUCUUGUUGUAGCGGGCGAGCUUGGCGGCCUCGCCGGCGAGCUUCUCGAAGAUGUCGUUGAUGAAGGAGUUCAUGAUGGACAUGGCCUUGGAGGAGAUGCCGAUGUCGGGGUGCACCUGCUUCAGCACCUUGAAGAUGUAGAUCUUGUAGGUCUCCACGCUCUUCUUGCCCUUCUUCCGGCCCCUCUUCUCGCCGCCGCCCUCCUUGGAGGCGGUCUUCUUGCCCGCCGGCAGCCGCUUCUCGGCCUUGGGCUUCUUCCCGGCAGGGGUCUUCUCGGCCUUCUCCGCCGCGGGCUCCUCCUCCGCGGGCUUCUUCGCCGCCGGCUUCUUCUCCGCCUUGGGGGCCAUCGCUGCUCCGGGAAGAUGGGUGGGGAUUGGGGGCUACGGUGGAGAGUUGUGUGCAGGGGAAGGUGGGUGGCGGAUAUGGAAUUGGGGAAAGACGGAGCACGGUGCUGGGUUUAUAGUGGGAGAGAGGUCACCGCUGAUUGGUGGAUUCGUGGGUGCCGCGGAUCCGUGACAUGGCAUCGUAUGAACCGUUCGUUCGAUAUUGCUUGCAACGAUCCAGAUUUGCUGCGGUGCGUCUAUGGCUGUGGUGGCAAAAACCGUGUACGGCAUUUCUUUUGUUUUGUUUUGAAAAAGACAAGCAAAGGAUAUCGGAACGGCAGAAUAGGAUUUCGGAGAAUGGAUGGGUCGGAUGAUAUAUUUUUCCAUAUACGCAUACUCAUGUUGUUUAGAUGUAUUUUUUAUUUGAAUUUUAUGCAUUUGAGUACUUUUUUAAAUAUAACUUUUAAAGUAUUUUAUCUAAAAUGACAAAAGGAGUUUGUGGCACAAAAUUGAAAAAACUGUGGGGACACCAUGAACUUGAGCUUCCCCCAUAAAAAGUAAAUACGAAGAAUCUACAUAGCUGUCCAUUUAAUUAUUGAAAAUUGUUACUAUUAAAACUGAAAGGAAAUGGAGUGCCAUGAACAAGAAGGCGAGAGAGGUGGAUAUUAAAAGCUCCCGCUCCUUAUAAACUUUAUACUUAGAAGAUGGUUAAUAGUAUAGUCAGCUGCGGAAAAUUGCUUAUGGAGCUCGGCUUUCAUGGAGUCCGGUUUCUAAAAAUUCAAAAUUGAACAAAACUCAUAUAUUUCCAAUUUCAAAAAAUACUGAAAAAUACGGACAUACAUGAAGGCAUAACACAUGUGUGUGUAAAUUUCAGGACGAAAUACGUUGAAAUGACGGUUGUGCAAAAAAAAUGGCUUUUCAACACAUGAUACUAUUCAUCUCAAAAGAUCGUGAAUUUGUUCUUUUUGCACAGAUCGCAUCUCAAGGUAUUUCAUUAUGAAGUUUUACACACAUACACAUCACAUCCUUGUGUGCUUGUAUAGAAAAUUUUAGAUUUUUCUGAAGCUAAAAUGUAUGAAAUUUGUUUUUUUUAAUUCGGCCUCCAUGAAGGCCGAGCUCCAAACUGUCAUUCUCAAUUAGUUGUUGGCUAUAUGAUAUUGCCACAUCAUCUAUAACAAACCUUAUAGCCGGCAAAAUAUAAUAGUCAGAUGUAAGGGCAUCUUCAGCACCGACCCUCAGACCGCUUGUAUACAUUCGGACCGCGCGGUUCAGACCAUGGAAGCCAUCCAACGCGGGCCUGUAUCGCUCCGCUGAGCGGUCUGACGUGUUUUCUCCCGCAUAUUGGAAACAAAGGGGGGUUGCGGGAGUCCGAAGAACAACCACGUAGGACCCCCCCCCACACACACACACCUCCCCCUUGCUUUGCAUCCGCCCCUCCACCUUCGCCGAUGUACGUCUCCGGCUGCCAAAGAGGCAUUGCCGGACUUCCACAACCGACACUGAUGUGCCUGCUCGCAUUUACGACAACGUUUCCACCCCGUUGUCGUUUGCACCCUGGUACACUUUGCCCCCCUAUCGACGACCUCCAUGACGGACACCAUGCUCGGCCCGGCAGGUGUUUGGUUAAAUGCCAUUGAGCUUAUUUUCGAACAUUAUGUCGUUUUUAGAGUAUGAAGGAUGGCGAGCUACUCGACCAUGGAGGAUGAGUUGUUGUGCGAUGCGUGGUUGGCCGUAUCCAUGGCUUUUGUAGGUAGGAGCAAAUGGGGGACCUUCUGGCAGCAAGUGCAUGAAUCAUUUCACGCACGAAAACAUAUUGCGCCCUACGACAUGUAUGCCAUUUAAUAACAUAAUGUGAGGUCAUUAUCGUAUCGCCGGUAUACUAUCCAGACCAGCGUCUCCAAGUUCUGUAACGUGGUUCGUCCGCUGGAGAUAAGGUGGUCACUGCACGCGGCUGUGGACGAGGUCACAAGUUUUGCUUCCUCUUGCUCAACUUGUUGAUGGAUUCGUCCACUCAAUGUUGGUCUACACAUUAUCACUACUAGGGAAAAGCUUAUAGGCAGACGCUUACUAGUAGCGAGGGUUUAUACCCCUCGCUACUGCUACUUACUAGUAGCGCGGGUUUUUGCCCAUCCCAACUACUAAGUUGAUAGUAGUAGCGCGGGUUUUUAUGAAGGAAAUAUGCCCUAGAGGCAAUAAUAAAUGUGCUAUUUUAUAUUUCCUUAUUCAUGAUAAAUGUUUAUUAUUCAUGCUAGAAUUGUAUUGACCGAAAACCUUAAUACAUGUGUGAAUACAUAGACAAAACACCGAGUCCCUAGUGAGCCUCUACUUGACUAGCUCGUUGAUUAGAGAUGGUUAAGGUUUUCUAACCAUGGACAUGAAUUGUCAUUUGAUAACGGGAUCACAUCAUUAGGAGAAUGAUGUGAUGGACAUGACCCAUCCGUUAGCUUAGCAUUUUGAUUGUUCAGUUUUAUUGCUUUCUUCAUGUCGAAUACAUAUUUCUUCGACUAUGAGAUUAUGCAACUCUCGGAUCCGGAGGAAUACCUUGUGUGCUAUCAAACUUCACAACAUAACUCAGUGAUUAUAAAGAUGCUCUACAGGUAUCUCCGAAGGUGUUUGUUGGGUUGGCAUAGAUCGAGAUUAGGACUUGUCACUCCGAGUAUCGGAGAGGUAUCUCUGGGCCCUCUCGGUAAUGCACAUCAUAAUAAGCCUUGCAAUCAAUGUGACUAAUGAGUUAGUUGCAGGAUAAUGUAUUACGGAAUGAGUAAAGAGACUUGCCGGUAACGAAAUUGAACUAGGUAUGAAGAUACCGACGAUUGAAUCUCGGGCAAGUAACAUACCGAUGACAAAGGGAAUAACGUAUGUUGUCAUUACGGUACGACCAAUAAAGAUCUUCGUAGAAUAUGCGGGAACCAAUAUGAGGAUCCAGGUUCCGCUGUUGUUUAUUGACGGGAGAGGUGUCUCGGUCAUGUCUACAUAGUUCUCGAACCCGUAGGGUCCGCACGCUUAACGUUCGAUGACGAUUUUGUAUUAUAUGAGUUAUGUGAUUUGGUGACCGGAUGUUGUUAGGAGUCCCAGAUGAGAUCACGGACAUGACGAGGAGCCUCAAAAUGGUCGAGAGGUAAAGAUUCAUAUAUUGGACGAUGAUAUUCGGACACCAAAAGUGUUCCGAGGGUACCGGGUACAUAUCAGGUCACCGGAAGGGGUUCCGGGCAUCCCCCCGGCAACUACACGGGCCUAAUGGGCCAAGAAGGGGACAGACCAACCCCUAGGGGGAUGGUGCGCCCCAUGUAGGCCAAAAUAAGGGGGAAGGAAAGAGAGGAAGAGAUAAAGGAAGGGGAGCAAUUCGGCCUCCCCCUUCCUUCUCUCCUCCCUCCUCCUUCCUUCCCCCUCCGGAUGAAUAUGGAAGGGGGAAGGCCGAAUUGGGAGGCGCCCAAGUAGGAUUCCUCCUACUUGGGGCGCCCCCUUGGCCGCCUCUCCUCCCCUCCAAACUGUGGAGGGGGGCGCCGCACACAGCUAACAAUCGUUGUUGUGUGUUCUAGCGGUGCCCCCUCCACAGUUUACUCCUCCGGUCAUAUUGUCGUAGUGCUUAGGCGAAGCCCUGCGCGGAUCACAGAUAAUCCACAAGUAUAGAGGAUUGCAAAAGUUUUCGAGGGUAGAGUAUUCAACCCAAAUUUAUUGAUUCGACACAAGGGGAGCCAAAGAAUAUUCUCAAGUAUUAACAAUUGAGUUGUCAAUUCAAUCGCACCUGAAAAGACUUAAUAUCGACAGCAAAGUAUUUAGUAGCAAAGUAAUAUGGAAGUAACGGUAACGGUGGCAAAAGUAAUAGUAUUAGUUUUGUAGUGAUUGUAACAGUGGCAACGGAAAAGUAACUAAGCAAAGAUCAAUAUGUGACAAGCUCAUAGGCAAUGGAUCAGUGAUGGAUAAUUAUGUCGGAUGCGAUUCCUCAUGCAACAGUUAUAACAUAGGGUGACAUAGAACUAGCUCCAGUUCGUCAAUGUAAUGUAGGCAUGUAUUCCGAAUAUAGUCAUACGUUCUUAUGGAAAAGAACUUGCAUGACAUCUUUUGUCUUACCCUCCCGUGGCAGCGGGUCCUAUUGGAAACUAAGGGAUAUUAAGGCCUCCUUUUAAUAGAGUACCGGACCAAAGCAUUAACACUUAGUUAAUACAUGAACUCCUCAAACUAUAGUCAUCACCUGGAGUGGUCCCGAUUAUUGUCACUUCGGGGCUACCGAAUCAUAACACAUAGUAGGUGACUAUUGACUUGCAAAAUAGGAUCAAGAACUCACAUAUAUUCAUGGAAACAUAAUAGGUUCAGAUCUGAAAUCAUGACACUCGGGCCGUAGUGACAAGCAUUAAGCAUAGCAAAGGCAUAGCAACAUCAAUCUCAGAACAUAAUGGAUACUAGGGAUCAAACCCUAACAAAACUAACUUGAUUACAUGAUAAAUCUCAUCCAACCCAUCACCGUCCAGCAAGCCUACGAUGGAAUUACUCACGCACGGCGGUGAGCAUCAUGAAAUUGGUGAUGGAGGAAGGUUGAUGAUGACGAUGGCGAUGGAUUCCCCUCUUCGGAGCCCCGAACGGACUCCAGAUCAGCCCUCCCAAGAGAGAUUAGGGCAUGACGGUGGCUCCGUAUCGUAAAACGCGAUGAAUCCUUCUCUUUGUUUUUUUCUCCCCGAACGUGAAUAUAUAGAGUUGGAGUUGAGGUCGAUGGAGCAUCAGGGGGCCCAUGAGGCAGCCCCCCCCCCCUCGUGGACAGGGUGUGGGCCCCCUGACGUUGAUUCUUUCGCCAGUAUUUUUUAUAUAUUCCAAAAUACUCUCUGUUGAUUUUCAGGUCAUUUCGAGAACUUUUAUUCCUGCACAAAAUAACACCAUGGCAAUUUUGCUGAAAAUAGCGCCAGUCUGGGUUAGUUCCAUUCAAAUCAUGCAAGUUAGAGUCCAAAACAAGGUCAAAAGUGUUUGAAAAAGUAGAUACGAUGGAGACGUAUCAACUCCCCAAAGCUUAAACCCUUGCUUGUCCUCAAGCAAUUCAGUUGACAAACUGAAAGUGAUAAAGAAAAACUUUCACAUACUCUAUUUCAUCUUGCUGUUGUAAAUAUGUAAAGCCAGCAUUCAAGUUUUCAACAAAGAUUAUGAACUAACCAUAUUCACAAUAAUAUUUAGGUCUCAUGUUUACUCAUAUCAAUGGCAUAAUCAACUAGCGAGCAAUAUUAAUAAAUCUCGGAUGACAACACUUUCUCAAAACAAUCAUAAUAUGAUAUAACAAGAUGGUAUCUCGCUAGCCCUUUCUCAGACCGCAAAACAUAAAUGCAGAGCACCUCUGAAGAUCAAGGACCGACUAAACAUUGUAAUUCAUGGUAAAAGAGAUCCAGACACAGUCAUACGCAAUGUAAACUAAUAGUAAUACAUGCAAAUGACAGCGGUGCUCUCCAACUGGUGCUUUUUAAUAAGAGUAUGACGACUCAACAUAAAAGUAAAUAGAUAGGCCCUUCGCAGAGGGAAACAGGGAUUUGUAAAGGUGCCAGAGCUCGAUUUUUGAAACAUAGAUGAAUAAUAUUUUGAGUGGUAUAGUUUCAUUGUCAACAUAACAACCGAGAGAUCUCGAUAUCUUCCAUGCUACACACAUUAUAGGCAGUUCCCAAACAAAAUGGUAAAGUUUAUACUCCAUCUACCACCAACAAACAUCAAUCCAUGGAUUGUCCGAAACAACGGGUGCCUCCAACUAACAAAAAUCCUGGGGGAGUUUUGUUUGCAAUUAUUUAAAUUUAAGCAUGGGACUGGGCAUCCCGAUUACCAGCCAUUUUCUCGUGAGUGAGGAACAGAGUCCACUCCUCUUGAGAAUAACCCGCCUAGCAUGGAAGAUAUAGACAACCCUAGUUGAUACAUGAGCUAUUCGAGCAUACAAAGCAGAAUUUCAUUUGAAGGUUUAGAGUUUGGCACAUACAAAUUUACUUGGAACGGCAGGUAGAUACCGCAUAUAGGAAGGUAUGGUGAACUCAUAUGGAAUAACUUUUGGGGUUUAUGGAAGUGGAUGCACAAGCAGUAUACCCGCUUAGUACAAGUGAAGGCUAGAAAGAGAUUGGGAAGCGACUAGCUACAGAGCGACAAUAGUCAUGAACAUGCAUUAAAAUUAAUCAACACUGAGUGCAAGCACGAGUAGGAUAUAAUUCACCAUGAACAUAAAUAUCGUGGAGGCUAUGUUGAUUUUGUUUCAACUACAUGCGUGAACAUGUGCCAAGUCAAGCCACUCGAAUCGCUCAAAGGAGGAUACCACCCUAUCAUACCACAUCACAACCAUUUUAAUAGCAUGUUGGCACACAAGGUAAACAAUUAUAAACUCAUAUCUAAUUAAGCAUGUCAUGAGCAACUAUAAUCUCUAAUUGUCAUUGCAAACAUGUUUCAUUCAUAAUAGGCUGAAUCAGGAACGACGAACUAAUCAUAUUUACAAAAACAAGAUAGGUCGAGUUCAUACCAACUUCUCUCAUCUCAAUCAGUUCAUCAUAUAUCGUCAUUAUUGCCUUUCACUUGCACGACCGAACGGUGUGGAUAAUAAUAAUAAUGCACAUGCAUUGGACUAAGAUGGAAUCUGCAAGCAUUCAACACAAGGGAGAAGACAAGGUAAUACGGGCUCUUUGUUGCAUAUGAGAGCCACUCAAUAUUUUCAUCAUGGUCUUCUCCUCUCGACCCCCAAAGAAAAGAAAAGAAACAAAACUAUUUACACGAGAAAGCUCCCAACAAGCAAAAGAAGAACGAGAAAUAUUUUUGGGUUUUCUUUUAAUUACUACUACUACAGACAUGGAAAGUAAACUAGCUAAAAGCUACAACUAUUUUUUUGGUUUUUCUUAAGGUUUUUCAAACACACAAGAAGAAUGCUGGAAAAUAAAAUAAACUAUCAUGGAUAGUACAAUGAAAAAGUAUGAGCACUAACAACUGGCAUGAGUGUGUGAACAUGAAUGUAAUGUCGGUGAGAAAUACGUACUCCCCCAAGCUUAGGCUUUUGGCCUAAGUUGGUCUAUGCCCAUGCAUAGCCUGGUGGAUAUCCAAAGUUGUAGCUGGGGUCGUACUGAGAUGCAGCGGGUGUUGCUUGAUGAGCUGCAUCUUGGAGGCGAGCUGCCUCCAUCCUCCUCUCAUACUCGUUCGCCUCCUCCCUGGUUAUAACAUAUCUCCCUUUUGUCUGAAAGUCAAAGAAAGCAGGAGCAGGGAGAGCAACAUGGACAGUGCGACGUCUAUCAAAGAUUAGUCGGUAUUGGAGGAACUGUUCGUUCCUCUCAACAAACUGAUGACGAACCAUAGCAUUAUAAUCUAGAUAAGCAGGAGGCAAUUCCAUAUCAUUCUCAUGUAUGGGUAUCUCAAGAUAAUUAGCUACACGGGUUGCAUAAAUUCCACCAAACAAGUCUCCACUUAAACUAUUAAGAUGCAACCUUCGUGCAAAAAUAGCCCCCAAGUUAUAUUGUCUAUCACCUAAUACCGCACUCUUGAGGACACUAAGAUUUGGAACGCACAUGUGGCAAGCCUCAUCUUUACCGUUAAUGCAUCUACCCACGAAGAGAGCAAAAAAAUGUAUGGCAGGAAAAUGAAUGCUCCCUAUGGUAGCUUGUGUGAUUUCUCUAGAUUCCCCCAUAGUGAUACUAGCAAGAAAGUCUUUGGCCCUGUUUGGUUCGGCUGUGGAUUUCUAAAAGCAGCUGUAAAAAAUCUGUUGUGGAAAAACAGCUGUGGAAAAUCUGAUGUGAAAAAGAUGUAGGUCAUUUGACAAACUAGGUGAUACAACAUUUUCAGAUUUUGGCCCGCAACGGAAUCAGAUUUUGGAAAGCACGUCCUGGGUUGCUUCCGCUUUUGGUUCAGAUUUUGACAGCGGAUUUCUGGAAUCGGAUUUUGUUGGGUUCGUCCUUUGGUUCAGAUUCUGCUACGCGGCAGCGGAAUCUGUCGAUAAAAGCUGAACCAAACAGGGCCUUUAUAUUCAGAUUUGCGAGGUUCACUAACAUUGCCCCAGUGCGGGAGUUUACAAGCAGUAUUAAAAUCUUCUAGGUCCAUGGUAUAUGAUUUACCAUAAAGAUCAAAUAAAACAGUGUGAGAAUUGCACGAGGAUGUAAAUUUAAACCUUCUCACAAAUGAAUCAGUUAGGUAACAGUAUUGCGGGCACUUAUCUGACACGAAGCCCUCAAGGUUAGCAUUACACACAUACGCGUCAAGUUCAUCCUUAAUACCCGCUCCGACCAUAAAAUCUUCUAACGUCAAGUUCAUAGUCUGACUCACGUAUCCCGAGCCUAGGUGCCUGCUUCCUUGAGGAACCACCUUGGUAAAUUUUCCUAAACAUAUUUCUUCCUCUGAAAAAUUUCUGAAAUUUUUAGUGAGUCAAAAUAAAAGUGAACCCAACUCAACAAGAUUGAUAGCAACUACUCCUACAAGUGCCUAGAGGCCAUAUCAUGCAUUAAAACUACUUUUGACCACAUAAAUUUGACUUGCAAGCUCAAGAACAGGGUCACCUAAGCAGCAAAAAUUUGCAAUAAAUAAAACACUAGAACAAAAACUAAUUGGACCAUUGGAGGAGUCACAUACCGAAGAACAAUCCCCCAAAGCAGUUUUGUGAAUGGAGUUUUGAGCAAGGAGAUCGAAAAUGGCAGCAAGAUGAGCUAGAACACGGGUUUGAGCUAUGGGAGAAUUUUUUCUGGAGGAAGACGAAGUGUGUGGGUGCAAGAAUAAGUGGAGGGGACCCACGUGGGGUCCAUGAGGCAGGGGGCGCGCCCCAGGGGGGUGGGCGCCCCCUCCACCCUCGUGGGCACAUGGUGGGUCCCCCUGGUGUGUUCUUAGUGCCAAAUAUUCUUAAAUAUUUUAGAAAAAAAUCAUAUAAAAUUUUCAGGGCAUUUGGAGAACUUAUAUUUUUGGGGUAUUUUUUAAUGCAAGGAUAAUUCAGAAAACAGACAAAAAAUACUAUUUUUGCUUUAUUUAAUCUAAAUAACAGAAAGUAAAAAGGGGGUACAGAGAGUUGUGCUUUCUAACUUCAUCCAUCUCAUGCUCAUCAAAAGGAAUCCACUAACAAGGUUGAUCAAGUCUUGUUAACAAACUCUUUCCGAAUCGCAUGAAACUGGAGAAUUUUCGAAUAACACUAGGUUACCUCAACGGGGAUGUGCACAUCCCCAACAAUAAGAAUAUCAUAUUUCUUCUUGACAGCAGGAAGAGGGAAUUCAAAACCUCCAAUAGUAAUUGUUGAAGUUUUUCCAGUAUAAUUUAUACUGUGGACUUGAGGUUGUUUCCUCGGAAAGUGUACCGUAUGCUCAUUACCAUUAACAUGAAAAGUGACAUUGUCUUUGUUGCAAUUAAUAACAGCCCCUGUAAUAUUCAAAAAGGGUCUACCAAGAAUAAUAGACAUACUAUCGUCCUCGGGAAUAUCAAGAAUAACAAAGUCCAUUAAAAUAGUAACGUUUGCUACCACAACAGGCACAUCCUCACAAAUACCGACAGGUAUAGCAGUUGAUCUAUCAGCCAUUUGCAAAGAUAUUUCAGUAGGUGUCAACUUAUUCAAAUCAAGUCUACAAUAUAAACAGAGAGGAAUAACACUAACACCGGCUCCAAGAUCACAUAAAACAGUUUUAACAUAGUUUCUUUUAAUGGAGCACGGUAUAGUUGGUACUCAUGGAUCUCCAAGUUUCUUUGGUAUUCCACCCUUAAAAGUAUAAUUAGCAAGCAUGGUGGAAAUUUCAGCUUCCGGUAUCUUUCUUUUAUUUGUAACAAUAUCUUUCAUGUACUUAGCAUAAGGAUUUAUUUUAAGCAUAUCAGUCAAACGCCUUCUCUUGGCGGGCGGCUUCACGCUCCCGGUCGGGUUUGCCGCGCGCUUCACGGCCUGGGCCCGUGGCACAACAUUGUCCUACCCAUGCGGCUGACUGGCUGCCGGUGCUCCCCGAGACGACCCAGCUCCUGCCGCACUGCCUCCUCCGCCCGGUGCUGCUACAUCAACAAUUCGCAUCAGCACUCCUAGUGCCGCCUCAUGACCGACAGUUCAAGAAACAAGGACGAAACUUACCCGCAUAGCAUCCCGCGCCGAUGUCGCCAGCCGCCUCCACCCCUCCGCUGUGGGCUGCGGGUUCCUCUGAGACGGCCCGCACCACUUGCUUCGGCGCCCGGUCGUAAGGAUGCCGGAUGGCAUUCAGAAGCACUUCCCGCGUCGCGUCAGGGCAAACAAGAAGAUGAGCAGUGGAAAAAUACGAAGACCAAGGACUCACCAUGGGUGCCGGGUUCGCCUGGCUGUACGGAGGUUUGCCGAACACCUAGUCGUCCCAUAGCCCGGCCUUGGAGAUAUCGUUGACCCAACGCGUGACCUGGUCCGCCGCCAACCGCAAAUUCAACAUGCGGUCAGGGUCUUGAAGCCCGGCCAUAUGACCAAUGAGGUGGCUACGCUGCUGCAGCGGCAGCACGCGGCGCUUGAUGAAGGCGAUGAUGAGAUCGGUGCCGAUGAGCCCCUCCCGCUCCCUCAUCUCCGACACCCGCGCGCACAGGUUUAGCACCUCCUGUGAUGGGUGCUUGGGGUAGUAACCCCACUUUUGCUUCGCUCGCGGCGGCGCGUCGACAAAGGGCGGCAGAUUGAUAUGGUCCACACCGAGGUUGCGAACGUAGAAGAAAGAAUUCUGCCACUUCUUGGCAGAAUCCUCCAGCGGCAUCUUGGGGCAGUCGGUGCCCGACUGCUACGUCUUGAGAUUGCGUUGGUUUUCCCCGAAGAGGAAGGGAUGAUGCAGCAGAGUAGCGUAAGUAUUUCCCUCAGUUUUUGAGAACCAAGAUAUCAAUCCAGUAGGAGGCCACGCUCAAGUCCCUCGUACCUGCACAAAGCGAUAGCUACUCGCAACCAACGCAAUUAGGGGUUGUCAAUCCCUUCACGGUCACUUACGAGAGUGAGAUCUGAUAGAUAUAAUAUUUCUGGUAUUUUUGGUAUAAAGAUGCAAAGUAAAAAGUAAAAGCAAAGUAAAAAAGCAAAGCAAGAUUAAAUGAUGGAGAUUGAUAUGAUGAGAAUAGACCCGGGGGCCACAGGUUUCACUAGUGGCUUCUCUCAAGAGCAUAAGUAUUCUACAGUGGGUGAACAAAUUACUGUUGAGCAAUUGAUAGAAUUGAGCAUAGUUAUGAGAAUAUCUAGGCAUGAUCAUGUAUAUAGGCAUCACGUCCGUGACAAGUAGAUCAAAACGAUUCUGCAUCUACUACUAUUACUCCACUCAUCGACUGCUAUCCAGCAUGCAUCUAGAGUAUUAAGUGAAAAACAGAGUAACGCCUUAAGCAAGAUGACAUGAUGUAGAGAGAUAAAUUCAUGCAAUAUGAAAUAAAACCCAUCUUGUUAUCCUCGAUGGCAACGAUACAAUACGUGCCUUGCUGCCCCUUCUGUCACUGGGUAAGGACACCGCAAGAUCGAACCCAAAGCUAAGCACUUCUCCCAUGGCAAGAACUACCAAUCUAGUUGGCCAAACCAAACGGAUAAUUCGAAGAGACUUGCAAAGAUAACCAAUCAUACAUAAAAGAAUUCAGAGAAGAUUCAAAUAUUAUUCAUAGAUAGACUUGAUCAUAAACCCACAAUUCAUCGGUCUCAACAAACACACCACAAAAAGAAGAUUACAUCGAAUAGAUAUCCACAAGAGAGGGGGAGAACUUUGUAUUGAGAUUCAAAGAGAGAGAAGAAGCCAUCUAGCUACUAACUAUGGACCCGAAGGUCUGAGGUAAACUACUCACACUUCAUCGGAGAGGCUAUGAUGAUGUAGAAGCCCUCUGUGAUGACGGCCCUCUUCCGGCGGAGCUCCGGAACAGGCCCCAAGAUGGGAUCUCGUGGAUACAGAAAGUUGCGGUGGUGGAAUUAGGUUUUUGGCUCAUGUUCUGAUUGUUUGGGGGUACGUGUGUAUAUAUAGGAGGAAUAAGUACGCCAGAGGAGCAACGAGGGGCCCAUGAGGCAGGGGGCGCGCCCUGGGGGGGGGGGCGCCCCCACCCUCAUGACUGCCUCUUUUGUUCCUUGGAGCAGGGUCCAAGUCUCCUGGAUCACGUUCGGUGAGUGAGGGAGUCCUGGAUUAAGGGGUGUCCGGAUAGCCGGACUAUACCUUCGGCCGGACUCCUGGACUAUGAAGAUACAAGAUUGAAGACUUCGUCCCGUGUCCGGAAGGGACUUUCCUUGGCAUGUAAGGCAAGCUUGGCAAUACGGAUAUGUAGAUCUCCUACCAUUGUAACCGACUCUGUGUAACCCUAGCCCUCUCCGGUGUCUAUAUAAACCGGAGGGUUUUAGUCCGUAGGACGAACAUACAAUCAUACCAUAGGCUAGCUUCUAGGGUUUAGCCUCCUUGAUCUCGUGGUAGAUCUACUCUUGUACUACCCAUAUCAUCAAUAUUAAUCAAGCAGGAGUAGGGUUUUACCUCCAUCGAGAGGGCCCGAACCUGGGUAAAAACAUCGUGUCCCUUGUCUCCUAUUACCAUCCGCCUAGACGCACAGUUCGGGACCCCCUACCCGAGAUCCGCUGGUUUUGACACCGACAUUGGUGCUUUCAUUGAGAGUUCCUCUGUGUCGUCACUUUUAGGCCCGAUGGCUUCUCCGAUCAUCAAUAGCGAUGCAAUCCAGGGUGAGAUCUUUCUGCCUGGCCAGAUCUUCGUAUUCGGCGGCUUUGCACUGCAGGCCAAUUCACUUGGUCAUCUGGAGCAGAUCGAAAGCUACGCCCCUGGCCAUCAGGUCAGAUUUGGAAGUUUGAGCUACACGGCCGACCUCCGCGGAGACUUGAUCUUCGACGGAUUUGAGCCACAGCCGAGCGCGCCGCACUGUCAUGAUGGGCAUGAUCUAGCUCUGCUGCCGAACAGUGCCCUGGAGGCUGCACCCGCAUCAGCUCCGACCCUUAAUUUGGAGCCAACUACGCUAAUCGAGGAUGGGUGGUUGGACACCGCCUCGGGGGCUGCAAUCUCCACGGCGAUCGAGCCGAACACCAGCCCUAUUCUCUGCGAAGCCCGUGACUCCAAGGAGCCGGACUCCUCUCCAGACUCCGAGCCCUCCGCGCCCCUACCGAUCGAACCCGAUUGGGCGCCGAUCAUGGAGUUCACCGCCGCGGACAUCUUUCAGCACUCGCCCUUCGGCGAUAUUCUGAAUUCACUAAAGUCUCUCUCUUUAUCAGGAGAGCCCUGGCCGGACUAUGGUCAGCAAGGUUGGGAUGCGGAUGAUGAAGAAAUUCAAAGCCCACCCACCACCCACUUCGUAGCCACUGUCGAUGAUUUAACCGACAUGCUCGACUUCGACUCCGAAGACAUCGACGGUAUGGGCGCCGAUGCAGGAGACGAUCAAGAACCAGCGCCUAUAGGGCACUGGAAAGCCACCUAGUCGUAUGAUAUAUACAUGGUGGACACCCCAAAAGAAGGCAAUGGCGAUGGAACAGCGGAGGAUGACCCCUCCAAGAAGCAGCCUAAGCGCCGGCGUCAACGACGCCGCUCUAAAUCCCGCCAAAGCAUAAACGGUGAUUCCGGCACGGGAGAUAAUAACACCCCGGACAGUGCCGAAGACAACCACCUCCAGCAAGAUUCAGCACAGGAGGAUGGAGAAGCCAGCCCUCAUGAGAGAGCGACAGACAGAGAGGUCGAGGACGAUAAUUAUAUGUGAGGGAGUCCUGGAUUAGGGGGUGUUCGGAUAGCCGGACGAUACCUUCAGCCGGACUCCUGGACUAUGAAGAUACAAGAUUGAAGACCCCGUCCCGUGUCCGGAAGGGACUUUCCUUGGCGUGGAAGGCAAGCUUGGCGAUAUGGAUAUGAAGAUCUCCUACCAUUGUAACCGACUCCAUGUAACCCUAACCUUAUCCGGUGUCUAUAUAAACCAGAGGGUUUUAGUCCGUAGGACAACAUACACAUCAACAAUCAUACCAUAGGCUAGCUUCUAGGGUUUAGCCUCCUCGAUCUCGUGGUAGAUCUACUCUUGUACUACCCAUAUCAUCAAUAUUAAUCAAGCAGGACAUAGGGUUUUACCUCCAUCGAGAGGGCCCGAACAUGGGUAAAACUUCGUGUCCCUUGCCUCAUGUUACCAUCCGGCCUAGACGCACAGUUUGGGACCCCCUACCCGAGAUCCGCCGGUUUUGACACCGACAUUGGUGCUUUCAUUGAGAGUUCCUCUAUGUCGUCGCCAUCAGGAAGGAUGCCUCACCCCGUCUUUAAAGACGGCACCGUUGCUAAGGGAGCUUUGGCUGUCGGCCAAACCCUCCGGUUAGGUGGCUUUCUUAUGACCGCCUGUUCGGCUUCUGCAUCGACGAUGACCUCUCGAGCCAUCGAAAACAAUCUUCAUGUCAACUCGGAGCUCGCCGAGCAGUUAGAUCCAAUAGAGCUUUCCUCCAUAAAUGAGCUCUUGGAUCGCUUCGCCGCCCUCGGAGUCGCUACGGAUUACGACCAGAUUGGGCCUAAAACUGAUCUGAGAGAGAUUAACUCUCCCCAAGUCACCCAUCACGUUGCCGUGGUAGAGGGACAGUGCGGCGAUCCUUCAUCUAUCUUAAGGACUAGCUACGUCCGGAUUCCCGAUCCCUCCAAGCCGGAUACCCGCGGAGGGGAGGAUAUCACUCAAGACCUGAACUUAGAGUCAGGCGAUGGGCUGGAUUCAUUAGACAACAUCCAGGAAUCCAAAUUUUCGAGUUCAGAAAUUCCUCGGCCUCUGAGCCUUAGAUGGGGUGAGGCUUCGAAUUUAAUUCCACCCACCCACCCCAACAUAAGCGAUCUAUCCAAAAUCAGGCAAGAACCCGAUGAAAUAGUACAUCAUUACUGGGCCAGAUUCCUCCUGGUUAAGAACAGGCUAAGGGACUGCCGCGAGGAAGACGCAAUCUCAAUCUUCUGCAAUAACUGCAUGGAUAAGGGAAUACUCAACGCCAUAAGUCACCGUGAUAUUACACGCUUCGCUGACUUGGCGUCCAUUGUAUGAAAGUACUGUGCGAUGGAAAGCGCCUAGAAAACCGAAAUAAAAUUUUGGGACAAUUCGGCCCUGAAUACAAACCCAGUCCGAAAUAAAAGGGUGCAUCGUCACCAGUCACCCGGGUCAAGCACUAAAAAGCAAAAACCCUCUACAGGGCAUGGAACCGUACUGGAAGGGUGGCUUAAUGGACCCUGUAAAAUUCACAGUACAGAGGACGCCACACCAACUCACAGCCUCAGAGCAUGUUGGAUACUCUGGCAGGUGGCCAAAAUUGGCGAAAAUCUCCUAAUUCCGGAGGCCACAGAAAGCCACCCCAGAGACACCAAUACGGCAUUAACAGUCUUCGAGACUUUCGCAUCAAAUAAUAUGCGAAAAAGGACACUCCGCAGCCUUGCCGAAGUCUACCAAGUAGCAACAAUAAACCCAUGGAGUGACACAUCCAUUACCUUUAACGCCAGUUAUGAACCUAAAUUCCGAACAGCCCGAGCACCAGCCGCAUUGGUCCUCAGUCCAAUAGUGGACAACUUUUGUCUUACCAAGGUACUCAUGGACGGUGGCAGCGGAUUGAACCUCAUUUACGAGGAGACUCUUCAAAAAAUGGAAAUAGACUAGAACCGCAUUGAGCGAAGAAGCACAACCUUUAGAGGAAUAAUCCCCAGUCGGGAAGCGCGCUGUACAGGAAAAAUCACACUAGAUGUGGUGUUCGGCACGCCGGAUAAUUACAGGUCCAAAGAGGUCUCCAGGUGGCUCCGUUCAGCAGCGGUUAUCACACUCUGCUAGGGCGGGAAGCAUUUAUAAUCUUCCAAGCAAUACCCCAUUAUGGGUACAUGAAGCUCAAGAUGCCCGGGCCUAAUGGGAUCAUCACUCUCGCUAGUGAUCCGGACAUAGCACUCCGCGCCGAAAACAAGACAGCCACACUGGCCCUCAAGGCACUAUCCGAAGCCCUAGCGGCUGAGGAGCUGACUGCGCUGCGCUCUACAGUGAAUAGGGACGAUGUGGUACUCGACAAAAGAUCCAAGUCCACCUCCUUUAAACCGGCGGACGAAAUAGUCAAAUUCCAAGUCCAUCCAACGGACCCCAAUAAAACAGCUUCCAUCGGGGCACAGUUAAACCCUGAUGUCGACGCCACAUUGCGAGAGUUCCUACGAGAGAACUAUGACAUUUUCGCCUGGCACCCUUCAGACAUGCCAGGAAUCCCACGCAGGCUGGCCGAGCAUAGCUUAAAUAUCCAAACAGGAUUCAAACCUGUCAAACAGGCUCUUCGGCGUUUUUCCGAACCUAAGGACAGGCCAUGGGAGAGGAGCUAGCAAAGCUAUUGGAGGCCGGAUUCAUCAGAGAUAUAAAACAUCCGGACUGGCUAGCAAACCUAGUGAUGGUACCAAAGAAGGACAAAUCCUAGCGCCUGUGUGUUGAUUUUAAAGACCUUAACAAGGCUUGCCCAAAGGAUCCCUUCCCCCUCCCCCGCAUCGAUCAAAUUAUCGACGCUACCGCAGGACACGAUUCGUUGUGUUUCCUCGACGCAUAUUCUGGCUACCAUCAAAUUAAGAUGGCAGAACCAGACCAAGCCGCAACAGCAUUUAUCACACCAUACGGGCCAUUCUGCUUCAACACGAUGCCCUUCGGGCUCAAAAACACCGGCGCAACAUAUCAGCGCAUGAUUCAGACAUGUCUGGCAAGCCAGAUCGGCAAAACAGUGGAGGCAUAUGUAGAUGACGUGGUCGUCAAAACAAGACAUGUUGAAUCUCUAGUAGACGACUUGAGGCUCACAUUUGAUAACCUCCGAACAUACGACAUCAAGCUCAACCCGGAAAAAUGCGUUUUCGGCGUUCCAGCCGGAAAGCUCUUGGGCUUCAUUGUAUCCAGUAGAGGAAUUGAAGCAAAUCCAGCCAAGAUCCGAGCUCUGUCGCAACUGGAUAUCCCAAAGGACCUCAAACAAAUACAAAAGUUAACCGGAUGUGUGGCGGCUCUAAGCCGCUUUAUCUCCCGCUUGGGAGAAAAGGCCCUACACCUUUACCGCCUCCUUCGGCACACCGAACACUUCAAAUGGACGGACGCAGCCACGGCCGGACUCGACGAAUUAAAAGCCAUACUGGCAACAAACCCAGUCCUGGUCGCGCCAAACAUUAGCGAACCAAUGCUAUUAUACAUUGCAACAACACAUCAGGUUGUAAGCGCAGUGCUCGUCGUCGAACGAGAAGCGGACGGACACAAAUUCCCCCUUCAAAAUCCGGUCUAUUAUGUGUCCACUGUCCUCACUCCCUGCAAAUCAUGGUACCCGCAUUAUCAAAAGAUUGCAUACGCAGUAUUCAUGGCAUCCCGGAAGCUACGACACUACUUUCAAGAGUGUUCAAUAACAGUAGCCUCGGAAGUACCACUUAACGAUAUUAUAAACAACUGUGACGCAACGGGCCGGAUUGCGAAAUGGGCCAUCGAGGUCCUCCCGUUCGACAUAACUUAUAAGCCACGACGAGCCAUCAAGUCACAAGUCUUAGCCAACUUCGUCGCAGAAUGGACGGAGGCCGAACUCCCUAAAGAGUACGGCACAUAUUCAAAUUGGAUCAUGCAUUUCGACGGCUCCAAGAUGUUGGCUGGACUGGGGGCUGGCGUCGUUUUGACGUCCCCCACAGGAGACACAGUUCAAUACGUACUACAGAUUAUGUACACGGACUCCAACAAUGCAGCCAAAUAUGAGGCCUUUUACAUGGUCUCCGGAUGGCAGUAUCCAUGGGCAUCCAACGCCUAGAGGUGCGCGGGGACUCGAACCUCGCAAUAUCCCAAAUAAAUGGAGACUUCGAUGCUAAGGAUCCAAAAAUGGCAGCUUACCGCAACGCCAUCCUAAAAAUGUCAGCUCGGUUCGAGGGGCUUGAAUUUCACCAUAUAGCCCGGGAAAAUAAUCAGGCGGCAGAUGUCCUGGCACGCAUCGGCGCAAAACGUGAUGUAGUCCCCCCAACAUCUUCUUGGAAAGGCUGUUCAAGCCAUCCGUAGCAUGGGAAGGGGAGCCGAACAAUAACAGCCCGGACCCAACCGCACUGCCCGACACCGAACAUUCUGACACAAUCGGAGGCUCUACCAAUGAAAUAACACCUUCAGCCCACGUAAUAAUGGCCGUCAUCGCCCCGUGGACAGAACCAUUCCUCGCCUACCUUACUAGGCAGGAACUCUCCGAGGACCAAAAUGAGGCACGCCGCAUAGUGCGGCGAUCCAAAGCCUACAGAGUCCACGAGGGAUAGCUUUAUAAGAAAAGCACUACCGGAGUCCUUCAAAGGUGCAUCUCCGAAGAGGAGGGGUGGAAUCUCCUGGCUGAAAUUCAUGCCGGACUCGGCGGUCAUCACGCUGCAGCCCGGUCCCUUGUAAGCAAGGCCUUCCGUACAGGCUUUUAUUGGCCGACGGCCCAGGCAGACGCUCAGGACUUAGUCCAACGAUGCACCGGUUGCCAGCUCUUUGCAAACCAAACCCAUAUGCCACCCACCGCCCUCCAAACCAUCCCCAUUACUUGGCCCUUUGCGGUCUGGGGGCUUGACAUGGUUGGACCCCUUAAAGGCGGAACCCACAAGCAAAAUACUUACUGGUCAUGGUGGAUAAGUUCACCAAAUGGAUAGAAGCCAAGCCUGUUAAGACGGCCAAAUCCGGACCUGUGAUAGACUUUAUAUCCGGGGUUGUACACCGUUACGGCAUCCCCCACAACAUCAUCACUGAUAAUGGCAUGAACUUCACGGCCGACGAGGUAAAACUCUGGUGCAAAAACAUGGGCAUCAAGCUCGAUUAUGCUUCCGUCUAUCACCCACAAACUAAUGGCCAGGUCAAACGUGCAAAUGGUCUUAUCAUGAGCGGCAUCAAACCCAGAUUAGUGCGGUCCCUCAAGGAAUCUAACACGCACUGGGUAGAGGAGCUCGACUCCAUACUCUGGGGGCUGCGGACCACGCCGAAUCGCACCACCGAAUACACACCAUUCUUUAUGGUGUACGAUGCAGAGGCAGUUUUGCCUUGCGACAUAAUUCAUGACUCACCUCGAGUGCGCAUGUACGAAGAAAGAGAAGCCGAGCUUGAUCGGCAGGACAGCUUGGACGCAUUGGAGGAGGAGCGUGACGUGGCAAAAGCCCGUUCCGCAUUCUAUCAACAGCAGGCUCGAAGAUACCAAAGCAGAGAAGUACGGGCCAAAAAUUACAACGUUGGCGAAUUAGUUCUACGACUACCGGACAAGAAAAAGGACAAACUCAAGCCCAAGUGGGAAGGUCCCUUCAUAAUCGACCAAGUCCUGACUGGUGGAGCGUACCGCCUGCGGGAUGCAUCGGAUAACCGACUCGAGCCAAACCCAUGGAACGCAGCCCGUCUCCGAAGAUUCUAUGCCUAGCGUCGAACUCUGUGUUCGUCUCCUUCCUCUGUCCAUUUUGUUAUAUUUUCUGUCUUACAUUUCUCUUCUCUCUCUCUCUCUCUCUCUCUCUCUCUCUCUCUCUCUCUCUCUCUCAGAGCCUCUAAAGGCUCAUAAAAUGACGCACUAUCCGCGCUCAUUAAACCUGGGGGCUUCUUUAAACAGAAGCUUAUUCAUGCGGGCUUCAUGCCCAACACAUGUGUCACACUUCCGCAUGUACCUUUUAUUCACCAUUAUAUGCAUCGAUAUGACUUAAGUUUUGGCCAAGCUGGGUUGCCUGGCUCCUGUGCUUACCCCUACGUUCCCGAUUAUUCGGCUAGGUGGUAAAGGGAGCACCUCUGCGAUUGUUACUGCCGGGUCAGCCGGACGUGUACCUUAGACUGGGUGAAGCCGAAAGCUAGCGUUCUUAAGGGAAUAUUCGGUCGGUGAACUAAAGAUGAUCUUUUUUUAUCUUUAUCUAUACACCCCUAGAUGUUUUUCCUGCAUUUCUUUUCGCAGCAUGGACAUGCACCUUAGGGCAUGCCUCCCAGGGAAAGGAACCCCUAACGGAACUAUUCUCCCUGGAAGAUGUUUCUUACUAACCAUGUAAUAUAACAUACCUAGUCGGGCACUUGUCUGUUCACGCCCUAAUGACCCCUACGCCUGGUAUCCAUGCAUUCCCCGGUUCCUAUAUAACUGCAUGGGAAUUCGGACACACUCCAGACCGUCAGGUCCCGAGGCUGAAGCGAAAAGGCCGGCCAUGACAAAUGAUCUACAAUCCGGCUAGAAGGCAUUAUAAAUGUCAAUUAAAUUACAUAGUCAUUUUGACUGAUUGUAUUCCUCUUCAAUACCAUCUAACAGGAUGUCUAAUUUACAGUCCUGCUGGGAAUACUUUGCGGCCAACUAUACUUGGCUGUAUACUAAGCUUACAGGGAUCUCCUUCCCAUCAGGCCCUACAGGACCGACCUCGGCCAUGUGGUUGGGGUCAGCCUUUGCGUACCGCAUCUUCACCAUGGCCCAGGCCUCCCUAGCGCCUUGACGGCAGGCUGAUAUCUUCCACAAUCGGAAGCGCCGCCGUGCUCCCUUUAGCUUCUCCGCAAGCUCUCCAAGACCUUCGGGCAUGGAGACGGAUGGCCACAGGGCCUGGGCGACGCCUCGCAUCGCCUGCCGAACUCGAUUGAGCAGUUGCGAGAGCUCGGGAAGAAGGUCACCCGUAGAACCGGGCAUCUCCUCUGCAGGACGACCUGUUAGCACACCUACAGACAUUGCUUUGUUAGUCGACUUCCCCGCCGAACUUUCUUUCAAAAGGUUCGUUCAAGCACUUACUAAAUAUGCCGCGCCGAAGCCGCUAAUUCUCCUUCACGGAGUCUGACAGCUGGGCACGAACAUCUUUCAGCUCGACGCCUAGCUUGGUGUUGGCAUCUUGGAGAUUGUUCUUCUCCCCCAUCACCUUUAUCAACACCCUCUCACCAGCCUUUAGCUGGCGUAGGAGGUGUUGCCUUUCCGGGUUCAAUCUGGUGCCAUCUGCAAUUUCAUUUGUCAGAUUCGCACCAAAGCCGUGCUUCGCAAAAUACUUAUCUUUCAAAGUAUAUAUUACCAGAGGGGGUCUCCUUAGGCUCCCCUGCCGCGGCUAGUGUGGCCUCCAGUUGGGCUUUGCACUCUUCUAGCUCCUUGGACAGUAGGGAAUUCUUUUCUGUAAGAACCUGCAUACCAAAUGAUCCUUAAAUCAGUUAUUCUAACUGUUUCAAGUCUCGGGGGCUACUGCUAUAUAUAUAAUUACCAAAAUUUUCUUACUCGUAUGUCUUUUACAUAUUGCUCCGUGGCUCUAGCUAGACCAUUUUGAGCGGCACGGAGGUGUGCAUCUCCCGAGUUGAAGGCAUCUAACGCCCCUUGGGAGAAACAAGCGUCGCGAAGAAUUGUCCGGCGACGCCUGUGGUUCAUGGCACUCUCCACCUCAGAGUUGGUGGCAGACAACCCGUCCACAUCCUCCGUCGGAGGAGCGUCUGGCGCGCGCCUUGUGUUCGCCUCAGCCUCCGGACCAGGCUUUGGAGCCUGGCUGGUGGAGGCGCGAUUGGCAGCCUCUUCGGGUAUAGUCCGGCGAGGUCUCUUUGUCCUGAAGAGAGCACGAGUGUCAAUGUGCCUCGAAGGUAUAACACCUGGGAUAAGGGGGGCGCGCCAUACCUUUGUGCUGACGCCUCGGUCCGGACUGCACUUCUUUUCGGCCCACGGGGCCCUACGGCCCCUCGUUGACUUGUCGCCGCAGGUUCGGCCUUCCGCCUUAAAAACCUCCCCUGCAAAGUUUGUUGCAAUCAGGAAACUGAACACGAGUGGAGGACACCUAUUCGGGGUACUGGGACUUCGAUCUCAGGUACCUGGGGCAUCAGGAUUAGCCUUGGGUAAUCGGCCAUAAUGGCCACCAAGGUGUUGUCCUCGCUCAAUUGAUGGAACACUCCAUCAAUCAGCUCCACAGAUAUGUCCGGAUCCUCUUGAGAGGCCGGGUCGAGGGACCGUCCUGGGUCCUCGGGUUGUGGAGGAGGGCUGCUUAUUUCCCUAAUAGCCCGGCGCAGUUCCUGUGUUAAAGUCAUCAGACUGAAUAUUUAACAAUGGGAAUACAAAACAGAUGGACAAGUAAAUACGGCCGCUUACCCAGCUCGGGGGAUUGUGCAUGGAGAAUCCACCCUGAGGGUUGACACGGAGAAAUUCCUCCUCUUCUCCCUUAUACAAAGUGGACAAGAUCUUUAGUAGAGCGGCAGCUGAAUCCGGCCCCUUACGACCGUAGCGGGUGUCGUCGUCGUCCCCGUUGAAGUCCCACAUGGGUUGGCUUCUAUACUGAAGUGGCUGCACCCCCCGCAUAAUGCAUUCGGCCAUAACCCUGAUCAUGGUUAGUCCGAAAUGGGCUAACAAUCUUAUUCGGCCCAUCAGGUAAAUGAUGUCCCUGUCACUUUCCCUCUGAGGGCUCCGUAGGCGCCAGCUUAGGUGCUUCUUUAAGGGAGCACUGUUGAAUUCAGGGAGGCCGAUCCGGACAUGAUUCGGCAGCGGUACGUCUUCUAUAUAGAACCAUUCCGAGGGCCAGUCUUCGGAUGCCUUCUUUGGGGUUCCGGACAGAUAUCCGGUCCCGGCGAUGCGCCACACUUCGGCUCCGCCCACUUGAUACAUUGACCCCUUCUUGGAACGGGGCACGAGGCAAAAUAGCUCCUUCCACAGUCCGAAAUAAGCUUCAACACUCAAGAACAGCUCGCAGAGGGCUACAAAGCCCGCGAUAUGCAAUACUGAGGCAGGCGUGAGAUGAUGUAGCUGGAGGCCAUAGAACUCCAGCAACCCCCGGAGAAAUGGGUGGAUUGGAAAUCCGAGCCCCCUUAUUAAGUAAGGGACAAGGCACACCCGCUCUCCUUUGGAGGGAUUAGGGGCAUUCUCUGCUUGCUCUCCGCCGUUGUAGACGGCAAGACCGGCUCGAACCAGGACCAUAUAGGCCGGGGGGAGAAAUCCCUUGGUCUAGAGCGUCACUAGCUCGCUAUGCGGGAUGGAACAUCUCUCCCAAUAUCCAGGCUUAGGGCUGGAAGGGCGAGGGGAGGAGUUGCGACGGCUGGCCAUGGUGGAAUGGACCUUUGUCGGAUGCGCUCUGACGAACACUCGCGGAGGGGAGAAGGUGUGGAUUGGAUCUAAAUCCUCGUCCCCUUAAAUAGGGCAGCUCAUUUACGCGGCUAGGGGUGUGAAUGUAAAAACACUCAGACUUUUCAUAUUCGUUUGACACGUGGGAAGCGACCAUUAUUGGGCGUAGAAGCCAAGGAGCGCAACAUCUACAAGAAAAUGGACUUUAUUCAAAUAGGUACACGAAAUUUGGAGGAGAACCCGCCUUGCAAUGCCGAAGAGAAUCUGCGCGCCAGACUCAUCGUCAUUGAAGCCUGGUUCGGGGGCUACUGAGGGAAUCCUGGAUUAGGGGUUAUUCGGAUAGCCAGACUAUACCUUCAGCUGGACUCCUGGACUAUGAAGAUACAAGAUUGAAGACUCCGUCCCGUGUCCGGAAGGGACUUUCCUUGGCGUGGAAGGCAAGCUUGGCAAUACGGAUAUGAAGAUCUCCUACCAUUGUAACCGACUCCAUGUAACCCUAACCCUAUCCGGUGUCUAUAUAAACCGGAGGGUUUUAGUCCGUAGCACAACAUACACAUCAACAAUCAUACCAUAGGCUAGCUUCUAGGGUUUAGCCUCCUCAAUCUCGUGGUAGACCUACUCUUGUACUACCCAUAUCAUCAAUAUUAAUCAAGCAGGACAUAGGGUUUUACCUCCAUCGAGAGGGCCCGAACCUGGGUAAAACUUCGUGUCCCUUGCCUCCUGUUACCAUCCGGCCUAGACGCAUAGUUCGGGACCCCCUACCCGAGAUCCGCCGGUUUUGACACCGACAAUAUGCCUCCCUCCGAAGACGAGGCAAGCCUCGACGACGACGAAUUUGUCAUGCCGGAGGAUCCCGUCGAACAAGAGCAUUUCAAACGCAGGCUUAUGGCCACGACGAGCAGCCUCAAGAAAAAACAGCGACAACUUAGAGCUGAUCAAGAUUUGCUAGCCGACAGAUGGACUGAAGUCCUUGCGGCCGAAGAUUAUGAACUCGAAUGCCCCUCCAAGAGCUACCCAAAGCGCAGGUUGCUACCCCGAUUAGAGGAGGAAGCACCUAAACCACAUCACCAGCGCAUGAUGCGGCCGACCGGCCACCCCGUGGCCGCGACAGAGAGGCCUCUCGGCCCUCCACUCAAGCCGCACCCCGGCGCCGCUCAAAAAAUACCAAGGCACGGGAAAAUGCGCCAGACGUGCGAGAUAUAUUGGAGGACAAGGCAAGGCAAACAAGAUCGAUCUAUGGAUCACGUGGGUGCCCCACGACACGAGACGGUAAUCGUCACUCCGGAUACAGUAAAUCUGGCCGGGCCGAACACAGUAGACAAAGCUCGUUUGAGCUGCAUCGUGAUAUAGCCCAAUAUAGAGGCGUCGCACGCCCACUAUGCUUCACAGAUGAAGUAAUGGAUCAUCAAAUCCCCGAGGGUUUCAAACCCAUGAACAUCGAAUCAUACGAUGGCAUAACAGAUCCUGCAGUAUGGAUCAAGGACUAUCUCCUUCAUAUCCACAUGGCCCGCGGUGAUGACCUACACGCCAUCAAAUACCUCCCACUCAAGCUUAAAGGACCAGCUCGGCAUUGGCUUAACAGCUUGCCAGCAGAAUCGAUUGGUUGUUGGGAGGACCUGGAAACCGCAUUCCUCGACAAUUUCCAGGGCACUUAUGUGCGACCACCAGACGCUAAUGACCUUAGCCACAUAAUUCAGCAGCCAGAGGAAUCGGCCAGACAAUUCUGGACACGGUUCCUAACCAAGAAAAAUCAAAUCGUCGACUGUCCGGAUGCAGAGGCCCUAGCAGCCUUCAAGCAUAACAUCCGCGACGAGUGGCUUGCACGGCACCUAGGACAGGAAAAGCCGAAAUCAAUGGUAGCCCUCACCACACUUAUGACCCGCUUUUGUGCGGGAGAAGACAGCUAGCUAGCUCAUAGCAAUAACAUGACUAAGAGCCCUGGUAAUUCAGAUACCAAGGACAGCAGUGGCAGGUUGCGUCGCAACAAGCAAAAGCGCCGCAUUAACAGCGACAAUACUGAGGAUACGGCAGUUAAUGCCGGAUUAAGGACAGCAGUGGCAGGUUGCGUCGCAACAAGCAAAAGCGCCGCAUUAACGGCGACAAUACUGAGGAUACGGCAGUUAAUGCCGGAUUCAGAGGCUCUAAACCCAGUCAGCGGAAAAGGCCAUUCAAAAGAAAUACUCCGGGCCCGUCCAGUUUGGACCAAAUACUCGACCGCUCAUGCCAGAUACAUGGCACCCCCGAAAAACCAGCCAAUCACACCAAUAGGGAUUGUUGGGUGUUCAAGCAGGCAGGCAAGUUCAAUGCCGAAAGCAGAGACAAGGGGCUGCAUAGCGAUGACGAGGAGGAGCCCCGGCCGCCGAACAAUAGUGGACAGAAAGGUUUUCCCCCACAAGUGCGGAUGGUGAACAUGAUAUACGCAACCCACGUCCCCAAGAGGGAGCGGAAGCAUGCGCUAAGGGACGUAUACGCGAUGGAGCCAGUCGCCCCAAAGUUCAACCCAUGGUCUUCCUGCCCGAUCACUUUUGAUCGAAGGGACCACCCCACUAGCAUCCGUCAUGGCGGAUUCGCCGCAUUGGUUCUAGACCCAAUUAUUGAUGGAUUUCACCUCACUAGAGUCCUUAUGGACGGCGGCAGCAGCCUGAACCUGCUUUACCAGGAUACAGUGCGGAAAAUGGGCAUCGAUCCCUCAAGGAUUAAACCCACUAAAAUGACCUUUAAAGGCGUCAUACCAGGUGUAGAGGCCAACUGUACAGGCUCAGUUACACUUGAAGUGGUCUUCGGAUCUCCGGAUAAUUUCCGAAGCGAGGAGUUAAUCUUCAACAUAGUCCCGUUCCGCAGUGGCUAUCACGCACUGCUCGGGUGAACCGCAUUUGCCAAGUUCAAUGCGGUGCCGCACUACGCAUACCUCAAGCUCAAGAUGCUAGGCCCUCGAGGAGUCAUCACGGUCAAUGGAAACACCGAACUCUCUCUCCGAACGGAGGAGCAUAUGGCGGCUAUCGUAGCAGAAGUACAAAACAGCCUCUCAAGGCAAUUCUCCAGUCCGGCCAUUAAACGUCUGGACACCGUCAAGCAUGCCCGGAGUAACCUACAACAAGACCACCUGGCACGUUCCGAGCAAGCGUAGCAAUGCGGCCCCAACCCCAGCCCUCGCGAACUUGCGAAACCAGUGUUGCGCGUACAUAACUAUGUUGUGGAAAUACCAUGGGCACAGGGGGAGGGGCACCAUCACGGCAUGCCCGCAACGCGGCUUAAACCGCACUAGGGACUGCCGAUUUCUUAUUUUUCUCUUAUUUUCAGGACUCCAUUCUUCGGAAGGCCUGUCCGGCAGUACAAUUGCCGCACAAAGAUAUAACCAGGGAAGCAGAAAGCUGCGCCGCACUAUGGAAUUCUAAGGUGGUCUCUAUAACGAGCAGUAUACCUGUUUCACAUACCAUUCCGCAGCUCACCCCUGGAAAGGACAUGUUAAAUAGUCCCAUCUUUUGCUUAUUGCACUAUUUGUAUCGUUCUGCUUUGAUCGCAGCUUCUUUAAAUAAACAAUGCAUAGCUUCCAUCUAUUAUUGCAUUACUCUUUUUUACGAAUAUAUGUUCAUUAAUGACAUGUUGCACCCGUACACUUUGGUACGACCAAUACGCCAGGGGCUUAAGUACUCCACAAUACGGUGUGAGAAGUCCAAACACUUUCACAAGUGCGGCACCCCGAACUUAUAGCAUUAUAUGCAUCGGCUCCGAAUCAUGUCUUGGGUCAAUAGUUGGGUUUGCCCGGCUCCUAUGUUUUGGUACCUUACGUUCCGUUAUAUCGGCUAAGGUAGCACUAGGAGAACUACUACGAUUGUGCCCCAGUUGAGCUGGGCUAAGCACCUCAGUAGAGAAAGCUAAAACUGACCGUCAUGAUGAGGCGAGAGUUGGUCGCUGUUCGAGAGGUUUUCGAGUCCCUAAAGACUUAUGCCGCUUAGAGCGAGGAGUCGGCUUUGUCCGGCCUAGGCGUGGAUAGCGCCCCGAACUCGGUCUUCUGAACACUAGGGGCUUCACCGAAAUUUAAAAUUAUAGAAUUCUAUGGCUAAGUGAGAGUGUUCAAGCAUUAUAGUCCGAUUGCCUUGUUCGUUGUGUUGAGCGCCUCCCUCGAAGGACCCAAGAAUGGGAAAAAGAGCGCUCAUGUUUAUCCCGAACACCCCAGCACUCGUGGCAUGGGGGCAGAAGCCGACGACUCGCCAUCUCUCAAAUUUGAUAAACGGCCGCACAAAAGGUAAUAUUUUAAAUUCAAAAGCGUUGCUUAGCGCAUAUGGACAAGUUUUCAGCGUACAGGAUCACAAAUGCGAGUUUACUCAAAAAUUACAUCUUUGGAGCAUUCAUCCGCUAUAAGGCGGGCACCCUUCAGGACGCCCUCAUAAUACGCCUCUGGGAUGCGAUGCUCCUUGCCCGGCGGCGGCCCGUCCUUCACCAGCUUCUCCGCAUCCAUCUUGCCCCAGUGCACUUUAGCACGGGCAAUCGCCGUACGGGCACCUUCGAUGCAGACGGAGUGCUUGAUUACUUCAAGCCGUGGACAGGCAUCCACCAACCGCCUCACCAGCCUGAAGUAGCUCCCAGGCAGAGCCUCUCCAGGCCAAAGCCGAACUAUGAGGCCCUUUAUGGCCUGUUUGGCCACCUUGUGGAGCUCGACCAUUUGCUUCAGCUGGUCGCUCAAAGACACCAGGUGUCCGGCCUCAGCAUACUGAGACCAGAACACCUUCUCUGUCGAGCUCCCCUCCUUGGAUCGGUAGUAGGCGGCGGCAUCAGACGCACUGCGGGGCAAAUCUGCGAAUGCUCCUGGCGAGCUCCGAACUCGGGUAAGUAACAAGUAAUUCACUUUCAUGUGCUUGCUUUGCAUAAUGAAUGCCUUACCCGCCGCUAUCUUCUUCAUCGCUUCAAUUUCUUGGAGGGCUUUCUGGGCUUCGGCCUUGGCAGACUUCGCGCUUUCGAGGGCUGCCGCAAGCUCGGACGCUUGCAUCUUUGAGUCAAGCUCCAAACUCUCGUGUUUUUUCACGAGAGCCUGGAGCUCUUUCUGCACCUCCUCCACCCGUGCCUCAUGCUUCCCUCUCUCUGUGUGCUCCGCGGCUGCUCUGUUUUCGGCCUCGGACAACGCUUUCUUAAGGGUUGCCACCUCGGUCGUGGCCCCUAUAAUAGCACGUUGAUCCUAUCAUUUUUUGCAACCACAUCUUCUCUAUAUACUUGCGCAAGGUAUUCCUUACCUUCCUUCUCCUCGAGUUGCCUCUUGGCAUGGUCGAGCUCGUUCUCGGACCGCGCGAGGUUUUGCUUCAGCGUAUCCACCUCCGCAGUCAGUGCGGCGGAGGCCAGCAGCGAAGCCUGCAUACGCAUAUUGACUUGAUUAUGUUAGACUCCUGCGAAUGUUAUUAGAUCCUCUAUUCGGCUUUUCUUUCCGAACGCUGAACAGAGCAUCAGGGGCUACUGUCUAUGCGGUAAUAUUUUUACAUAUUCUUUACUUACCUCAAAGCCUGUUAGAAGGCUGGCACAGGCUUCAAUCAGUCCGCUCUUGGCGGACUGAACCUUCUGGAUCACCGCACUCAUAAUAAUGUGGUGCUCCUCGUCGAUGGAGGCGCCGUUAAGCACCUCCAGCAAAUUGUCCGGUGCCUCCGGUUGGACGGAGGUCACCAGCUCGGUAGGCUUGCUCCUCUUGGAAGGAGGCUGCCUACCGGAGUCCGGAAUCGCUGAAGGUUCCGGCGCGGUGUCCGGCUCAAGGCCGGACUUGGAGCCCUUGGGGGUUCUAUCCCCUUUGCGCCUGGAGUCCGGGAGGUCGCCUUGUGGCGCCUCCAGGACCACCUCCUCCUGGCUUGGAACCUGUCGGGACAGCACCUCGGCGUCGUCCGUAGGGUGGGGGGAGGUAGCGGGCGGAAGUGAAUUCACGUCCGACGAAUCCAGGGAGCCGCUCGACGACUCGUCGAGCCCGGCCUUGGGCGGACUGCAUAGUCAUAUUCGGCGUAAGGAGGAGCUGUGCAAGAAAGGAACACUAUGAAUUGCUCUGGUGUCUGAAUACUUACGAUCUCGCCAGGGGCUUGGACCUGUGCGGCCACUCCUCUUCGUCGUUGUCGGCGUUGGUGGAGUAGUCCGGAGGAAGGGUCUUCCCCUUCUUGGACCCUUCAGCCUCCCCAGUUGGGGCGGCCUUCCUUUUCUUCCCUCCCCCCGCUGGAGGGGGAGAGGUCUCUUCUUCCUCCUCCUCGUCUUCACGGGAGGAGUGCGUCUUGGAGUCGUCGGAUGAUGAAUCCGACACCUCCAGGCGUUGGGCACUCUUUCGAGUCCCCGUGGCCUUCUUCUUGGCAUUCUUCUCCGGCACCACAUAGGGUGCCGGAACCAGCAGCUUCGCCAAGCGAGCGUCCGCUGGGCCUUCGGGCAAAGGAGCCGGACAGUUGAUCUGUCCGGACGUCUCCUGCCAAUCCUGUCAAAGGUAAGGGAGCUUAGAUCCCGCAUGGAGUCAAACUAUGAAAAAGGGGCCUCGGCGCCCUUGAAAAGCACCUUCCAGGCAUCUUCUUACGUCACGUCGAAGAGCCUGCUCAGGGUUCGGUGCUGCGCCGGGUUAAACUCCCACAGGUUGAAAGCCCGUUGUUGACACGGGAGGAUCUGGCGGAUGAGCAUAACCUGGACUAUGUUGACAAGUUUGAGCUUCUUGUCCACUAGGGUUUGGACGCAUGUUUGGAGUCCGGUCAGCUCUCCUUUUUUUACCCCACGAUAGGCCCGUCUCUUUCCAGGAGGUGAGCCGCGUAGGGGGUCCGGAUCGGAACUCGGGGGCUGCGACCCAUUCAGGGUCGCGCGGCUCGGUGAUGUAAAACCACCCCGAUUGCCACCCCUUUAGGGUCUCCACGAAGGAGCCCUCGAGCCAUAGGACGUUGGGCAUCUUGCCCACCAUGGCGCCUCCACACUCCGCCUGGGUGCCACGCACCACCUUCGGCUUGACAUUGAAAGUCUUGAGCCAUAGGCCGAAAUGGGGGCGGAUGCAGAAGAAAACCUCGCACACAACGAUAAACGCCGAGAUGUUGAGGACAAAGUUUGGGGCUAGAUCGUGGAAAUCCAGGCCAUAGUAGAACAUGAGCCCCCGGACAAAUGGGUGGAGAGGGAAGCCCAGUCCAUGGAGGAAAUGGGGGAGGAACACCACCCUCUCAUGGGGCCUAGGGGUGGGGAUGAGCUGCCCCUCUUUGGGAAGCCGGUGCGCAAUGUCGUUAGACAAGUAUCCGGCCUUCCUCAGUUUUUUGAUGUGUCCCUCCGUGACAGAGGAGACCAUCCACUUGCCUCCCGCUCCGGACAUGGCUAGAGAAGGUUGAGGUGGGGUGUGCGGACUUGGGCGCUGGAGCUCGAGUGCGCGGAAAUGGAUAAGCAAAGGAGGAAGAAGGCGUGGAUGAAAAGGUGGAUCCUUAUCCCCUUAUAUGGGUGGACGCGACUAUGCGACCCCACCAGCCUGGUAAAACUCGCUUAUCUCCCAAGCGCCGUAAUCAAUGGCACGGUUGGGUUACCCACGCCAGUAUUGAUGAGAAUCCCGAAAUAAGGGGACACGAUCUCUGAUUUGACAAGACGUGCCAAGGAAACCACCUCGCUAAAUGCGCUGAGGUGGGACAGUAAAAUGAUUCAAAUAAAGACUUGGCCGUGGUGUGAUGUCACUCUACGGAAUACGUCAGCAGAUUAGAUUUAUGUAAAUAUUAUUCUCUCUAUGGCAAUAUGUGGAAACUUAUUUUGCAGAGCCGGACACUACCUUUGUGUUCAAAAUCUUCUAUGAAGUACUUGGAGGAGGAACCCGCCUUGCAAUGCCGAAGACAAUCUGCGCGCCAGACUCGUCGUCAUUGAAGCCUGGUUCAGGGGCUACUGAGGGAGUCCUGGAUUAGGGGGUGUUCGGAUAGCCGGACUAUACCUUCGGCCGGACUCCUGGACUAUGAAGAUACAAGAUUGAAGACUUCGUCCCGUGUCCGGAAGGGACUUUCCUUGGCGUGGAAGGCAAGCUUGGCGAUAUGGAUAUGUAGAUCUCCUACCAUUGUAACCGACUCUGUGUAACCCUAGCCCUCUCCGGUGUCUAUAUAAAUCGGAGGGUUUUAGUCCGUAGGACGAACAUACAAUCAUACCAUAGGCUAGCUUCUAGGGUUUAGCCUCCUUGAUCUCGUGGUAGAUCUACUCUCGUACUACCCAUAUCAUCAAUAUUAAUCAAGCAGGAGUAGGCUUUUACCUCCAUCGAGAGGGCCCGAACUUGGGUAAAAACAUCGUGUCCCUUGUCUUCUGUUACCAUCCGCCUAGACACACAGUUCGGGACCCCCUACCCGAGAUCCGCCGGUUUUGACACUGACAAUGAGAAAAUCAUGUUCCCGAAGAUUUUAUUCCGUUUGGACUCCGUUUGUGUGACGCCCGGAUACUUAAGCUACAGUAAACCACUGUUAAUGAUGCCCCGUCAGCACAAUUACUGUUGCUAAUCUCGCGUUAGUUCGAAACUGAUUCAAAUUCAAAUUCAAAAUCAAAUCAAACGGUAAAAGUUUUCAAACUUUAAAACUAAAAUAUUCGAGUUGUGCCAAAUAAUGCAAAGUUAAUUGUGGUGAAGAAACCCCACUUUUAUAAAAUGUUUUAAUACCCUAAAAUGAUUAAAACAGUAGGUAAAACAAUUAAAUAAAUGCAUUUUGGGUUUUAUAAAAUACUAAACUAUUUUGUUCAGGGAAAAAACCUUUCGUGGCAGUAGUUAUAAUUAUAACUCUAUUUUAGCUAUGGGUUUCACUUUUUGUAAAAACUAUAAACUAUUAUAUAAGAAAAAUAAAACAGAACAGAAAAUAAAUAAAAGAAAGAAAAUACAAAAGAUAAAACAGAAAAACAAAAGACAAAAAAAAUAAAUAAAGGAGAGAAGGCCACCCCCCCACUGGGCCAGACGGCCCAGCCGGCCAGGCCCCCCCCCCAACCGGCCCAGGCAAAGGCCCAGCCGGCCGCCCCCAUUNNNNNNNNNNNNNNNNNNNNNNNNNNNNNNNNNNNNNNNNNNNNNNNNNNNNNNNNNNNNNNNNNNNNNNNNNNNNNNNNNNNNNNNNNNNNNNNNNNNNNNNNNNNNNNNNNNNNNNNNNNNNNNNNNNNNNNNNNNNNNNNNNNNNNNNNNNNNNNNNNNNNNNNNNNNNNNNNNNNNNNNNNNNNNNNNNNNNNNNNNNNNNNNNNNNNNNNNNNNNNNNNNNNNNNNNNNNNNNNNNNNNNNNNNNNNNNNNNNNNNNNNNNNNNNNNNNNNNNNNNNNNNNNNNNNNNNNNNNNNNNNNNNNNNNNNNNNNNNNNNNNNNNNNNNNNNNNNNNNNNNNNNNNNNNNNNNNNNNNNNNNNNNNNNNNNNNNNNNNNNNNNNNNNNNNNNNNNNNNNNNNNNNNNNNNNNNNNNNNNNNNNNNNNNNNNNNNNNNNNNNNNNNNNNNNNNNNNNNNNNNNNNNNNNNNNNNNNNNNNNNNNNNNNNNNNNNNNNNNNNNNNNNNNNNNNNNNNNNNNNNNNNNNNNNNNNNNNNNNNNNNNNNNNNNNNNNNNNNNNNNNNNNNNNNNNNNNNNNNNNNNNNNNNNNNNNNNNNNNNNNNNNNNNNNNNNNNNNNNNNNNNNNNNNNNNNNNNNNNNNNNNNNNNNNNNNNNNNNNNNNNNNNNNNNNNNNNNNNNNNNNNNNNNNNNNNNNNNNNNNNNNNNNNNNNNNNNNNNNNNNNNNNNNNNNNNNNNNNNNNNNNNNNNNNNNNNNNNNNNNNNNNNNNNNNNNNNNNNNNNNNNNNNNNNNNNNNNNNNNNNNNNNNNNNNNNNNNNNNNNNNNNNNNNNNNNNNNNNNNNNNNUCUUUCUCAGCGGCGCCCCUCGCCGCGCCUGCCGCGUCGCCCUGCGCCCGCCCUCCGUCGUCCGCUGCUGCUCGGAACACCGCCCGUCGCCGGUGCCGCAUCGCCGGACCUCCCCGACUCCUCCACGAGCCCGCUGCCAUGCCCCUCCUGCUCCCCUGUGAGCCGCCAUCCGUCCUCCUCUCUCCCCCUCUGCCUCGAUGUGGCCACCACAUCCCGGUGCGCUCGCCGCGCCCGGGCACCUCCAGCCACGCCCAACGCACGCGCCCGGGCACCGCGGCCCUUCCCGGUGCGCUCACCGCGUCCUGCCGCUCCACCCACGCGCCCGUCGCCCAAGCACCCGCUUCGGCUGCCGCCGUCCGGCGACGGCCCCUGCUACCCCGGCCUGACCUCGCCCCUUCCCCCCGUCGGUGCCGUGCCCGCCGGUGCCCUUCUGGGUGCCGCGGCGCUCGCUCCUGGGCUGCACAGCCCCAGGCCUUGUGCCACUGACCAGGGGGCCCCAUGCCCCUGUUAAAAAAACGAACGAAAUUGAAAAAUAGAAAUAAUUAUUUAAUUAAUUAGUAAUUUGAUUAAUUAAUUAAUUUGCUUAGUUAACUACCUAAUUAACUUUGAUUAAUUAGCCUAAUGAACAUAUUUAAUCUAAUUAAACCUGCUUAGUUAAACUAGUCUAUGACGAUGGGCCCCAUUGCCCUGUUUGACCAGUCAACGUUGACCCAGUCAACAGCUGACUAGACUGUUGACUUUGACUCUGACCCCACCUGUCAUACACUAUGGCUGGCACUGCACUUUGUGACAAUAGUUUUACUGAUUAAAUUUUGGAGUUAAAUAAAUCAAUAUAAUCAUAUAAAACUUUGGAAAUUCAUAUAAAAUAAUCCGUAACUCGGAUGAAAAUACUUUCUACAUGAAAGUUGCUCAGAACGACGAGACGAAUCCGGUUACGCAGCCCGUUCGUCCGCCACACACCCCUAGCAUACCGAACACGCAACUUUCCCCCUCCGGUUCACCGGUCCGAAAACGCGGAACACCGGGAAUACUUUCCCGGAUGUUUUCCCCCUUUGUCGGUAUCACCUACUACCGCGUUAGGGCACACCGAACACCGCGUAUUGCCUUGAUAUAUUUUGUGGUGCUUUGUUUGCUUUGUAUUCAUUAUUUCUCCCCCCUCUUCUCUCCGGUAGACUACGAGACCGACGCUGCUGCUGACCAGUUCGACUACGGAGUUGACGACCCCUCUCUCUUGCCAGAGCAACCAGGCAAGCCCCCCCCCUUGAUCACCAGAUAUCGCCUAUUCUCCUCUAUACUGCUUGCAUUAGAGUAGUGUAGCAUGUUACUGCUUUCGUUAAUCCUAUUCUGAUGCAUAGCCUGACAUUGUCGCUACAUCUGUUGAUACCUUACCUGCAAUCCUAAAUGCUUAGUAUAGGAUGCUAGUUUAUCAUCAUUGGCCCUACAUUCUUGUCAGUCUGCCUUGCUAUACUAUCGGGCCGUGAUCACUUGGGAGGUGAUCACGGGUAUAUACUAUACAUACAUACAUACUAUACAGAUGGUGACUAAAGUCGGGUCAGCUCAUUGAGUACCCGCAAGUGAUUCUGACGAGGGGGCUGACAGGACAGGUGGCUCCAUCCCGGUAGAGGUGGGCCUGGGUUCCCGACGGCCCUAGACUGUUACUUUGUGGCGGAGCGACAGGGCAGGUUGAGACCACCUAGGAGACAGGUGGGCCUGGCCCUGUUCGGCGUUCGCGGAUACUUAACACGCUUAACGAGAUCUUGGUAUUUGAUCUAAGUCGGCUACGAGCCUAUACGCACUAACCAUCUACGUGGGAGUAGUUAUGGGUAUCCCGACGUCGUGGUAUCAGCCGAAGCACUUCAGACGUUAGCGACGGAGCGGCGCGCGCGGAUUGGAACGUAAGCCUGCUCUUGUAUUAAGGGGGCUAGUUCUGCUUCCGGCCGCCCUCGCAACGUGCAGGUGUGCUAUGGGCGAUGGGCCCAGACCCCUGUGCGCUUAGGUUUAGACCGGCGUGCUGGCCUCUCUGUUUUGCCUAGGUGGGGCUGCGACGUGUUGAUCUUCCGAGGCCGGGCAUGACCCAGGAAAGUGUGUCCGGCCAAAUGGGAUCGAGCGUGUUGGGUUAUGUGGUGCACCCCUGCAGGGAAGUUAAUCUAUUCGAAUAGCCGUGAUCUUCGGUAACAGGACGACUUGGAGUUGUACCUUGACCUUAUGACAACUAGAACCGGAUACUUAAUAAAACACACCCUUCAAAGUUCCACAGACAACCCGGUGAUCGCUUUUCCACAGGGCGACGAGGAGAGGAUCGCCGGGUAGGUUUAUGCUAUGCGAUGCUACUUGGAGAUGCUACUUGGAGAUGCUACUUGGAGAUGCUACUUGGAGAUGCUACUUGGAGGACUUCAAUCUACUCUCUUCUACAUGCUGCGAGGCGGAGGCUGCCAGAAGCGUAGUCUUCGAUAGGAUUAGCUAUCCCCCUCUUAUUCUGGCAUUCUGCAGUUCAGUCCACUUAUAUGGCCUCCUUACACAUAUACCCAUGCAUAUGUAGUGUAGUUCCUUGCUUGCGAGUACUUUGGAUGAGUACUCAAGGUUGCUUUCUCCCCCCUUUUCCCCCUUUCCUUUCUUUCUAGUUGUCACAACCAGAUGCUGGAGUCCAGGAGCCAGACGCCACCGUCGACGACGACCCCUACUACACCGGAGGUGCCUACUACUACGUGCUGCCCGCUGACGACGACCUGGAGUAGUUAGGAGGAUCCCAGGCAGGAGGCCCGCGCCUCUUUCGAUCUGUAUCCCAGUUUGUGCUAGCCUUCUUAAGGCACACUUGUUUAACUUAUGUCUGUACUCAGAUAUUGUUGCUUCCGCUGACUCGUCUAUGAUCGAGCACUUGUAUUCGAGCCCUCGAGGCCCCUGGCUUGUAUUAUGAUGCUUGUAUGACUUAUUUUAUUUGUAGAGUUGUGUUGUGAUAUCUUCCCGUGAGUCCCUGAUCUUGAUCGUACACAUUUGCGUGCAUGAUUAGUGUACGGUCAAAUCGGGGGCGUCACAAGUUGGUAUCAGAGCCGACUGCCUGUAGGAAUCCCCCUUCCAACUCCUUGGCCGAAGUCGAGUCUAAACUUUACAAAACUUUUACUAACAUGGCUGUGCGGCCCAUGGGCCCACGUCGCCAUUGGGUGGUAGUAGGAUCUUUUACUCCUCGACCUAUACUCUGGGACUCUUAUUUCUCUUCUAUUCGGGUUAAAUGAUUUUUGCUAAAAUCUAACAUUAGGAUCUCGUUAUCACUUUCACCCGGAGAGCCCCUUAUUAAUGAUGAUCGUCUGCGGCACGUGAAGACCCUGAAGAUACUCUCCGUUGUUAACCCGAGAACUUAUGUUCAUCGCAUUUGCAAUUCCCCUUCCACCGUCAACCCUUAUGGAUAACUACUUGCAGUUGUUAUUCUUACAUUCAUCCCCAGUUGGUCUUGUUAUUACCAGAUACCUCGAAACACUCGUCGUUGUCUCGAUAAUCCUUGAGAUUAUCACCUUGCUGUUCCUUGUCACCUGAAUACCCCUAUGGAUAAUUCUCGCACUUAUCGAGUAUCCGCUCAUCCCCCAGUUGUUCAUGUGUUUCACAAUGGUCUUCGAAAUACUAUUUGAUCCUCCAAAAAUCCUUAAUAGCUUAUUGCUCUGCAAUACUUGUCUGCUUGCAUUAUGGAUGCUUCCCAUUGGCAAUAUUCGUUAGUAUCCUUAGGCAUCGUCAUUUUGAUCCUAUUGAUUCAGCAUGUGUGCGAAUGCACACAAACAUCUAUCAACCCUUCUAAAUUACCCUUCCGGCUCAGACAUCAUUUUUGAACAUGAGCUGGUUCUGGACCAAACUAUUUGUCGUCAAUUGUGCCUCUGGUAUAUUCAACUUAUCCAUCCCUACUCAGAGCAUUGCUUCUGAUCCUUUGUUUUGGGGAUCGAAAUUCCUUUAUUAUCUAAGCAUCGAAUCCUUCCGAUGUUCUAUAAUAUGAUGCCCGUGCAUUCUUCUUCCUCUGGUUGAGUACCGAUGCUCACGUCAGAUCCCUUGUGGACCACCAGAUCCUUUGUUGGAUUUUAUCUGACAACGCCCUUCAUAUUCAAUAACCUUGUGAGCCUUUCCUCUGAUACAUAAUGCCUUUGGUAAAUUGUAUCCUCUGCUUUCUUAACCAUGCUCUGUCUUCGAGCUUGAGUUAAUUACUUCUAAAGAUUCUGGUAUAUGAUUAUAAGAUGCUCCGAUGGGUUGAACCUAUGCCCUCCUUAAUGGGUGAGAACUCGAAAGUUUUCACGAGUCAUACUCUUCUGGUGCUUCGCCAGAUAAAAUUUCAACCCUGCAACUUAAUCGAACGCGAGAAGUGGAUGAAAGGUUAUGCAUUGGAGAAGUGGGAGUCGACCUUGAACUUUGUGUUCAUGCCCAUGGACCCGAUGUACAUCUUCUCAUCGAAGCUUCUUUUAAAAUUAAUUAUUCCCUUGAUAUAAGUUCAUCUUAUAUCUGGGGUAUGGCCUUUUACAAUCGUGGUUCCGACCAUGUUCUCCUUUAAAUACCAUUUUUGGUGCAAGUGUAAGCACUUGUCUUCUGCAGAGCAAUACCCCAGUCCAACCUCUAUUUUGAUCUGUCGUCGAGUAUUACCCCCUGGUAUCUCGAGAUUAUCUUGGAACUGCAUAACUUCCUAUGAGUUCUUCAUCAAGUACUACAUACUCACUGAUUACAAUUUUUCAUGGGCUCUGAGUUAUUGAACACUCAAAGACAUCGAUAACUGAACCGAGUCCGCUCUACGGUUCAACCACUCUUCAGUAAGCUUCUAUAAGUACGAGUUUGUACCCGAUCAUGUCAUUCCUAGCCUGUUUGGCUAUAUCAUUGUCGUGAUGAUUUUAACUGUGCUACCCGGUCCUUCUUCUCGGAGCACAAUUUUCGACGAUGAAUUAAGCUUACGUCGAUUUUCCUCGUCAUUCCCUUUCACCUUAAACAACAAGCUUGAGUUCGAGUUUAUGCCAUAACCGUGGUUCCAUUAACCUCUUGCUUCAUCAUUACUUUGACUUGAUGUCGUCGCUGAUUGAUCACAUCGGCAUGGAAACUCUCGACACUUGUGUCGUGAUCAUCAUCAACCUUAUGAGCUCUUCCAGGAAUUCAGUUGAAUUCAUGAUGGGUAAUACCAUCCUUGCCCCUCGAUGAUUCCUGUUCUCAUCGACCACUUUAUUGCCUUCCGUUCAACACAACUUGUUCGUGUUUGGUGUAAACCUUGAGAUCACUGCUAACCAGCAGUCGAUCUUCCUUACCUCGGUAGUAUUACCAUCUCUUUUUGUCAAGAAUGUGGUGAGAAUUUCACCACCUCUUAAUAAUUCUUCAUAACAUAAUAUUUCUUGCCAUCUUCGUUCAUUCCUUGGUCCCCGUAUUGUUUUCAACCGGAAUACCGACAAUUGAGCUAUGACGUGUGAAUUCAAAACUUCUAACAACCCUAUUGCUUUGAAGUGAAUGGGCGAUAGUUCAUUCUAAGUCCUUCGCUAAUUGAAUCACCAUUCUGACAUUGGUCGUGCAACCCAACCCAUAUUUUGGGCGCACAUAUCAACCAAUGUUUAAUUGUGUAUGUUUUCCUCGAGCAUACUUCCUUAUAUCAUUUGAUCUGACAAAUGUUAUCUCCUUGUUCACUUAAUGGUGGAAAUCCAUCUUUUGGUAAUCUCGGUGAAUUGCUGUUGAGUUCACCAGACACCUCCUUGUCCUCUCCUUGGUUUAAUGAUGAACUAUUGCUUUAGAAACCCGCUCCCAUAGUUCAUUUCUCGAGGAUCUUGCAAUGUCAUUUCGACAAUUUGUGUUGCACCUUUUCCCUCUCGGACCCCCCCGAGUCUGAGGUUUCAUGACACCAACUGGAUAUGAAUCUCGGUCAGAUAUGAUGGUUGGGACAACUUUCCAAGAGUUAUAAUGUUGAUCCUCUGAUGACCCGGUAACAUGAUGUCAUGCCUAGCACCCCCCCCCCCGGCUGGAGGACCUAUCAUUAUAGAUUCCUUUUCAGCAAGGUUAUUCAUUCAUCCAUGAGGAAAUUGUAAGACUUAUUCUACAAGUUAUUCUUGAUGGAUCCUUCGUGUUUCCAAAGUUUGAUCUUCACCUGAAGACCAUGUCAAUUCUAUCUCGAAGCAUGUCAAUGGUACUCCGAUGUUUCAACAAGAACAUUUGAAGCACGAUGCUAAAUUUUGCUUAUCAUUUAUCCUAACACCGUUGUAUGGGUAAUAUCAUGAGAUUCCUCCCCCCUUACCUAAAUGGUUGUCUACCUUAUAUCCUGUCAUGGAUAUCUUGUUCUGUUUGUCCUUGGGAAGGAUAUACCCCUGAAAUAGGUGUAUAAACAUAUUUUCCAUUCCAUUGUUCUAUUUGAUCUGAUGAUCACCUUUUCCUUUCCAUUGUUUUGUUUAACCUUUCUUGUGAUCUAUAUGAUCUAAGCAAUAAUAUUCUCCUGCUUAUGUAAACACCUCGGUGUACAACUCUGUCAGUAAGACCCUGUUGAAAUUGUCGAUAGCAUUCCGGUCACCACCGAUGGACGAGAACUUUGCCUAUUGGUCCGCCUCGUUCAACGAGCAGGAAAAUGGUUCUCUUCGUCCCUCGCCCCUGGUACCGACAUUGUGCCGACAUAACUGAUAGGCUACCCUCUGACAUGCCUUGCUACCAUAAUCGUGCAAGAUGUCACCGCUCUUUUAACGUUUAACCCACAUGGUGGGCCCAUAACCCACAGUUCCACAGGAUCAAAACCUGACUCUCCUAUACACCCUAUUGUCGAAGUUAUUCCUCGCGCUUGGCUUCGUAUUUAAUUCACGGGCCACCUUCCUAAUGCUCUAUUCUGGUAUCAGAUGCAAUACUUACUCUCGCUGCUCUGAAACCCUUUCUCACUCUGGGUCAGACUUCGAGCAACUAUCUAUCCACUUGGAACCUCUUAUUGUACCUUCGUACCUUACUCUUGAUGUAUUCGAUAUGUUCGACUCAAGAGAUAAUCUUAUGCUCAUUCAUGGGUUAACCCCCAGAUUGUUUCCCUCAUAAGCAUUCUGUCGUAGCCGAGCUGCCCCCUUACCUAUUCGUAAGUACGUUGGAGUUCCCGAGAAAAGAACGACAUCACCAUGAUGACCUGAAGCAGAGAAGUGAAGACAACCAUGUAAUGGAUCGACCUCCUCGAGAAGAGUAGCCAAGACCAACAAGACCCGUUAGAAUUUCGCAACCUAAUCCCUUCCCCGCACUUCCCCUCUUAAAUCUCAGGACGAGAUUUCUUGUAGUGGAGGAGAAUUGUGACGCCCGGAUACUUAAGCUACAGUAAACCACUGUUAAUGAUGCCCCGUCAGCACAAUUACUGUUGCUAAUCUCGCGUUAGUUCGAAACUGAUUCAAAUUCAAAUUCAAAAUCAAAUCAAACGGUAAAAGUUUUCAAACUUUAAAACUAAAAUAUUCGAGUUGUGCCAAAUAAUGCAAAGUUAAUUGUGGUGAAGAAACCCCACUUUUAUAAAAUGUUUUAAUACCCUAAAAUGAUUAAAACAGUAGGUAAAACAAUUAAAUAAAUGCAUUUUGGGUUUUAUAAAAUACUAAACUAUUUUGUUCAGGGAUAAAACCUUUCGUGGCAGUAGUUAUAAUUAUAACUCUAUUUUAGCUAUGGGUUUCACUUUUUGUAAAAACUAUAAACUAUUAUAUAAGAAAAAUAAAACAGAACAGAAAAUAAAUAAAAGAAAGAAAAUACAAAAGAUAAAACAGAAAAACAAAAGACAAAAAAAAAUAAAGGAGAGAAGGCCACCCCCCCCACUGGGCCAGACGGCCCAGCCNNNNNNNNNNNNNNNNNNNNNNNNNNNNNNNNNNNNNNNNNNNNNNNNNNNNNNNNNNNNNNNNNNNNNNNNNNNNNNNNNNNNNNNNNNNNNNNNNNNNNNNNNNNNNNNNNNNNNNNNNNNNNNNNNNNNNNNNNNNNNNNNNNNNNNNNNNNNNNNNNNNNNNNNNNNNNNNNNNNNNNNNNNNNNNNNNNNNNNNNNNNNNNNNNNNNNNNNNNNNNNNNNNNNNNNNNNNNNNNNNNNNNNNNNNNNNNNNNNNNNNNNNNNNNNNNNNNNNNNNNNNNNNNNNNNNNNNNNNNNNNNNNNNNNNNNNNNNNNNNNNNNNNNNNNNNNNNNNNNNNNNNNNNNNNNNNNNNNNNNNNNNNNNNNNNNNNNNNNNNNNNNNNNNNNNNNNNNNNNNNNNNNNNNNNNNNNNNNNNNNNNNNNNNNNNNNNNNNNNNNNNNNNNNNNNNNNNNNNNNNNNNNNNNNNNNNNNNNNNNNNNNNNNNNNNNNNNNNNNNNNNNNNNNNNNNNNNNNNNNNNNNNNNNNNNNNNNNNNNNNNNNNNNNNNNNNNNNNNNNNNNNNNNNNNNNNNNNNNNNNNNNNNNNNNNNNNNNNNNNNNNNNNNNNNNNNNNNNNNNNNNNNNNNNNNNNNNNNNNNNNNNNNNNNNNNNNNNNNNNNNNNNNNNNNNNNNNNNNNNNNNNNNNNNNNNNNNNNNNNNNNNNNNNNNNNNNNNNNNNNNNNNNNNNNNNNNNNNNNNNNNNNNNNNNNNNNNNNNNNNNNNNNNNNNNNNNNNNNNNNNNNNNNNNNNNNNNNNNNNNNNNNNNNNNNNNNNNNNNNNNNNNNNNNNNNNNNNNNNNNNNNNNNNNNNNNNNNNAAAAAAACGAACGAAAUUGAAAAAUAGAAAUAAUUAUUUAAUUAAUUAGUAAUUUGAUUAAUUAAUUAAUUUGCUUAGUUAACUACCUAAUUAACUUUGAUUAAUUAGCCUAAUGAACAUAUUUAAUCUAAUUAAACCUGCUUAGUUAAACUAGUCUAUGACGAUGGGCCCCAUUGCCCUGUUUGACCAGUCAACGUUGACCCAGUCAACAGCUGACUAGACUGUUGACUUUGACUCUGACCCCACCUGUCAUACACUAUGGCUGGCACUGCACUUUGUGACAAUAGUUUUACUGAUUAAAUUUUGGAGUUAAAUAAAUCAAUAUAAUCAUAUAAAACUUUGGAAAUUCAUAUAAAAUAAUCCGUAACUCGGAUGAAAAUACUUUCUACAUGAAAGUUGCUCAGAACGACGAGACGAAUCCGGUUAUGCAGCCCGUUCGUUCGCCACACACCCCUAGCAUACCGAACACGCAACUUUCCCCCUCCGGUUCACCGGUCCGAAAACGUGGAACACCGGGAAUACUUUCCCGGAUGUUUUCCCCCUUCGUCGGUAUCACCUACUACCGCGUUAGGGCACACCGAACACCGCGUAUUGCCUUGAUAUAUUUUGUGGUGCUUUGUUUGCUUUGUAUUCAUUAUUUCUCCCCCCUCUUCUCUCUGGUAGACUACGAGACCGACGCUGCUGCUGACCAGUUCGACUACGGAGUUGACGACCCCUCUCUCUUGCCAGAGCAACCAGGCAAGCCCCCCCCCCCUUGAUCACCAGAUAUCGCCUAUUCUCCUCUAUACUGCUUGCAUUAGAGUAGUGUAGCAUGUUACUGCUUUCGUUAAUCCUAUUCUGAUGCAUAGCCUGACAUUGUCGCUACAUCUGUUGAUACCUUACCUGCAAUCCUAAAUGCUUAGUAUAGGAUGCUAGUUUAUCAUCAUUGGCCCUACAUUCUUGUCAGUCUGCCUUGCUAUACUAUCGGGCCGUGAUCACUUGGGAGGUGAUCACGGGUAUAUACUAUACAUACAUACAUACUAUACAGAUGGUGACUAAAGUCGGGUCAGCUCAUUGAGUACCCACAAGUGAUUCUGACGAGGGGGCUGAAAGGACAGGUGGCUCCAUCCCGGUAGAGGUGGGCCUGGGUUCCCGACGGCCCUCGACUGUUACUUUGUGGCGGAGCGACAGGGCAGGUUGAGACCACCUAGGAGACAGGUGGGCCUGGCCCUGUUCGGCGUUCGCGGAUACUUAACACGCUUAACGAGAUCUUGGUAUUUGAUCUAAGUCGGCUAUGAGCCUAUACGCACUAACCAUCUACGUGGGAGUAGUUAUGGGUAUCCCGACGUCGUGGUAUCAGCCGAAGCACUUCAGACGUCAGUGACGGAGCGGCGCGCGCCGGAUUGGAACGUAAGCCUGCUCUUGUAUUAAGGGGGCUAGUUCUGCUUCCGGCCGCCCUCGCAACGUGCAGGUGUGCUAUGGGCGAUGGGCCCAGACCCCUGUGCGCUUAGGUUUAGACCGGCGUGCUGGCCUCUCUGUUUUGCCUAGGUGGGGCUGCGACGUGUUGAUCUUUCGAGGCCGGGCAUGACCCAGGAAAGUGUGUCCGGCCAAAUGGGAUCGAGCGUGUUGGGUUAUGUGGUGCACCCCUGUAGGGAAGUUAAUCUAUUCGAAUAGCCGUGAUCUUCGGUAACAGGACGACUUGGAGUUGUACCUUGACCUUAUGACAACUAGAACCGGAUACUUAAUAAAACACACCCUUCAAAGUUCCACAGACAACCCGGUGAUCGCUUUUCCGCAGGGCGACGAGGAGAGGAUCGCCGGGUAGGUUUAUGCUAUGCGAUGCUACUUGGAGAUGCUACUUGGAGAUGCUACUUGGAGAUGCUACUUGGAGGACUUCAAUCUACUCUCUUCUACAUGCUGCGAGGCGGAGGCUGCCAGAAGCGUAGUCUUCGAUAGGAUUAGCUAUCCCCCUCUUAUUCUGGCAUUCUGCAGUUCAGUCCACUGAUAUGGCCUCCUUACACAUAUACCCAUGCAUAUGUAGUGUAGUUCCUUGCUUGCGAGUACUUUGGAUGAGUACUCACGGUUGCUUUCUCCCCCCUUUUCCCCCUUUCCUUUCUUUCUGGUUGUCGCAACUAGAUGCUGGAGUCCAGGAGCCAGACGCCACCGUCGACGACGACCCCUACUACACCGGAGGUGCCUACUACUACGUGCUGCCCGCUGACGACGACCUGGAGUAGUUAGGAGGAUCCCAGGCAGGAGGCCUGCGCCUCUUUCGAUCUGUAUCCCAGUUUGUGCUAGCCUUCUUAAGGCACACUUGUUUAACUUAUGUCUGUACUCAGAUAUUGUUGCUUCCGCUGACUCGUCUAUGAUCGAGCACUUGUAUUCGAGCCCUCGAGGCCCCUGGCUUGUAUUAUGAUGCUUGUAUGACUUAUUUUAUUUGUAGAGUUGUGUUGUGAUAUCUUCCCGUGAGUCCCUGAUCUUGAUCGUACACAUUUGCGUGCAUGAUUAGUGUACGGUCAAAUCGGGGGCGUCACAGUUUGAUAUUCCGUUUAUCUGAAACACUGAAAUAGGCAAAAAACAUCAAUUCUGGGUUGGGCCUCCGGUUAAUAGGUUAGUCCCAAAAAUAAUAUAAAAGUGGAAAAUAAAGCCCAACAUAGUCCAAAACAGUAGAUAAUAUAGCAUGGAGCAAUCAAAAAUUAUAGAUACGUUGGAGACGUAUCAGGCAUCCCCAAGCUUAAUUCCUGCUCGUCCUCGAGUAGGUAAAUGAUAAAAAGAGAAUUUUUGAUGUGGAGUGCUACUUGGCAUAAUUUCAAUGCAAAUCUUCUUAAUUGUGGUAUGAAUAUUCAGAUUAGAAAGAUUCAAGACAAAAGUUUAUAUUGACAUAAAAAUAAUAAUACUUCAAGCAUACUAACAAAGCAAUUAUGUCUUCUCAAAAUAACAUGGCCAAAGAAAGUUAUCCCUACAAAAUCAUAUAGUCUGGCUAUGCUCCAUCUUCACCACACAAAGUAUUUAAAUCAUGCACAACCCCGAUGACAAGCCAAGCAAUUGUUUCAUACUCUAACCUUUUCAAAACUUUUUCAAUCUUCACGCAAUACAUGAGCGUGAGCCAUGGAUAUAGCACUAUAUGUGGAAUAGAAUGGUGGUUGUGGAGAAGACAAAAAGGAGGGGAAGAUAGUCUCACAUCAACUAGGCGUAUCAAUGGGCUAUGGAGAUGCCCAUCAAUAGAUAUCGAUGUGAGUGAGUAGGGAUUGCCAUGCAACGGAUGCACUAGAGCUAUAAAUGUAUGAAAGCUCAACAAAAGAAACUAGUGGGUGUGCAUCCAACUUGCUUGCUCACGAAGACCUAGGGCAAUUUUGAGGAAGCCCAUCAUUGGAAUAUACAAGCCAAGUUCUAUAAUGAAAAAUUCCCACUAGUAUAUGAAAGUGACAACAUAUGAGACUCUCUAGGCGAGGAACAUGGUGCUACUUUGAAGCACAAUAUAUGAGACUCGCUAUAUCAUGGUGCUACUUUGAAGCACAAGUGUGGAAAAGGAUAGUAGCAUUGCCCCUUUUUAUUUUAUUUUUUAUUUUUUGGGCCUUCUCUUUUUUUCUUUGGCAUUUCUCUCUCUUUUUUAUUUGGGACAAUGCUAUAUUGAAUGAUGAUCAUCAUACUUUUAUUUAUUUACAACUCAAUGAUUACAACUUGAUUCUAAAACAAGGUAUGACUCUAUAUGAAUGCCUCCGGCGGUGUACCGGGAUAUGCAAUGAAUCAAGAGUGACAAGUAUGAAGAAAUUAUGAACGAUGGCUUUGCCACAAAUACUAUGUCAACUACAUGAUCAUGCUAAGCAAUAUGACAAUGAUGAAUGUGUCAUGAUGAACUAGAUGGUGGAAAGUUGCAUGGAAAUAUAUCUCGGAGUGGCUAUGGAAAUGCCAUAAUAGGUAGGUAUGGUGGCUGUUUUGAAGAAGGUAUAUGAUACCGGCGAAAGGUGCGCGGUAUUAGAGAGGCUAGCAAAGGUGGAAGGGUGAGAGUGCGUAUAAUCCAUGGACUCAACAUUAGUCAUAAAGAACUCAUAUACUUAUUGCAAAAAUCUAGAAGUUAUCAAAGCAAAGUAUUACGCGCAUGCUCCUAGGGGGAUAGAUUGGUAGGAAAAGACCAUCGCUCGUCCCCGACCGCCACUCAUAAGGAAGACAAUCAAUAAAUAAAUCAUGCUCCGACUUCAUUACAUAACGGUUCACCAUACGUGCAUGCUACGGGAAUCACAAACUUUAACACAAGUAUUCUUUAAAUUCACAACUACUCAACUAGUAUGACUUUAAUAUUAUCACCUCCAUAUCUCAAAACAAUUAUCACGCUUCAAUCUUUUCUUAGUAUUCAACACACUCAAAAGAAAGUUUCACAAAUCUUGAAUACCAAGCAUAUUAUUAUUAAGCAAAUUACCAUGCUAUUAAGAGACUCUCAAAAUAAUUUAAGUGAAGCAUGAGAGAUCAAUAGUUUCUUUAAAACAAAUCCACCACCGUGCUCUAAAAGAUCUAAGUGAAGCACAUAGAGAAAAAUUAUAACGCUCAAAAGAUAUAAGUGAAGCACAUAGAGAAAAAUUAUCUAGCUCAAAAGAUAUAAGUGAAGCACAUAGAGCAAAAUUACAACGCUCAAAAGAUAUAAGUGAAGCAUAUAGAGCAAAACUACUUAGCUCAAAAGAUAUAAGUGAAGCACAUAGAGUAUUCUAUCAAAUUUUAGUUCAUGUAUGGCUCUCUCAAAAGGUGUGUACAGCAAGGAUGAUUUUGGCAUACUAAGACACAAAGACAUAAAUAAUACAAGACGCUCCAAGCAAAACAAUAUCAUGUUGGUGAAUAAAAAUAUAGCUCCAAGUAAAUUACCGAUGGAAGUGGACGAAAAAGGGGAUGCCUUCCGGGGCAUCCCCAAGCUUUGACUUUUUGGUGUCCUUGGAUUAUCUUGGGGGUGCCAUGGGAAUCCCCAAGCUUAGGCUCUUUCCACUCCUUGUUCCAUGAUCCAUCAAAAGAAUUCACCCAAAACUUGAAAACUUCACAACACAAAACUCAAAAUAGAAAACUCGUGAGCUCCGUUAGUGAAAGAAAACAAAAGACCACUUCAAGGUACUGUAAUGAACUCAUUGUUUAUUUAUAUUGGUGUUAAACCUACUGUAUUCCAACUUCUCUAUGGAUUAUAAACUAUUUUACUAGCCAUAGAUUCAUCAAAAUAAGCAAACAACACACGAAAAACAGAAUCUGUCAAAAACAGAACAGUCUGUAGUAAUCUGUAGCUAGCGCAAGAGCUGGAACCCCAAAAAUUCUAAAAUAAAUUUCUGGACGCGAGUAAUUUAUCUAUUAAUCAUCUGAAAAAAGAAUUAACUAAAAGAACUCUUCAAAUAAAAAUGACAGCAGUUCUCGUGAGCGCUAAAGUUUCUGUUUUUUACAGCAAGUUCAACAAGACUUUCCCCAAGUCUUCCCAACGGUUCUACUUGGCACAAACACUAAUUAAACACAAAAAACCCAACCAAAACAUAUGCUAAAUAAUUUAUUUAUUACUAAGCAGGAGCAAAAAGCAAGGAAUAAAAAUAAAAUUGGGUUGCCUCCCAACAAGCGCUAUCGUUUAACGCCCCUAGCUAGGCAUAAAAGCGAGGAUAGAUCUAGGUAUUGCCAUCUUUGGUAGGCAAUCCAUAAGUGGCUCUCAUGAUAGUUUCAUAUGGUAAUUUUAUUUUAUUUCUUGGAAAGUGUUCCAUGCCCUUUUUUAAUGGAAAUUGAAAUCUAAUAUUCCCUUCCUUCAUAUCAAUAAUCGCACCAACCGUUCUAAGGAAAGGUCUACCAAGAAUAAUAGGGCAAGAAGGAUUGCAAUCUAUAUCAAGAACAAUGAAAUCUACGGGCACAUAAUUCCUAUUUGCAACAAUAAGAACAUCAUUAAUCCUUCCCAUAGGUUUCUUAAUAGUGGAAUCUGCAAGAUGCAAGUUUAGAGAGCAAUCAUCAAAAUUACGGAAAUCUAGCAAAUCACACAAAGUUUUGGGAAUAGUAGAGACACUAGCAUCCAAAUCACACAAAGCAUAGAACUCAUGAUCUUUAAUUUUAAUUUUAAUAGUUGGUUCCCACUCAUCAUAGAGUUUUCUAGGGAUAGAAACUUUCAACUCAAGUUUUUCUUCAUAAGAUUGCAUCAAGGCAUCAACAAUAUGUUUGGUGAAGGCUUUAUUUUGACUAUAAGCAUGUGGAGAAUUUAGCAUGGAUUGCAACAAGGAAAUACAAUCAAUUAAAGAGCAACUUUCAUAAUUAAAUUCCUUUAAAUCCAAUAUAGUGGGUUUAGCAACAUCUAGAUUUUUAUUUCUUUCAAUCCCACUUUCAUCAAUUUCAUCAUUAAGAUCUAAAUACUCCGAAUUUUUAGAACGCCUUCUAGGUAAAGGAAGAUCAUAUUCAGUUUCAUCAAGAUUCAUAUUGCAAAAAAAAGAUUUAAUAGGAGAUACAUCAAUAACUUUUAGAUCUUUAUCUUGAUUUUCAUAGGCAUUCGGUUUAGCGGCCAUCUUAUUGACUAAGGUGGCUUGCAUAUCCGAAAUUUCAGCAGUCAUCUUUUCUAGACGAGCAAUUUGGGAUCUUAUACAAUCAAAUUCUUUAGACAUAUCAUCAAGCUCUUUAUUCAUAUAACUCAUAAAACUUUUUUGUUCUUUAAGCUUGUUUCUAAAGAAAUUAUUAUGCUCAAAUUGCAAAACCAUAAACUUCCUAACGUUGUUUUCGAUCUCCUCCAACCUUUUAGGUGAAGAUCACCAAAUCUCGGUUGAGCCAUCGCGACAAACAAGCAAACUAGCACACAAGCAAACAAAAGCAAACGGGCAAAAAAAGCAAAUAGAGAGGGAGGAUAGAGAGAGAGGGGGCAAAUAAAACGGCAAGGGUGAAUUGGGGGAGAGGAAAACGAGAGGCAAAUGGCAAAUAAUGUAAUGCGAGAGAUAGGGAUUGUGAUGGGUACUUGGUAUGUUGACUUUUUGUGUAGACUCCCCGGCAGCGGCGCCAGAAAUCCUUCUUGCUACGUCUUGAGCUUGCGUUGGUUUUCCCCGAAGAGGAAGGGAUGAUGCAGUAGAGUAGGUAAGUAUUUCCCUCAGUUUUCGAGAACCAAGGUAUCAAUCCAGUAGGAGGCCAUGCUCAAGUCCCUUGUACCUGCACAAAGCGAUAGCUACUCGCAACCAACAUGAUUAGGGGUUGUCAAUCUGAAAGCACAAGUGCUCCCUGGGAUGGUUUUGGUAAUUAAUGUCAACAUAUCUCUUGUUGGACUAACACUUUUACCUAGUAUGUUUCAAAUAAGUUCAACAAUGGAGUGGCAUGGACUAGAGGAUGUGGAACCCCUUCAAGAUGCUAAGGACAAAGGAUUGGCUCAAGCUUCAAGAUCAAGACUCUACAUUUUCUAUUUUAGUGAUCCAAGACCACAUUGAGUCUAUAGGAAAAGCCAAUAAUAUCAAGAGGGGAUGAGGUGUUGCUUAAUUGCUUGCUUGCUCAAAGUGCUUAGUGAUAUGCUCCAAAACCCUCAACUACCUUCCCACAUCCACAUAUGACCUAAACCAAAAGUCAAACUCGGCCCCACCGAUUCUUUCUAUCCGGCGCCACCGAGUUUCAAAUGUCAUAGCCACUGCCACAAACCCUAGCAAAUCGGUCUCACCGAUAGGGAUCUCGGUCUCACCGAGAUGGGAUUGUAAUAUCUCUGUUUCCCUUAGUAACAUUUCGGUCUUACCGAGAUGAGCGAUCGGUCCCACCGAGAUUGCAAUGUAAACUCUCUGUUUCCCUUUUGUAACAUUUCGGUCUCACCGAGAUGAGCGAAUCGGUCCCACCGAGUUUACCUGACCAACUCUUUGGUUAGCUUAUUACCAAAAUCGGUCCCACCGAGUUUGUGUAAUCGGUCACACCGAGAUUACAUUAUGCCCUAACCCUAACCAUAUCGGUCCUACCGAGUUGCAUCUCAGUCCCACCGAAAAUCCUAACGGUCACUAGGUUUGCUAAAUCGGUCCGACCGAGUUUAACCAUUCGGUCCCACCAAGUUUGGCAAAUUGUGUGUAACGGUUAGAUUUUGUGUGGAGGCUAUAUAUACCCCUCCACCCACUCUUCAUUCAUGGAGAGAGCCAUCAGAACAUACCUACACUUCCUAUACACAUUUUCUGAGAGAGAACCACCUACACUUGUGUUGAGGUCAAGAUAUUCCAUUCCGACCAUAUGAAUCUUGAUCUCUAGCCUUCACCAAGUUGCUUUCCACUCAAAUCUUCUUUCCACCAAAUCCAAAUCCUGUGAGAGUUGAGUGUUGGGGAGACUAUCAUUUGAAGCACAAGAGCAAGGAGUUCAUCAUCAACAAACCAUUUGUUACUUCUUGGAGAGUGGUGUCUCCUAGAUUGGCUAGGUGUCACUUGGGAGCCUCCAACAAGAUUGUGGAGUUGAACCAAGGAGUUUGUAAGGGCAAGGAGAUCGCCUACUUCAUGAAGAUCUACCGCUAGUGAGGCAAGUCCUUCAUGGGCGACGACCAUGAUGGAAUAGACAAGGUUGCUUCUUCGUGGACCCUUCAUGGGUGGAGCCCUCCGUGGACUCGCGCGACCGUUACCCUCCGUGGGUUGAAGUCUCCAUCAACGUGGAUGUACGAUAGCACCACCUAUCGGAACCACGACAAAAACAUCCGUGUCUCCAAUUGCGUUUGAAUACUCCAAACCCUUGUCUUUACAUUCUUGCAAGUUGCAUGCUUUACUUUUUGCUGCUCAUAUACUCAUUGCAUGCUUGCUUGAUAUGUAUUGUGUUUGUUAAACUUGUGCUUAAACUCCACUUAAACUUAAGAAUAUUAAAAACUGCAACUUUUGGCACUUAGUGUCUAAUCACCCCCCUCUAGACACCUCUUCUUGUUCCUUUCAAUUGGUAUCAGAGCAUUGGUCUCCAUUGCCUUGGUUUAAACACCAUUGGGGGAAGAUGGAUGUGUCUACUUUGGGGAGUCUUAGACAUAGAGUGCCUAUUCUUGAUGGAGAGUAUUUUCAUGAGUGGAAAAAUGAAAUGCUUGAGAUUUUCAAUGAAUGUCAUUUGAACAAGUACAUUACUAGCCCUUGUGCACCUCAUGUUGAUCCUUUGCACCCUACCCUAGAUGAAGAUAUUGACAUGAUUCACAAUCUUAGAACUGUUGAGCUCAUCAUUAGAGGCUUGCCUAGAAACUUGAUUAGAUGUUUGCCUACUCUCAAGUGUGCCUACACCAUAUGGAGAUUUCUUGAGGAAUGAUUUCCAGAUUAUUCCUUGAAAAAUUUAGACGAAAUUCUCCAUAAGUCUAUUGCCUUGAGUAAGAUAAACUCUAGUGAUCCUAGCUUUGGUGAUUGUCUAUUUGAGUUUACCAAUCUCAUGCGUGCUAAAGGAAAUGUUGGAAUCAUUAGCGAUAUCAUAUCCGAAGCUAUUAGAAUUCAUAAAGGUAAACAUUGUGAUGAUCAUUUAUCUAAUGAAUUACCCUCUCUAGGAAUUGAUCAAUCACAAGAUGAUGUUGAACAUGGAUACUAUGAUGAAGAUGAUGAUAGUGACUAUGAUCUUGACGAUGCAAUGAGGCAUUUUGGUCUUAUGGCAAAUCUUCGCGGCUACAUGGCUGGAGGAAAGGAAUGGGUCCUUGAUAGUGGAUGUACUGAUCAUAUGACCAGAGAUAAAGAUAUGUUCCGUGAGCUUGCUGAAAACGACGGCCCUCGAAAAUAUGUCACUUUUGGUGAUAAUUCAAAGGGUAAGGUGGUUGGCCUUGGUAAGGUGGCCAUCUCACAUGAUAGCUCCAUACAAAAUGUCAUGCUCGUUGAAUCCCUUGGAUACAAUUUACUUUCAGUUUCUAGACUUGCGGAUUUCGGUUUCAAUGUCCUAUUCACUGAAGUAGAUUGCCAAGUGUUUCGUAGAGACAAUCAUAAAAUGGUCUUUACCGGUAUACGUAGAGGAGAUCUUUACAUUGUUGAUUUCACUAAAAAGGCUCAACCUAGAACUUGCUUAAUUACCAAAUCUUCUAAAGGCUGGUUGUGGCAUAGAAGACUAGGUCAUGUUGGUAUGCGAAAUCUUGAUAAGCUUAUUAAAGGUGAUCAUAUCCUUGGAAUAAAAGAUGUCAUAUUUGACAAGGAUAGACUUUGUAGUGCUUGUCAAGCAAGGAAACAAGUUGGAGGAAGUCACCACGCAAAGAACAUCAUGACCACAAGAAGACCACUCGAGCUACUUCACAUGGAUCUCUUUGGUCCACAUGCCUACAAGAGUCUCGGUGGUAACUCAUUUGGUCUAGUCAUAGUUGAUGAUUUUUCAAGAUUUACGUGGGUGUUCUUUCUUGAUGACAAAUCACAGGUCCAAAAGAUCUUCAAAAACUUUGCUAGGAAGGCCCAAAAUCAGUUUGACGUGAAGAUCAAGAAGGUUCGGAGCGACAUAGAAUGGAGUUCAAGAACGCAAAUGUGGACACCUUUCUUGACGAAGAAGGGAUUUCACACGAGUUCUCGGCUACAUACACACCUCAACAAAAUGGAGUUGUUGAAAGGAAGAACCGGACUCUUAUCGAGAUGGCAAGAAUGAUGCUUGAUGAGUACAAAACGCCAAAGCACUUUUGGGGGGAAGCGGUUGAGAUAGCUUGUCAUGCAACAAAUCGCUUGUAUCUUCACAAGCUACUCGGCAAGACGACAUACGAGCUCCUCACCGGUAACAAACCCCAAGUUGGAUACUUUCGAGUAUUCGGCUCAAAGUGCUACAUUCUUGAUAAGCAUCGUCAUUCUAAAUUUGCUCCUAAAUCUUAUGAAGGUUUCCUACUUGGUUAUGGCUCAAACUCUCACACUUACCGUGUCUACAACAAUUUCACCCGAAAGGUUGAAGAGAUGGUAGAUGUGAAGUUUGAUGAAUCUAACGGCUCGCAAGUAGAGCAAUUGCCAAUUGAUGUAGGAGGCAAAGACCCUUCGGAAGCAAUUCAAGACUUGUCCAUUGGAAAGAUUCGUCCAAAGGAAGUGAAGGAGAGUACCUCGUCCGUCCAAGUGGAAGCUUCUACCUCACGAUAAGGUGAACCAAGAGUUGAUACGGAAGCAUCCACAAGUGGGACACGCCAAGAUGAAAAAAACGAGGAAGCGCACCAAGAUGAACAUCAACAACCUCCUUCUCCACCAUGACAAGAGAACGACAACAUCAACAAUGAAGAAGGCCAAGAAGAAGCACAAGAUGAAGAGGAUGUUUCACCCCGACCCAAGCAAAAGAUUUCAUGAGUUCGAGCAAGAAUUGCUAAGGAUCAUCCCGUCGAGCAAAUCUAUAAUGAUAUCCAAACCGGGAGAAUCACUCGCUCUAAAACUCAUUUAGCUAACUUUUGUGAACAUUACUCAUUCAUCUGUAGCAUUGAACCUAUGAAGGUUGAAGAAGCAUUGGAGGAUCCGGACUGGAUAAACGCUAUGCAUGAAGAGCUACACAACUUUGAGAGAAAUCAAGUGUGGACAUUGGUCGAGAAGCCCGACAACAACCACAACAUCAUUGGUACCAAAUGGGUGUUUCGCAACAAGCAAGAUGAAGAUGGACAAGUGGUUCGCAACAAAUCACGUCUCGUCGCCCAAGGCUACACACAAGUUGAAGGUAUGGACUAUGGUGAGACAUAUGCUCCCGUUGCUAGACUUGAGUCCAUUCGCAUCUUACUUGCUUAUGCUAAUCACCAUGAUAUCACCUUGUACCAAAUGGACAUUAAAAGUGCUUUUCUAAAUGGCAAAAUUAAGGAAGAAGUUUAUGUUAAGCAACCUCCCGGCUUCGUCAAUCCUAAGAAACCUAAUCAUGUUUACAAACUUCACAAAGCCCUUUAUGGUCUUAAACAAGCUCCUAGAGCAUGGUAUAAAUGCUUGACCAAGUUCCUUAUUGAAAAAGGCUUUGAAAUUGGUAAAAUUGAUUCUACUCUUUUUACUAAAAGGGUUAAUGGAGAACUAUUUGUGUGCCAAAUUUAUGUUGAUGAUAUCAUAUUUGGUUCAACUAACCCUCAUUUUAGUGAGAAGUUUGGAAAGCUAAUGCCGGAGAAGUUUGAGAUGUCUAUGAUGAGUGAACUCAAAUUCUUUCUCGGUUUGCAAAUCAAGCAAACUAAGGAAGGUACCUUUGUCUCUCAAACGAAGUACACCAAUGACUUAUUCAAGAAGUUCAAUAUGCAAGAAUGCAAAGGUAUGACUACACCCAUGCCUACUAGUGGACAUCUUGAUUUAACCAAAGAUGGUGAACCGGUUGAUCAAAAGGUUUAUCGCUCUAUGAUUGGUUCAUUGUUAUAUCUAUGUGCCUCUCGUCCCGAUAUUAUGCUAAGUGUGUGCAUGUGUGCACGAUAUCAAGUUGCUCCUAAAGAGUGUCAUCUUAAGGCUAUGAAAAGGAUAGUGAGAUACCUAAUCCAUUCACCAGAUUUUGGCAUUUGGUAUCCCAAGAGGUCCUCUUUUGAUCUUGUUCGCUACUCCGAUUCGGACUAUGCCAGAGACAAGGUUGAUAUAAAAUCCACUUCAGGUACUUGUCAAUUCCUUGGUAGAUCUCUUGUGUCUUGGUCUUCCAAGAAACAAAACUCGUAUCCUUAUCCACCGCCGAAGCGGAAUACAUUGCCGUUGGUUCAUGUUGUGCUCAAAUACUUUGGAUGACCCAAACUCUUAAAGAUUAUGGGAUAUAUGUGAAACAUGUUCCAUUGCUAUGUGACAAUGAAAGUGCUAUUAAGAUUGCUCACAAUCCCAUGCAACAUUCUCGAACUAAGUAUAUUGAAGUUCGUCAUCAUUUCAUUCGAGAUCAUGUUGCAAAAGGGGACAUUAGCCUUAAGCACGUUCACACCGAUAAGCAACUGGCAGAUAUAUUCACUAAACCACUUGAUGAGAAAGUGUUUUGCAGGUUGAGAGGUGAAUUGAACAUCAUUGAUGCUUCAAACUUGGAGUAGGAACUCCAUUUGAUACAUGCGGGGCAUGAGCCUAUGACUAAUCCUCGAUAUUUCUCUUAUGAUGCUAUUCAUAUGUCUUGGAUAUAUUUGUACCUUGCAUGUUAUCUAACCCGUGUAGGUACUUGGUUGAAUCUAAAUCUAUGAGAUUGCAACUCACUCACAUCUUGAGCAAUCUCUACAUCACCAAGUCUCUACACAAUGGUGGUUGAAGACAAGGAAGCACGAAACCAUUCAAACAUAUCCUUUGGAAAAUUCUAUGUUGAGUCUCAUGAUUGUCAUUUUGGAUACACAAGUGCUCUUCCUUGCAAAGCUAACCCAUGUAGGUACAUGAACUCAAACUCCAAGUAGUGCUCCCAAUCCUUGAUGAACUACAUCAACCUUGACCAACCCGCACAAGUUCAACUACAUGAGCAAGAUCAACACCACCACCCAAGGUAUGUUAUUCCAUCUUAGAGAAGCUUUACUCCAAGUCAUGAGUCAAAGCAACUCGACAAGAUGUGAAUACAUCAAAAGGCUUAAACGAAAAAUGGUAACCCCAUUUUGAGCUUAAACGAUGAGUAUGACCUAUGAUGAAGUGCUCUCACUUGACUCCUAAGUCAAUAUACUCUAACAUAGGUGACUUUGUCGCCGACCAUCUCUAGAUGAAGUUCUCGUGUGUCUCUCCGUGCUUUUGUCUCUUGCAUAUUUGUUUCCCUUUUCAAAAAAAACUUCAUCUAGAACUUUUAGUUUCUUUUCUUUCCUUUUUGUUCUGCAUUUUCUGCAUCCAAUUCAUUGCAAAUCUUUCAGUAAAUUCCUUGCAUAUCCUUGUGAGAUCUUACUUUUCUAGUGAACUGAGGUGACAAGUGGUUUCACUCUGAUGAACUCGGUCACACCGGUUUGUUCUCUUCGGCCCAACCGAAAUCUUUCGGUGCAACCGAAGCACACAACUCGGAGUCACCGAUCCAUCACAGGAAAACCAACUUGCCACUUAUUCCUGAUUUCUGUUUGCUCCAGGUCCACUCAAUGAUUCUUGUCCUCUACCAGCAUCAUAUUAGACAUGCUGCUUUGCUCUGUGACUCAAGGACCAACCCAUUUGUAUCACAUGUCCAGAAGAGCCCUUCUUGGAAAUUGAUGUCAAAGGGGGGGAGAGAGAUCACAUCAAAGCUUAAUCAUUCCUAUAGGGGGAGAAAGAGAGAAUACUCAGGGGGAGAGAGUUUCUCAACUAGGAGAAAGUAAAAUCAUCAAAGACCCCAGAUGCUUGGUGUUCAAGAGGAGAGAUGUCACAUGUCUUUAAGAGGGGAAAGACAUGUUUGGUUGCUUGCUUUAGCUCAAGCUCUGUUGUUUCCUUUUUGUUGCUCUGAUUUUCUGUUCCCUAUCUUCUCCCAAUAUCCCAUGCAGAUUCAGGGGGAGCAAGACAUCUAAGGGAAGGAAAUCUCUGAUUUUAUUGCAUAUCUUUACCUUUGGGGACAUGUCUAUAUCCAAUGUGGUACUUAGUACUCACUCUACAUGUCAUCCCAGUCUUGGUUCUCUUGUGGUUUCUCUUGCUUGCUCUGGUCAGUAGGUGUAUCUGUGUUAUUUAACCUUGUUUGCGCAGGUUCAUCCCAUCCUAAGCCAACUCAAGACCACAAGGUAAGUAUAUGCAUCACAGUCAUGUGAAUGAGAAGUUCUUGCUGAUGUACAUACUGUUUGCAAGAAGGACUCAUGAGCAUGAAGGUACAUUUCUCACAUUCACAUCAUUUGCUCUGAUGCAUAUAGCCAAGAUACAUGUAACACAUUGCUUACUCUGUCAUGUUUACGCAUUCACAUGCUCCUAUAUUCAAUAUUCACAUGAUUGCAUACAUGUAGGGGGAGCCUAUGCAUGUUACAUGUCUUUCCAAAGCUUUACUUGCUAUUCUCUAUAUCUUUAUCUAAAGCUUUGAUGUAUGUUGUCAUCAAUUACCAAAAAGGGGGAGAUUGAAAGCACAAGUGCUCCCUGGGUGGUUUUGGUAAUUAAUGUCAACAUAUCUCUUGUUGGACUAACACUUUUACCUAGUAUGUUUCAGAUAAGUUCAACAAUGGAGUGGCAUGGACUAGAGGAUGUGGAACCCCUUCAAGAUGCUAAGGACAAAGGAUUGGCUCAAGCUUCAAGAUCAAGACUCUACAUUUUCUAUUUUAGUGAUCUAAGAUCACAUUGAGUCUAUAGGAAAAGCCAAUACUAUCAAGAGGGGAUGAGGUGUUGCUUAAUGGCUUGCUUGCUCAAAGUGCUUAGUGAUAUGCUCCAAAACCCUCAACUACCUUCCCACAUCCACAUAUGACCUAAACCAAAAGUCAAACUCGGCCCCACCGAUUCUUUCUAUCCGGCGCCACCGAGUUUCAAAUGUCAUAGCCACUGCCACAAACCCUAGCAAAUUGGUCUCACCAAUAGGGAUCUCGGUCUCACCGAGAUGGGAUUGUAAUCUCUCUGUUUCCCUUCGUAACGUUUCGGUCUUACUGAGAUGAGCGAUCGGUCCCACCGAGAUUGCAAUGUAAACUCUCUGUUUCCCUUUUGUAACAUUUCAAUCUCACCGAGAUGAGCGAAUCGGUCCCACCGAGUUUACCUGACCAACUCUCUGGUUAGCUUAUUACCAAAAUCGGUCCCACCGAGUUUGUGUAAUCGGUCACACCGAGAUUACGUUAUGGCCUAACCCUAACCAUAUCAUUCCUACUGAGUUGCAUCUCAGUCCCACCGAAAAUCCUAACGGUCACUAGGUUUGCUGAAUCAGUCCGACCGAGUUUAACCAUUCGGUCCCACCGAGUUUGGCAAAUUGUGUGUAACGGUUAGAUUUUGUGUGGAGGCUAUAUAUACCCCUCCACCCACUCUUCAUUCAUGGAGAGAGCCAUCAGAACAUACCUACGCUUCCUAUACACAUUUUCUAAGAGAGAACCACCUACACUUGUGUUGAGGUCAAGAUAUUCCAUUCCAACCAUAUGAAUCUUGAUCUCUAGCCUUCCCCAAGUUGCUUUCCACUCAAAUCUUCUUUCCACCAAAUCCAAAUCCUGUGAGAGAGAGAGAGAGUUGAGUGUUGGGGAUACUAUCAUUUGAAGCACAAGAGAAAGGAGUUCAUCAUCAACACACCAUUUGUUACUUCUUGGAGAGUGGUGUCUCCUAGAUUGGCUAGGUGUCACUUGGGAGCCUCCAACAAGAUUGUGGAGUUGAACCAAGGAGUUUGUAAGGGCAAGGAGAUCGCCUACUUCGUGAAGAUCUACCGCUAGUGAGGCAAGUCCUUCGUGGGCGACGGCCGUGAUGGAAUAGACAAGGUUGCUUCUUCGUGGACCCUUCGUGGGUGGAGCCCUCCAUGGACUCGCGCGACCGUUACCCUCCGUGGGUUGAAGUCUCCAUCAACGUGGAUGUACGGUAGCACCACCUAUCGGAACCACGACAAAAACAUCCGUGUCUCCAAUUGCGUUUGAAUACUCCAAACCCUUCUCUUUACAUUCUUGCAAGUUGCAUGCUUUACUUUUCGCAGCUCAUAUACUCAUUGCAUGCUUGCUUGAUAUGUAUUGUGUUUGUUAAACUUGUGCUUAAACUCCACUUAAACUUAAGAAUAUUAAAAACUGCAACUUUUGGCACUUAGUGUCUAAUCACCCCCCUCUAGACACCUCUUCUCGAUCCUUUCACAAUCCCUUCACGGUCACUUACGAGAGUGAGAUAUGAUAAAUAUAAUAUUUUUGGUAUUUUUGGUAUAAAGAUGCAAAGUAAAAAGUAAAAGCAAAGCAAGAUUAAAGUGAUGGAGAUUGAUAUGAUGAGAAUAGACCCGGGGGCCAUAGGUUUCACUAGUGGCUUCUCUCAAGAGCAUAAGUAUUCUACGGUGGGUGAACAAAUUACUGUUGAGCAAUUGACAUAAUUGAGCAUAGUUAUGAGAAUAUCUAGGCAUGAUCAUGUAUAUAGGCAUCACGUCCGUGACAAGUAGAUCGAAACGAUUCUGCAUCUACUACUAUUACUCCACUCAUCGACCGCUAUCCAGCAUGCAUCUAGAGUAUUAAGUGAAAAACAGAGUAACGCCUUAAGCAAGAUGACAUGAUGUAGAGAGAUAAAUUCAUGCAAUAUGAAAUAAAACCCAUCUUGUUAUCCUCGAUGGCAACGAUACAAUACGUGCCUUGCUGCCCCUUCUGUCACUGGGUAAGGACACCGCAAGAUCGAACCCAAAGCUAAGCACUUCUCCCAUGGCAAGAACUACCAAUCUAGUUGGCCAAACCAAACGGAUAAUUCGAAGAGACUUGCAAAGAUAACCAAUCAUACAUAAAAGAAUUCAGAGAAGAUUCAAAUAUUAUUCAUAGAUAGACUUGAUCAUAAACCCACAAUUCAUCAGUCUCAACAAACACACCGCAAAAAGAAGAUUACAUUGAAUAGAUCUCCACAAGAGAGGGGGAGAACUUUGUAUUGAGAUUCAAAGAGAGAGAAGAAGCCAUCUAGGUACUAACUAUGGACCCGAAGGUCUUAGGUAAACUACUCACACUUCAUCAGAGAGGCUAUGAUGAUGUAGAAGCCCCCCGUGAUGACGGCCCUCUUCUGGCGGAGCUCCGGAACAGGCCCCAAGAUGGGAUCUCGUGGAUAUAGAAAGUUGCGGCGGUGGAAUUAGGUUUUUGGCUCCUAUUCUGAUCGUUUGGGGGUACGUGUGUAUAUAUAGGAGGAAGAAGUACGCCGGAGGAGCAACAAGGGGCCCACGAGGCAGGGGGCGCGCCCUGGGGGGGCACCCUCGUGACCGCCUCUUUUGUUCCUUGGAGCUGGGUCCAAGUCUCCUGGAUCACGUUCGGUGAGAAAAUCACGUUCCCGAAGAUUUUAUUCCGUUUGGACUCCGUUUGAUAUUCCGUUUAUGUGAAACACUAAAAUAGGCAAAAAAACAACAAUUUUGGGCUGGGCCUCCGGUUAAUAGGUUAGUCCCAAAAAUAAUAUAAAAGUGGAAAAUAAAGCCCAAUAUAGUCCAAAACAGUAGAUAAUAUAGCAUGGAGCAAUCAAAAAUUAUAGAUACGUUGGAGACGUAUCACCGACCGCUUGGAGAUUACGGCGGCCCCGCAGUCGGACAUCUCCCCGGCCCUCGGCCCCAGCUGCUUCAAAGAGAAGAAGUGCACCCAGAGAUCGAUGGAGGGCUCGACCCCCAGGUACCCCCGUAGAGGGUGACGAAGCCUGAAAGCUGCACAAUGGCGCCCGCGCCAAGAUGAUGGGGCUGGAGCCGUGAUGUCUACUACACAACCUUCUUCUUGUAGAUGUUGUUGGGCCUCCAAGUGUAGAGGUUUGUAGGACAGUAGCAAAUUUCCAUCAAGUGGAUGACCUAAGGUUUAUCAAUCCGUGGGAGGUGUAGGAUGAAGAUGGUCUCUCUCAAACAACACUGCAACCAAAUAACAAAGAGUCUCUUGUGUCCCCAACACACCCAAUACAAUGGUAAAUUGUAUAGGUGCACUAGUUCAGCGAAGAGAUGGUGAUACAAGUGCAAUAUGGAUGGUAGAUAUAGGUUUUUGUAAUCCAAAAAUAUAAAAACAGCAAGGUAGCUAAUGAUAAAAGUGAUCGUAAAUGGUAUUGCAAUACUAGGAAACAAGGCCUAGGGUUCAUACUUUCACUAGUGCAAGUUCUCUCAACAAUAAUAACAUAAUUGGAUCAUAUAACUAUCCCUCAACAUGCAACAAAGAGUCACUCCAAAGUCACUAAUAGCGGAGAACAAACGAAGAGAUUAUUGUAGGGUACGAAACCACCUCAAAGUUAUUCUUUCUGAUCGAUCUAUUCAAGAGUCCGUAGUAAAAUAACACGAAGCUAUUCUUUCCGUUCAAUCUAUCAUAGAGUUCGUACUAGACUAACAUCUUAAGAAACAAAUCAACCAAAACCCUAAUGUCACCUAGAUACUCCAAUGUCACCUCAAGUAUCUGUGGGUAUGAUUAUACGAUAUGCAUCACACAAUCUCAGAUUCAUCUAUUCAACCAACACAAAGAACUUCAGAGAGUGCCCCAAAGUUUCUACCGGAGAGUCAAGACGAAAACAUGUGCCAACCCCUAUGCAUAAGUUCACGAGGUCACGGAACUCGCAAGUUGAUCACCAAAACAUACAUCAAAUGGAUCACGUGAUAUCCCAUUGUCACCACAGAUAAGCACAUGCAAGACAUACACCAAGUGUUCUCAAAUCCUUAAAGACUCAAUCUGAUAAGAUAACUUCAAAGGGAAAACUCAAUCCAUCACAAGAGAGUAGAGGGGGAGAAACAUCAUAAGAUCCAACUAUAAUAGCAAAGCUCGAGAUACAUCAAGAUCGUGCCGAAUCAAGAACACGAGAGAGAGAGAGAUCAAACACAUAGCUACUGGUACAUGCCCUUAGCCCCAAGGGUGAACUACUCCCUCCUCAUCAUGGAGAGCGCCGGGAUGAUGAAGAUGUCCACUGGAGAGGGAUUCCCCCCUCCGACAGGGUGCCGGAAUGGGUCUAGAUUGGUUUUUGGUGGCUACGGAGGCUUGUGGCGACGAAACUCCCGAUCUAGGUUAUGUUCUGGAGGUUUCAGUAUAUAUAAGAGGUUUUGGCGUCGAGAACAAGUCAGGGGGGUCUCCGGGCUGUCCACGAGGUAGGGAGGCACGUCUAGGGGGGUGGGCGCGCCCCCCACCCUCGUGGGCAACCCGGGACUCUUCUGGCCCAACUCUUUUACUCCAUGUCCUUCUUCUGGUCCAAAAAUAAGUUCCAUGAAGUUUCAGGUCAAUUGGACUCCGUUUGGUUUUCCUUUUCUGCGAUACUGAAAAACAAGGAAAAAACAGAAACUGGCACUGGGCUCUACGUUAAUAGGUUAGUCCCAAAAAUCAUAUAAAAUAGCAUAUAAAUGCAUAUAAAACAUCCAAGGUUGAUAAUAUAAUAGCAUGGAACAAUAAAAAAUUAUAGAUACGUUGGAGACGUAUCAAGCAUCCCCAAGCUUAAUUCCUGCUCGUCCUCGAGUAGGUAAAUGAUAAAAACAGAAUUUUUGAUGUGGAAUGCUACCUAACAUAUUUAUCUAUGUAAUUCUCUUUAUUGUGGCAAGAAUAUUCAGAUCCAUAAGAUUCAGGACAAAAGUUUAAUAUUGACAUAAAAAUAAUAAUACUUCAAGCAUACUAACUAAGUAGUCAUGUCUUCUCAAAAUAACAUGGCCAAAGAAAGCUUAUCCCUACAAAAUCAUAUUGUUUGGCUAUGCUUCAUUUUGGUCACACAAAAAUGCCCCCAUCAUGCACAACCCCGAUGACAAGCCAAGCAAUUGUUUCAUACUUUAGUAAUCUCAAACUUUUUUCAACUUUCACGCAAUACAUGAGCGUGAGCCAUGGAUAUAGCACUAUGGGUGGAAUAGAGUAUAAUGAUGGAGGUUGUGUGGAGAAGAGAAAAAGGGAGAAAGUCUCACAUUGACGCGGCUAAUCAACGGGCUAUGGAGAUGCCCAUAAAUUGAUGUCAAUGCGAGGAGUAGGGAUUGCCAUGCAACGGAUGCACUAGAGCUAUAAAUGUAUGAAAUCUCAACAAAAGAAACUAAGUGUGUGUGCAUCCAACUUGCUUGCUCACGAAGACCUAGGGCAUUUGAGGAAGCCCAUUGUUGGAAUAUACAACUAAGUUCUAUAAUGAAAAAUUCCCACUAGUAUAUGAAAGUGACAAAACAAGAGACUCUCUAUCAUGAAGAUCAUGGUGCUACUUUGAAGCACAAGUGUGGAAAAAAGAUAGUAGAACUGUCCCUUCUUAUUUUAUAUAUUUUUUCUUUUUUUAUUUGGCAUUUCUUUUUUUAUUUUUUAUUUGGCCUUUCCUUUUUUGGCCUUUUUUUCUGGGACAAUGCUCUAUUAAUGAUGAUCAUCACACUUCUAUUUAUUUACAACUCAAAGAUUACAACUUGAUACUAGAACAAAAUAUGACUCUAUAUGCAUGCCUCCGACGGUGUACCAGAAUGGGCAAUGAAUCGAGAGUGACAUGUAUGAUAAAUUAUGCAUGGUGGCCUUGCCACAAAUACGAUUUCAACUACAUGAUCAUGCAAGGCAAUAUGACAAUGAUGAUGUGUGUCAUGAUGAACGGAACGGUGGAGAGUUGCAUGGCAAUAUAUCUCGGAAUGGCUAUGGAAAUGCCAUAAUAUGUAGGUAUGGUGGUUGUUUUGAGGAAGAUAUAAGGAGGUUUAUGUGUGACAGAGUGUAUCAUAUCACGGGGUUUGGAUGCACCGGCGAAGUUUGCACCAACUCUCGAGGUGAGAAAGGGCAAUGCACGGUACCGAAGAGGCUAGCAAUGAUGGAAGGGUGAGAGUGCAUAUAAUCCAUGGACUCAACAUUAGUCAUAAAGAACUCACAUACUUAUUGCAAAAAUCUACAAGUCAUCAAAAACCAAGCACUACACGCAUGCUCCUAGGGGGAUAGAUUGGUAGUAAAAGACCAUCGCUCGUCCCCGACCGCCACUCAUAAGGAAGGCAAUCAAAGAAACACCGCAUGCUUCAAAUUUGUCACACAACGGUUAUCAUACAUGCAUGCUACGGGACUAGGAAACCUCAACAAAAGUAUUUAUCAAAUUCAGAGUUACUCAACUAGCAUGACUCUAAUAUUGCCAUCUUCAUAUCUCAAAAUAAUUACCAAGUAUCAAAGUUCUCAUAGUAUUCAAUGCACUUAUAUGAAAGUUUUUAUUAUAUCCCUCUCGGAUGUCUAACAUAUUAGGACUAAAUUCAUAACCAAUGCAAACUACCAUGCUGUUUAGAGACUCUCAAAAUGAUACAAGUGAAGCAUGAGAGUUCAUCUAUUUCUUCAAAAUAAAACCACCGCCGUGCUCUAAAAGGAUAUAAGUGAAGCACUAGAGCAAAUGACAAACUACUCCAAAAGAUAUAAGUGAAGAUCAAUGAGUAGUCGAAUAAUUAUGCAACUAUGUGAAGAAUCUCUAACAUUUAAUAAUUUCAGAUCUUGGUAUUUUAUUCAAACAUCAAGCAAAACAAAAUAAAAUAAAACAACGCUCCAAGCAAAACACAUAUCAUGUGGUGAAUAAAAAUAUAGCCUCAAGUAAAGUUACCGAUGAACGAAGACGAAAGAGGGGAUGCCAUCCGGGGCAUCCCCAAGCUUAGGCUCUUGGUUGUCCUUGAAUAUUACCUUGGGGUGCCUUGGGCAUCCCCAAUCUUAGGCUCUUGCCACUCCUUAUUCCAUAUUCCAUUGAAUCUUUACCCAAAACUUGAAAAUUUCACAACACAAAACUUAACAAAAAACUUGUAAGCUCUGUUAGUAUAAGAAAAUAAAUCACCACUUAGGUACUGUUGUGAACUCUUUCUAAAUUCAUAUUGGUGUAAUAUCUACUGUAUUCCAACUUCUCUAUGGUUCAUACCCUCCGAUACUACUCAUAGAUUCAUCAAAAUAAGCAAACAACACAUAGAAAACAGAAUCUGUCAAAAACAGAACAGUCGGUAGUAAUCUGUAUCAAACGUAUACUUAUGGAACUCAAAAAAUUCUUAAAUAAAUUGGUGGACGUGAGGAAUUUGUCUAUUAAUCAUCUUCAAAAAGAAUCAACCUAAUCGCACUCUCCAGUAAAAAAUGGCAGCAAAUCUCGUGAGCGCUAAAGUUUCUAUUUUUUACAGCAAGAUCACAAAGACUUCACCCAAGUCUUCCCAAAGGUUCUACUUGGCACAAACACUAAUUAAAACAUAAAACUACAUCUAAACAGAGUCUAGAUUAAUUAUUUAUUAUUAAACAGGAGCAAAAAGAAAAGAACAAAAAUAAGAUUGGGUUGCCUCCCAACAAGCGCUAUCGUUUAACGCCCCUAGCUAGGCAUGAUGAUUUCAAUGAUGCUCACAUAAAAGAUAAGAAUUGUAACAUAAAGAGAGCAUCAUGAAGAAUAUGACUAUCACAUUUAAGCCUAACCCACUUCCUAUGCAUAGGGAUUUUGUGAGAAAACAACUUAUGGGAACAAUAAUAAACUUGCAUAGGAAGGUAAAACAAGCAAAUCUUCAAGAUUUUCAACACAUAGAGAGGAAACUUGAUACUAUUGCAAUUCCUACAAGCAUAUAUUCCUACCUCAUAAUAAUUUUCAGUAGCAUUAUGAAUGAAUUCAACAAUAUAGCUAUGACAUAAAGCAUUAUUUUCAUGAUGCAUAAGCAUAGAAAUUUUAUUACUCUCCACAUAAGCAAAUUUAUUGUCAUGGAUAAUAGUGGGAGCAAACUCAACAAAAUAACUAUCAUGUGAGGCAUAAUCCAAUUGAAAAUUAAAAUCAAGAUGACAAGUUUCAUGGUUAUCACUAUUCUUUAUAGCAUACAUGUCAUCACAAUAAUCAUCAUAGAUAGCAACUUUGUUCACAUAAUCAAUUGGAACCUCUUCCGAAAUAGUGGAUUCAUCACUAAAUAACGUCAUGACCUCUCCGAAACCACUUUCAUCAAUAUAAUCAUCAUAAAUAGGAGGCAUGCUUUGAUCAUAAUAAAUAUUCUCAUCAAAACUCAGGGGACUAAAAAUAUCAUAUUCAUCAAACAUAGCAUCCCCAAGCUUGUAGCUUUGCAUAUCAUUAGCAUCAUGGAUAUUCAAGGAAUUCAUACUAACAACAUUGCAAUCAUGCUCACCAUCCAAAGAUUUAGUGCCAAACAUUUUAAUGCAUUCUUCUUCUAACACUUUGGCACAAUUAUCGGAAUCCUUAUUUUCAUGAAAGACAUUAAAAAGAUGAAGCAUAUGAGGUAACCUCAAUUCCAUUUUUUGUGUAGUUUUCUUUUAUAAACUAAACUAGUGAUAAAACAAGAAACUAAAAGAUUUGAUUGAAAGAUUUAAAGAUAUACCUUCAAGGGCUAACCUCCCCGGCAACGGCGCCAGAAAAGAGCUUGAUGUCUACUACACAACCUUCUUCUUGUAGACGUUGUUGGGCCUCCAAGUGCGGAGGUUUGUAGGACAGUAGCAAAUUUCCCUCAAGUGGAUGACCUAAGGUUUAUCAAUUCAAGGGAGGCAUAGGAUGAAGAUGGUCUCUCUCAAACAACACUGCAACCAAAUAACAAAGAGUCUCUUAUGUUCCCAACACACCCAAUACAAUGGUAAAUUGUAUAGGUGCACUAGUUCAACGAAGAGAUGGUGAUACAAGUGCAAUAUGGAUGGUAGAUAUAGGUUUUUGUAAUCUAAAAAUAUAAAAACAGCAAGGUAGCUAAUGAUAAAAGUGAGCGUAAACGGUAUUGCAAUGCUAGGAAACAAGGCCUAGGGUUCACACUUUCACUAUUGCAAGUUCUCUCAACAAUAAUAACAUAAUUGGAUCAUAUAACUGUCCCUCAACAUGCAACAAAGAGUCACUCCAAAGUCACUAAUAGCGGAGAACAAACGAAGAGAUUAUUAUAGGGUACGAAACCACCUCAAAGUUAUUCUUUCUGAUCGAUCUAUUCAAGAGUCCGUAGUAAAAUAACACGAAGCUAUUCUUUCUGUUCAAUCUAUCAUAGAUUUCGUACUAGAAUAACACCUUAAGACACAAAUCAACCAAAACCCUAAUGUCACCUAGAUACUCCAAUGUCACCUCAAGUAUCCGUGGGUAUGAUUAUACGAUAUGCAUCACACAAUCUCAGAUUCAUCUAUUCAACCAACACAAAGAACUUCAAAGAGUGCCCCAAAGUUUCUACCAGAGAGUCAAGACGAAAACGUGUGCCAACCCCUAUGCAUAAGUUCACGAGGUCACGGAACUCGCAAGUUGAUCACAAAAACAUACAUCAAGUGGAUCACGUGAUAUCCCAUUGUCACCACAGAUAAGCACAUGCAAGACAUACAUCAAGUGUUCUCAAAUCCUUAAAGACUCAACCCGACAAGAUAACUUCAAAGGAAAAACAAUCCAUCACAAGAGAGUAGAGGGGGAGAAACAUCAUAAGAUCCAACUAUAAAAGCAAAGCUCGCGAUACAUCAAGAUCGUGCCGAAUCAAGAACACGAGAGAGAGAGAUCAAACACAUAGCUACUGGUACAUACCCUCAGCCCCGAGGGUGAACUACUCCCUCCGUGUCAAGGAGAGCGCCGGGAUGAUGAAGAUGGCCACCGGAGAGGGAUUCCUGUUGGGGAACGUAGUAAUUUCAAAAAAAAUCCUACGCACACACACAGGAUCAUGGUGAUGCGUAGCAACGAGAGGGGAGAGUGUGUCUACGUACCCUCGUAGACCGAAUGUGGAAGCAUUAGCAUAACGCGGUUGAUGUAGUCGUACGUCUUCAUGAUCCAACCGAUCCAAGUACCGAACGCACGGCACCUCCGACUUCUGCACAUGUUCAACUCGAUGAUGUCCCGCGAGCUCCGAUCCAGCAAAGCUUCACGCGAGAGUUUCGUCAUCACGACGGCGUGGUGACGGUGAUGAUGAUGCUACCGACGCAGGGCUUCGCCUAAGCACCGCUACGAUAUUAUCGAGGUGGAUUGUGGUGGAGGGGGGCACUGCACACGGCUAAGAGAUCAAUGAUCAAUUGUGUGUCUAUGGGGUGCCCCUGCCCCCGUAUAUAAAGAGCAAGGGGAGGAGGUGGCCGGCCAGGGAGAGGUGCGCCAAGAGGGGGAGUAGGAGAGGGGGAAGGAAAGGGAGAGGAGGAGAAGGAAAGAGGGGCCCGACCCCCUUGCCCUAAACCAAUUUGGUUUGGGCCUUGGGGGGGGGGGCGCCCUACACUCUCCUUGCUGCCCUCUAUUUCCACUAAGGCCCAUGUAGGCCCAUUAAGCCCCCCGGGGGGUUCCGGUAACCCCCCGGUACUCCGGUAUAUGUCCGAAACCUUCCAGAACCUUUUCGGUGUCCGAACAUAGUCGUUCAAUAUAUCGAUCUUUACAUCUCGACCAUUUUGAGACUCCUUUACAUGCACGUGAUCACAUCCGGGACUCUGAACUACCUUCGGUACAUCAAAACACAGAAACUCAUAAUAUCGAUCGUCACCAAACUUUAAGCGUGCGGACCCUAUAGGUUCGAGAACUAUGUAGACAUGACCGAGACACAUCUCCGGUCAAUAACCAAUAGCGGAACCUGGAUUCUCAUAUUGGUUCCCACAUAUUCUACGAAGAUCUUUAUCGGUCAAACCGCAUAGCAACAUACGUUGCUCCCUUUGUCAUCGGUAUGUUACUUGCCCGAGAUUGUAUCUCAACACCUAGUUCAAUCUCAUUACCGGCAAGUCUCUUUGCUUGUUCUGUAAUACAUCAUCCCGCAACUAACUCAUUAGUUACAAUGCUUGCAAGGCUUAUAGUGAUGUGCAUUACCGAGUGGGCCCAGAGAUACCUCUCCGACAAUCGGAGUGACAAAUCCUAAUCUCGAAAUACGCCAACUCAACAAGUACCUUCGGAGACACCUAUAGAGCACCUUUAUAAUCACCUAGUUACAUUGUGACGUUUGGUAGCACACAAAGUGUUCCUCCGGUAAACGGGAGUUGCAUAAUCUCAUAGUCAUAGGAACAUGUAUAAGUCAUGAAUAAAGCAGUAGCAACAUACUAAAUGAUCAAGUGCUAAGCUAACGGAAUGGGUCAAGUCAAUCACAUCAUUCUAUAAUGAUGUGAUCUUGUUAAUCAAAUGACAACUCAUGUCUAUGGUUAGGAAACAUAACCAUCAUUGAUUCAACGAGCUAGUCAAGUAGAGGCAAACUAGUGACACUCUGUUUGUCUAUGUAUUCACACAUGUACUAAGUUUCCGGUUAAUACAAUUCUAGCAUGAAUAAUAAACAUUUAUCAUGAUAUAAGGAAAUAAAUAAUAACUUUAUUAUUGCCUCUAGGGCAUAUUUCCUUUAGUCUCCCACUUGCACUAGAGUCAGUAAUCUAGUUCACAUCGCUAUGUGAUUAACACCCAAAGAGUGAUCAUGUUUUGCUUGUGAGAGAAGUUUAGUCUACGGGUCUGCAACAUUCAGAUCCGUAUGUAUUUCACAAAUUUCCAUGUCUACAAUGCUCUGCAUGGAGCUACUCUAGCUAAUUGCUCCCACUUUCAAUAUGUAUCCAGAUCGAGACUUAGAGUCAUCUAGAUCGAUGUAAAAGCUUGCAUCGACGUAACUCUUUACGAUGAACUCUUUUAUCACCUCCAUAACCGAGAUAUAUUUCCUUAGUAAUCUAAGGAUAAUUUUGAACGCUGUCCAGUGAUCUACUCUUAGAUCACUAUUGUACUCCCUUGCCAGAAUGAUGCUAAGGUAUACAAUAGGACUGGUAAACAGCAUAUCAUACUUUAUAGAACCUAUGACUGAGGCAUAGGGAAUGCCUUUUCAUUCUCUUUCUAUUUUCUGCUGUGGUCAGGUUUUGAGUCUUUACUUAACUUCACACCUUGCAACACAGGCAAGAACUCCUUCUUUGACCGUUCCAUUUUGAACUACUUCAAAAUCUUGUCAAGGUAUGUACUCAUUGAAAAACUUAAGCGUCUUGAUCUAUCUCUAUAGAUCUUGAUGCUAAAUGUAAGUAGCUUCAUCGAGGUCUUUCUUUGAAAAACUCUUUUCAAAUACUCCUUUAUGCUUUCCAGAAAAUUCUACAUUAUUUCCGAUCAACAAUAUGUCAUUCACAUAUACUUAUCAGAAAUGUUGUAGUGCUCCCACUCACUUUCUUGUAAAUACAGGCUUCACCGCAAGUCUGUAUAAAACCAUAUGCUUUGAUCACUUUAUCAAAGCAUAUAUUCCAACUCCGAGAUGCCUGCACCAGUCCAUAGAUGGAUCGCUGGAGCUUGAUCACUUUGUUAACACCUUUUAGGAUCGAAAAAACCUUCUGGUUGCAUCAUAUACAACUCUUCUUUAAGAAAUCCCUGAAGGAAUACAAUUUUGACAUCCAUUUGCCAGAUUUCAUAAAAUGCGGCAACUGCUAACAUGAUUCGGACAGAUUUUAAGCAUCUAUAUGAGUGAGAAAAUCUCAUCAUAGUCAACACUUUGAACUUGUCGAAAACAUUUUGCGACAAUUCGAGCUUUGUAGAUAGUAACACUACUAUCAGCGUCCGUCUUCCUCUUGAAGAUCCAUUUAUUCUUAAUGACUCACCGAUCGUCGGUCAAGUCAAUCAAAGUCCAUACUUUGUUCUCAUACAUGGACCCCAUCUCAGAUUUCAUGGUGUCGGUGUCAAAACCGGCGGAUCUCGGGCAGGGGGUCCCGAACUGUGCGUCUAAGGCGGAUGGUAACAGGAGGCGGAGGACACGAUGUUUACCCAGGUUCGGGCCCUCUUGAUGGAGGUAAUACCCUACGUCCUGCUUGAUUGUUCUUGAUAAUAUGAGUGUUACAAGAGUUGAUCUACCACGAGAUCAGAGAGGCUAAACCCUAGAAGCUAGCCUAUGGUAUGAUUGCAUGUUGUCCUAUGGACUAAAACCGUCCGGUUUAUAUAGACACCGGAGGGGGCUAGGGUUACACAAGGUUGGUUACAAAGGAGGAGUAUACAUAUCCGUAUUGCCUAGCUUGCCUUCCACGCCAAGUAGAGUCCCAUCCGGACACGAGACGAAGUCUUCAAUCUCGUAUCUUCAUAGUCCAACAGUCCGGCCAAAGGAUAUAGUCCGGCUGUCCGUAGACCCCCUAAUCCAGGACUCCCUCAGUAGCGCGUGAACCAGGUUUCAAUGAUGAUGAGUCCGAUGCGCAGUGUUGUCUUCGGCAUUGCAAGGCGGGUUCCUCCUCUGAAUACACCCUGGAAGAGUUUGAAUACAAGGACAGUGUCCGACCCUGCAAAAUAUGUUCCACAUACCACCAUAGAGAGAAUAAUAUUUCCACAAAUCUAAUCUGUUGACACGUUUUGACAACAUGACGUCACGCCAUGGCCUGGUCAUUAUUCGAACCGUUUUUCUCAACCAGCUCUGCACAUAACGCGAGGCGGUUUUCUUGACACGUCUUGUCAAAGCAGAGAUCAUGUUCCCCUUAUCACGAGAUUCUCAUCAAUACGGACGUGGGUAACCCAACCACGCCAUCAAUUACGGCGCCUGGGGAAUAAGCAGUUUUGCCAGGCAAGUGGGGAGAGACGUCGCCUCUUCCGCCCUUAUAAAGGGACAAAGAUUUACUUUUUUCACCCACACCUUCUUUCUCCUUGCUUACCCAUUCCCGCACACUCGAGAUCUAGCGCCCAAGCUCGCGUUCUUCUUCUCAAACCACUCCAAGCAUGUCUGAAGCAGGAGGCAAGUGGAUGGUCUCCUCCGUCAUGGAGGAGAACAUCAAAAAGUUAUGGGAAGCCGGAUACCUGGCUACGGAUAUUGCGCACCGGCUGCCAAAUGCGGGGCAUAUCGUACCAACGCUCAAACCCCAUGAGAGGGUAGUUUUUCUUACCCAUUUUGUCCGCGGACUGGGAUUUCCUCUCCACCCCUUUGCCCGCGAGCUCAUGUUCUACUAUGGGCUGGAUUUUCAUGAUCUGGCCCCCAAUUUCAUUCUCAACAUCUCGGCGUUUAUCGUCGUGUGUGAGGCCUUCCUCCGCAUCAAGCCCCACUUCGGCCUAUGGAUGAAAACCUUUAAUGUUAAACCGAAGGUGGUAGGUGGCCAACAAGCAGAGUGCCAUGGUGGGCAAGAUGCCUAAUGUCACCUGGCUCAAGGGUACCUAUGUGGAUACCAUAAAGGGGUGGCAAUCGGGGUGGUUCUACAUCACUGAUCCGCGCGACUCCAACUGGGUGGCGGCCCCCAAAUUUCAAUCCGGAAUCCCCACGCGGCUUACCUCCUGGAAAGAGAAGGGCCUGUCUUGGGGUUCGUCGGUAGAGCUGACCGGACUCCGGACCUGCAUCCAGAACAUGACGAACAAGAAAAUCAAGCUUGUCAACGUGGUCCAGGUUAUGCUCUUCUGCCGGAUCCUUCUGUGUCAACGACGGGCAUUCAAUUUGUGGAAGUUCGACUCGGCCAAGCACCAGACGCUGCGAGAGCUCUAUGACACGAUGCACGAGGACGUCUGGAGGGUGCUGUUCAAGAGUGCCGAGAUUCCUCCCUCCCUCACCGAGGACCGCAGACUCAGCGCAAAGCGCCGCGCCAAUCCGGUAGGCUUUUUAUAUCUCUCAGGGUAUCUAUUUGCCGCAGGAUCUGAACUUCCAUGUCAUUAACAAGACUGGAUAGAGACGACGGAGCAGCUUGAUAGCCCAGCCCCACUGCCCAAAGAUCCUGCAGAUGCUCUUCUAACGAAGAUGCUGACUCCGGCACCCUACGAGGUGCCGGAAAAGAAGACCAAGAAGAAGGCCGCGGGGGCCCGAAAGGGUCUCCGGCGCAAGGUUGUACCGGAGUCAUCGGACGAUGACUCCGACGCGCACUCCUCCCACGGAAACGAGGAGGAGGAGGAGGAGAAAAGUUCUCCCUCCCAGCCGGGGAAGACAAGAAAAGGAAGGUCGACCCAUCCGGGGAGGCCGAAGGGUCCAAGAAGGGAAGGACCCUCCCUUCGGACUGCGCCACAACGGCCGCCGACUGUGGCGACGAGUGGCUACCCAGGGCCAAGCCCCUGGCGAAAUCGUAAGUGUCCGAAUACCAUAGUACUUCAUGGUAUGUUCUAUUACACUGCCUCUCCUCAUGCCGAACAUGAUUAUGCAAUCCGUUCCGAGCUCACCUCGACGUAUCCUCGUCGAGCGGCUCUCUGGACUCGUCGGAUAUGAACAUCGGUUCUCUCCCAACCGCUACCACCUCUCGCCCUACGGACAAUGCUGAGGUGUUGUCUCAAAAGGCACCGAGCCAAGGGGAGGUGGUCCUAGGGGCGCCUAGAGGCGACUUCCCGAACCUUGGGUACCAAGGGAGCGAGGCCCCUACGGGUUUUGAGUUCUGCCCCCAGCCGAAUACUGCACCGGAACCUUCGAUGGUUCCGGACUCCGGCAGGCGGUCCCUCUUUAGGGAGGGCCAACCAUCCGUGCCGGUGUCCUCUGUCCAACCAGAGGUACCGGACAACCUUCUGGAAGCGCUUCACAGCGCUUCCAUCGAAGAAGAGCACCGCGCUAUGAUACGUCUCCGUCGUAUCUAUAAUUUUUGAUUGUUCCAUGCCAAUAUUAUUCAACUUUCAUAUACUUUUUGGCAACUUUUUAUACUAUUUUUGGGACUAACAUAUUGAUCCAGUGCCCAGUGCCAGUUCUUGUUUGUUGCAUGUUUUUUGUUUCAAAGAAAACCCAUACCAAACGGAGUCCAAACGGAAUAAAAACUGACGGAGAUUUAUUUUGGAAUAUUUAUGAAUUUUGGGAAGUGGAAUCAUUGUGAGACGGUGCCCGAGGGGGGCACGAGGUAGGGGGGCGCACCCCAGGGUGUCAGGCGCGCCCCUGACCCUCGUGGACACCCCGUAAGGAGGUUGGUGCCCUUCUUUCGCCACAAGAAAGCUAAUUUCCGGAUAGAGAUCAUGUCCAAAAUUCAGCCCAAUCGGAGUUACGGAUCUCCGGAAAUUUAAGAAACGGUGAAGGGCCAGAAAACAGAACGCAGAAUCAGAGAGAAACAGAGAGAUAGAUCCAAUCUCGGAGGGGCUCUCGCCCCUCCCACGCCAUGGAGGCCAAGGACCAUGGGGGAAACCCUUCUCCUAUCUAGGGAGAAGGUCAAGGAAGAAGAAGAAGGAGGGGGCUCUCUCCCCUCGCUUCCGGUGGCACCGGAGUGCCACUGGGGGCCAUCAUCAUCACCACCAUCUUCACCAACAACUUCACCGUCAUCAUCACCAACUCUUCCCCCCUCUAUGCAGCGGUGUAACCUCUCUCUUACCCGCUGUAAUCUCUACUUAAACAUGGUGCUCAAUGCUAUAUAUUAUUUCCCAAUGAUGUAUGGCUAUCCUAUGAUGUUUGAGUAGAUCUGUUUUGUCCUAAUGGCUAUUUGAUGAUCAAGAUUGGUUUGAGUUGUAUGUUUUAUUAUUGGUGCUGUCCUAUGGUGCUCUCCAUGUAGCGCAAGCGUGAGAUAUUACCGCUGUAGGGUUUGCAAUAUGUUCAUGAUUUGCUUAUGGUGGGUGGCGUGAGUGACAGAAGCACAGACCAGAGUAAGUAGGUUGUUUGCGUAUGGGAUAAAGGGGACUUGAUACUUUAAUGCUAUGGUUGGGUUUUACCUUAAUGAAUCUUUAGUAGUUGCGGAUGCUCGCUAGAGUUCCAAUCAUAAGUGCAUAUGAUCCGAGUAGAGAAAGUAUGUUAGCUUAUGCCUCUCCCUCAAAUAAAAUUGCAAUAAUGAUUACCGGUCUAGUUAUCGAUUGCCUAGGGACAAAUAACUUUCUUGUUGACAAAAGCUCUCUACUAAAACUAAUUUAGUCAUGUCUUUAUCUAAACAGCCCCUAGCUUUUAUUUUCGUGUUCUUUACUUUCUUGCAAGCUUACCCAAAAACACCUACAAAGUACUUCUAGUUUCAUACUUGUUCUAGGUAAAGCGAACGUCAAGCAUGCGUAGAGUUGUAUCGGUGGUCGAUAGAACUUGAGGGAAUAUUUGUUCUACCUUUAGCUCCUCAUUGGGUUCGACACUCUUACUUAUCGAAAGAGGCUACAAUUGAUCCCCUAUACUUGUGGGUUAUCAAGACCUUUUUCUGGCGCCGUUGCCGGGGAGCAAUAGCGUGGGGUGAAUAUUAUAGUGUAUGCUUGUUUGCUUUAUCACUAAGUAAUUUUUAUUUGCUGUUCUUAGUUGUUUUCUAUCUUUAGUUAUGGGUAGGAAACACAAAAUACCAAAAAAAAUAGUUGUACCUACUGAACCAAUGGUUGAAGAACAACUCAAAAUCUAUCACACCGCUGAAGCUUAACACCUAUCCGGAUAGCUCUGAGUAGAGAUACCGGAUACGUAUAAUGGAGCAACAAUUUAGAAUAGCUCCAAGUAGAACAGUUAUUUGGAGUGGCUCCAAAUGUAGCGUAGUAGUUGCAUCUACAAGAUGACAUAGAGAUUUGCGAAGUACAUACGGAUCUGAAAGAUUCAGACCCGUUGACUAUAACAUCUCUCACAAGCAUAACAUGAUCAAACCCAGAACUCAUUGAGUGUUAAUCACAUAUCGAUGUGAACUAGAUUAUUGACUCUAGUAAACUCUUUGGGUGUUAGUCACAUGGGGAUGUGACCUUGAGUGUUAAUCACAUAUCAAUGUGAACUGGAUUAUUGACUCUAGUGCAAGUGGGAGACUGUUGGAAAUAUGCCCUAGAGGCAAUAAUAAAUUAGUUAUUAUUAUAUUUCCUUGUUCAUGAUAAUCGUUUAUUAUCCAUGCUAGAAUUGUAUUGAUAGGAAACUCAGAUACAUGUGUGGAUACAUAGACAACACCAUGUCCCUAGUAAGCCUCUAGUUGACUAGCUUGUUGAUCAAUAGAUGGUUACGGUUUCCUGACCAUGGAUAUUGGAUGUCGUUGAUAACGGGAUCACAUCAUUAGGACAAUGAUGUGAUGGACAAGACCCAAUCCUAAGCAUAGCACUAGAUCGUGUAGUUCGUAUGCUAAAGCUUUUCUAAUGUCAAGUAUCAUUUCCUUAGACCAUGAGAUUGUGCAACUACCAGAUACCGUAGGAGUGAUUUGGGUGUGCCAAACGUCACAACGUAACUGGGUGGCUAUAAAGGUACACUACGGGUAUCUCCGAAAGUGUCUGUUGGGUUGGCACGAAUCGAGACUGGGAUUUGUCACUCCGUGUGACAGAGAGGUGUCUCUGGGCCCACUCGGUAGGACAUCAUCAUAAUGUGCACAAUGUGAUCAAGGAGUUGAUCACGGGAUGAUGUGUUACAGAACGAGUAAAGAGACUUGCCGGUAACGAGAUUGAACAAGGUAUCGGGAUACCGACGAUCGAAUCUCGGGCAAGUAUCGUACCGCUAGACAAAGGGAAUUGUAUACGGGAUUGAUUAAGUCCUUGACAUCGUGGUUCAUCCGAUGAGAUCAUCGUGGAACAUGUGGGAGCCAACAUGGGUAUCCAGAUCCCGCUGUUGGUUAUUGACCGGAGAGUCAUCUCGGUCAUGUCUGCAUGUCUCCCGAACCCGUAGGGUCUACACACUUAAGGUUCGGUGACGCUAGGGUUAUAGAGAUAUUAGUAUGCGGCAACCCAAAAGUUGUUCGGAGUCCCGGAUGAGAUCCCGGAUGUCACGAGGAGUUUCGGAAUGGUCCGGAGGUAAAGAAUUAUAUAUAGGAAGUGUUAUUUUGGCUAUCGGGACAAGUUUCGGGGUCACCGGUAUUGUGCCAGGACCACCGGAAGGGUCCCGGGGGUCCACCGGGUGGGGCCACCUCCCCGGGGGGCCACAUGGGCUGUAGGGGGUGUGCCUUGGCCUACAUGGUCCAAGGGCACCAGCCCCAAGAGGCCCAUGCGCCAAAGGGACAAGAGGAGGGGAGAGUCCUAAAGGGGAAAGGCACCUCCGAGGUGCCUUGGGGAGGAUGGACUCCUCCCCCCCUUGGCCGCACCCUUCCUUGGAGGAAGGGGCAAGGCUGCGCCCUCCCCCUCUCUCUUGGCCCUAUAUAUAGUGGGGGAAGGGAGGGCAGCACCAACCUUGAGCCCUGGCGCCUCCCUCUCCCUCCCAUGACACAUCUCCCUCCUCCCGCAGCGCUUGGCGAAGCCCUGUUGGAAUCCCGCUGCUUCCACCACCACGCCAUCGUGCUGCUGGAUCUCCAUCAACCUCUCCUCCCCCCUUGCUGGAUCAAGAAGGAGGAGACGUUGCUGCUCCGUACGUGUGUUGAACGCGGAGGUGCCGUCCGUUCGGCGCUAGGAUCAUCGGUGAUUUGGAUCACGACGAGUACGACUGCAUCAACCCCGUUCUCUUGAACGCUUCCGCGCGCGAUCUACAAGGGUAUGUAGAUCCACUCCUCCCUCGUUGCUAGAUGACUCCAUAGAUAGAUCUUGGUGACAUGUAGGAAAAUUUUGAAUUUCUGCUACGUUCCCCAACAGGGCAUACCGGCAUCGUCGCACGGUCGCUUCAUCAAGCCGGCAUCGACCACGUCAUGACCUGCAUCGGCAGGACCACACUAUUGCUUCUUCAAUCUGGUGUCCAUCACACCGACCUACUUCGACUCAUCAACUGACAUCGAGGCUUCGACAUCUUGGCUGGACCGGGGGCUUCGCCAUAUCUUCAUCAAACUAUACUCCGGAGACUUCGGCGUCACUAGCCGACCAACUCCGGCACGUUAACUGGACCGAGGGCUUUGCCUUGGCGAGCCGACCUUUGCCAGCACCGCCGUGCCAUCGCUUUAUCGCCCAUCAGGCAAUGGGUGCAUGGAUUGAGUCCCAAUUUUGGGAAUCACCUUUUUUCGGAUUGCUACGACAAUUAAACCAGGUGCUAUUAAUCCUAGUAUUUUUUUUGCUUGUUUGGGUUUAUUUUUCCCAAGGAAUUAUUACUCUUGUUUGUCCAUCAUCUGUACACAGGUCUAUCAAAUGAUGGCUGCAUUAACAACGGUCGCGUGGUAGUUCGGUCAGUUUCCGUACAUAGUCCGGCGAACGCCGCAUCCGGAACUCGGACCGACCUGUGAAUUCAGGCUUUGCCACGCCUUUACCGCAUUAUGCCGACGCCCUACAUCGACAUUGACUUCGGCGCCAGGCCAUAUUUCUUUUAUUACUCACUUUGCAUAAAUUAUUUAUUAUGCAACGAUUUUUUUAAUUAUCAUUAUUACUAUUAUCUUCGGUUUGCACUAUUUUUUGUGCACAGGAAAAUGAUCCGGGGACCUCGACAUCACUCUGCCGGUCUGCAUUGACCUUGCUAUGUCACCGCUUCGGCGUCUCGAGCUCUCUACUCCGCCACCUCGGGACCGGCUUCGGGGAUGGAACCUUGUCCUGCAUCAAGCUCAGACCGCGUCAUCAAUGCCGAACACAUUAACCAGCUAAGUCGCUUUCAUGCUCAAAGUUUUAAUUUUUAACUUGUGUUCGGUUCGACCAAGCAUUAUACUUUUUUGGAAAAAAAGUUGCUUGUAAAAGAUUUCCUUGUCCAAACUUUGUUUGUGACACACAAAUUCAAAUACCCCGUUUACUUGGGGGCUCCCUUGAUGGAGCUUUUCCUCUUGCAUAUGAUUAUACUUGUACGACUUCGUUCCUUGUUCGUGUAUUACGCCACAAUAUGCACCAUAUUGACUUAAGCGAUUUGCAAGCUGGGUUGCCUGGCUCCUGUGCUUACCCCUACGUUCCCGAUUGUUCAGCUAGCGAGUAAAGCGAGCACCUCUGCGAUUGUUACGACCGGGUCCUCCGAGCUCUGACCUCAGACUGGGUGAAGCCGAAAGCUAGCACUCUUAUUGUUUUCAAUCAUGGUCGGCACACAACGGAACUCAUGAGUACAAAAAAUCUAUUGCACAAGUCUCAUAGUAAUAAUGAGCACCGAAGAAAGGUAUCUAUGGGGGUACUAUUUUCUUUGAAGAUGCUUCUUACACUUCGUCUGUAAUAUAGCAUAAGUUCCCUGAGCGCGCUUUGUUUGUUACAGCCUUAUGGCCCGGUUGCUUGGUUAUCGGAAACACUGUCGAUAUUCUCGACAGGUGGAGUACAUAACACUUUUCGGUCCUUGACCGAAGAGGGAGAAGCCGACGGUCGGUUAAGACGCGUUUAAAGUUCGGUUAAACAAAGAUAUGAUAUAAGUACUUCGGUACAUACAAUCAUUAUACAUAAAAACUUUUACCCAAGUCACUUGGGGGAUCUUAAAAUUUAUAUGAGCUAUUUUAUAGUAAAUGUGUUUUCUUCCUGGUCGUUGCAAUGUCUUUUUCUAUCGCUCCUUUUUCGACGUGAGUGUGUGGUCAAUAGCCAGAUAACCCAUUUUCUCUCUAGUGACCGCUCGAGUUUAGUUCACUAAACUGGUCUAACGAGAAGCACUCCGCCUUCGGGAUAGGUGGCUGUAGCCGUAGGCUGACCCGCUUGAAGUCUUGAGAUUGGAUGUGUAAUGUUAAAGCACGACAGAAGCACUCUUUUUUUCUAAGACCAAUUUUUGGAUUGGCACCGAACACUUGAUCUUGUUCGGACGUCAAUUUUUUACUGACGUUUUUUGGUUUUCCAAGCUCAUGGCACUUUUAAACUAUUUGUGUGUUUUCAACACAAGUCUCGCAGUGCAAUGCCGGACACCUUUAUAGAUUCGGCAAAAAUAUUCUCGGAUAUUGCUAUAUAUGCAUCGGUUUCGAAUUGUGUCUUCGGUCAAUAGUUGGGUUGCCCGACUCCUGCACUUGCUUCCUACGUUCCGCUUUGUUCGGCUAGGCGUGCAAAGGGAGAGCCACUGCGAUUGUGCUUCCAGCUCACACGGUUAAGCAUCUCAGUGGAGAAAGCCGAAAACUGACUGUCACAAUAAGUGUAAACUGGUCAGUGAUCCGAUGACUAUGUUAAAAUGACGGGCCACUUAUAACAAUGGCCGAAGUGUUUACGGCUUGACCUUGAAUGUCGCCGAACACUACCGGGGGCUAUUAAUUGACCUCCCAAACUAAAUCCUCGAUAUUUUGCUCUUACAUUAGAGCUGAGGUUUCAUGAUCAUGCUUAGCAUGACAACCCAAAGAAAGGAACCGAUAGCGGGACUAUUUUCUUUGGAAGACAUUUCUUAUGUUAAACAGUAAUAUAACAUAUCUCUCUGUGUACCUUUGCUUGUAAAACCGUAUGGCCAGAUUGCCUUGUUUGUCGUAAAUCUUUGCCCUCAUAAAGGCUUUAUAAAGUAGGACAAACACUCCUCGGCUACUGCCCGAGGAGGUGGAAGCCGAUGGUCGGUCAACAAAGUUUUGUACAAUGCGGAUCCGAGCAUUAAUGACGUAAAGUACUUGGAUACAUAGAGUCAUUACACAUAAUUUGUGAUUUUACUAUGGAUAUCGAUCCUUAAUUCGGCCACCUGUGCCCGCAUUAAGGCUCGGGGGCUAUUGGGCUUCGGGCUUAUUAUUUACAAAUAUUAAAGGGGCACAUCGAUCCCCUGAUCUGGUGUUGCCACCCGACCAGUGUCUCGGGGGCUACUGCAUUGCCUAUCCAAUGUAGAAAAUUUUAAGUGCAAUACAGUUUCCGAGGAGAUUUUGAUCCUCAGGUUGGUCGACCGCACCCAACCUGAGUCUCGAGGACUGAGCAUGCCGCUUUUUGUGUCCCGAAGUAUCCUGCUGAGCUAGGACUUGAUCCUCAGGCCGAUUUUACAAAUCAACCCGAGUCUCAGUGGCUACUGGGAUCAACGGUCUUAUGUCAUCCUUUAGGUGCAUCUCGGGUUUUAAACCGAUACACACCUUGAGGGGCUACUGGCUAUAUAUCUCGGCAGAGAAUAAAUUGCACCAAUAAAAAAUAUUAACAAAAAAUCGGCCCACAGUCGGGGUGGUGCACCACCUCGGAAGCAGUCCGGCAUAAAGCUCGGGUGCUAGCGGCUGGCUCCAUAGAGGGAAUUUCCGGCAUUAAGCUCGGCUAAACUCCUUCAACCUUUUUGAACCAAGGUGAUUUAUGAUAGUCCGGCAUUGGAGCUUGGACAUAGUCCGGCGUUGGAGCUUGGACAUAGUCUGGCAUUGGAGCUCGGAUACAUUCUGGCGUUGGAGCUCGGAAAGCGGUCCGGCGUUGGUGCUCGGCUGCAAAAGAUACCUCGAAUGCAGUCCGGCGUUGGAGCUCGGACGCAAGAGGACGCUGCCUCCCGGGAACAACUUCAAACCCGAGGUGUGGCAUAAAAAUAACAAGGCAUUGAUAAAGGCCGGAAACUUAAAGGGGCUCCUCGGACACCCGAUGUGUAAACUCGCCGAAUGCAUUUCGGCGAUCCUCAAGAUCGAAGAUGAGAAGAUUUGUUGAACCAGUUUUCAAGACCGACAACGGAAGAUGAAGAAUAGUUCGGAAGAAUCGAGGAGCAUCCCCAACUUGAAGACCGGUUCAGGGGGCUACUGACAGUGUCCUGGACUAGGGGGUACUCAUCACAUCCUCUCCCGAUCAGUUGGAUUGGGCUGAGGACCCCCAUGGCCGCAUACUCAUGGGCCAGUUCGGACAGCUGCCGCAUACAAGGAAGAUUACACAAGACUUGGCGAUCAAGACAAGGACUUCUCCCCACCGGCGUAUUCGUCUAGGACUCUUGUUAUCCUAGGCCUCUGGUACAUUAUAUAAACCGAGGCCAGGCUAGUCGAUAUAGAUACAACAAUCAUACCAUAGGCUAGCUUCUAGGGUUUAGCCUCUCUGAUCUCGUGGUAGAUCUACUCUUGUACUACACAUAUCAUCAAUAUUAAUCAAGCAGGACGUAGGGUUUUACCUCCAUCAAGAGGGCCCGAACCUGGGUAAAACUUCGUGUCCCCUGCCUCCUGUUACCAUCCGCCUAGACGCACAGUUCGGGACCCCCUACCCGAGAUCCGCCGGUUUUGACACCGACACUACAGUUAAUAUCUUUGGUAUCCGAGGUAUCCGGAUUCCUCGAUGUGUUGUUGCUGCGAGCCAGCUAGCUAUCCUCGCCCGCGCAAAAGUGGGUCAUGAGUGUUGUGAGGGCUGUCAUGGACUUCGGCUUCUCCUGGCCAAGGUGGCGGGCGAGCCAUUCGUCACGGAUGUUAUGCUUGAAUGCCGCUAGGGCCUCUACACCCGGACAGUCUACAAUUUGAUUUUUCUUAGUCAGGAACCGUGUCCAGAAUUGUCUGGCCGAUUCCCCUGGCUGCUGGGUUAUGUGGCUCAAGUCAUCAGCAUCCGGUGGCCGCACAUAAGUGCCCUGGAAGUUGUCAAGAAAUGCGUCUUCCAGAUCCUCCCAAAUGCCGACGGAAUCUGCUGGCAAGCUAUUCAGCCAAUGCCGAGCUGGUCCUUUGAGUUUUAGUGGGAGUUACUUGAUGGCAUGUAGAUCAUCACCGCGAGCCAUGUGGAUGUGAAGGAGGAAAUCCUCAAUCCAUACAGCGGGAUCUGUUGUGCCAUCGUAUGAUUCGAUAUUUACGGGUUUGAAACCCUCCGGGAAUUCAUGAUUCAUAACUUCAUUAGUGAAGCAUAGGGGGUGUGCGGCACCUCUGUGCCGGGCUAUAUCCCGACGUAGUUCGUAUGAGUCUUGUCUGCCGUAUUCGGCCCGGCCGGAUUUACUCUUAGUGUAUCUGAUGCGACGAUCAUCGUCCCGUGUGGGCGCACGUGCCCGUGUGCCGUAUAUUGACCUUGCAAUUUUUGCCUUACUGUCCAACAUGUCUUGCAGGUCCUCUAUGUUGUCCCGGGCCUUAGUAUUUUUGAUUGAGUGGCGACGGGGUGCAGGCUGAACUUUAGGCUGAAACGCCUCUCUGGCUCGGCCGCGUAGUGGCCGGUCAGCCGCAUCGUACACUGGUGAAUGAGGUUUCAAUGCUUCCUCCUCGAGGUGAGGUAGCAACCUGCGUUUUGGGUAACUCUUGGAUGGGCGCUCGAGUUCAUGCUCCUCAGCCGCAAGGACUUCGGUCCACCUGUCUACUAGCAAGUCUUGAUCAGCUUGAAGCUGUUGCUGUUUUUUUCUUCAGGCUAUUUGCCGUGGCCAUAAGCCGGCGCUUGAAGCGCUCUUGCUCGACGGGGUCCUCAGGAACGAUAAACUCGUCGUCACCGAGGCUCGCCUCGUCUUCGGAGAGAGGCAUGUAAUUGUCCUCCUCCGAUUCUCCAUCUGCUGCCUGCUCUGGAGGGCUAGCUUGUUCGUCCUCUAGCUCUACAUCGUGCUGGAGGGGAUUGUUGUUUUCUUCGGCGCUAUCAGGAGUGUUAUUAUCUCCUGUGCCGGUAUCAUUGCUCUUGCUGUGGCGGGACUUAGAGCGGCGCCGCUGACGUUGGUGCUUGGGUUGCUUCUUGGAGGGGUCAUCCUCUGCUGUCUCGUCGCCAUUGCCUUCUUUGGGGGUGUCCAGCAUGUAUAUAUCAUAUGAUGAGGUGGCGGUCCAGCGCCCUGAGGGCGGUGGUUCCUGUUCGUCUCCAGCUUCGUCGUCCAUACCGUCGAAGUCUUCAGAGUUGAAGUCGAGCAUGUCGGUUAAGUCGUUGACAGUGGCUACUAAGUGGGUGGUGGGUGGGCAGCGAAUUUCUUUGUCGUCCGCAUCCCAUUCUCGCCGGACAUAGUUCGGCCAAGGUUCUCCUGACAGGGAGAGAGACCUUAAUGAAUUUAGCACAUCUCCGAAAGGUGAGUGCUGAAAGAUAUCCACGGAGGUGAACUCCAUGAUCGGCGCCCAGUCGGACUCGACGGGCACGGAUGUGAGCGGCUCGGAGUUCGCGGCCGGAGAUGAAUCCAGUGGUUCGGCGACACGGCUCUCGUAAGGGGUGAAGUCAGUAUCCGGCUCUAUCACCACUGAGAGUGCGGCCUCCAUGGCGGGGUCCAUCCCUCCGGUCUCGGAUGGCACGACUUGCUCCGGAUUGAUGGCCGGAGUAGUUAUGGAUGCGAUCUCCCGAACAUUGUCCGACGGCAGAGUUACGUCAUGCUCGUCGCGACUGUGCGGCACGUCCGACAUGGGCUCGAAUCCGUCGAAGAUCAAGUCUCCGCGGAUGUCGGCCAUGUAGUUCAAGUUUCCAAAUCUGACCUGAUGGCCAGAGGCGUAGCUCUCGAUCCGCUCCAGAUGGCCAAGCGAAUUGGCCCGCGGUGCAAAGCCGCCGAAUACGAAGAUCUGUCCAGGGAGGAAAACCUCACCCUGGACCGCAAAGUUAGCGAUGAUCGAAGGAGCCAUCCAGCCUUAUGGUGACGACACAGUGGAACUAUCAAUGAAAGCACCAAUGUCGGUGUCAAAACCGGCGGAUCUCGGGUAGGUGGUCCCGAACUGUGCGUCUAAGGCGGAUGGUAACAGGAGGCGGGGGACACGAUGUUUAACCAGGUUCGGGCCCUCUUGAUGGAGGUAAUACCCAGCGUCCUGCUUGAUUGUUCUUGAUAAUAUGAGUGUUACAAGAGUUGAUCUACCACGAGAUCAGAGAGGCUAAACCCUAGAAGCUAGCCUAUGGUAUGAUUGCAUGUUGUCCUACGGACUAAAACCCUCCUGUUUAUAUAGAGACCGGAGGGGGCUAGGGUUACACAAGGUCGGUUACAAAGGAGGAGAUAUACAUAUCCGUAUUGCCUAGCUUACCUUCCACGCCAAGUAGAGUCCCAUCCGGACACGGGACGAAGUCUUCAAUCUCGUAUCUUCAUAGUCCAACAGUCCAGCCAAAGGAUAUAGUCCGGCUGUCCGGAGACCCCCUAAUCCAGCACUCCCUCACAUGGCCUCAAGCCAUUUCGCGGAAUCUGGGCUCAUCAUCGCUUCCUCAUAGUUCGUAGGUUCAUCAUGGUCAAGUAACAUGACAUCCAUAACAGGAUUACUGUACCACUCUGGUGCGGAUCUCACUCUGGUUUACCUAUGAGGUUCGGUAGUAACUUGAUCUGAAGUUACAUGAUCAUCAUCAUUAGCUUCCUCACUAAUUGGUGUAGGAGUCACAGGAACAGAUUUCUAUGAUGAACUACUUUCCAAUAAGGGAGCAUGUACAGUUACCUCAUCAAGUUCUACUUUCCUCCCACUCACUUCUUUUGAGAGAAACUCCUUCUCUAGAAAGGAUCCAUUCUUAGCAACGAAUGUCUUGCCUUCGGAUCUGUGAUAGAAGGUGUACCCAACUGUCUCCUUUGGGUAUCCUAUGAAGACACAUUUCUCCGAUCUAGGUUUGAGCUUAUCAGGAUGAAACUUUUUCACAUAAGCAUCGCAACCCCAAACUUUAAGAAAUGACAACUUUGGUUUCUUGCCAAACCAUAGUUCAUAUGGCGUCGUCUCAACGGAUUUAGAUGGUGCCCUAUUUAACGUGAAUGCAGCUGUCUCUAAUGCAUAACCCCAAAAUGAUAGUGGUAAAUCGGUAAGCGACAUCAUAGAUUGCACCAUAUCUAAUAUAGUACGGUUACGAUGUUCGGACACACCACUACGCUGUGGUGUUCCAGGUGGUGUGAGUUGCGAAACUAUUCCACAUUGUUUCAAAUGAAGACCAAACUCGUAACUCAAAUAUUCUCCUCCAUGACUAGAUCAUAGAAACUUUAUUUUCUUGUUACGAUUAUUUUCCACUUCGCUCUGAAAUUAUUUGAACUUUUCAAAUGUUUCAGAUUUAUGUUUCAUCAAGAAGAUAUACCCAUAUCUUACUCAAAUCAUCUGUGAAGGUCAGAGAAUAACGAUAGCUGCCGCGAGCCUCAACACUCAUCGGACUGCAUACAUCGGUAUGUAUUAUUUCCAACACUCAUCGGUAUGUGUAUCACUACGAUCAAGAUUCAAUAAACCAUUCACCUUGCGUGUAUGACCAUUGAAGGUUUUAUUCAUGAAGACAGAACAACAAUUAUUCUUUGACUUUAAAUGAAUAACCAUAUUGCAAUAAACAUGAUCAAAUCAUAUUCAUGCUUAACGCAAACACCAAAUAAUAUUUAUUUAGGUUCAACACUAAUGCCGAAAGUAUAGGGAGUGUGCGAUGAUGAUCAUAUCAAUCUUGGAACCACUUCCAACACAUAUCGACACUUCACAGUUAACUAGUCUCUGUUCAUUCUGCAACUCCCAUUUUGAGUUACUAAUCUCAGCAACUGAACUAGUAUCAAAUACUGAGUGGUUGCUAUAAACACUAGUAAAGUACACAUCAAUAACAUGUAUAUCAAAUAUACCUUUUUUCACUUUGCCAUCCUUCUUAUCCGCCAAAUACUUGGGGCAGUUCUGCUUCCAGUGACCAGUCCCUUUGCAGUAGAAGCACUUAGUCUCAGGCUUAGGUCUAGACUUGGGCUUCUUCACUUGAGCAUCAACUUGCUUGCCGUUCUUCUUGAAGUUCCCCUUCUUCCCUUUGCCCUUUUCUUGAAACUAGUGGUCUUGUCAACCAUCAACACUUGAUGCCACUACAAAAAAAAGACACAUCCGUGACAUUUUGGGCCGAACGAAUUUUUUCUGUCAUACAUAUGACACUUCUAUGACGAUAAUUGUGACAAAACCCGGUAUCAUCAUAGAUGUGGUGGGCUCCUACUUCUAUGACAAAAAAUCAUGACAGAAAAUGGGCUUUUCGUCCUGGGCGGGUCGGAGACGCAGCUGCAUGACAUUCUUUGGGCCGUCCAUGACGAAAAAAACCAUGGUAGAAGCGAGGGGGAGGAAAAUUUUGGGGAGUUCCCGGUUACGGUGGGAGGUCGGGGGCCGAGGGAUGCGCAUUUCUCUCGUACACGUACACGCGUGUGUGCGAGGCGUUGGCUCUAACUGAACCCAAGCGAGGCGUUGAGCUCUAACUGAACCCGAGCGAUUGCACUACAGGCUACGCGUUACUGAACCCGAGCGAUCGAUCGAUGGCUGUUAACUGAACCCGAUCGAGCGAUUCCUUCGNNNNNNNNNNNNNNNNNNNNNNNNNNNNNNNNNNNNNNNNNNNNNNNNNNNNNNNNNNNNNNNNNNNNNNNNNNNNNNNNNNNNNNNNNNNNNNNNNNNNNNNNNNNNNNNNNNNNNNNNNNNNNNNNNNNNNNNNNNNNNNNNNNNNNNNNNNNNNNNNNNNNNNNNNNNNNNNNNNNNNNNNNNNNNNNNNNNNNNNNNNNNNNNNNNNNNNNNNNNNNNNNNNNNNNNNNNNNNNNNNNNNNNNNNNNNNNNNNNNNNNNNNNNNNNNNNNNNNNNNNNNNNNNNNNNNNNNNNNNNNNNNNNNNNNNNNNNNNNNNNNNNNNNNNNNNNNNNNNNNNNNNNNNNNNNNNNNNNNNNNNNNNNNNNNNNNNNNNNNNNNNNNNNNNNNNNNNNNNNNNNNNNNNNNNNNNNNNNNNNNNNNNAACAGUAGAUAGUGGAGGGGUUCCUGUGGAGGGGUGGUUGAACAAUAGCCGGUGGAGUAGCGCGUGGUGGAGGCUGGAUGAACAGGAGCCUGUGGAGGCUGGAGGAGGUCGACGGUGGAGAUGAACAAUAUCCCGUGGAGUCCCGUUUUGCGGUACGCCACACCCCUCCCGAUGAACAGGACCCCCGUUUCGUCUGUAGCGCUCCAACACAAGUCCGUUUUGUCCGUUUUGCGGUACGCCACACCCCUCCCGAUCAACAGGACCCCCGUUUUGACCGUAGGAGGUCCGUUUCGUCCAUUUUGCAGUACGCCAGACCCCUCCCGAUGAACAUGAUCCCGGUUCGAACAUGGCCGGUCGAACACAAGGCCGUUUCCUCCGUUGUGUGGUAUGCCAAGCCUCGUUUCCAUCGCCUGUUCCGUCCAUGCCCUCCCGAUGAACACGACCACACAUUCCAUUCUGACCCAGCCGGUUGGCUCCCACGCGUUCCGUUGCCUCCCGAUGAACACGACGCAUUCUGUUGCCUCCCCAUGAACACGACACAUUCCGUUGUCUCCCCAUGAACAUGACGACGACGAUGUUUCUCCGUUCCGACCCAGCCAUGUCAACGAGCCCUGGCCAUACGUAUGUGCGAGUAGGCGUUCGAGACCCCGCCCGUAUGUACACAUACGUGGUCGUAUUUUCUUUCUUGCACCCUGGCCGAUGUACGUACGUGUACAUGCUACGUGCGCGCCUCUACUACGACACGUGCGCGUCUCUACAUCCACCAGUAUAUAUGUACGUACACAUUCGCGACCAGAAUGACAACGCUACGUACGCUUCGACCAGGUGGGUCCCUACUGUCAGGCACUUCCUUGCGUGCGAAGAUGUAGCUGGUGGGUCCCAGCAGUCAGGGGGCGAAUCGUUUUGUUUUUUGCCCGGACGCACUUCCUUGUGUGCGAAGGUGUAGCUGGUGGGUCCCAGCAGUCAGGGGGGAAACAUUUAUUUCGCGAAAUACGAUGGCCCGUCCGGUGGGUCCCCGCUGUCAGGUGGAGGAAUAAUUAUUUCGCGCGUAAUAAGGAGUCACUUCCUUGCUGCGGCCAUGGACCCAGCUGUUAGUGUCUCCACGCACAGUACUCUUCCAAUGGAAGUCGGUCGUUGACCACAUUGACCACGCCGCGCCGAGAGCACCACGACGGUGGACGACGGCAAGGCCUAGGAAGGGGACGACAUGGAGACAGGGAAGACUCGGCAGUUGUUUCCCACGCGGAGGGGAGUACGACUGUACGAGGGUUUACUGGUUCGUCUGCCGUCGCCGGAGAAUAACAGCAGGUGUGGGUGAGUAGAGGGAUGGCUAGGCCAGCGAUGGGAGUACGGUGGGGCGGUGAGGCCUGCACGGCAGCACAGCCGGCCGCGGGGAGGAGGGAGCAAGCAGUCCCGCCGGUGCUUGUUUGAGCGGCUGGAGCAGGAAGAGCAGAGAUUGAAGAAGCACGACGGCCGUUGGAUGGACAUCCAACAGUCAGUGCUUGUGCGUCAACCUUUUUUUAGGAAAGCCUCAAAUCUAUGGAAAACAACAUACAGCCCAUCUGCCAUUAUUUCUAAUAAUUUACAGCCCAUUUGCUAAUUCUUAAGGUUUUUUGGAGUCCAUAUUCUUUUUGUUAGCAUUACAGCCCAUAUUGUGGCCAUGGUUAAAAAAUUAUAUGAAAUUUUGCAUAUUUCGGUGCGGUCCGAACUAUUUUUAAUCCCAAAAUUUCGACUCACAUUUAAACUGAUUUUAAAAAUAAAUGUAUAUCAAUAUAAAAUCCAACAAAUUCUCCACGCAUAAAAAUUAAUGUAAUUUAAAAUCUUGAAAUGGAAAAAAAGAUAUUUGAAAUUAAUUGCCGGUUUGAUGUUUUUUAAAAAUGUACAACCCAUUUCUCAUCACUGAUGGGCCAUUUUCUCGGCCAACCGAAUGAAAGCUCUCCUCGUCUUGAAAGAUUUGCAGCCCAACAGGCCUGACAAAGCGACUUACCUGGAAAAUCAGAAAAAAAACUGGGUUGUGGCCGUGGACCCAGCUGUCAGCCUCUCCACGUACAGUACUCUUCCGAUGGAAGUCGUUCCUUGACCACGUUGACCACGCCGCGCGGAGAGCACCACGGCGGUGGACGACGGUGAGGCUUAGGAAGGGGACGACGCGGAGCCGGGGAAGACGCGGCAGUGGAAGCCCGCGUGGAGAGGAGUACGAGGGUUCACUGGUUUGGCUGCGGUGUGAGGCUGCCAUCGCCGCAGGGCCUGGCCAGCGGUGGGAAUAGUAGGGGGCAGUGAGGCCUCUGCGGCAGCACAGCCGGCCACGGGAGGCAGGAGCAUGCGGCAUGACCGGCGCUGCUUUGGGCGGCUGGAGCAAGAAGACCAGAGGUUGAAGAAGCACUAUGGUCGUUGGAUGGACAUCCUAUGGUCACUGGAGCUAGAAUCGUUCAUAUUGACUAAGUUGACAAAGCCCUUUGUCCCCCUCAACUUAGUAGGCCCACAAGUCAGCCUCCCACCAAGGUGGGUCCCAGCUAGCCUGGGGAGUAUUAAUUUUUUGUGCGUAAUAAGGAGGCACUUCUGGUGGGUCCGUGCUGACAGCGGGGGGAACAUUUUUUUCACGAAAUACGGUGGCCCGUCUGGUGGGUCCCAGUAGACAGGGGGAAAUGAUUUUUUUCGCAAAAUACUGGUGGCCCGUAUGGUGGGUCCCCACUAUCAGGUGGAGGAAUAAUUAUUUUCCGUGUAAUAAGGAGGCACUUCCUUGCGGCUGUCGUGGACCCAGCUGUCAGCCUCUCCACAUACAGUACUCUUCCGAUGGAAGUCGGUCGUUGACCACAUUGACCACGCCGCGCUGAGAACACCACAGCGGUGGACGACGGCGAGGCCUAGGAAGGGGACGACGCGGAGCCGGGCAAGACGCGGGAGUGGAUGCCCACGCGGAGAGGAGUGCGAGCGUUCACUGGUUCGGCUGUGGUGUGAGGCUGUUGUCGCCGCAGAAUAAUAGGGGGUGUGGGUGAGUGGAGGGAUGGCCUGGCCAGUGGUGGGAGUAGUAUGGGGGCAGUGAGGCCUCUGUGGUAGCACAGCCGGCCACGGGAGGCAGGAGCAGGCGGCACGACCGGCGCUGCUUUGGGUGGCUAGAGCAAGAAGACCAGAGGUUGAAGAAGCACUAUGGCCGUUGGAUGGACAUCAUACGGUCACUGGAGUAUUGACUAAGUUGACAAAGUCCUCCGUCCCCGUCAACUUAGUAGGCCCACAAGUCAGCCCAACAAUAUGGUGGGUCCCAGCUAGCAGGGGGUAUUCAUUUUUUGGGCGUAAUAAGGAGGCACUUCCUUGCGUGCGAAGAUAUAGCUGGUGGCUCCGACCUGUCAGCGAGGGGAAUGUUUCUUUCGCGAAAUACAGAGGCCUUUCCUGUGGGUCCUAGCUGUCAGGUGGAGGACUCAUUAUUUUGCGCAUAAUAAGGAGGCAUUUCCUUGCGUGCGGCCGUGGACCCAGAUGUCAGCCUCUUCACGUACCACUUCCGAUGGAUGUCGUUCAUUGACCAUGUUGACCAGGCCGCACCGAGAGCACCAGGGCGGUGGACGACGACGAGGCCUAGGAAGGGAACGACACGGAGCCAGGGAAUACUCGGCAGUUGUUUCCCAUGCGGAGGAGUACGAGGGUUUACUGGUUCGUCUGCCAUCGCCGGAGAAUAACAUCAUGUGUGGGUGAGUAGAGGGAUGGCUAGGCCAGCGAUGGGAGUACGGUGGGGCCGUGAGGCCUGCGCGACAGCAUAGCCGGCCGCGGGAGGAGGGAGCAGGCAGUCCCGCCGGCGCUUGGUUGAGCGGCUGGAGCAUGAAGAGCAGAGAUUGAAGAAGCACGACGGCUGUUGGAUGGACAUCCAACAGUCACUACUCUCGUGUGUUGACUAAGUUGACAGGGCGUUGCGUGUGCGUCAACCUUUUUUUAUGAAAGCAUACGCGUCAACCUGUAGUAGGCGCACAAGUCAGCCUCAAAUCUAUGGAAAACAGCAUACAGCCCAUCUGCCAUUAUUUCUAAUAAUGUACAUCCCAUUUGCUAAUUCUUAAGAAUUUUUUUGGAGCCCAUCUUCUUUUUGGUAGCAUUACACCCCAUAUUGUGGCCACGGUUAAAAAGUAUACGAAAUUUUGCAUAUUUCGGUGCAGUCAACUGUUUUUAAUCCAGAAAUAUCGAUUCACAUUCAAACUAUUUUGAAAAAUAAUUUAUAUAAAUAUAAAAUCCAAAUAAUUGUCCACGCAUAAAAAUCAAUGGAAUUUAAGAUCUUGUAAUGAAAAAAAAUUGAAACUAAUUCCCGGUUUGAUGUGUUUUGAAAAUGUACAACCCAUUUCCGGGCAAACCGAAUGGAACUCUCCUCAUCUUGAAGAUUUGCAGCCCAGCAGGGCCGAUAAAGCAAGUAGGCCUUGUUUGGGUAUUUCUUUUAAAAAAUAGAACUGCGCUAGCCAUUUUCAGCAAGAAAAAAAGACAACUGGGCUCAUGAUGUGGUAAACAUAAAUAAAACCCUGGCUAGACGGGCCACAGCCCCGCACAGCCCUGUUGUUACCCUGAUCCGUCGCUAAAACUAGUAUAAAUAACAACUGCUUGUUCCUCAAAAAAAUGCGUGACUUGCUGGGUCCCUAGUGUCAGCCGCUCAUAGUGUAAUUCUGUCAUUUAUUGACUAUGUUGACAAUGGCGUGAGCCCUAGAUGUCCAACCAUUAGGAGGAACCAUAUUUUUGGGCUUGUACUAUAGAGGCACUUGCUUGCGUACUGCCAUGACGCUGGUGGGUCCCUACUGUCAUCCUCUCCACGUACAGUCAUCUCCUUGUUCCUCUCGGUUGUUGACGACGUUGACAACGCAAGAGGGCGGCGCACCACGCACGGCGAGCGAACCAAGGCCGCAAGGCGGAGGACGACAACGAGGCCUCGGAUGAAACGAACAGGAGCCGUUGAAGAUGCGCCGGUCUAGUCGCAGGCGGAGGGGAGUACGAGGGUUCACUGGUUCGGGCGUGGGUGCGUGUUGGGGCUGACGUCGCCGGAGAAUAACAGGACGUGUGGGGGAAUAGAGGGAGGGACUGGCCAAUGUUGGAGGGUACAUACGGUAGGGAGGCGGAGGCGCAACCAGCCAUGGAAGGUGGGAGCAGGCGGAGCCGACAGGGUGGUUUGGUUCGGGCGGCUGGAGGAAGAAGAAGACAAGAGAUAGAAGAUACAGACAGAUGUUGGAUGUCAAUCCAACGGCUGGUAGGCAGAAUCGUUUGUUGACUGGCUAGUAAGUCGACACCACCUUGGAUAGGCUAUUUCCUCGCGGGUCCCAAAUGUCAAAAUCCAAAUCUGUCAUGGUCAUGCAGCCUUUCCUAUGAAAAUUUACAGCCCAUUUGAUGUGCUAGUUCGAAAUAAGUUUGUGGGUGCUGGUGGGGGCUAAUCACUUGGCUCCUGUAAUGCACAGUCAGCUCAAGGAGCCGGCGAGAGUGAUGUUAUUUCCCUUGGUUGGGAUUUGUUACAAUAUUUCACUCUAAAUUAAAUGAAUGGCAAGCCAUUUGCCUUGUUUCAAAGAAAAUAUGACAGUCACAGCCGAGUUGAAAAGGGCAGGAACAUCUAACUCCAACUUACAAACUGUACAAAAGCACGAGGGUUAAUUGUCCAUCAGGUUUACAAAAAAGCCAGAUUGAAAAGGGCAACAACAUCUAACUCCAGCACUGUUUUCGGCAGUCACAGUCAAAUGGAUCGAUCAGGUCCAUAGAAUGAACAUCCUGGGUCGUAAAAUUUACUGGAUUAUGACCACAAUAUGUUGUAAAUAGAAGCCCGGCACGUUCAGAAGCUCUUUUGCCCACCUAAAACUCCUUUUUUUGCUCUUCGACAUACCCAUAUGUCAAUUCAGUAAAUAUAUGGGCUUUUGAAUUGAUUUUACUAUUUACUAGUGUGGAUGGGCUGUUUUGUCUUGGGCCCGGAGAAACAAUUACUACUAGUAUAGUGGAGACACUCUACAGCUAUCCAGAAAAACAAUUACUACUAGUACAGUGGAGACACUCUACCACUUCUGGCUCCUCCUAGGUCAUUGAAACGUCUCCCUCUACUGAAUGCCGUUAUACUUUUGUUCACCGACAUGCAGGCCAUGCAGCGCGCGGGCCCAAAUGCCAUCCACCAAAUUAGAAGGCAAUAUGCAGGCGGAGAGUCACCCCGGUCGUAGCACAGUAGUAACGAGCCGUCGUAUCACAAAACCCCACCUCCCCGCAGUCUAAGUUUGACGGACGAAGCAACCAUCAUUUCACUCUUCGCUGAAUCCCCUUCUCCCUCACCGUCUUUAAGAAAGGCAUCACUCGCAUGUGCCACUGUUCUUCUCUUCGAACGAAGGGAAGGUAGCGGAUCUGUGAUGUUGGUAUAUUUUUCGUUCAGAGAAAAAAAAGAACUUUUGCAAAGCAGUAACCGAUCCUCACUCUCUCUUUUUUUUCAUUGUCAUUGCGAUUGUGUUUUCCUUUCAGUGGUCUCCUAGUAUUCGUCAGUUUCAUGAUGGACCAAGGAGAACCAGACAAAGAUCUGCCGAUAUUGGAGCAGACGCCGGAGGCUGAUCCCCACGAGACAGAGAGCUCCAAGAAGAUGGAGGCAACCACCGAGCUGACCCCAGAUACGCUCACGACCACUACUGAGAUGGUCAAUGCCCCGAUUGAGGUUACAGCCGCCGUGGCACUACAGGAGUAGUUNNNNNNNNNNNNNNNNNNNNNNNNNNNNNNNNNNNNNNNNNNNNNNNNNNNNNNNNNNNNNNNNNNNNNNNNNNNNNNNNNNNNNNNNNNNNNNNNNNNNNNNNNNNNNNNNNNNNNNNNNNNNNNNNNNNNNNNNNNNNNNNNNNNNNNNNNNNNNNNNNNNNNNNNNNNNNNNNNNNNNNNNNNNNNNNNNNNNNNNNNNNNNNNNNNNNNNNNNNNNNNNNNNNNNNNNNNNNNNNNNNNNNNNNNNNNNNNNNNNNNNNNNNNNNNNNNNNNNNNNNNNNNNNNNNNNNNNNNAGCUGCCCAAGGUGAUUUCCUUCUUUGCCGAUCUCGAUUGUGGUUUUUCAUCUAAGUAUGUGGUGAUUUUUUUAGAAAAAGAAGUAUGUGGUGAUUAAUAAUGCAAAAUUUUAUUAGCUUAGAUGCCAUGCUAUACAUAGUGGUUUAAAUAACUUGUGUUUCUUAUACUGAAAAGUAAUUCAGAAUUUCUUUCUGUUUCAAUUAGAGCCCUGAUGCAGACAAGGAUUGUGUGGUUGUACAUGUCACUCGCUAUGAGGUGGACGACCUGAAUAUACGCACUGGGAAAAUAGAGUUCUUAGGCUGUUGGAUCCUGGAAGCCAUUUGUGGUUAUACCAAUGAAGAGUUGUAUUCCAGCCUCACUGUUGUCGGGCGUGUUGUCCAGGGUGUACUGAAGCACAAGAAGUUCAAAGCUACUCCUUCGUUUGUGAGGCAUACUAUUCUUGUCAAGCUUACGGAGGAAGAUGAUGUGGCAUGCCUCCACAAACAAGUUUAUCAGUGGCAAGGCCACAAGGUUGUCUUCAUGAAGGUUCACAGGAUUGAGCUGCUGCGGGACGUCCUCGAUGAUGUUCAUGGCAAGGUCCGUCUUGUGUCCAGCCCAAAUUAGACUGAGGCAAGAAAUAGUUGCCCCAGCUAGUGUUUAAUAGUAGUUUGGAUUGUGUCUAAUUAUCCGAACCUUGCCUGUUAUCGACCCCUCUGGGGCUAGUACUCUGUUUGAAUCCGUCUAUGGGAACUGCUUCUACUUUUGUGUGCCCGUGAAUCAUGUGAGAACCAUCGUAAUUGUUGCCGAAACAGAUGCAUCCUCACUAGUUUUUUCAUGAAUAUGGCAUGGUAAGACAUAAGUUGUCACGGUUUAUCAUACGAGCAGUGUGUGUUUUGAUGAAAUAGAGCACUCGUUCGAGAACCGUGCGCCGACGUAUACAUAAGUACUUGUAAACACCGUUGGUGCUACCCCACUUGUAAGCAGUUGUGCAAAACACAGCACAUUGGCUCAGCUCGCUUCAACACUAGGCUAUCGACCAGCUAACAAUCAACAAUUUGAUGUCUGACAUAUAAGCAACUAUGUAUCUUGUUACACUGGUUCAUGCAGUUAAUUGAGGCCACAAUGUAAUAAAUUCCAAACGUUCACACGCUAGUCCAGCGCUCAUGUGGAACACUCACAUUAAACUCGUCUUCAUAAAAAACUUGAAAAGCAUAAGUUAAGCAAUUUUAUACAUCUCAAUGAUUCAUAGAACAUAACAAACAUAUACUAGUUCAUAGCAAAAGACAAAGUUGUGAGAAGGUUUACAAAUCAGGAAAAAACAAGCAAGGCUUCUCUGACCAAAGGGCCUCCCGGCAGGCUUAAAUUUCCUGGAGUUCACUCUGGUUUUUUCUUGUUGCCACCAUUCAGGGUUAGGUUCUCUCAUUCCAGAAUAACCAAUUAUAAUUGUGGUCUCAGCUGGAAUGCUGAACUGAACCAUGCAGUGUACUGACCAGCUGAAAUGCUUGUGCAUUCCACUAAAUUUAAGCACCGCUAUUUGCAGAAAUAAGCAGACCACAAUGCCUCUUGUCCGCGCACCUGUCCAAAAAACCGCCGUGCAGCCGUGCGAGCUAGUCCUCGGUCCAUGGAUGAACUGGUAGAAAGUGCAUUCCGGACUAGGAUGCAGUUGUUUUCGCUCGUCCCUGCACUACUGUAGCGACCCGACCUCAAACGGUCAAGUCUCUGUGCUUCAGUGUCAUCCCUGGAUCGGUAAUGCUGACACACACAGUACUCGAGGGAUUUAUAACAGAGUAGCAAUCACACACUUAUUACAUCGAAUGUCUCAAAAGAGAACUUAUUACAAUAAUAUGGCUUAAGGCCAUCUAAUACGAUAACAACGGAAGGCUUGGAAGAUAAAGUGAGUCCAUCAACUCCAACUGCAUAGCUGAGCUGCACGGCAACGACCUAAGGAACCUUACUCCUCGUCUGAAAAGUCUACAACAUAAUACAUUGCAGCUCGAAAAUGGGUCAGCACAUGGAAUAUGCUGGCAAUAUAACACAGUAGAGCAAGAACAGAAUAAUGCUAUCACUACAUGCAUAUUUGGCUGGUGGAAAGCUCUAUGUUUAUAGUUUUUUUUGCGAAAAGCCAAUUUUUCCCUACAACAAAGGAAUAGAUUUUAAUUUAACUAUCAUGGUGGUUGAAACAUCAUUGAGAAGGUUCCUCCAACUCAAUCCCAAUUAAAGUAAUUAACAACCCAACAAUAUUAAUUAAGAGUGAUGAGAUACUUAAGAUACUCCAAGUACUAGAUACUCAAGAUUGUCCAUAACCGGGGACACGGCUAACCAUGAUUAGAUUGUACACUCUGCACAGGUUUGCGCACUUUUCCCCACAAGACUCGAUCGCCUCCGUUAGAUUUCUCGCACUUCAUGAUAUUUGAGAAACGGAUGACCGAGACACAGUCUUUCAGAAACAUUAACUCUCUACUCCGGGCGGACCAUACCAAACCUACAACCCUCUACCUGCUGAUCCACCUCUUCAAGAGCUUCAUGUAACUUACUCAACUAUGCUAGAGCCCAUAAUAGCUUGUGGCUGCACACGGAAGUUUCUAGCAUGAAUAAUCUCAGUUCCCUUUGAGCCUGGGUGGCGGUCCAUAGGAGAAUCACACGGAACCCCGGGAUUUCCAAAAAUACAGGCAACACUGGGUACUUCAGGUGCCUCAAUCCACCCAGAUGUGUAUUUAAGUUGCCACCUUAAGUUGAACCAUUAAUUAACAAUCUCACAUCUGUCAUGGAUUUCACUGAAACCCAAACCAUGUCUACGAGCAUAGCAUAGCAAUAUAAGCAACGCGUAGAAGUAACUCCCAAGGGUUUGAUAUAACAGGGCAAUAGGUUCUACCUCAACAACUACUUCCCAACCCACAAGUUAAUGACAUCCUAUUCAUGCAAUGUUUGAGGAUUGAUUCUAAUGCAUAAAAACUGGGUAUGAAAAGAGUAUGAUCAAUGUGUUACUUGCCUUGCUGACGAUCCGCGAAACCUAGGGACUCAUAGUAGCACCCUUCGCACUCCGGGAAUUCUAUCGCAAACAAACAAUAGCAUACAUAAUCAACAAGCAGAGAUGCACGGGCAAAACUCAAAUAAGAGAGAUUGACCAGAAAGUUCAACUUAAGAACUCCGGUUUGCAAAAAGAAUCAAAUCGAACGGAGCAACGAAACUCAAACGGCGAAAGAAACAAGAUCCCUUUACUAAUCUGAACUAAAGUCAAAUUUUACAGUACCAAAACCUUGUUUAAGUUGAUUAAACAGAAAGAGGGUCUCGAGACGAAGAUCUAGGUGCUUGAAUCGCCUGAUUCCGAUAAACGAGCGAAAAGAUAAACUGAAACGAAAAUCGGAUCAGAAAUCACGAUCGAGAAUAAUCGUGGAAAAAUCCGAUAAGAAAACUGACGAACAGACUAACGAACGAGCGUUCGUUAUCUGUAACUAACGUCCGAAAACCGUUCGUUAAAACGAACAUACGGACGAACGUCCGCUAAGUAGCAGAACCGGGAAAAACCGGUGAACCGAUCUAAAAAAACAAACUAGGGUUUAAAAAAACAAUCGGUUUUCAAAAAACCCGGCGGCGGCGGAUCGGCGCGUUACCUCUCCGGCGAGGCAGCUCCGGCAAGGCGGGGCUUGGGCGGCGGGCUUGCGGGGCAGCGGGGCNNNNNNNNNNNNNNNNNNNNNNNNNNNNNNNNNNNNNNNNNNNNNNNNNNNNNNNNNNNNNNNNNNNNNNNNNNNNNNNNNNNNNNNNNNNNNNNNNNNNNNNNNNNNNNNNNNNNNNNNNNNNNNNNNNNNNNNNNNNNNNNNNNNNNNNNNNNNNNNNNNNNNNNNNNNNNNNNNNNNNNNNNNNNNNNNNNNNNNNNNNNNNNNNNNNNNNNNNNNNNNNNNNNNNNNNNNNNNNNNNNNNNNNNNNNNNNNNNNNNNNNNNNNNNNNNNNNNNNNNNNNNNNNNNNNNNNNNNNNNNNNNNNNNNNNNNNNNNNNNNNNNNNNNNNNNNNNNNNNNNNNNNNNNNNNNNNNNNNNNNNNNNNNNNNNNNNNNNNNNNNNNNNNNNNNNNNNNNNNNNNNNNNNNNNNNNNNNNNNNNNNNNNNNNNNNNNNNNNNNNNNNNNNNNNNNNNNNNNNNNNNNNNNNNNNNNNNNNNNNNNNNNNNNNNNNNNNNNNNNNNNNNNNNNNNNNNNNNNNNNNNNNNNNNNNNNNNNNNNNNNNNNNNNNNNNNNNNNNNNNNNNNNNNNNNNNNNNNNNNNNNNNNNNNNNNNNNNNNNNNNNNNNNNNNNNNNNNNNNNNNNNNNNNNNNNNNNNNNNNNNNAGGCGGCGGCGCGGGCUGCGGCGGCGGGGCUGGCGAGGGUGGUUGCGGCGGCGACUUGGGGCUCCAGGGGGGGCCCCGGGGUGGGUUUUUAAAGGGGAGGGCAGGGCGGGGGCUCGGACUCUUCCGAGUCCGGUGGCGGCACGGGACGGGGAAGGCGGUGGCGCGGGGUUGGGCCGGCCUGGCUCGGCUGGGCUUCGACCCGGUCGGGCGCUGGAAGUUUUUUUAAAUAAUUCUGCCUAACAGAAAAUAAAUCCUAGAAAAUAAAAUAAAAAUCUAAAAAUGCCAAAAUAAAUUUUCACCGUCUAAAUAAAAUAUUUAGAACGAGAUGAACAUUUUCUUGGCCCUAAAAUGCAAUUUUGAAAACGUGCAAUUUUUUCUAAUGCAAAUAAAAUCCAAAGAAAAUCAAAUAAAAUCAAAUAAACGAUUUUAAUAUUUUUCCUCCAAUAUUUCAAUUAUUUUGGAGAAGUCAUGUUAUUUCCUCUCAUAUGUUUUAAUAUGAAAUAUUUUUUGGAGAGAAAAAUUAUUAAAAUAAAAAAUCCUCGUUUCAUUAUUUGAUAACAAUCAAAUAUGAAAACUGGGAAAUCCCCAACUCUCUCCGAGGGUCCUUGAGUUGCUUAGGAUCUCGAGGAUUGCGGAACAAAAAUGCAAUAAAAUACGAUAUGCAUGAAUGACCUAUGUAUAACAUUCCAAAUUGAAAAUUUGGGAUGUUACAAACCUACCCCCCUUAAGAUGAAUCUCGCCCUCGAGAUUCGGGUUGGCUAGAAAAUAGGUGUGGGUGGUCUUUGCGAAGAUCAUCCUCUCGUUCCCAGGUGGCUUCAUCCUCGGUAUGGUGGCUCCACUGAACUUUGCAAAACUUGAUAACCUUGCUGCGGGUGACUCGGCUGGCAAACUCAAGAAUCUUAACUGGCUUUUCCUCAUAAGUCGAAUCACUGUCCAACUGAAUCGCCUCCAAGGGUACCGUAUCUCUUAACGGUAUAUCGGCCAUCUCAGCAUGACACUUCUUCAACUGCGAAACGUGGAACACAUCAUGAACCCCUGACAGUCCUUCAGGUAACUCCAACUUGUAGGCAACUUCUCCCGUACGUUCCAAAAAUACGAUACGGUCCUACAAAUCUUGGGGCUAACUUUCCCUUAACUCCAAAACGUUUCACUCCUCGUAAGGGUGAUACUCGCAGAUAUGCUCUUUUUCCAAUUUCAUAGGUUACCUCCUUGCGUUUCGGGUCUGCAUAACUCUUCUGCCUGGACUGAGCUAUCUUCAGUCUGUCACGAAUCAGCUUAACCUUCUCUUCAAACUCCUUGAUCAGGUCUGGUCCAAACAACUGUCUGUCUCCUACUUCAUCCCACAUCAACGACGUUCUGCACCUUCGUCCAUACAGGGCUUCAAACGGUGCCAUCUUCAAACUGGCUUGGUAGCUAUUGUUGUAUGAGAACUCUGCGUAAGGCAAAUUGUCAUCCCAACUAGAUCCAUAAUCUAGCGCACAUGCUCUCAACAUGUGCUCCAAAAUCUGGUUGACUCUCUCGGUCUGUCCAUCCGUCUCGGGUGAAACAUUGUACUAAACUCCAAUCUCAUUCCCAAAGUUUGGUGUAGCUAAUGCCAAAACUUCGAGGUAAACUGUGUUCCUCUAUCUGAUACGAUGGUCCUCGGAACUCCAUGCAGACAUACGAUCCUGGACAUAUAUAUCUUGGCCAACUUCGCACUUGUAUAAGUGGUUUUCACUGGGAUAAAGUGAGCCACUUUGGUCAAGCGAUCAACUACUACCCAUAUAGAAUCAUAUCCUGAUUUGGUCCUGGGCAAUCCGGUGAUAAAAUCCAUGCGAAGUUUAUCCCACUUCCACUCGGGUAUCGGCAUAGGCUAUAACAAUCCUGCUGGCUUUUGAUGCUCUGCCUUCACUCUCUGACAUACAUCACAUACGACUACAUACUCUGCAAUAUCCUUCUUCAUCCCCGUCCACCAGAAACGUUCCUUCAAAUCCAAAUACAUCUUGGUGUUUCCUGGGUGUAUUGAGUAUGGUGAGUCAUGAGCCUCCUGAAGUAUUAACUUCCUAAUCUCUGGGUUAUUGGGCACAUAAAGUCGGUCCUCAAACCAUAAGGUGUCGUGCUCAUCCUCACGAAAACCUUUGGCCUUUCCUUUGCUCAUUCUCUCUUUUAUCUCGGCAAUCUCUUUGUCAUCCUUCUGAGCUUCCCGAAUCUUACCCAACAAUGUCGACUGAACCUCCAUUGUUGCAACAAAACCUCUAGGAACAAUCUCUAAUCUAAGUUCCAUGAUAUUCUCUGCCAACUCCUUCAGUAAUCUCGUACUUGCUAGGAUGUUAGCAUAACUCUUCCGGCUCAAAGCGUCUGCUACGACGUUGGCCUUACCUGGAUGAUAGUGCAGCUUCAUGUCAUAAUCCUUUAUAAGCUCCAACCAUCUCCUCUGCCUAAGGUUCAACUCCUUCUGUGUGAAGAUGUACUUCAAACUCUUAUGAUCCGUGUACACAUCACAACGAUUUCCAAUAAGGUAAUGCCUCCAAGUCUUCAAUGCAUGCACUACGGCUGCUAGCUCCAAAUCAUGCGUGGCGUAAUUCAACUCGUGAGGUUUUAGUUGUCGCGAGGCAUACGAAACAACUCUUCCGUCCUGCAUAAGCACACUUCCAAGUCCUAAGCGAGAGGCAUCACAAUACACUUGGAAUUCCUUCCGUAUAUCUGGCAGGGUCAGCACUAGGGCUGUAGUCAAAUGUUUCUUGAACUCCUGGAAACUUGCCUCGCAGUCUUCCGUCCAUUUAAACUUAGUAUGCUUCUUCAAUAAUUCAGUCAUUGGCUUCGCAAUCUUGGAAAAGAUCUCAAUGAAUCUCCGAUAGUAUCCUGCGAGUCCAAGAAAACUAUGGAUCUCGCUAACUGAAGUGGGUGCCAACCAUUCAGUGACUGACUGAACCUUGCUAGGGUCUACUGCUAUACCUUCUCCUGAUAUAACAUGUCCAAGGAAUCCGACUUCCUUCAACCAAAACUCGCAUUUGCUGAACUUGGCAUACAACUGGUGUUCCCUGAGUUUCUCGAGAACUAAUCGCAAAUGCUCCUUGUGCUCCUCUUCAUUCUUCGAAUAUACCAUUAUAUCAUCAAUAAACACCACAACAAACUUGUCCAAAUAUUCCAUGAAUACUUUGUUCAUCAUGCUCAUGAAAUAGGCAGGAGCGUUAGUCAGUCCAAACGACAUGACCGUAUACUCGUACAAUCCGUACCGCGUGGUGAAUGCUGUCUUUGGUAUAUCUUUCUCUCGAAUCUUCAACUGGUGGUAUCCCAAUCGCAAAUCGAUCUUCGAAAACACCUUAGCUCCUUGCAGCUGAUCAAACAGAUCAUUAAUCAUCAGCAGUGGGUACUUGUUCUUAAUCGUCACUUCAUUCAGGGCCCGAUAAUCAAUAACCAUUCUUAGGGAUUUAUCCUUCUUCUCAACCAAAAGUACUGGGGCUCCCCAAGGUGAUGAACUCCUUCGAAUGUAACCUUUCUCCAAUAACUCCUUGAUCUGUUUCUUAAUCUCCUCCAGAUCAUUUGCGGGCAUCCGAUAGGGUCUCUUGGAUAUUGGCCCGGUACCUGGCAAUAGCUCUAUCAAAAACUCGAUGUCUCUAUCCGGUGGCAUGCCUGGUAACUCCUCUGGAAAAACAUCCGGGUAAUCCUUCACUACAUGCACUUCCUACUGAACAACUCCCGUGAGGGUAUUCACUUGGCUCCUUCUGGGCACAUGCCUAGAUACAUACUUAAUCCUUUUUCCCUCCGGGGUGGUGAGGUAAAUCGACUUACUAGCACAGUUAAUGCUUCCUCCAUACUUUGACAUCUAGUCCAUGCCUAAUAUCACAUCCAAUCCUCGUGACUCCAAGAUAAUUAGGUCGGACGGAAAAACAUGUGUGCCAAUGGUUAGGGGUAUCUGGUCGCACCAUCGACUAGCCAUAUACUCUGCUCCAGGUGAACUCACUAAAAGAGGGGUCCUAAGGGUUUGGGUUGGUAGUCUAAACUUAUCCACGAAUCCCCUUGAUAUGUAUGAAUGCGAUGCACUAGUAUCAAAAAUAACAAGAGUGGUAAAUGACUUAACCAAAAACUUACCUAUAACCGCGUCUGGCUGGUCUUCAACCUCCUCCAGGUUAACGUGGUUCACUUGUCCUUUGUUGAAUGGAUUGGUCUUCUUCCCAGCGCUCCCAUUUCUGUUUCCAUUCUUCCCUUCAGGGCACUCCGUGGCACAGUCUUCCCGCACUUAAAGCAAGUAAUGUGACUUAGGUCUCUUUUGGCGGGUGUGGCUGGAUUGGAGCGGUUCUGAUUGUUGUUGGCUCCAUUCCCAUUCCAAUUCUUAGAACCAUUGUGGUUAUGCGAUCCUCCUCCGGUGUGGUUAUGACCUCCAUGGUUAUGAACAAGUCCUCCCGAGUUCGGGGUUAGGCGAGGCUUCUGCUGAGCUCCUGAGUUAUACCUCCUUUGUCCAUACUUCCUCUUACGGCUCUCAAUCUGCUGCUGCUUCCCUUCAAUCAUAAGAGCCUUAUCUACCAACUCCUGGUAGUUUUUGAAGGUUUCUACCAUCAACUGCAUGCUCAUCUCGUCAUUCAGCCCUUCCAUAAACUUCUCCUGCUUCGCGGCAUCUGUGGCCACAUCGUCAGGGGCAUAGCGAGAUAACUUGCUAAACUCAUCCACGUAUUGAGCCAUAGUAUGGUUCCCCUGGCGUAAGUUGCGAAACUCGCGCUUCUUAAUAUUCAUAGCUCCAGUUGAGACAUGGGCUGUGCGUAAAGCUUGCUGAAACUGGUCCCAAGUGACGUUGGCUAUGGGGAAAGUGGCCGUGUAAUUCUCCCACCACGAGGCUGCUGGUCCAUCCAAUUGAUGUGCGGCAAAGCGCACCUUCUCAGCAUCUGUGCAACCUGCGGUGGUCAACUCCCUUCCAAUACGGCGUAGCCAAUCAUCAGCAACUACAGGCUCGGUGCUACUAGAAAACACCGGCGGCUGUAACUUUAGAAAACGGGCUAGGUUGUCAACUGGCGGCGGGUUGUUGUUGUUGUUGUUGUUGCCCUAGUUCUGAACUAGCAAUUGCAUCAAGGUGUUCUGCUGCUGGAUCAACUGAGUGAGCUCCGGUGGGAAGGCAAAAUCGGUGUCACGUCUCGGAGGCAUCUGAUGGGUUUAGAUGGAAGAGAUCGGAAUAAAAAGGGGUCUAAUGAGAAAGCACCACCCAUAUGCACAUGAGACAAACACAAUCAUUUCACUGAAUCAAUCAAGCAAGGGCAUACAAGCGGUCUAGAACUAUCACAAAAGUGCUCAACUACUACUAAAUACAUGGGGAAAUACUACUAAUAUGUGGUGGUCAUCUAGAAAUUUUGAUCGGUGGAAGACUCCAUGAUAUCUGCUCCAGCUUCAUCUUCAAAGUCAUCAUCACUAUUGUCGGGGUCCGAGUCGGUGUCGUCGAUGAUGAUGUAGUCCUUCGAGCGAAUCUCCUUGGGUUCUUCAUCUUCUCCUCCUGGUGCGGGGUCUCCCAGGAAUACUCCGAUCUUCUUAACCAGGUCGUCAUUCUUCUCCAGUAGCGUCUUAAUUUCCUCCUCAUAUCCAUCACGUGUAAACUUGAGUUCUUCCUCCAGUUCGAUGAUCCUAGUCUUCGCCUUCUUCAAGUCCAUCAUGUCUGCGCACAUUUGGUUCUCCUGACGUCGAAUGUGCUGGUUUAGCUCCUGGAUGAAAGCUGCAAUGGAUCUAUCGUUCUUGGUGCUGAUCACUUCCCGUUGCUCGUCUCGGCGCCCACAAAUCUGAUAGAUAGUGUCCUUAAGAUCCUUUUUUUAGACUUCUCCAAUGCGUCCCAUGGUAAUGUGGGCUGCCAUGCUCUUGCCUAGACUCCAGGUGGGUGCUUCGAAAGAAAAUUCUAUGGGUUUAGAGGUUGGCGAGAACGUCCUUCCUGGAACUUGUACUUGAAUCAUCCAACGCUCCUCUUCUGGUAAGGUGGCGUUGUAUGUCCCGGUGAAGCUUGGUAUUCCAAUGUUCAAGUACCUAGUGACUUCCUUCAAAUGGCAUCCAAAAGGUGUGUCUUCAUCCGGCUGUGCAAACUUGUUCUUCAUCUCCGCCAUCCUAAGGAGUAGAAAAUGGAGAGGAGUCAGAAAUGAGUAGAGAAGAGUGACCUAGGGUUUUUAUCUAAGUGGUCGUGUCAUACACUCUGCGUGUGCUCUAAUACCAUCUUGUAGCGACCCGACCUCAAACGGUCAAGUCUCUGUGCUUCAAUGUCAUCCCUGGAUCGGUAAUGCCAACACACACAGUACUCGAAGGAUUUAUAACAGAGUAGCAAUCACACACUUAUUACAUCGAAUGUCUCAAAAGAGAACUUAUUACAAUAAUAUGGCUUAAGGCCAUCUAAUACAAUAACAGCGGAAGGCUUGGAAGAUAAAGUGAGUCCAUCAACUCCAACGACAUAGCUGAGCUGCAUGGCAACGACCUAACGAACCUUACCACUCGUCUGAAAAGUCUACAACAUAAUACGUUGCAUCCCAAAAACGGGCCAACACAUGGAAUACGCUGGCAAUAUAACACAGUAGAGCAAGAACAGAAUAAUGCUAUCACUACAUGCAUAUUUGGCUGGUGGAAAGCUCUAUGGUUAUAGUUUUUUUUGCGAAAAGCCAAAUUUCCCCUACAAUAAAGGAAUAGAUUUUAAUUUAACUAUCAUGGUGGUCGGAACAUCAUCGAGAAGGUUCCUCCAACUCAAUCCCAAUUAAAGUAAUUAACAACCCAACAAUAUUAAUUAAGAGGGAUGAGAUACUUAAGAUACUCCAAGUACUAGAUACUCAAGAUUGUCCAUAACUGGGGACACGACUAACCAUGAUUAGAUUGUACACUCUGCAGAGGUUUGCACACUUUUCCCCACAAGACUUGAUCGCCUCCAUUAGAUUUCUCGCACUUCAUGAUGUUUGAGAAACGGAUGACCGAGACACAGUCUUUCAGAAACAUUAACUCUCUACUCCGGGCGGACCAUACCAAACCUACAACCCUCUACCUGCUGAUCCACCUCUUCAAGAGCUUCACGUAACUUACUCAACUAUGCUAGAGCCCAUAAUAGCUUGUGGCUGCACACGGAAGUUUCUAGCAUGAAUAAUCUCAGUUCCCUUUGAGCCUGGGUGGCGGUCCAUAGGAGAAUCACACGGAACCCCGAGAUUUCCAAAAAUACAGGCAAUACUGGGUACUCCAGGUGCCUCAAUCCACCCAGAUGUGUAUUUAAGUUGCCACCUUAAGUUGAACCAUUAAUUAACAAUCUCACAUCUAUCAUGGAUUUCACUCAAACCCAAACCACGUCUACGAACAUAGCAUAGCAAUAUAAGCAACACGUAGAAGUAACUCCCAAGGGUUUGAUAUAACAGGGCAAUAGGUCCUACCCUAACAACUACUUCCCAACCCACAAGUUAAUGACAUCCUAUUCAUGCAAUGUUUGAGGAUUGAUUCUAAUGCAUAAAAACUGGGUAUGGAAAGAGUAUGAUCAAUGUGUUACUUGCCAUGCUGACGAUCCGCGAAACCUAGGGACUCGUAGUAGCACGCUUCGCACUCCGGGAAUUCUAUCGCAAACAAACAAUAGCAUACAUAAGCAACAAGUAGAGAUGCAUGGGCAAAACUCAAAUAAGAGAGAUUGAACAGAAAGUUCAACUUAAGAACUCCGCUUUGCAAAAAGAAUCAAAUCGAACGGAGCAACGAAACUCAAACGGCGAAAGAAACAAGAUCCGUUUACUAAUCUGAACUAAAGCCAAAUUUUACAGUACCAAAAUCUUGUUUAAGUUGAUUAAACAGAAAGAGGGUCUCGAGACGAAGAUCUAGGCGCUUGAAUCGCCUGAUUCCGAUAAACGAGCGAAAAGAUAAACUGAAACGAAAAUCGGAUCAGAAAUCGCGAUCGAGAAUAAUCACGGAAAAAUCCGAUAAAAAGAAAACUGACGAACAAACUAACGAACGAGCGUUCGUUAUCUGUAACUAACGGGUGAAAACCGUUCGUUAAAACGAAUAUACGUACGAACGUCCGCUAAGUAGCAGAACCGGGAAAAAUCGGCGAACCGAUCUAAAAAAACAAACUAGGGUUUUUUUUAAAAAACCGAAUCGGUUUUCAAAAAAAUCGACGGCGGCGGAUCGGCGCGUUACCUCUCCAGCGAGGCAGCUCCAGCGAGGCGAGGCUUGGGCGGCGGGCUUGCGGGGCGGCGGGGUGGCUCGGUGGCGCGGGGCCGCUGCAGCGCGGGCAGCGGCAGGCGGCGGCGCGGGCUGCAGCGGCGGAGCUGGCGAGGGCUGCGGCGGCGGCGACUUGGUGCUCCAGGGGGGCCUCGGGUGGGUUUUUAAAGGGGAGGGCGAGGCGGCGGCUCCGACUUGGGGAGGGGGUCGCGGCGGCGGCGGCCGCUCGGACUCUUCCGAGUCCGGCGGCGGCACGUGACGGGGAAGGCGGUGGCGCGGGGUUGGGCCGGCCUGGCUCGGCUGGGCUUCGGCCCGGUCGGGCGCUGGAAGUUUUUUUAAAUAAUUCCGCCGAACAGAAAAUAAAUCCUAGAAAAUAAAAUAAAAAUCUAAAAAUGCCAAAAUAAAAAUUCACCGUCUAAAUAAAAUAUUUAGAACGAGAUGAAUAUUUUCUUGGCCCUAAAAUGCAAUUUUGAAAACGUGCAAUUUUUCUAAUGCAAAUAAAAUCCAAAUAAAAUCAAAUAAAUGAUUUUAAUAUUUUUCCUCCAAUAUUUCAAUUAUUUUGGAGAAGUUAUGUUAUCUCCUCUCAUAUAUUUUAAUAUGAAAUAUUUUUCGGAGAGAAAAAUAAUUAAAAUCAAAAAUCCUCGUUUCAUUAUUUGAUAACAAUCAAAUAUGAAAAUCGGGAAAUCCCCAACUCUAUCCGAGGGUCCUUGAGUUGCUUAGGAUCUUGAGGAUUGCGGAACGAAAAUGCAAUAAAAUAUGAUAUGCAUAAAUGACCUAUGUAUAACAUUCCAAAUUGAAAAUUUAGGAUGUUACAACUGCAAUCAGGAAGUAAAACGUACGAAUCAGAUUCUUUUAGAUUGCGUUGGUCAUUCUACCUUAGUUACUACCAAUGUAGGGAUACCUUGAGGACGGGAGGUUAGACGACGGCAAUGAGGGAUAGCCAUCUCAUUUUGCGCGGUUGUACUAAAACUGAGGUGUGUGCUUUUGAUUGCAUGGAUAGAAACGAUACGGAGACAGACAUCCCGAAACGAUAUGGAGACAGACAUCCCUGUUUGCGCAAAUACGAAAUACGGUUAUUUAAACAAUGACAGAUAUUACUACUUUCCCCAUUUCCUCUUAGAACCAAGUCCUAGAUUCAUGCUAUAGCUUUCCCACUUUCUUCCGUGUUUAAACCAACGCUUUGAGUCGACUGUAUGAACUAGCUUUACUUAUAAUAAUAGUAGAUGUCUAGGUGGCUUUGGAACAGUGGACAGAAAUAGAAAACGAUCCACAUGAAGGGAGCUGGGGCAGUAGAGCAAGGCAGGUUUCAAAGGAAUAUAUACCUGAGGGUCGUCGACAUGUGGCAAAGACGGCGUCGGGAGGCCGCAUCUUGGCCAUAAUACCGCAGGGAGGAAGAAGGGGUCGGAGGCCCUCCCGAGGCGGUGCUCUCUCGGAGAGAACGACACGGCCGCCGAUCGGGACGCACGGGCAGCCGUUGGUCUCCUCCCUCGCCGCCGACGACAGCGUGAACGAUUCACCUACACCCCUGCCCCGGUCGAGGUUGUCCGGCCGGAUUUGUGACCAGUCGUGAGCUGAGAGAGAGUGUGGCCACCUAUGUGUUGCUUAAAUCUGGAGAGCAUGAGAGAGUGAACGAGAGGAACCCUAGUAAAGCAAGCGCUAAGGCUCAUGCUUUUAUAUAUAGUGGAGUGAUUUUGUUGUACCAGCUUCAAAAAAAUGCGCUCCUACGUGUACCCACGAGUGGGUGUGAGAGAACUAGUGCGUGCGUGCACCGCUUCUCUUCGUGAGAGUACAAUAUACUAUGCCCAAAGAAUGUUCGCCGCAAGAGUAAUAGUAUAAGUGUGUGACGUGUGAGCUAAAAUGAAAUGUGCGCGCCGUCUUUUGUUUUGUAGAAGUUCUGAGGGUAGGGUGUGAAGAGCACAUAUGUGCGUGACGUCUACCUGCAGAUAGACGGUGGGUGCGACGUGCGAGUCUGCGAGAGGACUCGGGAAAGUCGUGACUCGUGAGGGUGCGUGUGCGUAUCAAUGCAAUGCAUGUGUCCGUAAAUCAUUAUCCGACAAACGUUCGCCACAAGUCUUUUCCUGACGAACGCCGUAAGAACCAUUAGAUCGGCAUCCGACAGUGUCAGUUUUGCCAUGUCAUUUAACAGAACAGCCACUCCUCCUACACACAAAUCUUCCACGUGAGUGUUAGCAACUGCCGUAUGCUCUCUCCGUUCCGAAAUGUAGUGCAUAUAGCUUUAUUGAAAAUUCGAACCUCGCAAACUUUUACCGAGUUUUCGUGUACCAAAUUGCACAUGUAGAAUACCAUGUAUAUAUAUCAUUUCAUUCAUCUUUUAGAGGUAACUAUAAAGAUGGGUGAUGAGUCUACAAAGAAAGACCAUCGUAUCACCCGCAGCAAUUUCAAGCAUCCUUUAGUGUUGAGGAAUAUCAUAGGAACUCUAUAUGAUAUGAUUUUUGUAGGAUUUUUUUCCUUUAGAGUCAAUUGGUUCAUAGAAAUAGAUUCAUAUACUCCACAUUUCAAAGAAAAUAAACAUGAUAUCAUUUCUAUAGCUUUAGAGCCACUUGGUUCAUAUGAAUGAAUUCUUAUACUCCCUUAAUUUCAAAGAAAAUAAACAUUAGCGCAUAUUCAAUAGAAAAGUUCCUAUGAUAUGAACCAAAUUACAUCUCUUUUCUAAUCCCUCCUCAUAGGAAUUGAGAUACAUGUCAUCUCUAGAUUCAAUAGAAAAGUUCCUAUGAUGUGAACCAAAUGACACCUCUUUUCCAAUAUAUACCUACUAAUAAAGCAAGAUGCGUUUCUCCAAUAGUUUCAUCCGUUCAUCGCCGAAAAUAAUUUUUUGCUAUCCGAGGUUGUACUAAAUUUUUGUUUGUCUCUCCACUGGAAAAGACAAAAAGUUUGUCCAGAAUACCGCAACUGGGCCAGGCGCACUUCAGCCCAACAAAACCAACCCAGUAGUUACCCUGCCCAUGCGUCGCCAGGACCUUAUUUGUCCCCGGUAGCGACAAAUAGUUGAAUGUACAAACAAGUCACCCAAGACUGGGCGAGCCUAUUUUUGUUUUUUCUGUAUUCGGUUUCUGUUUAAUUUUUAUUCCCUCCUUCUUUAUUUUUAUUGUUUUGGAAAAUAAAAAUAUACAAAAUGUAUUCAGAAUUUCAUUUUUUUUCAAAUAUUCAAAAGAAUUAGCAUUACAAAAUUUUAUUCCUGUCUUAAAAAUAUUAGCAACUUAAGAAAAUUGGUUUCGUAAUUUCCUCAACAUUUUAAAAAUGUUGCAAUUUAAAAUAAAUCUAUUUCAGAAUUGUUUGAUAUUUUUUAUAAAAUUAUUAUUUUAUAAAAUGUUCGAUAUUCAAAAAAUAUUCCUAUUUUAGUGAAAAGUUCAGAAAUACAAAAAAAUGUUUGCGUCUAAGAAAACAUUUUUAAAAAGUUUUUAAUGUUCCCCUUUUCAAAAAUAAUAAUAAUGUUCUGUUGUAUAAAUAGUUCAUGUUUUCAAAAUAUUUUUUCUUAAUUUCAAUUACUACUCCCGUUUCUAAUUUUGUUUGUGUUUUUCCAAAACUAUGUGGAAUUUAAGAAAAAUGUUGACAUUUUUUUAGAACUGUCCGGGUUUUUCUAUAUCUAUACCUCUAUAUCUACAUCUAUACCUAUACUAAUAAAGCAAGGUGCGUUUCUCCAAUAGUUUCGUCCGUUCGUCGCCAAAAAUAAUUUUUUGCUAUCCGAGGUGGUACUAAAUUUUUGUGUGUCUCUCCACUGGAAAAGACAAAAAGUUUGUCCAGAAUACCGCAACUGGGCCAGGCGCACUCCAGCCCAACAAAACCAACCUAAUAAUUACCCUGCCCAUGCGUCGCUAGGACCUUAUUUGUCGCCGGUGGCGACAAAUAGUUGAAUGUACACACAAGUCGCCCAAGACUGGGCGGGCCUGUUUUUUUUUUUCUGUAUUCGGUUUCUGUUGAAUUUUUAUUUCCCCCUUCUUUAUUUUUAUUGUUUAGGGAAAUAAAAAUAUACAAAAUGUAUUCUGAAUUUCAAUUUUUGUUCAAAUAUUCAAAAGAAUUAGCAUUACAAAAUUUUAUUCCUGUCUUAAAAAAUAUUAGAAACUUAAAAAAAUUGGUUUCAUAAUUUCCUCAACAUUUUAAAAAUGUUGCAAUUUAAAAUAAAUCUAUUUCAGAAUUGUUCGAUAUUUUUUAUAAAAUUAUUAUUUUAUAAAAUGUUCGAUAUUCAAAAAAUAUUCCUAUUUUAGUGAAAAGUUCAGAAACACAUAAAAAUGUUUGCGUCUAAGAAAACAUUUUUAAAAAUGUUGUUAAUGUUCCCCUUUUCAAAAAUAAUAAUAAUGUUCUGUUGUAUAAAUAGUUCAUGUUUUCAAACUAUUGUUUAUUAAUUUCAAUUGCUACUCCUGUUUUUAAUUUUGUUUGUGUUUUUCCAAAACUAUGUGGAAGUUAAGAAAAAUGUUGACAUUUUUUUAGAACUGUCCGGGCUUUCAAAAAAAUUAACGUUUCCAAGAACAUUCGGCGGUUUUCUUUGAAUGUUCAAAAUAAUAAAUAAAUAAAUAAAAUCUGAAGCUGUCGUAUCUUCUUAAAUAUUCGCGUUGGCCAUUGAUUAGAGUGCGCGUUUGUUCUAUCCUGGUUGGAAAUAAAUUAAAAAAAGGGCAUGUGCCAAUAAAAGAGUAUAUGUUGUUUGGCUCUAAUUAGAAAAAAAAUGGUUGAUACGUGAGCGCUAAAAUAAUCAAAGAGAAUAAACCAUCAUAAUGAAGGGACAUUCAUGACUGAUUAUGCUUAUGAAACAUGAUUUAUGCGCUGCAAUUAGUAAUCCAUCCGGUUACGCAGUUGUAGGAGAGUGGUCGAAGCAACUGUGUCCCGAAGAUCGUCACACACCCAUCAAAUGAGGAGGUAUGCACAACCCCGAGAUGGAGGCGGACGCGGAAAAAAAGCACGAGUUGGGUGCUCGCCACCGCGCCUACCAACCCCACCACUAUCAAGAUUUCAUGGGCCAAACACGUCCAGUGAGAAGACAACUCCUUGCUCUAUCGCCUACCGUUGUGGAGACCGUUUUUUGUGGCCACAUCGAUUAUCGUUCCCGUUAUUUGUCGUAAAUAAAAUAUCUCACCCGUUGCAUCGCGUGGGCAUUUGUGCUAGUCCCUACUCAUAGGAAUUGAGAUGCUCCAUGUUAUCUCUUUCCCUACAACUUCCAUGUAUACAUCUUCUAUUCCUAAAUAGAUAGUACAACCCACUAGUAGCUUUUUUCCAAAACAUGCAACUAUGGCACAAGAACUAUAUAGUGUGCCAAUAACUUUGAAAUAUGGUCGCUGGAUGAAGCUAACCCAACAAUGCAGAGGUAGGUAAAUCCGAGCACUACUGGUCGUUGGAUAUCAUCAACAUUCCACCAGAUCUGCCACAUGUACAAUUUAGAAGACUCCAUGGUUGAACUUAAGCAUAAUGCACAAAGCUCAAAACAUAAGCACUUCUCUUUUGUUCUAGAAUCUUCUGUAUCAUAAUUGAUUAUUUUUUCUAAAUGAAUUGCCAUUAUUUGUUUUUUACUUUAUGAUUUACAAUGCACAACCCCAUGAAUCUUAACAUUUUUAUAAAACUAAUUGAUUUUGAAUGAGAUGAACUAUAAGAACUAAACGAACAUCUACAUCAUGCAUAUAUGACUCAAAACUUUACAUGCUAUAGUGUGUAUUUAUUCAUAAUUUGGUUUCGAAAUCUCAUGCGUUCAAUACAUGUGUACCUUACUAGUUUUGAGUAGAGUAGCAAAUUUCACGCGUCCCCGGGUAUAUCAAAAUGCAGCGCCCAUGCAUCAUUACCUUUCGGUCGAACCUACGUCCACAAUUUUUUGUACGUACUAUAUCUCCACUGGUCCCCGAACUCAAAAUCCUGCCGCAUUCCCGUAAAACCAAGCGGCCCACACAUAUUUAAGGCGUCGACUCGAACCCGUUUACUACGACGUGGCCCCGCACGCCUUAGUACUCCUACAAACCCUACCGCCGCACUCAUCAUCGGUUUUCUUUAAGAGAACAAGGGAGAAGCCGAUUUGUAGGGGAGGCGCUUUAAAAAAAAGGAUCUGUAGUGGAGACCCCUACCCUAGGUGCCCUAGGUAGCUGCCGCACGCAUCAUUGUUUUCUCUUUUCUUUAUGCUCUUGCGCCCUAGAGUGAAAUGAUGGUUGCUUCGUCCGUCCAGCUUAAUGCGGGAAAGGUGGGGCUUUGUGAUUUGACCCCUCAUCGCUCAUUUUCUACUACUGCGGCGCUAUGACCGGGGUGCCUCCAAUUCCAACCGCUGCUCCGAACUGUAAUUUGGUGCAUCGCACGUGGAACAAGAUGGUGGAUGAGCCACAUGUCGGCCAAAGGGGUCCUGUUAAGUGUGUCGCCAUUUCGUGUGCGGACUGACUCUGCUUGAGUUGCUACGCCAACACGACGGGAGUAGCCUACCACUUGGUUUUGCUCCUUGGUGAAUCCCGACUAUAUUGAUCUAAAAAGAUACAUGCUGAACUACCCUCUCCAUCUUGGUUUUUUUAUUUUUAGGCAUCUCGAUUUAUAGGGCCUGCACGUAGUUCUAGGUCAUCUAUUUGACUAACUAAAUAUGAGUUACUAUGUCACAAAAAGUAUAUCAUUGGAUUCUUAAGCGGAUGUAGUUGUAUUUAAAAGUCGAGGGUGGGGCUUUUCCUGCACGGUAGGCGGGGUAGUUCCGCCUAGUCGGUUCGACAAAGACGCGAGAAGACGAGGGAGUAGGCUGCUGCAAACGUAGGGCUGUGUGAUUUGACAACGAGUUACUGCUGGACAGGUGGGGCCCCGUGAUUUGACUUGCCAUUAUCAUUUUAACUGCGGCGCUACGACCGGCGUGAGUCUCCCGAUUCCUGACCACCUCCAUUACGAAGAAAGAGAUAGAGAUGAGUAAAAAAAUACACUUAUAGCCAACCUUGUUGUAGUAUGAGUGACUAAGUGAUGACUAUGUAUGACAUGCCAACGUCAGAUAGCCUAACGCACCGUCUUAAAUCUCCAAGGGCGCGACCGCGCAAGCGACGCGAUGGUCGUGGUAGGCGCGACCAUGAUACGGGCUGCUGGCAGCCCUUGGAUCUGAGAUCAAACGGUCGCAUGCUAAGUUGCUGAAAAUUUGCAGAAUAACCCUCCAGGAUAGGAUAUUCACCCAUAGGUCUAGAAUCAUGCCAUGCAACCUUUUGAUCUCAGAUCCAAGGGCUCUCGGAAGCCCGUAUCAUGGGAGAAUGGAAAGCCACUACCCCGCCGUUCGCACGCUGGCAAUUCGCUCCUACUCAUCCCCGCACGUCCUUCAAUACUACGGCGGUUCGCUCCUAGUCGUCCCGUCCAUUCACAUUAUGGCAGUUCCACUAAUCCUAACCCUCCUCCCAAUUCCAUGGCGUCCCAAAUCUCCACGAUCGGCGGUGAAUACAAGGUUAGAACCAUCACCGGCGAUGAGUUCGACGUCAUCUACACCCAUUCUUCCGCGACGGUGAAAGGAUGCCUUUCUCGCUUCAGGCGCAUGUUCGAAAACUCAGAUGAUGAGUGGGUUGCUGGGCUAGAUGUUGAGUACACCACAAUCCUGGGACCAGAGAAGGAUCUAAAGGACGAAGAGAGGAAGAAGCCCGCCGUGAUCCAGGUUUGCGUACAUAACGUUUGCUUGGUCUACCACAUAUGGCAUGCCGAUGUUGAGUGCCAGGAUUUUAAGAACUUCCUCAAGGACAAACAGUGAAUUUCGUUACUGUAGACUUUAAGAACGACAGGGAUGUCCUGCAUCGGAUAGGUCUCGUUGUAGGCAACCCCUUUGACCUCCAGAAGAAUCGGCUGGUGUCCUCUCGUCAGCCUUCAAUGCUGACCCUGGCAGGAGCCAUGGUUCAUCCUUCGUACGGUAAACUGGAGAAACCUCCAUACACGUUUCAUCGUCAUGCAUGGCAGCGGAAUGUACUAGAUAUAGACCACAUCCACUACGCUACAAUGGAUGGCUACCUUUGCUUCAACAUCUACAAGGGUUGGAUGAAGAGCAACAACCAAGUGUGCGGUUCAAGCAAAGAAGUAUCAGCCAAGAGGGAGAGGGACAAGGACGAAGUCGAGGACGUGGACGAGGACUCCGAGUAAGGUGGCAGUGUCGUUGCUCAUGGUGGUUCUAAACUUCUAAUACAGUGUCUACCGGAUUAGUUGCAUAGUUUAAUUUCAGGUGUGCUUAGUUUAAUUUGAGGGGUGUGUUGUGCUGAGCCCCCAGCAGAACUAUAUUAUGUUUCUUCUCGUUACUUUAACUCUUCAGUCUGUACAUACUACUAGUAUUUCUUUAAUAGAAUUCAGCACCCCAAUUAAGCACGUACUAACUUUUUUAAUAGUACUAAUAUGCAUAAUUUGGCGACGAGCGCUCUCUAUAUGUACCACUUUUUUUAAUUUCAAUUUUUGCUCCAUGGCGCAAUCCAUCGAUAGUACUAUUGUACAAAAGUAUACAUUUUUUAAAAGGCUAGAGUACUGUUCAUCACAUAUAUAUAGCCAGUUAGAUUCUGAACCUAGAACGACGUGCAUGCCAUGUAGUAAGCCGAUACGGAGGAAGUAUAGUAAAAAUGAGGUGAUUUUACCGAGCGAUCGGCGGGGGAGCAUGGCCUGUCAUGCGGUCCCACGUGUCAUGAUGUACCAAGGCAAUGCGCGUGUCCCUCUUGAGACAGAAGCAAUACUACGUGGUUUGAGAUGAUGGCGGACCGAAGUGUGAAAUAAUGGUUGCUUCGUCCGUCUGGGAAGGUGUGACAUUGUAAUUUGACAUCUCAUUGCUCAUUACUACUACUGGGCCGGUACGAGUGGGGUGCGUCCCCCCUGCUGUUCUGCACUGUUAUUUGGUGCCUGACACGUCGACCCGGUUGCUAUAUGUCCCACAUGUCGGUGACAGGAAGUACAUAAUUCAUGAAAGGGAGCGUCGACGGAGGAGUAUACUAUAGAAUUCAUGAAAGGGAGCGACUUAGUUUUGGAAAAAUCUGAUUUUACGGAGUACGUACCCACUAGGGUUUAUAGGGCUCAUCUAAAAAACAUUCGUUUUUCCAUUUGAUAAGUCUCAAUUCUACUAUACUAGUAGUAGCACCAUUACAUGUUGGAUUUUGAGGUGCGUUAGAUCACCCGACGCAAGUAGUGUCAAGAGGAAACUAACCAAUGCAUGUACAAGUUCAUGGAAAUUUAGUGGUCAUUCAUGCAUUCGUUCUAAUUAAUGCCUCGGUAAACAUAACUUCUUGAGAAAAACGAGCGUACUAAUUACUUGUGCAAACUACAAAAUUAAUUCGACCACUCACCGUCUACCUUGGUUGGAGAGAUUUUGAAAUUGAGCCAUAAACUAGAAAGGAGGGAGUAGUAACUUUUGUCUCGAUUACUAUUUGUGGCCUUGUAUAGAUGCAAAAUGUAUUUUUUUAUACUGGCCUUGUAUAAGUAAAUGGAGGGAGUACUAACCAAAGUACGUAGUAGGGACGAGGAGUAAACAGAGGGAGUAGUAAAAUUUUAUCUUCAAGUGGGCGAGGGAGCGGGCGUAAAGGCGUACAGUAGUAGUAGUACUAGUACUACUCGUAAGCAAGCUUCACCUCAUCCUGCAAGCCACCGCGCCCGUGGGCGGGGGAGACGGCGUACUAAGCAAGCUUCUCCUCGCUCUGCGAGUUGACGGGACACAUCAAAAGUACUCCAGUGUAUAGAGCCUUGCCUCUAAGGUAGGCCCCACAUGGUUUUCCUCUUUUUUUAAUUUAACAUAACGCGUCAAGUCGCAAUUUGUUUGUUCACCCGUAGUAGACGAUCCUCCCUACACCAAGUGGACAACCAGUACACGUGCCAAAUUACCACGUGGGCUGCCUUUUUCGUACAGAAAUGAGCUCCAUCGUGUACCCGCGUGGGUGUGGUUGGGAAAGAGACGGGAGUACAUGCGCCGUGCGUGCACCUCUUCUCUUCGUGCACGUACCCCACCUACGUGGGUGUGUGUGAGAGAGAUACAAAUCUAGACAUAAUGCGCCGUCCAUCCCCAUGCCUCCGCCCAGUCCGACCACCAGUCACCACCACGCCCCACUCCUCCUCACCUUAUCUCUCAUCUUUCUCCCUCCAUUUUUAUAUACAAGGGUUCACUAUCAAAAUUACAAUUUGCAGAUAUACAAGGCCACUAACACUAAUCGAUGCAAUAUUAAUGGUGUUUGCCUCAUGGUACUAGCAAAGGAGGACAUUAAUUAUCCCUUGCAUGCAUGCAGGAGUUUGUAAAAAAAAUGCAUCUUGAUGUUCCAUGCAAUGCACGGGCAUCUUGCUAGUCCAUGAAAACAAGACAUGGCAAAAUUCCACGGCGAACGAGGGAUUUGAAUCUGUUGGGAGGGGCUGUUUGGAUCUUGCCUGGGGUAGCUGAGGGAGUCCUGGAUUAGAGGGUGUUCAGGCAGCCGGACUAUACCUUCAGCCGGACUCCAGGACUAUGAAGAUACAAGAUUGAAGACUUCGUCCCGUGUCCGGAUGGGACUUUCCUUGGCGUGGAAGGCAAGCUUGGUGAUGCGGAUAUUCAAGAUCUCCUACCAUUGUAACCGACAUUGUGUAACCCUAACCCUCUCCGGUGUCUAUAUAAACCGGAGGGUUUUAGUCCGUAGGACAACUUCAUCAUACAACAAUCAUACCAUAGGCUAGCUUUUAGGGUUUAGCCUCCUUGAUCUCGUGGUAGAUCUACUCUUGUACUACCCAUAUCAUCAAUAUUAAUCAAGCAGGACAUAGGGUUUUACCUCCAUCAAGAGGGACCGAACCUGGGUAAAACAUCGUGUUCCUUGCCUCCUGUUACCAUCCGGCCUAGACGCACAGUUCGGGACCCCCUACCCGAGAUCCGCCGGUUUUGACACCGACAUUGGUGCUUUCAUUGAGAGUUCCUCUGUGUCAUCGCUUUUAGGCCCGAUGGCUCCUUCGAUCAGCAACAACGAUGCAGUCCAGGAUGAGACUUUUCUCCCCGGACAGAUCUUUGUCUUCGGCGGCUUCGCACUGCGGGCCAAUUCGCUUGGCCACCUUGAGCAGAUCGAAAGCUACGCCCCUGGCCAUCAGGUCAGGUUUGGAAGCCUAAACUACACGGCUGACAUCCGCGGGGACUUGAUCUUCGACGGAUUCGAGCCAUAGCCAAGCACGCCGCACUGUCUCGAUGGGCAUGAUAUAGCACUACCGCCGAACAGCGCCCUGGAGGCCGCACACACAUCGGUUUCGACCAUUGAUUCGGAGCCUACUGUGUUGAUCGAGGACCAGCGGUUGGAUGCUGCCUCAGGGGCUGCGAUCUCAGAGGCGAUUGAGCCGAACUCCAGCCCCGCACUCCGCAUGGCCCGUGACUCCGAGGAGCCGGAUUCCUCUCCGAACUCCGAGCCCCCCGCGCCCCUGCCGAUCGAAUCGGAUUGGGCGCCGAUAAUGGAGUUCACCACCGCGGACAUCUUUCAGCACUCGCCCUUCGGCGACAUCCUGGAUUCUCUAAAGUCUCUCUCUUUAUCAGGAGAGCCCUGGCCGGACUACGGUCAGCAAGGUUGGGAUACAGACGAUGAAGAAAUUCAAAACCCACCCACCGCCCACUUCGUAGCCACUAUCGACGACUUAACCGACAUGCUUGACUUCGACUCCGAAGACAUCGACGGCAUGGACGACGAUGUAGGAGACGAACAAGAACCAGCACCUGUAGGGCACUGGAAGGCCACCUUGUCAUAUGACAUAUAUAUGGUGGACACUCCAAAGGAUGGAGAUGGCGAUGGAACAGCGGGGGACGAUACCUUUAAGAAACAGCCCAAGCGCCGGCGUCAGCGGCGCCGCUCUAAAUCCCGCCAAAGCAAAAAUGGUGAUUCCGGCACGGGAGAUAAUACUACUCCGGAUAGCGCCGAAGAACACCCCCUGCAGCAAGAUUCAGCAUAGGAGGACAGAGAAGCCAUCCCUCACGAGAGGGCGGCGGACCAAGAGGUUGAGGACGAUAAUUAUAUGCCUCCCUCCGAAGACGAGGCAAGCCUCGACGACGACGAGUUCGUCGUGCCAGAGGAUCUCGCCGAACAAGAGUGUUUUAAACGCAGGCUUAUGGCCACGGCAAGCAGCCUCAAGAAAAAGCAGCAACAUCUUAGAGCUGAUCAGAAUUUGCUAGCUGACAGAUGGACUGAAGUCCUUGCGGCCGAAGAGUAUGAACUCGAAUGCCCCUCCAAGAGUUACCCAAAGCGCAGGCUGCUACCCCGACUAGAGGAGGAAGCACCUACAUCACCAGCGCAUGACAUGGCCGGCCGGCCACCUCGUGGCCGCGACAGAGAGGCCUCUUGGCCCUCCACUCAAGCCAUGCCCCGACGCCGCGUUAAGCAUACUAAGUCAUGGGAAAAUGCGCCCGACCUGCGCGACAUACUGGAAGACAAGGCAAGGCAAACAAGAUCGAUCUACGGAUCACGCAGGCGCCCCACGGCACGUGACGGUGAUCGUCACUCCGGAUGCAAUAAAUCCGCCCGGGCCGAACUCAACAGACAAAGCUCCUUCGAGCUGCGUCGUGAUAUAGCCCAAUACAGAGGCGCCACACACCCACUAUGCUUCAUAGAUGAAGUAAUGGAUCAUAAAAUCCCUGAGGGCUUCAAACCCGUAAACAUCAAAUCGUACGAUGGCACAACAAAUCCUGCGGUAUGGAUCGAGGAUUAUCUCCUUCAUAUCCACAUGGCGCGCGGUGAUGAUCUACACGCCAUCAAAUACCUCCCACUCAAACUUAAGGGACCGGCCCGGCAUUGGCUUAACAGCUUGCUAGCAGACUCAAUCGGUUCUUGGGAGGACCUGGAAGCCGCAUUCCUUGACAACUUCCAGGGCACUUAUGUGCGACCACCGGACGCCGAUGACCUAAGCCACAUAAUUCAGCAGCCAGAGGAAUCGGCCAGGCAAUUCUGGACACGGUUCCUAACAAAGAAAAACCAGAUAGUCGACUGUCCGGACGCAGAGGCCUUAGCGGCCUUCAAGCAUAAUAUUCGUGACGAGUGGCUUGCCCGGCACCUGGGACAGGAAAAGCCGAAAUCUAUGGAAGCCCUCAUGACACUCAUGACCCGCUUUUGCGCGGGAGACGACAGCUGGCUAGCUCGCAGCAACGAUUUAACCAAUAACCCUAGUAAUUUGAAUACCAAGGACGAAAGCGACAAGUCACGUCGGAACAAACAAAAGCGCCGCGUUGACAACGACAGCAACAAGGAUACGACAGUUAAUGCCAGAUUCCGAGGCUACAAAUUCGGUCAACGGAAAAAACCAUUCAAAAGAAAUACUCAUGGCCCGUCCAGUUUGGACCAAAUACUCGACCGCUUGUGCUAGAUACAUGGCACCCCCAAAAAGCCAGCCAAUCACACCAACAGGGAUUGUUGGGUGUUCAAGCAGGGAGGCAAGUUAAGAGCCGAAAACAAAGACAAGGGGCUGUAUAGCGACAACGAGGAGGAGCCCAGGCCGCCGAACAACGGUGGACAUAAGGGAUUUCCCCCGCAAGUGCGGACGGUGAACAUGAUAUACGCAACCCACAUCCCCAAGAGGGAGCGGAAGCGUGUGUUACGGGACGUAUAUGCGAUGGAGCCAGUCGCCCCAAAGUUCAACCCAUGGUCCUCCUGCCUGAUCACCUUUGAUCGAAGGGACCACCCCACCAGCAUCCGUCACGGCGGCUUCGCCGCAUUGGUUCUAGACCCAAUCAUUGACGGAUUUCAUCUUACAAGAGUCCUCAUGGACGGCGGCAGCAGCCUGAACCUGCUUUACGAGGAUACAGUGCGAAAAAUGGGCAUAGAUCCCUCAAGGAUCAAGCCCACCAAAACGACCUUUAAAGGCGUCAUACCAGGUGUAGAAGCCAACUGUACAGGCUCAGUCACACUGGAAGUGGUCUUCGGAUCUCCGGAUAACUUUCGAACCAGCCCGUUCCGUAGUGGCUAUCACGCACUGCUCGGGCGAACCGCAUUCGCAAAAUUCAACGCGGUACCGCACUAUGCAUACCUCAAGCUCAAGAUGCCAGGCCCUAGAGGAGUAAUCACGGUCAAUGGGAACACCGAACGCUCCCUCCGAACGGAGGAGCGCAUGGCAGCGCUUGCAGCAGAAGUACAAAGCAGCCUCUCUAGGCAGUUCUCCAGUUCAGCCUUCAAAAAGCCGGACACUGUCAAGCGCGCCCGGAGUACCCUACAACAAGACCGCCUGGCACGUUCUGAGCUAGCAUAGCAAUGCGGCCCCAACCCUAGCCCUCGCGAUAUAGCGAAACCAGUGCUUCACGUACAUAACUACGCUCUUGAAAUACCAUGGGCACAGGGAAAGGGGCACUAUCACGGCACGCCCGAAAUACGGCUUAAACCGCACCAGGGGCUGCCGGAUUCCUUUCUUUUCUUUUUUCUCUUACUCUCAGGACUCCAUACUUCGGAUGACCCGUUCGACAAUUCAACUGCCGCACAAACGAUGCAAGAUCCAGGAAAGCAGACAAGCCACGCCGCAUUAUGGAACUCCCAGGUGGUCUCUAUUGCGAGCAGUAUACCUGUUUUUAAUACAAUUCCGCGGCCUGCCCCUGGCCAGGACAUGUUAAAUAGUCCAAUUUCUUUUGCUUAUCGCACUAUUUGUAUCGUUCCGCUUUCAUAGCAGCCUUUCUAUAAACAAUGCAUAGCUUUUUGUCUAUUUUUUGCAUUAUCCUCUUUUUAUAUAUAUAUGUUUAUCAAUAACAUGUUGCAUCCGUACACUAUGGUACGGCAAAAAUACGCCAGGGGCUUCAGCACCCAUCAAUAUGGCGUGAGAAGUCCGUACACUUCCACAAGUGCGGCACCCCGAACUUAUAGCACUAUAUGCAUCGGCCCCGAAUCAUGAUUUGGGUCAAUAGUUGGGUUUGCCCGGCUCCUAUAUUUUGGUGCCUUAUGUUCCGCUAUAUCGGCUAAGGUAGCACUAGGAGAACUACUGCGAUUGUGCCCCAGUUGAGCUGGGCUGAGAACCUCAGUAGAGAAAGCUAAAACCGACUGUCAUGAUGAGGCGAGAGACCGGUCGCUAUUCGAGAGGUUUUUCGAGUCCUUAAAGACUUAUGCCGCUUCGAGCGAGGAACCGGCUUUGUCCGGCCAAGGCGUGGAUAGCGCCCCGAACUCGGUCUUCCGAAUACUAGGGGCUUCGCCGAAAUUUAAAAUUAUAGAGUUCUAUGGCUAAGUGAGAGUGUUCAAGCAUUAUAGUCCGAUUGCCUUGUUCAUUGUGCUGAGCGCCUCCCUCGACGGACCCAAUCAUGGGAAAAAGAGCGCUCAGGUUUAUCCCGAACACCCCAGCACUAGUGGCAUGGGGGAAGAAGCCGACGACUGGCCAUCUCUCAAUUUUUUGAUAAACGGCCGCACAAAAAGUAAUAUUUUAAAUUCAAGCAUUGCUUAGCGCAUAUGAACAAGUUUUCAGCGCACAGGAUAACACGAGCGAGUUCAUUCAAAAAUUACAUCCUUGGUGCAUUCAUCCGCCAUAAGGCGGGCACCGGCCAGAACAUCCUUGUAAUAGUUCUCGGGCUUGCGAUGCUCCUUCCCCGGCGGCGGGCCGUCCCUCACAAGCUUCUCACCGUCCAGCUUACCCCAGUGCACCUUUGCACGGGUAAGGGCCCUACGGGCACCUUCGAUGCAGAUGGAGCGCUUGAUGACCUCGAGCCUUGGACAAGCCUCCACCAGCCGCCGCACCAGUCCGAAGUAACUCCCAGGCAGGGCCUCUCCAGGCCACAGCCGAACUAUGAAGCCCUUCAGGGCCUGUUCGGCCGCCUUGUGGAGCUCGACCAGCUGCUUCAGCUGGUCGCUCAAGGGCACAGGGUGUCCGGCCUCAGCGUACUGAGACCAGAACACCUUCUCUGUCGAGCUACCUUCCUCGGCUCGGUAGAAUGCGGCGGCAUCGGAUACGCUGCGUGGAAGAUCUGCGAAUGCCCCUGGAGAGCUCCAGAUUCGGGUAAGUAACAAGUAGUUUACUUUUAUAUGUCUGCUUUGCAUAGAGAAUGCCUUACCCGCCACUAUCUUUUUCACCACAUCCAAUUCCUGGAGGGCCUUCUGGGCUUCGGCCUUGGCAGAUUUGGCAGUUUUAAGGGCCGCAGCAAGCUCGGACGCUCGCGUCUUCGAGUCGAGCUCCAAACUCUCAUGUUUUUUCAUGAGAGCCUGAAGCUCUUGCUGCACCUCGCCGACCUGCGCCUCAAAUUUCUCCCGCUCGGUGCGCUCCGUGGCCGCUCUCUUCUUGGCCUCGGACAGCGCCUGCUUGAGGGUCGCCACCUCAGUUGUGGCCCCUACAAUAAGCAGUAUACUCCUGUCAUUUUUUGCAAUUGCGUCUUCUUAUAGGCAUUUUUUCUAUAAGGUAUCUCUUACCUUCUUUCUCCUCGAGCUGCCGUUUGGCAAGGCCGAGCUCUUGCUCGGUCUGCUCGAGGCCCUGCUUUAGGGCACCCACCUCCGCAGUCAGUGCGGCAGUGGCCAGCAGCGAAGCCUGCAUACGUAUAUUGACUCCUUUUUAGUUAGACUCCUGCGAUAUUUAAUAGAUCCUCUAUUUGGCUUUUCUUUCCGAACGCCAAACAGAGCAUCAGGGGCUACUGUCUACGCGGUAAUAUUUUUACAUAUUUCUACUUACCUCGAAGCCUGUUAGAAGGCUAGCACAAGCUUCAGCAAGUCCGCUUUUGGCAGACCGAACCUUCUGGACCGCCGUACUCAUGAUGGUACGGUGCUCCUCGUCGAUGGAGGCACCCUUAAGCACCUCCAGCAGAUUGUCUGGCGCCUCCGGUUGGACGGAGGACGCCAGCUCAAUAGGCCUGCUCCUCUUGGCAGGAGUUCACCUGCCGCAGUCGGGAACCGUUGAUGAUUCCGGCGCGGUGUCCGGCUUAAAGCCGGACUUGGAGCCCUGGGGGGUCUUGUCCCCUUUACUCCUGGAGUCCGGGAGGUCGCCUCGCGGCUCCUCUUGGACCACCUCCUCUUGCCACGGAGCUUGUCGCGACGCCACUUCGGCGUCAUCCGCAGCACAGGGGGAGGCAGCGGGCGGAGCUGAAUUCACGUCCGAUGAAUCCAGGAAGCCGCUCGACGACUCGUCGAGCCCAUCCUUGGGCAGGCUGCAUGAUUAUAUUCAACAUUAGGGAAAGCUGCGCAACAAAAGGAAUAUCAUGAGUUACUCUGGUAUCCGAACACUUACGAUUUCGCCGGACGCUUGGCCCUGUCCGGCCACUCCUCUUCGUCCUCGACGGCGUCAGGGGCGUAGUCCAGCGGAGGGGUUUUCCUCUUCUUGGACCCUUCGGCCUCCCCUACUAGGGCGGCCUUCCUCUUCUUUCCUCCCCCCGCUGGAGGGGGAGAGGUCUCUUCUUCCUCCUCCUCGUCUUCACGGGAGGAGUGCAUCUCGGACUCAUCGGACGACGAGUCCGACACCACCAUAUGCCGGGAACUCUUUCGAGUCCCCGUGGCCUUCUUCUUCUUGGCCUUCUUCUCCGGCACCACAUAAGGUGCCGGAACCAGCAGCUUCACUAGGAGAGUAGGGGCUGGGUCUUCGGGCAAGGGAGCCGGACAGUUAAUCAGUCCGGACUUCGCCUGCCAAUCCUGUCAAAGGUGAGGGAGUUUAGAUCCCGCAUAGAGUCAAACUAUGAAGAAAACUUAACAUCCUGUAAAAGAUGAAAAUAUUUUACCUCGCCAGCAGGACGCUGCGAGCUGAAUCCGCGGUCUUCGGAGGCGGAUGUGGGAGCCUCGGCGCCUUUGGUUAGCCCCUUCCAGACAUCUUCGUACAUCGUGUCGAAGAGCCUGCUCAGAGUUCGGUGCUACGCCGGGUUGAACUCCCACAAAUUGAAGUCCCGUUCUUGACACGGAAGGAUCCGGUGGAUGAGCAUGACCUGGACUACAUUGACAAGCUUGAGCUGCUUGUUCACCAGGGACUGGAUGCAUUUUUGCAGUCUGGUCACCUCUUCUUCGUCGCCCCACGACAAGCCUGUCUCCUUCCAGGACGUGAGCUGCGUAGGGGGUCUGGAUCGUAAUUUAGGGGCUGCAAUCCACUUCGGAUCGCGUGGCUCGGUGAUGUAAAACCACCCUGACUACCACCCCUUCAAGGUCUCCACAAAGGAGCCCUCGAGCCAUAGGACGUUGGCUAUUUUGCCCGCCAUGGCACCUCCGCACUCCGCCUGGUUGCCGCGCACCACCUUUGGCUUGACGUUGAAGGUCUUGAGCCAGAGGCCGAAAUGGGGGCGGAUGCAAAGGAAAGCCUCGCACACGACGAUAAACGCCGAGAUAUUGAGGAUGAAGUUCGGGGCCAGAUCGUGGAAAUCUAGGACAUAGUAGAACAUGAGCCCGCGGACAAAUGGGUGGAGAGGAAAACCCAGUCCGCGGAGGAAGUGGGGAAGAAAUACUACCCUCUCAUGGGGCCUUGGGGUGGGGAGAAGCUUCCCCUCCUCAGGAAGCCGGUGCGCGAUGUCUUUGGACAGGUAUCCGGCCUUCCUUAGCCUUUUGACAUGGCCCUCUGUGACGGAGGAGACCAUCCACUUGCCUCCCGCUCCGGACAUUGUUGGAGAAGGUUGAGGUAGGAAGUGCGGGCUUGGGCGCUGGAGCUCGGGUGCCUAGAAGAUGGAUAGGCAAAGGAGGAAGAAGGCGUAGGUAAAAAGGUGGAUCCUUAUCCCCUUAUAUGAGCGGAUGCGACUAUGCGUCCCCACCAGCCUAGUAAAACUCGCUUGCCUCCCAAGCGCCAUGAUAAAUGGCGCGGUUGGGUUACCCACGUCCGUAUUGAUGAGAAUCCCGUAAAUGGGGGACACGAUCUCUGCUUUGACAAGACGUGCCAAGGAAACCGCCUCGCAAAACACGCUGAGGUGGAAAAGUGAAAACGAUUCGAAUAAAGGCUUGGCCAUAGUGUGAUGUCACGCUGCGGAAUACGUCAGCAGAUUAGAUUUGUGUUAAUAUUAUUCUCUCUGUGGCAAUACAUGGAAACUUAUUUUGCAGAGCUGGACACUACUCUUGGUGUUUACAAACUUUUAUGAAGAAUUUGGAGGAGGAACCCGCCUUGCAAUGCCGAAGACAAUCUACGCGCCGGACUCGUCAUCAUUGAAGCCUGGUUCAGGGGCUACUGAGGAUGUCCUGGAUUAGGGGGUGUUCGGGUAGCCGGACUAUACCUUCAGCCGGACUCCAGGACUAUGAAGAUACAAGAUUGAAGACUUCGUCCCGUGUCCGGAUGGGACUUUCCUUGGCGUGGAAGGCAAGCUUGGCGAUGCGGAUAUUCAAGAUCUCCUACCAUUGUGACCGACUUUGUGUAACCCUAACCCUCUCCGGUGUCUAUAUAAACCGGACGGUUUUAGUCCGUAGGACAACUUCAUCAUACAACAAUCAUACCAUAGGCUAGCUUUUAGGGUUUAGCCUCCUUGAUCUCGUGGUAGAUCUACUCUUGUACUACCCAUAUCAUCAAUAUUAAUCAAGCAGGACGUAGGGUUUUACCUCCAUCAAGAGGGCCCAAACCUGGGUAAAACAUCGUGUUCCUUGCCUCCUGUUACCAUCCGGCCUAGACGCACAGUUCAGGAUCCCCUACCCAAGAUCCGCCGGUUUUGACACCGACAGUAGCCAAAAUAUUGGCAACCCUUUUGUCCACCGGUGCCUUUGCCACCGAUGAACGACGAAUGGCUCGGGUGCUCAUGCUAUCAUGCAUCCUCCAGCGCGCAUGUUGGAGACGAGCUCGCACGAGCUGUGUUUUUUGUCCCACAACGCCGCCCUAGCCACCCGUAGACCGACCGGCGACCCGCAAAUUACACCAUCCAACUGUAGCCGCACACAUUAUGACAACAACUCAACCAACCGGAUGAAAUUCACGCAAACACGUAGACAAACUGAUACUUCAUAUAAACAACGACGGAAAUCAUAUAAAAUACCGGAUUUUCAUACAAACAUGACGGAUUUCAUUACAUUCAAAUGAACUACGCGGUGCUAGUUCUGGACAGCACAUGUACAUAAUACCUGGCCUAAAUGGUUGCCCGCCGAUCGAUUUGUGUUCCUCAUGUCCGGUAGCACGAUCACCGGACUGCCGGGAGCCCCGGAGGUAUAUGCUUCAGCGCAAAGGAUGGCUCGCUUCCCCACUGCCCAACUGAUAUCAUUGGCUGGUGCCGAAGAUGAUGGUGGCCGGCACUGGUUCGAGUUCAUCACCGGCCACUACUUCGCCAUGGUCGGCACCGACUCGAGUUCAUCCUAACAUUCCCCUCUUCCGUGGAGCCCAUGCGGGGUUGACGAAGGUCCUCGCAACAAAAGGAUCCGGCAAGACACCUGCUGUGUACACCGGCGUCGCCUCCGCAGUGGCCUUCAUGGGACCCAAGUGGCGGCGGCCUCCCGUGUUCUACUUCUCCUCGAUGAUGGCGGCGGACGCGGAGGCGCUGGCCACCGACUCGUUGCUCUCCGCGCACCCGACUUCUGUCGCUGCUUACAUGGCGCGGCCGCCGGCAUGGGAGUCUCGACCAUAGAAAUGGGAGACGCGAUACGAGGCAGCGGCAUGGACGACAGCAACGAUGCCCGUGCGCCGCUCCUCGUCGAGCUGGCUGGAGCGGUGAGUUGCUGAACCGCGUGCCGGCUUGGGGCGGCAACUGGCUCCGUCGGGCGAGGGGAGGGAGGUGGAUCAGCAAGCUGCAUAGCUCGUAUCCGGCGGGCUACCCAGUCGGCUUGGAUGCGGAAUAACUACUCUUCGUAAGCCAUUGUAAGAGUGGACAAAAUGGUGGAGGAGAUAGGGGAGCGACGGAGGUGUGCGAUUCUUGGCUGGCGUUUGGCCUCGUUUAAAUAGGAGAUUAAAUACACGGCGGGCGGGAGGAGCUCGGCCGUUGUUGCGUUUAACGUCGGCCCGGUCAUGAACGGACGUGUGUCCAGAGUGGGUUUCUCGGCUUCCACACAGGUAGGUUUCAUGGAUGCGUUUGAAUGCGGCACGGAGGCAUGUUCAGUCGGGCGUGCUGCAAGUGGCGCCCUCGACUUUGACCUCGGACACCGCUUCGUUCUUCCACUGACGUGUGGGCUCUUUGGGUGCAUGGCCUGCAUGUCAGUGACCCAACGCAGGCAGCGCACAGCAGAGGAACCUUUGGUGGGCCAGGGCGGUCAGAAGCGGGCAUUUUAUAAACCGAUGAUUGUUCAUUGAGUGUGACGUCAUCAUUUUCAUGUAGAUAAGCCUACUAUGUUGAUAGGCCGUUCGAUACGUUGUGAUUCAUAAAGACCGCUACAAACAUCAAUGUUCUGCUUAUCAUAGAUAAGAUUGAUUAAUACCCGUAACAAUCCAUGUCCUUAACAAAGGGUGCAUGCACGUAUAGGUUGAGCGUGUGUCUUGCGUCGUGUGCUGUGUGCAUGCAGGUGUGCGAGUGUUGCAUGCGUGCAAGGGUACGUUUCAGUGUUGCAUGCAUGGGUGCAUACGUGCGUGUGUUCGUGAGUGCAUGUGUACGUGUCAGUGUUGCACGCCAGCAUGCGUGCGUGUGUACAUGUCAGUGUUGCAUGCCUACAUGCGUGCGUGUCUUGCGUGCGUGCAUGUGUACGUGCGGGGUGAGGCUACACGUCAGUCGACUGACUUUUUCAUCUUUGGUCAUUAGAUUUUCUAGCCGUUGGAUACGAGAUCAAGGGCCUCCGGUUUAUUAUCAAACUCCACCCCCGUGAGCCGCCAUCCACCACCGGCCGAACCGCCAGCCCCCGCCGCCCGCGGCCGGCCCGCCCUCCCCGAAACCACUCCCCACCGCUGGUCCGCCGCCGCACCGGCCAUCCCUCUAGCCCCCCCCCCGCCAAGCUUUUUCUCCGGGGAUCCCCACCCCACCGCCCAAUGAACGCCCCAACCACCGGUGACUGCUAACCAGAGGUCUCAUGACUUCGAAUACCCACCAACCACUAAUUUAUUACCAUUUCUAUCCUUCAUAUACGCGCUGAUGGGUGGGCCCUAUGGUAAUGUGCGCUGCUGAAUGUGGACCGUUUGAUUGGUCAAUUGAUCGUGUUAUCAACAAAUUACGGAGCUGUAUGGUGAGCCAGUGACCGUAUGAUCACCCUAAAAUGUACUCCUAUUUUAUUAACACAGUAUAGACUCAAACUACCAUUUCUUUCUUUCAUAUACGGGCUGACAGGUGGGCCCCACGGUUACGCGCCCCGAUAGUGCAACACUAGUUGCGCCGCGUGGAACGUUUGACUGGUCAAUUGAUUGUGUCAUCAACAAAAUACGUAGUUGUACGGGUGAGCCAGUGAUCAUAUAAUCAUGAUAUGUAUUUGUUUAACACAGUACAGACGCAAGGGCUCAUAUAUACGCGCAAGCACUCACCGCUAUAAGCGCACACACGCGAACCCUACCCCUAUGAGCACCUUCGAGAGAGAGUGUGCCAACAUAUAUGAUCUUGGGAUUUUACGAAGUCACCAUAGGUGCCUCGCAGUCGAGUGGAACGUCUCCUCCCACUGAACAUACAUCGCCGGAAAAUACUGAAAUUAACACAAGAUAAAUGCGAGCACCGGGUCUUUAACCUUGGUGGGCUCGAGACACCACUGUCCUCUAACCAUCCAACCACAUGUUGGUUAGCACGACAAAAUGUAUGUUGUGACCAUGAUGAGCUUAUUCUGAAGUCCAGUGACCAUAUCGUGCUUUCGCUUCAAAUACAAUGACCGUAAGUGUCGUCAACAAAAUACGGAGCACACAUCAAAUGCAAAGUCCGUCAGUGUCAUCAACAAAACUUGGAGACAGAUCGUGAGCUAGAUACCGUUGUACUAUUGUAUAUGCUUAUUUUCUUAGUGGCCGAUUGCGUGUGUGGUGUGGUGGGCACAUCAUUCCUAGUUGUGGUGGGUCAACAUGAAGACUCAUGGGUCGGUUCCAUCCUGCGCCACAGAUAGGUUGGACCGAGACGUGUUAUACGAAGACCCAUGUGGAGGACUCGGCGUACAACACAAAGCUACCAGAGUCGCGGAGGACUCUAUCCCCACUGGUGAUAGGCCGACUAUAUAUGAUUUGUAACCCUAGGCCCUUAGUAUGUUAUACAAGCUUGGGGGCUAGUUCAUCGAUAGUAUACACACACGCACAAUGCCUGAUUUGUAACCCUAGGCCCCUAUCACUAAUAUACAGUACCAGGAGUAGGCUCUUUCUUCAACUGCAAGGGCCGAUCCGAACUAGGGUAAAACUUUGCCUCAUAUUACCAUCCAACCUAACAGCCAGGGAUAUCCUACCGAAUGAUAUGAUGAAAUAAUAUCUGCCAACUACUAAGAGAGAGGUGUGUCGGGGGGUAAUGUGUGCGAGAGAGGCCUAAAGAUAAUGUGCAUGCGGGAGACACGUAGGCACAUAUAUGUGCGUAUAGAGGGCUAGUAGAGACCGUGCAUGUGUAUAUAUGCAUGUGAGAGAAAUAGUGUUUUCCAACUGAGAUUAGUAAAAAGAGUGGUACAUAGUAGUCAGAAAGAGAGAGAGAGAGAAACAGAGAGAGCAUGUGCGUGAGACACCCCGACACCCUGAGAGAGAUUGUGAGCAUGUGUGAAAGAGAAAUGCCGAUGCAUAUAAAGUGUGUGCACUUAUGCGUUAGAUAGAGAGAUAUAUAACGCGUUUGUGAGAACGGAGUGAGGCAUAGUGCAUCUACAUGUAAAAGGCGGUUCUACACAUUAAAUUAAAAUAUAAAUGACAUUAUUAUUUUUGUAUGAGAUCAUGAAUUUUGCAAAUUGCGUAUGGACGAAAAUCGGUCUAUCAGACACCCAUACUCUAUUGAAUUCUAGCAUGUGCAUGUGUUUAUUUCAUAUUAUCGAUCCAUAGAGUGAGAGCGGUUUGAAAUACAUGUAAUGGAUGCUUUUGCAAUUCAUAUAUAAACAUUAAUUAGUGCACUCCAUGUUGUUAGUGUGAAGCACUUUAUACAUUUGUCACUUGCAUGGAUACAUUCCAAAUUGCUAGCUAGAAUACAUGUCAAAUUCAACAUAAAGGGGGUUUCAAAGAUUAGAAUUCAUAGGAAGUGCAUUCAUCUAUUUGAACCCGAGAUAAUGGCAUUUGUAAAUCAGAUGUAAAAGGGGGCAUCAAUCUUUGUUGUGAGUUUGAACAUGCUAUAUAUAUUCAUACGCAUAUCUAACUUUUUUUUGCAACCAAGGAGAUUAUAUCUGGAACCAUGCAUGAACUGAGGUAUGUUGCAUAUUUUUCAAUAUAUAGUCAUGUACAAUGUAUAUUCAAAUGUACCCCCUCCAUUCCAAAAUAAUCGUAGCUUUAGGAUUUUCAAGAGUAAAGAUUUGUGAAGUUUGACAAAUCCUGAAAGUUCAAUUCAAGAGAACCGAAAACGUUUAUGCUUCUGCUCCCAAAUAUUGAACGAAGCACCAAAUAGGCCUCUGGUCACCCGAAACCGCGCGAGACUAAUGUUUUGGUGGUAGGAAAUUACUGUCCUGACUCUGGCCCGUGUAGCCUAUCGGCCCGAUGUCCAAAGGUCUAAACCAGGGUAGGUUUGUAACUUCACCAAGACGCGAGUCUCAACCGCCUCCGAGAAGCAUUCAUACGCCGUGGGCACCUACCCAUGCGCUCGGCCGAAAUCUAUCCCGCCCACAUUUGGGACACCUGACAUGACUGUCCUACCCCCAACCCGCAAUAUGUCUGAAAUUUUAGAUGGGGGCAAAGUUUGUAACUUUCCCCAAAUUUCAAACAAGCGCAUCUCAAACCGAAACAUUGUUCCCCCUUAGUUCCCCGCCUCCCUCCGUUUCCCCAUUCAUACUCCGUGGGCACGAAAACGCCCUCUCCACCAGCCGCGAAACCCCAGCCUCCUCCGUCCUCCACCCCAUAGCGGCCAAUCCACCGCCGCCCUCCUCCAUCACGCCGGAGCCGGUACCCCGACGUCGUCGUCCAACGCAACCGCAACCACAACGCCCUCAAGGACUUAGCAGCUGAAGCCGAGGCAGAGCUGCCUCCACGACGCCGACGCCGACGUGCGCCAUACCAGAACCACUCCGACCACGCCAUCCUGCGCCUCACUGAUGCGGCUCCACUGUCGCAACCAUCCACCGCACCGCAGCUGUUCCCGCUACGCCGUCGUUCACCGCCUCGAAUCUACUUCCCCGCCACCGACAGACGGCCACCGCACCACACUCAACAACUUGGCCAUGGGUUCGUCCAAGGCUGAAUCGUCCUUCACAACUUCUGGUUUCCGGCGAACAACAAGAAGAUCAUCGAAAAAACAGAAGGAGGACACAACACUGCCAGGAGAAAGAGGUACUCCUCUUCCCUCAUUCGUGCAAAUCUUACGUCUCCUCUCACACCGUAUUCAUCCCACGAAAGAAACUAGUUGAGCGCUUCUUACUGCAUCUUCUUCGUGAUAUUAAAUGCACAAGGUUUCCUCCCUUUUACUAUUUCACUUUUGCUAGAGGUCAGUAGCCCGCCUGGAUUUCAAUUCAGGGUCAGUCGAACCGCAAUUAAAAGAAGCAGCACCCGCUUAGGCGUGUGGAGCACCUAGUCCACUUGUUCCCCGGGGAAGCGGCGCAUCGGUGUUUAUCAUAGGGGUGUGGGGCGCAGGAGCUGCUUGCGCCCGAUCUGGAGGUCGGCGGGGCUUGAAUGGAUGGCCGGGGGGCGGUGCCAAGCACGGCGGUGCGGUGAGGUCGAGGGGAGGGCACAUGCAGGGGAGGAAUACUGGGCCGGUGGUCGCUGGCGUUUCGAGGAAGAUCGUCAACACUGACUAGCUGGAGGUAGAUGAAGGCGAUCUGCCCGUUCUUUGUACAUCGGACAGUGCCAAAAAAAUGGACUGGCCUAUUUGCUUUCAGUCGACUGUUAUUUUCAUAGCAUCCUGUAGUAAUUUAGUGUGCCAUGCAUGUUGUAGAGCUAUCAUAUGUCUCCCGUCAUUUAUUUCUCACCGACCUUCUAUCUGCUACCUUUACACUAUACUAAUUGUGCACACACUUCACCCAUACUUACACUGUUGUUUUUUUAUGCAUGGGUAUUUCAGACUCUAACGCAGUGUUGAUGAAUGCAGAAAAAAAAGACAGAAGUCGCUCCAGUGUAAUUCGAAGAUAAGCACUAAGCGUUUCAGCGCUCUAAUGGGUGCAGUGUCAGCAGUUGGAGACAGUAAACGUAGCUCUGCAGUUGAUGAUCUCAAUUGCCACACACAACCAUCCCAGGUGCUUGCUUUAACUUCACGCUGUCAAAUGUGGUUGCAUGUUGCAUAUAGUGUCUAGCUUGUAUUGCUGCCAAUUUGGUUAAAUUGCAUUUGCUUACUUUACACAUUAUACCUUUGAUAAUGACAUGCCUUCCUGUUUUUGAUACAUACUACAUAUGUCUAUUAACCAUGUUCAUACAUCAAACUAAUGCUCUUUUGUAUCCCUCGUCAAUCACUUAUGAUGAGACAGUCACCCGAGUGGGUUACUGUGAGACGCCCUACUCGUUCAAAGAGUGCAGUGUCAUCCUCCCCACAUGAUUCUCAAGAAACACCAAGGCUAAAUGAAGAUAGUCAACAUAGCUCUCUAGUUGAUCACCGCAAUUCCCCCACACCACCAUCGCAGGUGCUUGCUCUUACUUGGCAGUGUGAUAUGUGGUUGCAUGUUUCAUAUGGUGUAUACCUUGUAAUGCUUCUAAUUAGGGUAAAUUGCAUCUGCUUAGUUAACACAUAUACCUGCGAAUAUGACACCCCUUCCUGUUUUUGGUACAUACUACGUCUUUCUAUUAACCAUGUUCUUACAUCAAACUACUUUUCUUGUGUAUCCCUCAUCAAUGCUCCUAAUUUGUUAAAUUGCAUCUCCUUAGCUUACACAUUAUACAUGUGAAUAUGACACACCUUCCUGUUUUUGGUACAUACUACAUCUGCCUAUCACACCAUGUUCUUACAUCAAACUACUGUUCUUGUGUAUCCUGCGUCUAUCGCUUAUGAUGAGACAGUCACACGCGUGGGUUAAUAUGAGACGCAAUACUCUUAUAAAGAAUGCAAUUUCAUCCUCUCCACAUGAUUCUAAAGAAACAACAAGCCUAAAUGAAGAUAUUGAACGUAGCUCUGUACCUGAAGACUGCACUUCCCCUACACCACCAUCACAGGUGCUUGCUCUAACUUCGCAGUGUGAUAUCUGGUUGCAUGUUGCAUAAGGUGUCUAGCUUGUAAUGCUUCUAAUUAGGGUAAAUUGCAUCUGCUUAGUUUACACACUAUACCUAUGAAUAUGACAUGCCUUCCUAUUUUUGGUACACACUACAUCUAUGUGUUAACCUUGUUCUUACAUGAAACUACCUCUCUUCUGUAUCCUGCAUCAAUCACUUACGAUGAGUCACCUUUAUUCGUUGCAUAUUGCAUAUUAUUUCUAGCCUGUUGCCAUGUAUUGCUUCUAAUUUGGUCAAAUACAUUUGUUAGGGCACCCUUUUAAUUUGGCAAAGUGAUAUUGGUUUCAUCUUUCAUAUGGUUUCUAGCUUGCAUCGAUUCUAACAAGUUCAAGCACCUUGUGCUUAGUUUACACUUUAUACAUCAUACAUGUCAAUAUGUCACGCCGUCCUGUUUUUCAUACAUAUUCCAUCCUCCUAUCAUGCAGCUGCCUUACAUGAAAGUAGUGUUCGUCAGUAUCAUGCAUCAAUGAGUUCAAAAGAGCAAAUUUUAUUCCUUUUUCUUGUGGGUUUGACUUGACAAGGAAACAUCAAGAAAGAGGAAGGAAAAGAAUAAGGAAGGUGAUGAUGGUGGUCCUCUGCAGCAAUGUAAACGGAGCAUCUGUACCGAUUCUCCUUGUACUAAUAGUGCAUUACAAGGUCCAAGUCUCCGCUCCCCUACUCCACCAUCCAAGGUGCUUGCUCUAACUUGGCAGUGUGAUAUCUGGUUGCAUGUUGCAUAUGGUGUCUAGCUCGUAUUGCUCCUAAUUAGUGUAAACCGCAUCUGCUUAGCUUACACAUGAUACAUGUGAAUAUGACACGCUUUCCUGUUUUUGGUACAUACUAUAUCUGUCUAUCACACCAUGUUCUUACAUGAAACUACUCUUCUUGUGUAUCCUGCAUCAGUCACUUAUGAUGGGACACCUUUAAGUUGGAGUGUGAUAUUGGUUUGCGUCUUGAAUAUGAUUUCUAGCAUGUAUUGCUUCUAGUUUGAUGAACGCCACCUAUGACGAAACAAUUUUAACUUGGCAGAGUGAUAUUGAUUGCACCUUCCAUAUGGUGUCUUGUAGUGUUUCUAAUUUGUUGAAGUGCCUUCUGCUUAGUUACCACAUCAUAUGUGUGAAUAUGUCAAGCCAUCCAUUUUUUCGUACAUAUUCCAUCCUCGUAUCAUGACUUUGCCUUUCAUCAGAGUAGUGUUCGUCAGUAUCAUGCAUGAAUGAGUUCUGAAGAGUGAAUGAUAUUCCUUUUUCUUGUCGGUAUGACCUCACAAUGCAAAAUCAAUAAAGCUGAAGGAAAUUGGCAAGGCAUUGGAUGAUGGUGGUCCUUCCGAGCAACUGAAACGGAGGUUCUCUACAGAUUCUACUCUGCCAUCCUCCCAACAAGAUUCGCAAGACGACGCAAGGCUAGACAGUCAACGUAGCUGUGUAGAUGAUGAGCACAUCUCCCCUACUCCACCAUCACAUGUGCUUGCUCUAACUUGGCACUAUUAUAUGUGGUUGCAUGUUGCGUAUGCUGUCUAGCUUGUAUUGCUUCUAACUUUGUUGAAUUGCAUCUGCUUACUUUACACAUAAUGCCUGUGAAUAUGACAUGUGUUCCUGUUUCUACAUCAAACUACUAUUCUUGCAUAUCCCGCAAUAGUCACUUAUGAUAAGGCACCUUUAAGUCGCUACUAUGAUAUUGGUUGUGUCUUGCAUAUGAUUUCUAGCAUGUACUGCUUCUAAUUUGUUGAAACGCCAUACAGUUUGAACUUGGCAGAGUGAUAUUGGUUGCAUCUUUCAUAUGGUGUCUAGCUUGUAGUGCUUAUAAUUUGUUGAAAUGCCUUCUGCUUAGUUACCACAUCAUAGGUGUGAAUAUGUCACACCAUCCUGUUUUUCAUACAUAUUCCAUCCUCGCAUCAUGUGUUUGCCUUUCAUCCGAGUAGUGUUCGUCAGUAUCAUGCAUGAAUGAGUUCUGAAGAGCGAAUUUUAUUCCUUUUUCUUAUCGGUUUGACUUCACAAUGCAAAAUCAUUACAGCUGAAGGAAAUUAGUCCGGCAGUGGAUGAUGGUGGUCCUUCGGAGCAACUCAAACAGGGGGUCUCUACAGAUUCUACUCCGCCAUCCUCCCAACAAGAUUCGCAAGACAACACAAGACUGCACAGUCAAGGUAGCUGUGUAGAUGAUGAGCACAUCUCCCCUACUCCACCAUCACAUGUGCUUGCUCUAACUUGACACUAUUAUAUGUGGUUGCAUGUUGCGUAUGAUGUCUAGCUUGUAUUACUUCUAACUUAAAUUGCAUCUGCUUACUUUACACAUAAUGCCUAUGAAUAUGACACGUGUUCCUGUUUCUAGACCAUACGUGUACAUGAUGAGCACAUCUCCCCUACUCCACCAUCACAGGUGCUUGCUCUUACUUGGAACUGUUAUAUGUGGUUGCGUUUUUCGUAUGAUGUCUAGUUUGUAUUGCUUCUGAUUAUGUUGAAUUGCAUCUGCGUAGCUUACAACUUAUACCUGCAACGAUCACUUACCCAUAAGACACAUUUAACUUGGGACUAUGAUGUAUGUUGCAUCUUGCAUUGUCUUCUAGCUUGUACUGCUUCUAAUUUCUUGAAAUGGCACUUACGACGAGACACUUUUUACCUGAUAGAGUGAUAUUGGUUGCAUGUUCAUAUGGUGCCUAGCUUUCAUUUCUUCUAAUUUUGUUGAAAUGCCUUCCGCUUACUGUUUUUUCAUACAUAUUCCAUCCUCCUAUCAUACGUCUGAAUAUGAAACAUUGUCUUUUUUUGUAUAUAUUCCAUCCUCCUAUCCUGUGCUUGCCUUACAUCAAAGUAGUGUUCGUCUGUAUCAUGCAUCAACCAGUUAUGCAGAGCUAAUUUUAUUCAUCUUCUUGUGGUUUUGACUUCAUAAGGCAAUAUCAGAAAAUAGGAAGGAAAAGAGUAAGUUAGGGGAUGUUGGUGGUCCUCCGCACCGACGCAAAUAGAGACUCUCUAGAUUUGCCACUGCUACUGCUAAUGAAGUUGAAGUCCCAAGUCUACAUGAUGAGUUCAUCUCCCGUACUCCACCAUCGCAGGUGCUUGCUCUAAGUUGACAGUGUGAUAAUUGGUUUCAUGUUGCAUAUGUUGUCUAGCCUGUAUUUCUUCUAUUUUGAUUAAAUUGCACCUGCUGAGUUUAUACGUUAUACAUGUGCAUAUGACAUGGCUUUCUAUGUCUAGAAUGCACUGCAUCUAUCUACCAUACCAUGUUCUUACAUCAAAGUACUGUUGUUGUGUAUCCCGCAUCAGUCACUCAUGAUUGGACGCUUUUAACAUGGCAGUUUGAUAGUGGUUGCAUCUUGCAUUGAUUUUUACGUUGUACUGCUUCUAAUUUUUCGAAUUGCCACUUAUGACAAGACACUUUUAACUUGGCAGAGUAAUAUUGGUUGCAUCUUUCAUAUGGUGUCUAGCUUGCAUUACUUCUAUUUUCUUGAAAAUCCUUCUACUUAGUUUGCACAUGGUAGCUGUGAAUAUGUCAUGUCGUCCUGUUUUUCUUACAUAUUCCAUCCUCAUACAGUUGUCUUACAUCAAAGUAUUGCUUGUCUGUAUCAUGCAUCAAUGAGUUUUGAAGAGUGAUUUUAUUCUUUUAUGUUGUGGGUACAGCUUGACAUGGCAAAGUCAAAAAAGAGCAAGGAAAAUAAUAUAGCAGGGAGUGCUGUUACUCAUCGGGUGAAACGGAAAAGGUUCUGCCGUCGAGAUUCUACUGGUACUUAUAGUGCGGUAGAAGGUCCAAGUCCACCAGCUAAAUCUACAAACACAGUAUCACCCGCUCCACCAGCUGCAGCAUCCGCUUCAACUGUACCAGCAUCUCAACCAGUUACUCAUUCGUUUGCUCCGGAACUGGCCAGUUCCCAAGCUGCCUUCACACCUAACACUACUUCUGAAGCACUGCUGACACAACAAGACUUGGCAAGAUCAGAUGAACCUCAUGAGCAUCAACACCAAGACGGUACCUGACCGAGUCAAGUUGAAGUUGCAUGCUCCUUUAUAUGUACUCUCACGGUUUGAUGUACACUAACACUUUCCAUAUUCGUUGUUGAACUAGCACCACGGCGCAAGCAGAAACAGACAUCAGGGAUAAUGCUUGACAGAUUAACAAAAUCUAAAGGAGGAAGAAUGGAGAUCCAUUUUGAGGUAGGUUUAAAAAGGCCAUGUGAUGCUACAGAGUCAGCCAAGUUAGUAUCAGAGGCAGCAAUUGCCGUUAGGUGUCAUGCACAUAUCCUCCCAACGUGGAUCCAGUACAGGAAUGAGAAAGACAAUACCCAGUUUAACACCUUCCUUGACCAUUUAUCCAUAAGUAAUGUUAUUCAUCGCAAUUAGUAAUAUUGUCUUGCUCUGUCCCAUACUUUCUAGCUUCCUCCUAAUAAGACUCACAUUCUUUUUUCAACAGAUGAGGUUCAAGUUGGAUCUGAAAGAUGAUGCAACUAAACAAGCAUGCACUCAUGUUUUUCAGUCUGAUCUGCGACAGUAUCGGUACCACCUUAGAAAAUCUCACUUUGAAGUCAAGGCUAACAAUGAAAUCGCCCAAACAUCUCCAGUGGAAUAUAUUACAAAUGAAGACUGGACAACCCUCGUUAAACACUGGUCUAAUCCAAAGUAUCAGGUAGGCUAUAUGUAUUUGAUCAGACCACAUAUUGAACUUUUAUUUAUGUAUGUGCCUUACAAGUGUAUCUUCUUCUAGGCUAACUGUUUGAAGAACAAAACCAACCGUUCUAAAGUGAAAUUCCAACAGACAACAGGAUCUCGUAGCUACAUUGCACACUGCGAGGCUCUUGUAAAUAGCUGCUGCUUCCUUCUUUUUUUGUGCCAUAUUAUCGUAUCUAUAUUGACUUGUUCCAAAUACAGAGGAAAGCCCGUGCGGACCAAAAAGAACAUGAACCGAAUGCAGUGCAAAUCUUCAAGGAUUGCCACACCAGCAAGAUGAAGGGCAUGAGCACACGAGUUCAAGCCGCUGUUGUAAGUCCUUGCUCCUCCUGCCUUGAACUGAUUGGUACUGUGAUGUGUUCAUUUAACUACUUGGGUUUGCAGCCAAUGUCAGUUACUCUGUUCACUUUUAUUCACAGUUGUCUUAACGUAUCAUUUCACCUUACAUGGUUUAAAAGAGAUGAAGGAUAUUCUUUUGGUCUUGAUCUGUAAUCUAGUUGUUAUGUUCACGUGCGCACACAAUGAUAAAAUAGCCUGUUUGUUUUAUAUAUGUUUGCCCAUGAUAUGAAUGAUGUCAUACUAUGUUCAUCCUACUUUAAACCAUGUCUCUUUAUCCUUAGAUGUCAACAAAUGUGAGGAAAUAGACAAUACAGUAGGCAUGCUACAUGGACAUAUGUUCCGAAAGUGAUUUUAUUAUGUAGUUGGCACUACAAUACAUGCUAAUGUAUUACAGUAGUUCACCAAAAUAAGUUAUGUAUAAAUGUUUAACCUACUUUGUUUGUUCUUGUCUCAUUAGUUACUUAUCUGGUACACUAAUCUACAAGUUCAAACUUUCAGGAAGCUAUGGAACAAAUGAUUGAACAGCCACAACCACCUGAAGGUGACGAGGCUACUAUAGGCACAAUGUCACCUCUUGCUGAAGUGCGUCAGUAUAUCUCCACUAACAGUGCAAAAAGCACCUUCCUGCGUAAUUCUGGGUUGGUUGUCAAGGUAACCUCAUCCAAAUCACCUACUGAACAAAAUCUUCCUGCUAGACAGAGUGAUAUAUCUGUGCUCCAGACACAAGUCCAAUCCCUAAUGGAUGUUGUUUCGGAAACAAGAAUAGUGGUUGAGAAAUGUCAUCAAGAUAUGAAUGGUUUUCAAACCAGACUAUCAGACAUUCGCUUCGUUGUUCAAGAGCAAUGGCGGAAAAAGGUGGAGAUCAUGCUGCUCCAUCAGAUUCUACAGCCUGAAACAUUAGCACUCAGGUCAAAUGAUCUGUGCUUCUAUACAUCUGAUGGUGCUUUUAUCUGGAAGGACUGUAAAAUUUAUGCCAAUAGGCCUUUUGUUGUAUGGUUGGAAUUUAUUUUGUUGUGAUACAACAUUUAUGAUGUUGCCUGAGGCUGCAGUAAUUACAACACUAUUUUUGUAUAGUGUAGGUUUAUCUUAGUAAUGUAUUCGGCCGAAAGCUUCGUAGGAGCCCAACAUGCCAACAUUCGUCGGGCCCAUUCCAAUUGGGCUAAAAAUGAUUACGGGCCGAAAUUGGCAUGUAGCCCACUAAAAAUAUCUAGGCCUAAAUCAGCAUAAGCUUUCAUAUUUUUCUGGUAGGCCUAUGCCCAUAGUGGGCCUUUAACAGGCCUAAACAUAAUUUGAGCCCUCAGUAAAAAUAGGUCAUUUAUAGGUGUAAAUAUCUCGAGCCCAUAAAAAACAUGGGCCUUUAAUAGACCGAAAGUGAGAUUGGGCCCUAAUUGUGCCAAAUAACCAACUGGACUUAGCAUGACGAAAUGGUGGCCCAUUUACGAUGCAGAUCUUUGACAGGCCGAAAUUCGGACCGACCGUAAAUGCGCCAACCUAAUACAUGGGCCUUUAACAGGCCGAAACUUCGGUCGGGCUAGAUUAUCGUCAUUUUUAUAUGGGCCGUUAAUAGGCCUGAUAUGACGCUGGGCCACAUAUGGCCCAUGGUUUACGUCCGGCGUUAACAGGCCGAAAAUGACAACAGGCCGAAAGUGUCCCAAAGCUAUAGUAGGCCUCUAAUAGGCCGAAUGUCACACAUGGCUGAAUAUGACCCAAAUCCUUCGCGGUCGUUUAUGGGAUGAAAGUUUUGAUGGCCUGUAAAUGGGCCCAAAUGAAGUCGGACCUUUAACAGGCCGGAAAUACACCGGGUCGUAAUUCGUCCCAAUUACUUAGCGGACUGUUAACGGGCCAGAACUGACCAUGGGCCGCGUUGAUGACAAGUUUAGGACAUGUCGUUGACGGGCCGAUUUGACAGAGAAUGUUGGGCCUUUAGCUGGGCCGGCCCAUUAUGGUCUACAGAAUCUUGUGGGCCUUUAGCUAGGCCGGCCCAUUGUGGUCCACAAAAUCUUGUGGGCCUUUAGCUGGGCCGGCCCAUUAUGGUCUGCAAAAUCGUGUGGGCCUUUAGCUGGGCCGGCCCAUUAUGGUCCGCUAAAUUUUGUAGGCCUUUAGCUGGGCCGUCCCAUUAUGGUUCGCUAAAUCUUAUGGGCCUUCGGUUGGGCCGGCCCAUUUAAACUUUGUGGGCCACUUUUGGGCCGGUCCACGUGUCAACAUAUCAUAGGCCCAUUUCGACUGUUGGAUGAGUGCCACCUGUGCCAACGCGGAGCUGACGCGUGGAUCCAUCAGCCAAUGAGAAUUUUACAUGUGGAAAAUCAGCAUUGGUCGUGGCUGUUAACGGGUUAUCGGAUCCAUAAUCCGACCCAAUAGCUUAACGGCGUUCCAUUACGGUGGAUGCCACGUGUCGGUCACCCUUGACGAAAGCACUUCUGUGACGCGCGAUUUAUCGUCAUGGAAGUGGACACUUCCGUUAUGAUAAUUUUGGCAAUGUCAUGGAACACUUCUACGACAGCACAAGUAUGACUAUCUUGAUUCUGUCAUAAAUUUGUCAUGGAUGUACAUGCAUGCCACAAAACGCGACCUACUGUGACAAACACGUAUCAUCACGGAAGUGUAUUUUUUUGUAGUGUGCUUUUCUUGAUUUCUAUGUUCGUCGAUUUUCAUAUCACGGAGAGCUUGGGAAUCAUUUUCGUUAUCCCUUGCAUAUUAUAGUUCAUCACAAAGUUCUAGUAACUUGGUGAUAGUGACUAGAGAAUCCUGUCAAUCACUAUCUUAUCUAGAAGAUUAACUCCCACUUGAUUCAAGCAAUUGCAGUACCUAGACAAUCUGAGCACAUGCUCACUGGUUGAGCUAUUCUCCUCCAUCUUUGUAGGCAAAGUACUGUCAGAGGUCUCCUACCUCUCGACACGGGCAUGAGUAUGAAAUACUAAUUUCAACUCUUGGAACAUCUUAUAUGCUCCGUGGCAUUCAAAACAUUUUGGAAGUCCCAGUUCUAAGCCGUAAAGCAUGGUGCACUAAACUAUCAAGUAGUCAUCAUACCGAGCUUUGCCAAACGUUCAUAACGUCUGCAUAUGCUCCUACAAUAGGUCCUUCACCUAGCGGUGCAUCAAGGACAUAAUUCUUCUGUGCGGCAAUGAGGAUAAUCCUCAGAUCACGGAUCCAAUCCGCAUCAUUGCUACUAACAUCUUUCAAUUUUUUUCUCUAGGAACAUAUCAAAAAUAAACGGGGAAGCUAUGUGCGAGCUAUUGAUCUACAACAUAGAUAUGCAAAUACUAUAAAGACUAAGUUCAUGAUAAAUUUAAGUUCAAUUAAUAAUAUUACUUAAGAACUCCCACUUAGAUAGACAUCCCUCUAGUCAUCUAAAUGAUCACGUGAUCCAAAUCAACUAAACCAUGUCUGAUCAUCACGAGAGAUGGAGUAGUUUCCAAUGGUGAACAUCAUUAUGUUGAUCAUAUCUACUAUAUGAUUCACACUCGACCUUUCGGUUUCCAGUGUUCCGAGGCCAUAUCUGCAUAUGCUAGGCUCGUCAAGUUUAACCCGAGUAUUUCUGCGUGUGCAAACUGUCUUACACCCGUUGUAGAUGAACGUUGAGCUUAUCACACCCGAUCAUCACGUGGUGUCUCGGCACGACAAACUUUGGCAACGGUGCAUACUCAGGGAGAACACUUUUACCUUGAAAUUUAGUGAGAGAUCAUCUUAUAAUGCUACCGUCAAAUAAAGCAAAAUAAGAUGCAUAAAGGAUAAACAUCACAUGCAAUCAAAAUAUGUGACAUGAUAUGGCCAUCAUCAUCUUGUGCCUUUGAUCUCCAUCUCCAAGGUACCGUCAUGAUAUCUAUCAUCACCGGCAUGACACCAUGAUCUCCAUCAUCUUGAUCUCUAUCAACGUGUCGUCAUAUGGUCGUCUCGCCAACUAUUGCUUUUGCAACUAUUGCUAUCGCAUAGCGAUAAAGUUACGCAAUUGUAUGACGCUUGCAUAUUAUGCAAUAAAGAGACAACCAUAAGGCUCCUGCCAGUUGCCGAUAACUUAAACAAAACAUGAUCAUUUCAUACAACAAUUUAUAUCUCAUCACAUCUUGACCAUAUCACAUCACAACAUGCCCUGCAAAAACAAGUUAGACAUCCUCUAUUUUGUUGUUGCAAGUUUUACGUGGCUGCUACUGGCUGAGCAAGAACUGUUCUUUACUAUGCAUCAAAACCACAACGAUAGUUCGUCAAGUUAGUGUUGUUUUAACCUUCUCAAGGACCGGGCAUAGCCACACUCGGUUCAACUAAAGUUGGAGAAACUGACACCCGACGGCCACCUAUGUGCAAAGCACGUCGAUAGAAAAGGCCUCGCAUAAGCGUACGCGUAAUGUCGGUCCGGGCCGCUUCAUCCAACAAUACCGCUAAACCAAAGUAUGACAUGCUGGUAAGCAAUAUGACUUGUAUCACCCACAACUCACUUGUGUUCUACUCGUGCAUAUAACAUCUACGCAUAAAGCUGGCUCGGAUGCCACUGUUGGGGAACGUAGUAAUUUCAAAAAAAUUCCUACGCACACCCACAGGAUCAUGGUGAUGCAUAGCAAUGAGAGGGGAGAGUGUGUCUACGUACCCUCGUAGACCGAAUGCGGAAGCGUUAGCAUAACACGGUUGAUGUAGUCGUACGUCUUCACGAUCCGACCGAUCCAAGUACCGAACGCACGACACCUCCGAGUUCUGCACAUGUUCAACUCGAUGACGUCCUGCGAGCUCCGAUCCAGCAAAGCUUCACGCGAGAGGUUCGUCAGCAUGACGGCUUGCUGACGGUGAUGAUGAUGCUACUGACGCAGGGCUUCGCCUAAGCACUGCUACGAUAUGAUCGAGGUGGAUUAUGGUGGAGGGGGGCACCUGAUACAUCCAUUAUGCAUCAUGCUUUUAUAUCAAUAUUUAUUGCAUUAUGGGCUGUUAUUACACAUUAUGUCACAAUACUUAUGCCUAUUCUCUCUUAUUUUACAAGGUUUACAUAAAGAGGGAGAAUGCCGACAGCUGGGAUUCUGGGCUGGAAAAGGAGCAAAUAUUAGAGACCUAUUCUGCACAGCUCCAAAAGUCCUGAAACUUCACGGAAGUCAUUUUCAGAAUAUAUAAAAAAUACCGAGUGCAAGAAGUUCCGGAGGGGGGCCACACCCUGCCCACGAGGGUGGGGGGCGCACCCCCUGCCUCGUGGGCCCCCUGGUGGCCCUCCGAUGCCCAUCUUCUCUAGAUGGAGUCUUUCAGUGAGAAAAAAAUCAUAAGCCUGCUUUCGGGAUGAGACUCCGCCGCCACGAGGCGGAACCUUGGCGGAACCAAUCUAGGGCUCUGGCGGAGCUGUUCUGCCAGGGAAACUUCCCUCCGGGAGGGGUAAAUCAUCGCCAUUGUCAUUACCAAUGAUCCUCUCAUCGGGAGGGGGUCAAUCUCCAUCAACAUCUUCACCAGCACCAUCUCCUCUCAAACCCUAGUUCAUCUCUUGUAUCCAAUUCUUGUCUCCAAGUCUGGGAUUCGUACCUGUGGGUUGCUAGUAGUGUUGAUUACUCCUUGUAGUUGAUGCUAGUUGGUUUAUUUGGUGGAAGAUCAUAUGUUCAGAUCCUAUAUGCAUAUUAAUACUCCUCUGAUUAUGAACAUGAAUAAGCUUUGUGAGUAGUUACGUUUGUUCCUGAGGACAUGGGAGAAGUCUUGCCAUUAGUAGUCAUGUCAAUUGGGUAUUUGCUCGAUAUUUGGAUGAGAUGUAUGUUGUCUCUCCUCUAGUGGUGUUAUGUGAACGUCGACUACAUGACACUUCACCAUUAUUUGGGCCUAGAGGAAGGCAUUGGGAAGUAACAAGUAGAUGAUGGGUUGUUAGAGUGACAGAAGCUUAAACCCUAGUUUAUGCGUUGCUUCAUAAGGGGCUGAUUUGGAUUCGUAUGUUUCAUGCUAUGGUUAGGUUUACCUUAAUACUUUUGUUGUAGUUGCGGAUGCUUGCAAUAGAGGUUAAUCGUAAGUGGGAUGCUUGUCCAAGUAAGGACAGCACCGAAGCACCGGUCCACCCACAUACCAAAUUAUCAAAGUACCGAACGUGAAUCAUAUGAUCGUGAUGAAACCUAGCUUGACGAUAAUUCCCAUGUGUCCUCGGGAGCGCUUUUCUCUAUAUAAGAAUUUGUCCAGCCUUGUCCUUUGCUACAAAAGGAUUGGACCACCUUGCUGCACUUUAUUUACUUUUGUUACUUGUUGCUCGUUACAAAUUAUCUUAUCACAAAACUAUCUGUCACCUAUAAUUUCAGUGCUUGCAGAGAAUACAUUGCUGAAAACCGCUUAUCAUUUCCUUCUGCUCCUCAUUGGGUUCGACACUCUUACUUAUCGAAAGGACUACGAUAGAUCCCCCAUACAUGUGCAUCAUCAAGACUCUUUUCUGGCGCCGUUGCCGGGGAGUGAAGCGCCUUUGGUAGGUGGAAUUUGGUAAGGAAAAAAUGUAUAUAGUGUGCUGAAAUUUACUGUCACUUGUUACUAUGGAAAGUAAUCCUCUGAGGGGCUUGUUCGGGGUAUCUUCACCCCGACCAGUAGAGCAAAGAGUUGCUCCUCAACCUAUUGAACCUACUUAAAAUGAAAAUGUCUACUUUGAGAUUCCUUCGGGUAUGAUAGAAAAACUGUUAGCUAAUCCUUUUGCAGGAGACGGAACAAUGCAUCCUGAUGAGCACCUAAUAUAUGUGGAUGAAGUUUGUGGAUUACUUAAGCUUGCAGGUGUGCCCGAUGAUGUUAUUAAGAAGAAGGUUUUUCCUUUAUCUUUGAAGGGAGAUGCAUUGACAUGGUAUAGGCUAUGUGAUGAUACGGGGUCAUGGAACUACAAACGAUUGAAAUUGGAAUUUCAUCAGAAGUUUUAUCCUAUGUAUCUUGUUCAUCGUGAUCGCAAUUAUAUAUAUAAUUUUUGGCCCCGUGAAGGAGAAAGCAUUGCUUAAGCUUGGGGGAGGCUUAAAUAAAUGUUAUAUUCAUGCCCCAAUCAUGAGCUUCCAAGAGAAAUAAUUAUUCAAAAUUUAUAUGCUCGGCUUUCUGAUAACAAUCGCACCAUGCUCGAUACUUCUUGUGCUGGCUCUUUUAUGAUGAAGACUAUUGAAUUCAAAUGGGAUUUAUUGGAAAUAAUUAAACGCAACUCUGAAGAUUGGGACCUCGAAGAAGGUAAGAAGUCAGGUAUGACACCUAAGUUUGAUUGUGUUAAAUCUUUUAUGGAUACCAAUGUUUUCCGUAAAUCUAGCACUAAAUAUGGACUUGACUUUGAAAUAGUAGCUUCUUUCUGUGAAUCUUUUGCUACUCAUGUUGAUCUCCCUAGGGAUAAGUGGUUUAAAUAUCAUCCUCCCAUAGAAGUAAAAGUAGUUGCACCUAUUAAAGUUGAAGAAAAGACUGUCACUUAUAAUGAUCCUAUUGUUCCUACUGCUUAUGUUGAGAAACCACCUUUUCCUGUUAGGAUAAAAGAUCAUGCUAAAGCUUCAACUGUGGUUCGUAAAAGAAAUAUUAGAACCUAUACACCUCAUGAGCAAAUUAAAGUUGAACAUAAUAUUGCUAUUGUUAAGGAUCUCUUGGCUGAUAAUAUUGAUGGGCAUGUUAUUUAUUUCUGUGAUGAAACUGCUAGAAUUGCUAAACCUUGUGCUAAAGAUAAACAUAGACCUGUGGUAGGCAUGCCUCUUAUUUCUGUUAAAAUAGGAGAUCAUUGUUAUCAUGGCUUGUGUGAUAUGGGUGCUAGUGCUAGUGCAAUACCUAUUAACUUAUACAAAGAAAUUAUGCAUGAUAUUGCACCUGCUGAGUUAGAAGAUAUUGAUGUCACAAUUAAACUUGCCAAUAGAGAUACUAUUUCACCAAUUGGGAUUGUUAGAGAUGUUGAAGUCUUGUGUGGGAAAACUAAAUAUCCUGCUGAUUUUCUUGUCCUUGGUUCCCCCCAAGAUAGCUUUUGUCCCAUUAUAUUUGGCAGACCCUUCUUGAACACGGUUAAUGCUAAGAUAGAUUGCGAAAAGGAUGUUGUUACUAUUGGUUUAGGUGAUAUGUCUCAUGAAUUUAAUUUCUCUAAAUUUUGUAGACAACACCGUCAAGAGGAAUUUCCUAGUAAAGAUGAAAUUAUUGGUCUUGCUUCUAUUGCUGUGCCUCCUAGUGAUCCUUUAGAACAGUAUUUGCUAGACCAUGAAAAUGACAUGUUUAUGAAUGAAAGAAGGGAAAUAGAUGAAGUAUUCUUUAAACAGGAACCCAUCCCGAAACACAAUUUGCCUGUCGAAAUCCUAGGGGAUCCUCCUCCACCCAAGGGUGAUCCCGUGUUUGAGCUCAAACCGUUACCUGAUACUCCUAAAUAUGCUUAUCUUGAUGAGAAAAAGAUAUAUCUUGUUAUUAUCAGUGCUAACCUUUCAGAGCAUGAAGAAGAGAGAUUAUUGAAAACUCUGAAGAAGCACCAUGCUGCUAUUGGAUAUACUCUUGAUGAUUUUAAGGGCAUUAGUCCCACUCUAUGUCAACACAAAAUAAAUUUGGAAAAAGAUGCCAAACCAGUUCGUGAUCACCAACGACGACUGAAUCCUAAGAUGAAAGAAGUGGUAAGAAAGGAAAUACUAAAGCUCCUUGAGGCAGGUAUAAUUUAUCCCGUUGCUGAUAGUCAGUGGGUAAGUCAUGUCCAUUGUGUCCCUAAAAAGGGAAGUAUUACUGUCGUUCCUAAUGAUAAAGAUGAAUUGAUUCCGCAAAGAAUUAUUACAGGUUAUAGGAUGGUAAUUGAUUUCCCCAAAUUAAAUAAGGCUACUAAAAAAGAUCAUUACCCCUUACCUUUUAUUGAUCAAAUGCUAAAAAGAUUAUCCAAAAAUACACAUUUUUGCUUUCUAGAUGGUUAUUCUGGUUUCUCUCAAAUACCUGUGUCAACUGAUGAUCAAUCUAAGACCACUUUUACUUGCCGUUCAGUACUUUUGCUUAUAGACGUAUGCCUUUUGGUUUAUGUAAUGCACCUGCUACCUUCCAAAGAUGCAUGAUGGCUAUAUUCUCCGACUUUUGUGAAAAGAUUUGUGAGGUUUUCAUGGACGAUUUCUCCGUCUAUGGAUCCUCUUUUGAUGAUUGCUUAAGCAACCUUGAUCGAGUUUUGCAGAGAUGUGAAGAAACUAACCUUGUCUUGAAUUAGGAGAAGUGCCACUUUAUGGUUAAUGAAGGUAUUGUUUUGGGGCAUAAAGUUUUUGAAAGAGGUAAUGAAGUUGAUAAAGCUAAGGUUGAUGUUAUUUAAAAGAUGUCAUGUCCCAAGGACAUCAAAGGUAUAAGAAGUUUCCUUGGUCAUGCCGGUUUUUAUAGGAGGUUCAUUAAGGACUUCUCAAAAAUUUCUCGGCCUCUGGCUAAUUUAUUACAAAAAUAUAUACCAUUUGUUUUUGAUGAUGAUUGCGUAGAAGCAUUUGAAAUACUUAAGAAAGCAUUGAUCUCUGCACCUAUUGUUCAGCCACCUGAUUGGAAUUUACCCUUUGAAAUUAUGUGUGAUGCUAGUGAUUAUGUUGUAGGUGCUGUUCUAGGGCAAAGAGUUGAUAAGAAAUUAAAUGUUAUUCAAUAUGCUAGUAAAACUCUAGACAAUGCUCAGAGAAAUUAUGCUACUACUGAAAAAGAAUUCUUAGCAGUUGUAUUUGCUUGUGAUAAGUUCAGACCUUAUAUUGUUGAUUCUAAAGUAACUAUUCACAUUGAUCAUGCUGCUAUUAAAUAUCUGAUGGAAAAGAAAGAUGCUAAACCUAGACUUAUUAGAUGGGUUCUCUUGCUACAAGAAUUUGAUUUUCAUAUUAUUGAUAGAAAUGGAGCUGAGAACCUCGUUGCAGAUAACUUGUCUAGGUUGGAAAAUGUUCUUGAUGACCCACUACCUAUUGAUGAUAGCUUUCCUGAUGAACAAUUAAAUGUCAUAAAUGCUUCUCAUAAUGCUCCAUGGUAUGCUGAUUAUGCUAAUUACAUUGUUGCUAAAUUUAUACCACCUAGUUUCACAUACCAGCAAAAGAAAAGGUUUUUCCAUGAUUUGAGACAUUACUUUUGGGAUGACCCACAUCUUUAUAAAGGAGUAGAUGGUGUUAUUAGACGUUGUGUACCUGGGCAUGAACAGGAACAGAUCCUACGCAAGUGUCACUCUGAAGCUUAUGGAGGACACCACGCUGGAGAUAGAACUGCACAUAAGGUAUUGCAAUCCGGUUUUUAUUGGCCUACUCUCUUCAAGGAUGCCCGUAAGUUUGUUGUAUCUUGUGAUGAAUGUCAAAGAAUUGGUAAUAUUAGUAGACGUCAAGAAAUGCCUAUGAAUUAUUCACUUGUUAUUGAACUAUUUGAUGUUUGGGGCUUUGAUUAUAUGGGACCUUUUCCUGCAUCUAAUGGAUAUACACAUAUUUUAGUUGCUGUUGAUUACGUUACCAAGUGGGUAGAAGCUAUUCCAACUAGUAGUGCUGAUCAUAACACCUCUAUUAAGAUGCUUAAAGAAGUUAUUUUUCUGAGGUUUGGAGUCCCUAGAUAUUUAAUGACUGAUGGUGGUUCACAUUUUAUUCAUGGUGCUUUCCAUAAAAUGCUUGCUAAGUAUGAUGUUAAUCAUAGAAUUGCAUCUCCUUAUCACCCACAGUCAAGUGGUCAACUAGAAUUGAGUAACAAAGAGCUCAAAUUAAUUUUGCAAAAGACUGUUAAUAGAUCUAGAAAGAAUUGGUCCAAGAAACUUGAUGAUGCAUUAUGGGCCUAUAGAACUGCAUAUAAAAAUCCUAUGGGUAUGUCUCCGUAUAAAAUGGUUUAUGGUAAAGCAUGUCAUUUACCUCUUGAACUAGAACAUAAGGCAUAUUGGGCCAUUAAAGAGCUCAAUUAUGAUUUCAAACUUGCUGGUGAGAAAAGGUUAUUUGACAUUAGCUCACUUAAUGAAUGGAGAACCCAAGCCUAUGAGAAUGCCAAAUUGUUUAAAGAAAAGGUUAAAAGAUGGCACGACAAAAGAAUACAAAAGCGUGAGUUUAAUGUAGGUGAUUAUGUAUUGCUAUACAACUCUCAUUUAAGAUUUUUUGCAGGAAAGCUUCUCUCUAAAUGGGAAGGUCCUUACGUUAUCGAGGAGGUCUAUCGUUCUGGUGCCAUAAAAUCAACAACUUUGAAGGCACAAAUUCAAAGGUGGUGAACGGUCAAAGAAUCAAACAUUAUAUCUCAGGUAAUCCUAUAAAUGUUGAAACCAAUGUUAUUGAAACCGUAACCCCGGAGGAAUACAUAAGGGACACUUUCCGAAACGUUUUAGACUCCGAAAAGGAAUAGGUAUGUGGUACGGUAAGUAAACCGACUCCAAAACAGUUCUAAUGUCAAUUUUUCUCCUUUUUGGAAUAUUUAGAAAAAUAGAAAAAUAAGAAGCAGUCCGGGAAGGACACGAGGGCUCCACGAGGGUGGAGGGCGCGCCCUAUCCCCCUAGGCGUGCCCCCUGCCUCGUGGGCACCUCGUGUGCUCUCCGGACUCCGUUUUCUUGCACGUCGCGUAUUUUGGUCGGUAAAAAUUCAUUAUAUAAUCUCCCGAAGGUUUUGACUCCCGUAUCACACAAAAAUCUCCUGUUCUUGUUUCGAGCUGUUUUCUGUCAGGGUUGUCAAGGCCAGGCAUUAUGUCGUCCCCCUCCUCCAACAAUGGUGACAACGAUGCUUGGCUAAUGAAGAUAGAGCUUAAGAGGGAAGAACCUAUGGAGAUCAACAAGGAUGAAGGGAUCAAGAAGACCACAGAGGACCAAGUUCCGGUAGCAGAAGACAUCCUUCAACUUGAUCACAAUCUUCUUACCCCAACUGAGAUCGAGGCUUUCAAGAUGAUUGAGUUAUCCCGUAUACAAAACAAGUAUCUCACACGUGAAAAUAUUUUGUUGAAGGAGCAUAUCAUCGCACUCAAGGGCAUUAUCCGCAAGUUGGAGGACCUCCUACGCUCGAUGUGCGACUAUCCAUCAUCAACAACUCCACCUUCUUCACCAACAAAGAAGAACUGAGUAUCUGGUAUGGGCACUCCCCUUGGCAACUGCCAAGCUCGAGGGAGUGCCCCAGUAUCGUAUCACCAUCACUUUUAUCUUUACUGUUUUCUUAGUUCGAUCCUUUUGAUAAUAUUUUGAUCUAGUAGAAUAAAAGUUCUUAGUAUGAUCUAGUUGUGAGUUUUGCUUUAUGAUCCUUCUAUGUAAUCGAGUCCGUGAGCUAUAUAUAAUAAAGAUUAGUGUUGAGUCAAGGGCUUGAUUAUUUUGCCAUAAUCCUGAGUGAAUAAAAUAAAAGAGAAAGAAUAAAAAGAAAUAAAAGAGAUCAUAUGGAUCUUAUGGAGAGUAAUGAGCUCACAUCUAAAGAGUAUGAUGAUUAAAAGUUUUUGAGAGUUGACAAACAUAGUUUUGGUCAUCGUUGCAAUUAAUAGGAAGUAAUAAAGAAAGAGAGGUCUUCACAUAUAAACAUGCUAUCUUGGACACCUUUUAUGAUUGUGAGCACUCAUUAAAAUAUGACAUGCUAAAGAGUUGAUGUUGGACAAGGAAGACAACGUAAUGGGUUAUGUUUUCUUACAUCUGAGAUAAAUUAUAUUGUCAUGGAUCAUCCAACAUGAUUGAGCUUGCCUUUCCCCCUCAUGCUAGACAAAUUCUUUGCACCAAGUAGAGAUACUACUUGUGCUUCCAAACACCCUUAAACCAGUUUUGCCAUGAGAGUCCACCAUACCUACCUAUGGAUUGAGUAAGAUCCCUCAAGUAAGCUGUCAUCGGUGCAAGCAAUAAAAAUUGCCCUCUAAAUAUGUAUGACUUAUUAGUGUGGGAGAAAAUAAGCUUUAUAUGACCGUGUGAUAUAGAAGAAAUAAAAGCGACAGACUGCAUAAUAAAGGUCCAUUUCACAAGUGGCAAUAUAAAGUGACGUUCUUUCGCAUUAAGAUUUUGUGCAUCCAACCAUAAAAGCACAUGACAACCUCUGCUUCCCUCUGCGAAGGGCCUAUAUUUUACUUUUAUCUCCUACCUUGCAUAAGAGUCAUGGUGAUCUUCACCCUUCCUUUUUAAAUUUUAUCUUUUGGCAAGCACAACAUGUUGGAAAGAUCCUGGUAUAUGUGGCUAAUUGGAUGUGUGUUUUCAUGAACUAUUAUUGUUGACAUUACCCUUGAGGUAAAAUGUUGGGAGGCAAAACUAUAAGCCCCUAUCUUUCUCUGUGUACGAUUGAAACUCCAUACCCAUAAGUAUUGCAUGAGUGUUAGGAAUUGUGAAAGACUAUAUGAUAGUUGAGUAUGUGGACUUGCUGAAAAGCUCUUAUAUUGACUCUUUCCUAUGUUAUGAUAAAUUGCAAUUGCUCCAAUGACUGAGAUUAUAGUUUGUUAGUUUUCAAUGAAGUUUAUGAUUCAUACUUGAAAUUGUGAUUGAAUUGUUACUCUAGCAUAAGAGAUCAUAUGACAAGAAUUAUAUAAGUUGAUGUUCUAAGAAUGAUCAUGAUGCCCUCAUGUCCAUAUUUUAUUUUUAUCGACACCUCUAUCUUUAAACAUGUGGACAUAUUUUUCGAUUUCGGCUUUCCCUUGAGGACAAGCGAGGUCUAAACUUGGGGGAGUUGAUACGUCCAUUAUGCAUCAUGCUUUUAUAUCGAUAUUUAUUGCAUUAUGGGAUGUUAUUACACAUUAUGUCACAAUACUUAUGCCUAUUCUCUCUUAUUUUACAAGGUUUACAUAAAGAGGGAGAAUGCCGACAGCUGGGAUUCUGGGUUGGAAAAGGAGCAAAUAUUAGAGACCUAUUCUGCACAGCUCCAAAAGUCCUGAAACUUCACAGAAGUCAUUUUCAAAAUAUAUAAAAAAUACCGAGCGCAAGAAGUUCCGGAGGGGGGGCCACACCCUACCCACGAGGGUGGGGGCGUGCCCUAACCCCCCCCCCCCGGGCGCGCCCCUUGCCUCGUGGGCCCCCUGGUGGCCCUCCGAUGCCCAUCUUCUUCUAUAUGGAGUCUUUCGAUGAGAAAAAAAAUCAUAAGCCAGCUUUCGGGAGGAGACUCUGCCGCCACGAGGCGGAACCUUGGCAGAACCAAUCUAGGGCUCUGGCGGAGCUGUUCUGCCGGGGAAACUUCCCUCUAGGAGGGGGAAAUCAUCGCCAUCGUCAUCACCAAUGAUCCUCUCAUCGGGAGGGUGUCAAUCUCCAUCAACAUCUUCACCAGCACCAUAUCCUCUCAAAUCCUAGUUCAUCUCUUGUAUCCAAUUCUUGUCUCCAAGUCUGGGAUUGGUACCGGUGGGUUGCUAGUAGUGUUGAUUACUCCUUGUAGUUGAUGCUAGUUGGUUUAUUUGGUGGAAGAUCAUAUGUUCAGAUCCUAUAUGCAUAUUAAUACUCCUCUGAUUAUGAACAUGAAUAUGCUUUGUGAGUAGUUACGUUUGUUCCUGAGGACAUGGGAGAAGUCUUGCUGUUAGUAGUCAUGUGAAUUUGGUAUUGGUUCGAUAUUUUGAUGAGAUGUAUGUUGUCUCUCCUCCGGUGGUGUUAUGUGAACGUCGACUACAUGACACUUCACCAUUAUUUGGGCCUAGAGGAAGGCAUUGGGAAGUAAUAAGUAUAUGAUGGGUUGCUAGAGUGACAGAAGCUUAAACCCUAGUUUAUGCGUUGCUUCGUAAGGGGCUGAUUUGGAUCCAUAUGUUUCAUGCUAUGGUUAGGUUUACCUUAAUACUUUUGUUGUAGUUGCGGACGCUUGCAAUAGAGGUUAAUCAUAAGUGGGAUGCUUGUCCAAGUAAGGACAGCUCCCAAGCACCAGUCCACCCGCAUACCAAAUUAUCAAAGUACCGAACGUGAAUCAUAUGAUCGUGAUGAAACCUAGCUUGACAAUAAUUCCCAUGUGUCCCCGGGAGCGCUUUUCUCUAUAUAAGAAUUUGUCCAGGCUUGUCCUUUGCUACAAAAAGGAUUGGGCCACCUUGGUGCACUUUAUUUACUUUUGUUACUUGUUGCUCGUUACAAAUUAUCUUAUCACAAAACUAUUUGUCCCCUAUAAUUUAAAUGCUUGCAGAGAAUACCUUGCUGAAAACCGCUUAUCAUUUCCUUCUGCUCCUCGUUGGGUUUGACACUCUUACUUAUAGAAAGGACUACGAUAGAUCCCCUAUACUUGUGGGUCAUCAGCACCGCACACGGCUAAGAGAUCAAUGAUCAAUUGUGUGUCUAUGGGGUGCCCCCGCCCCAGUAUAUAAAGGAGCAAGGGGAGGAGGCAGCCGGCCAGGGAGAGGCGCGCCAAGAGGGGGAGUCCUACUCCCACUAGGAGUAGGACUCCUCCUUUUCCUAGUAGGAGUAGGAGAGGGGGAAGGAAAGGGAGAGGAGGAGAAGGAAAGAGAGGGGCGGCCCCCCUUGCCCUAAACCAAAUUCAGUUUGGGCCUUGGGGGGCUCGCCCGCAUUCCCCUUGCUGCCCUCUAUUUCCACUAAGGCCCAUGUAGGCCCAUUAAGCCCCUUGGGGGGUUCCGGUAACCCCCCGGUACUCUGGUAUAUGUCCGAAACCUUUCGGAACCUUUCUGGUGUCCGAACAUAGUCGUCCAAUAUAUCGAUCUUUACGUAUUGACCAUUUCGAGACUCCUUGUCAUGUCCGUGAUCACAUCCGGGACUCCGAACUACCUUCAGUACAUCAACACACAAAACUCAUAAUACCGAUCGUCACCGAACUUUAAGCGUGCGGACCCUACGGGUUUUAGAACUAUGUAGACAUGACCGAGACACGUCUCCGGUCAAUAACCAAUAGCGGAACCUGGAUGCUCAUAUUGGUUCCCACAUAUUCUACGAAGAUCUAUAUCGGUCAAACCGCAUAACAACAUAUGUUGUUCCCUUUGUCAUCGGUAUGUUACUUGCUCGAGAUUCGAUUGUCGGUAUCUCAAUACCUAGUUCAAUCUCGUUAUCGGCAAGUCUCUUUACUCGUUCCAUAAUACAUCAUCCCGUAACUAACUCAUUAGUUACAAUGCUUGCAAGGAUUAUAGUGAUGUGCAUUACCGAGUGGGCCUAGAGAUACCUCUCCGACAAUCGGAGUGACAAAUCCUAAUAUCAAAAUAUGCCAACUCAACAAGUACCUUCGGAGACACCUAUAGAGCACCUUUAUAAUCACCCAGUUACAUUGUGAUGUUUAGUAGCACACAAAGUGUUCCUCCGGUAAAUGGGAGUUGCAUAAUCUCAUAGUCAUAGGAACAUGUAUAAGUCAUGAAGAAAACAAUAGCAACAUAUUAAACGAUCAAGUGCUAAGCUAACGGAAUGGAUCAAGUCAAUCACAUCAUUCUAUAAUGAUGUGAUCCCAUUAUUCAAAUGACAACUCAUGUCUAUGGUUAGGAAACAUAACCAUCAUUGAUUCAACGAGCUAGUCAAGUAGAGGCAAACUAGUGACACUCUGUUUGUCUAUGUAUUCACACAUGUACUAAGUUUCCGGUUAAUACAAUUCUAGCAUGAAUAAUAAACAUUUAUCAUGAUAUAAGGAAAUAAAUAAUAACUUUAUUAAUUCCUCUAGGGCAUAUUUCCUUCAAUUCCCCCCUCCGGCAGGGUGCCAGAACGGGUCUAGAUUGGUUUUCGGUGGAUACGGAGGCUUCUAGCGGCGGAACUCCCGAUCUAGGUUAUGUUCUGGAGGUUUCAGUAUAUAUAACAGGUUUUGGCAUCGAGAACAAGUUAGGGGGGUCUCCAGGCCGUCCACGAGGUAGGGAGGCGCGCCCAGGGGGGUGGGCACGCUCCCCACCCUCGUGGGCAGCCCGGGACUCUUCUGGCCCAACUAUUUUACUCCAUGUCCUUCUUCUGGUCCAAAAAUAAGUUCCGUGAAGUUUCAUGUCAAUGCACUCCGUUUGGUUUUCCUUUUCUACAAUACUCAAAAACAAAGAAAAACAGAAACUGGCACUGGGCUCUAGGUUAAUAGGUUAGUCCCAAAAAUCAUAUGAAAUAGCAUAUAAAUGCAUAUAAAAUAUCCAAGGUUGACAAUAUACUAGCAUGGAACAAUCAAAUAUUAUAGAUACGUUGGAGACGUAUCAAGCCGGAAGAACUCCAGGAAGCCGCGGAAGAAAGUGCUCGCCGGAAGAUCAAACCCGCGCUUGAAGUGCAUAAAGAAGACCACACGCUCCAUGCCCUCGGGCCGUGGCUCCUGCUCCCCCUGCGGCAGGCGCACGGCGACCUCCUGAUGUCUACUACACAACCUUCAUCUUGUAGACGUUGUUGGGCCUCCAAGUGCAGAGGUUUGUAGGACAGUAGCAAAUUUCCCUCAAGUGGAUGACCUAAGGUUUAUCAAUCCAUAGGAGGCGUAGGAUGAAGAUGGUCUCUCUCAAGCAACCCUGCAACCAAAUAAUAAAGAGUCUCUUGUGUCCCCAACACACCCAAUACAAUGGUAAAUUGUAUAGGUGCACUAGUUCGGCGAAGAGAUGGUGAAACAAGUGGUAUACGGAUAGUAGAUAAAGGUAUUUGUAAUCUGAAAUUAUAAAAACAGCAAGGUAACUAAUGAUAAAAGUGAGUGUAAACGGUAUUGCAAUGUGUGGAAAUAAGGCCUAGGGUUCAUACUUUCGCUAGUGUAAGUUCCCUCAACAAUAAUAACAUAAUUGGAUCAUAUAACUAUCCCUCAACAUGCAACAAAGAGUCACUCCAAAGUCACUAAUAGCGGAGAACAAACGAAGAGAUUAUGGUAGGGUACGAAACCACCUCAAAGUUAUUCUUUCCAAUCAAUCUGUUGGGCUAUUCCUAUAAGUGUCACAAACAUCCCUAGAGUUCGUACUAGAAUAACACCUUAAGACACAAAUCAACCAAAACCCUAAUGUCACCUAGAUACUCCAAUGUCACCUCAAGUAUCCGCGGGUAUGAUUAUAUGAUAUGCAUCACACAAUCUCAGAUUCAUCUAUUCAACCAACACAUAGGACCUCAAAGAGUGCCCCAAAGUUUCUACCGGAGAAUCACGACGAAAACGUGUGCCAACCCCUAUGCAUAGGUUCAUGGGCGGAACCCGCAAGUUGGUCACCAAAACAUACAUCAAGUGAAUCACGUGAUAUCCCAUUGUCACCACAGAUAUCCACUGCAAGACAUACAUCAAGUGUUCUCAAAUCUUUAAAGACUCGAUCCGAUAAGAUUACUUCAAAGGGGAAACUCAAUUCAUUACAAGAGAGUAGAGGGGGGAGAAAACAUCAUAGGAUCCAACUAUAAUAGCAAAGCUCGCGAUACAUCAAGAUCGUAUCACCUCAAGAACACGAGAGAGAGAGAUCAAACACAUAGCUACUGGUACAUACCCUCAGCCCCGAGGGAGAACUACUCCCUCCUUGUCAUAGAGAGCACCAGGAUGAUGAAGAUGGACACCGGAGAGGGAUUCCCCCCUCCGGCAGGGUGCUGGAACGGGUCUAGAUUGGCUUUUGGUGGCUACGGAGGCUUCUGGCGGUGGAACUCCCGAUCUAUUCUCUGUUCUGGAAGUUUUAGGAUGCAUGGGUAUAUAUGGGUGAAAGGAGUACGUCGGUGGACCGAAGGGGGGGCACAAGGCAGGGGGCACACCCCAGGGGGGUGGGCGCGCCCCCUACCCUCGUGAGCUCCUCCUUCAUCUUCUGACGUAGGGUCCAAGUCUAUCCGGUAGGUUUGCUUCCAAAAAUAACUUCUCCAGUUGAUUUCGUUCCGUUUCGACUCCGUUUGAUAUUCCUUUUCUUCGAAACACUAAAAUAGGCAUAAAAUAGCAAAUCUGGGCUGGGCCUCCGGUUAAUAGGUUAGUCCCAAAAAUAAUAUAAAAGUGGAAAAUAAAGCCCAAUAUUGCCCAAAACAGUAGAUAAUAUAGCAUGGAGCAAUAAAAUAUUAUAGAUACAUUGGAGACGUAUCACCUCCAUCUCCCCUGGCAACCUCCUGGUGGUGCGGAGGUAGGCGAUGUCGUCUAAAGUGACGGUCGAGCCCAUCCACGAGCCCGACGGAAGAGCCAUCGACGAAGAAAGGAAAGAAGGAAGAAUGGCGGUGAAGCUCUGCUCGAAGCGGCGGGCAUUGCAGCGCGCGGCGGUCGCUAAGGGCAGAGGAAGGAUGAGGAAGUAGGGGAGUGGGAGCGAGAAUGACUUCCGCCGCCCCCUCUCCCAAUUUAUAACCCACGAUUCGAAACAUGGGGAAGUGGGAUCGUUUGCGCUCGCCCCUCCCACUUCCCCGCAAUAAAUACACACGUACGCACGCAGUAACUGCAUCGAGAAUGGCAACCGGCCCGUGGACGCCGCACUAAAUCCGCGUGCGUGGGCCGAGGGUGCGCAGCAGCGGGUCCUAUCGCGUGCAUGGCCUGUCAGGUCCCUCUAGCUCCCGAGCACCACAUGGCGCCCGCGCGAAGCCCAAAAGAUCGCCUCAAGAUUCGACGGGCUCUUUGGUUUCCCGCCCCUGUUGGGAUGCCGCGAUCUGGCUUCCGAAAGCCGGCACACAGUGGGUGUUGCCGGACCCGGCGGUCACAAAAUUCGCCUCCUCAAGGGGGGAAACUGCGAAGGCCCUCCCGCUCGAAGACGGCGGACCUUCACAACUUUGGGGACUAUUGUCGGGAGGAUGAACCCCAGGAAGGCAACGGAACCCGGAUCCUUUUCAAAAACAACGGGCCAACAACGCCCCUCAAGCCGGCUCACGCCUGGCCGGGUCGCUCGACCCGGCCGAGCCCCUUAACCCGGCCAAAUUCCUCGACCCGGCCCCGGCGGCUGCCGCAAGGCGGCCGAACCCGGCGCACCAAGACAUCUUCAACAAGCCUGCUUCCCCUUGACGUGUUCUCCAACCCGGCCACUUAUUCAUCCAUUUUGCAUCAUGCUUUUAUAUCAAUAUUUAUUGCAUUAUGGGCUGUUAUUACACAUUAUGUCACAAUACUUACGCCUAUUCUCUCUUAUUUUACAAGGUUUACAUAAAGAGGGAGAAUGCCGGCCGCUGGGAUUCUGGGCUGAAAAAGGAGCAAAUAUUAGAGACCUAUUCUGCACAGCUCCAAAAUUCAUGAAACUUCACGAAAGUCAAUUUCAGAAUAUAUAAUAAAUAUUGAGCGCAAGAAGUUCACCAGGGGGGCCACACCCUGCCCACGAGGGUGGGGGGCGCGCCCUACCCCCCUGGGCGCGCCCCCUACCUCGUGGGCCCCCUGGUGGCCCUCCGAUGGCCAUCUUCUCUAUAUGGAGUCUUUCGACGAGGAAAAAAUCAUAAGCCAUCUUCCUGGACAAGACUCCGCCGCCACGAGGCGGAACCAAUCUAGGGCUUUGCUGGAGCUGUUCUGCCGGGGAAACUUCCCUCCGAGAGGGGGAAAUCAUCGCCAUCGUCAUCACCAAUGCUCCUCUCAUCGGGAGAAGGCAAUCUCCAUCAACAUAUUCACUAGCACCAUCACCUCUCAAAACCCUAGUUCAUCUCUUGUAUCCAAUUCUUAUCUCCAAGUCCGGGAUUGGUACCUGUGGGUUGCUAGUAGUGUUAAUUACUCCUUGUAGUUGAUGCUAGUUGGUUUAUUUGGUGGAAGAUCAUAUGUUCAGAUCCUAUAUGCAUAUUAAUACCCCUCUGAUUAUGAAUAUGAAUAUGCUUUGUGAGUAGUUACGUUUGUUCCUGAAGACAUGGGAGAAGUCUUGCUAUUAGUAGUCAUGUGAAUUUGGUAUUCGUUCGAUAUUUUCAUGAGAUGUAUGUUGUCUCUCCUCUAGUGGUGUUAUGUGAACGUCGACUACAUGACACUUCACCAUUAUUUGGGCCUAGAGGAAGGCAUUUGGAGGUAAUAAGUAGAUGAUGGGUUGCGAGAAUGACAGAAGCUUAAACCCUAGUUUAUGCGUUGCUUCGUAAGGGGCUGAUUUGGAUCCAUAUGUUUCAUGCUAUGGUUAGGUUUACCUUAAUACUUUUGUUGUAGUUGCGGAUGCUUGCAAUAGAGGUUAAUCAUAAGUGGGAUGCUUGUCCAAGUAAGGGAAGUACCCAAGCACUGGUCCACCCACAUACUAAAUUAUCAAAGUACCGAACGUGAAUCAUAUGAACGUGAUGAACCCUUGCUUGACAAUGUUCCCAUGUGUCCUCGGGAGCGCUUUUCUCUAUAAAAGAGUUUGUCCAGGCUUGUCCUUUACUACAAAAAGGAUUGGGCCACCUUGCUGCACUUUAUUUACUUUUGUUACUUGUUGCUCGUUACCAAUUAUCUUAUCACAAAAUUACCUGUUACCUAUAAUUUCAGUGCUUGCAGAGAAUACCUUGCUGAAAACCGCUUAUCAUUUCCUUCUGCUCCUCGUUGGGUUCGACACUCUUACUUAUCGAAAGGACUACGAUAGAUCCCCUAUCCUUGUGGGUCAUCAAGACUCUUUUCUGGCGCCGUUGCCGGGGAGUGAAGCGCCUUUGGUAGGUGGAAUUUGGUAAGGAAAAAUUUAUAUAGUGUGUUGAAAUUUACUGUCACUUGUUACUAUGGAAAGUAAUCCUCUAAGGGGCUUGUUCGGGGUAUCUUCACCCCGACCAGUAGAGCAAAAAGUUGCUCCUCAACCUACUGCACCUACUGAAAAUGAAAAUGAAAAUGUUUGCUUUGAAAUUCCUUCGGGUAUGAUAGAAAAACUGCUAGCUAAACCUUUUGCAGGAGAUGGAACAACGCAUCCUGGUGAGCACCUAAUAUAUGUGGAUGAAGUUUGUGGAUUAUUUAAGCUUACAGGUGUACCCGGAGAUGUUAUUAAGAAGAAGGUCUUCCCUUUAUCUUUGAAGGAAGAUGCAUUGACAUGGUAUAGGCUAUGUGAUGAUACGGGGUCAUGGAACUACAAAUGAUUGAAAUUCGAAUUUCAUCAAAAGUUUUAUCCUAUGAAGUUGAUUUCGUUCCGUUUCGACUCCGUUUGAUAUUCCUUUUCUUUGAAACACUGAAAUAGGCAUAAAACAGCAAAUCUGGGCUGGGACUCCGGUUAAUAGGUUAGUCCCAAAAAUAAUAUAAAAUUGGAAAAUAAAGCCCAAUAUUGCCCAAAACAGUAGAUAAUAUAGCAUGGAGCAAUCAAAAAUUAUAGAUACGUUGGAGACGUAUCAAGCAUCCCCAAGCUUAAUUCCUGCUCGUCCUCGAGUAGGUAAAUGAUAAAAAGAUAAUUUUCUAUGUGGAAUGCUAGUUGGCAUAAUUUCAAUGUAAUUCUUCUUAUUUGUGAUAUGAAUAUUAAGAUCCGAAAGAUUCAAGACAAAAGUUCAUAUUGACAUAAAAAUAAUAAUACUUCAAGCAUACUAACUAAGCAAUUAUGUCUUCUCAAAAUAACAUGGCCAAAGAAAGUUCAUACCUACAAAAUCAUAUAGUUUAGUCAUGCUCCAUUUUCAUCACACAAGAAUGCUCUCAUCAUGCACAACCCCGAUGACAAGCCAAGCAAUUGUUUCAUACCUUAAUAAUUUCAAAAUCAUAAACUUUCACGCAAUACAUGAGCGUAAGCCAUGGAUAUAGUACUAUGGGUGGAAUAGAAUAUAAUGAUGGGGGUUAUGUGGAGAAGACAAAAAGGAGAAAGUCUCACAUCAACGAGGCUAAUCAAUGGGCUAUGGAGAUGCCCAUCAAUUGAUGUUAAUGCAAGGAGUAUGGAUUGCCAUGCAACGGAUGCACUAGAGCUAUAAAUGUAUGAAAGCUCAACAAAAGAAACUAGUGGGUGUGCAUCCAACUUGCUUGCUCACGAAGACCUAGGGCACUUGAGGAGGCCCAUUGUUGGAAUAUACAAACCAAGUUCUAUAAUGAAAUAUUCCCACUAGUAUAUGAAAGUGAUAACAUGAGAGACUCUCUACUAUGAAGAUCAUGGUGCUACUUUGAAGCACAAGUGUGGCAAAGGAUAGUAGCAUUGUUCCUUCUCUCUUUUUCUCUCAUUUUUUUAUUUGGCCUUUCUCUUUUCUUUUCUUUUUGGGCCUUCUCUUUUUUAUGGCCUUUCUCUUCUUAUUUUUAUUUUUUUGGGCCUUCUCUUUUUAUGGCCAUUUUUUAUUCCUCACUUGGGACAAUGCUCUAAUAAUGAUGAUCAUCACACUUCUAUUUAUUUAGAACUCAAUGAUUACAACUCGAUACUAGAACAAAGAUGACUCUAUAUGAAUACCUCUGGCGGUGUACCGGGAUAUGCAAUGAACUAAGAGUGACAUGUAUGAAAGAAUUAUGAACGGUGGCUUUGCCACAAAUACUAUGUCAACUACAUGAUCAUGCUAAGCAAUAUGACAAUGAUGAAUGUGUCAUGAUAAGCGGAACGGUGGAAAGUUGCAUGGCAAUAUAUCUCGGAAUGGCUAUGGAAAUGCCAUAGUAGGUAGGUAUGGUGGCUGUUUGGAGGAAGAUAUAAGGAGGUUUAUGUGUGAUAGAGCGUAUCAUAUCACGGGGUUUGGAUGCACCCGCGAAGUUUGCACCAACUCUCAAUGUGAGUAAGGGCAAUGCACGGUACCGAAUAGGCUAGCAAGGAUGGAAGGGUGAGAGUGCAUAUAAUCCAUGGACUCAACAUUAGUCAUAAAGAACUCACAUACUUAUUGCAAAAAUGUACAAGUCAUCAAAAACCUCGGCACUACACGCAUGCUCCUAGGGGGAUAGAUUGGUAGGAAAAGACCAUCGCUCGUCCCCGACCGCCACUCAUAAGGAGAACAAUCAAAUAACACCUCAUGUUUCAAAUUUGUUACACAACGUUUACCAUACGUGCAUGCUACGGGAUUUGCAAACUUCAACACAAGAAUUUCUCAAAUUCACAAUUACUCUACUAGCAUGACUCUAAUAUCACCAUCUCCAUAUCUCAAAACAAUUAUCAAGUAUCAAACUUCUCAUAGUAUUCAACACACUCAUAAGAGAAUUUCAUUAUUCUUGAAUACCUAGCAUAUUAGGAUUUUAAGCAAAUUACCAUGCUAUUUAAGACUCUAAAAAUAAGUGAACCAUGAGAGUUCAUCUAUUUCUUCAAAAUAAAACUACCACCAUGCUCUAAAAGAUAUAAGUGAAGCACUAGAGCAAAUGACAAACUACUCUGAAACAUUUUAGUGAAGAUCAAUGAGUAGUCGAAUAAUAAUGCAACUAUGUGAAGACUCUCUAACAUUUAAGAAUUUCAGACCUUGGUAUUUUAUUCAAACAGCAAGAAAAACUAAAUAAAAUAAAAUGACGCUCCAAGGAAAACACAUAUCAUGUGGCGAAUAAAAAUAUAGCUCCAAGUAAAGUUACCGAUGAACGAAGACGAAAGAGGGGAUGCCUUCCGGGGCAUCCCCGAGCUUAGGCUCUUGGAUAUCCUUGAAUAUUACCUUGGGGUGCCUUGGGAAUACCCAAGCUUAGGCUCUUGCCACUCCUUAUUCCAUAGUCCAUCGAAUCCUUACCCAAAACUUGAAAACUUCACAACACAAAACUUAACAGAAAACUCGUAAGCUCCGUUAGUAUAAGAAAGUAAAUCACCACUUCGAGGCUGUAGUGAAAUCAUUCUUUAUUUAUAUUGGUGUUAAACCUACUGUAUUCCAACUUCUAUAUGGUUUAUAAACUAUUUUAAUAGCCAUAGAUUCAUCAAAAUAAGCAAACAACACACGAAAGACAGAAUUUGUCAAAAACAGGACAGUCUGUAGUAAUCUGAAUCAAACGUAUACUUAUGGAACCCCAAAAAUUCUAAAAUAAAUUUAUGGACCUGAGUAAUUUCUCUAUUAAUCAUCUGAAAAAAUAAUUAACUAAAUAUCACUCUCCAAAUAAAAAUGGCAGCAAUUCUCGUGAGCACUAAAGUUUCUGUUUUUGACAGCAUGAUCAACAAGACUUUCCCGAAGUCUUCCCAAAGGUUCUACUUGGCACAAACACUAAUUAAACACAUAAAACCACAUCUAAAAAGAGGAUAGAUGAAUUAUUUAUUACUAAACAGGAACAAAAAGCAAGGAACAAAAAUAAAAUUGGGUUGCCUCCCAACAAGCGCUAUCGUUUAACGCCCCCAGCUAGGCAUGAUGAUUUCAAUGAUGCUCACAUAAAAGAUAAGAAUUAAAACAUAAAGAGAGCAUCAUGAAGAAUAUUACUAGCACAUUUAAGUCUAACCCACUUCCUAUGCAUAGGGAUUUUGUGAGAAAACAACUUAUGGGAACAAUAAUCAACUAGCAUAGGAAGGCAAAACAAGCAUAACUUCAAGAUUUUAAGCACAUAGAGAGGAAAUUUGAUAUUAUUGCAAUUCCUACAAGCAUAUAUUCCUCCCUCAUAAUAAUUUUCAGUAGAAUCAUGAAUGAACUCAACAAUAUAACCAGCACCUAAAUAAUUCUUUUCAUGAUCUACUUGCAUAGAAAAUUUACUACUCUCCACAUAAGCAAAAUUCUUCUCAUUCGGAAUAGUGGGAGUAUCAUAAGAGACUUGAAUACUAUAAAUUGUUUCCACGUUGAAGGAGUAAUGUUCAGAGAAAGGGUACUCAUAAUCAUGACAAGUUUUAUAAAUAUAAUCAUCACUACUCUUUAUAGCAUAAGUUUUAUCACAAUAAUCAUCAUAAGUAGCAACUUUGUUCUCAUCAUAAUCGAUUGAAACCUCUUCCAAGAUAGUGGAUACAUCACUAAAUAAAGUCAUGACCUCUACAAAUCCACUUUCAUAAAUAUUAUAAGAUUCAACAUACUCCAAAAUAGUGGGUUCAUUACUUCCUAAAUUUGACACUCUUCCAAACCCACUUUCAUCAAUAUAAUCAUCGUAAGUAGAAGGCAUGCUAUCAUCAUAACAACUUUGCAUGUCAAAACUUGAGAGGCUAAAAAUAUCAUCAUUAUUAGACAUAGCAUCCCCAAGCUUGGGACAAACAUUAAUUGCAGCAAAUAUAUUCUCAAAUAUGUCAUCCUCAUCAAACAUAGCUUCCCCAAGCUUGGGCCUUUUCAUAUCAUAAGCAUAAUCACUCUCAUCAUUAAUAGUAUAGAUAGCACCAAUAGUAUAGCAAUUAUAAUAUUCUUCCAAGCAAGUGCCAAAAAGAUUUUCAAGAUCAUAAGAAGUGUCAUUAUCUUCCCAAUCAUAAUCAUCACAACAAGCAAUAGGCAUAACGAGAUCAUCAUCAAGUGUAUCAUUUUCAUGAGGCACAUCAAUAAUAGGAGCAACUUUAUUUGGGAGAGAUACCUUUUUACCUCUCUUCCUUUUUCUUUUCUUCUUCUUCACCACAUCAUGUGUGGGUUCAAUCCUCUUUUUGGAGCUCCUUAUUAAUGAGAUUGGUUGAAUAGAGGGCUCCUCUUCGUUACCUGAUUCAUCGUAAGAAAUAAUAAGAGAAUAUUGGGAAGUCUCUUCCCUUUCGUUAGCAUUCUCUUCAUCUUCUAUUUGUUUUAUUUUCUUUAUGUAAUUGGCAAUAUAAGGAUUUUCAAUGAAAUUCACCGCGCAAUACAUAUAAAUUUCCUCUAGAUCAAAAUGAAGAACUUUAUCAAGGGCAAAUUUUGGAAUAUCCUUAGUUCUACGUUUAAUUUCUACAUAACCCAAGAGCAAACUAAGUUCAUUAUGAUGUGCAAGGGAAAUCAAGUCAUCACAAUUUUUGGACACGAUAUGCUCAUGAAAAAAAUUGCAUUGGGUACUAAAAUGAUCACGUUCAUUGCAAAGUUCACAAGUAGGGCUAAGAAAAGAUAAAUUUUCAGCACAUUCAUUUAGCUCUUCUUGCAACAAUUUGGUUUCUAAGUACUUAUGCCUCUUGCAAUAUCUAUCUUCCCUAUUUGGUGUGUACUUGCAAACCCAGUCUACUCCACAAAAAAUUGACAUGUUUAUAGGAGGCAUUUUCAUCAUAACUAGUGCAAUCAUCAUUAGCAUCAUGGAUAUUCAAAGAAUUCGUACUAACAACAUUGCAAUCAUGCUCAUCAUUCAAAUAUUUAGUGCCAAACAUUUUAGAGAUCUCUUCUUCUAGCACUUGAGCACAAUUAUCCUUUCCAUCAUACUCACGAAAGAUAUUAAAACGAUGAAGCGUAUGAGAGAAACUCAAUUCCAUUUUUUUGUAGUUUUCUUUUAUAAACUAAACUAGUGAUAAAACAAGAAACUAAAAGACUCUAUUGCAAGAUCUAAAGAUAUACCUUCAAGCACUCACCUCCCCGGCAACGGCGCCAGAAAAGAGCUUGAUGUCUACUACACAACCUUCUUCUUGUAGACGUUGUUGGGCCUCCAAGUGCAGAGGUUUGUAGGACAGUAGCAAAUUUCCCUCAAGUGGAUGACCUAAGGUUUAUCAAUCCGUAGGAGGCGUAGGAUGAAGAUGAUCUCUCUCAAGCAACCCUGCAACCAAAUAACAAAGAGUCUCUUGUGUCCCCAACAUACCCAAUACAAUGGUAAAUUGUAUAGGUGCACUAGUUCGGCGAAGAGAUGGUGAAACAAGUGGUAUACGGAUAGUAGAUAAAGGUAUUUGUAAUCUGAAAUUAUAAAAACAGCAAGGUAACUAAUGAUAAAAGUGAGCGUAAACGGUAUUGCAAUGUGUGGAAAUAAGGCCUAGGGUUCAUACUUUCGCUAGUGUAAGUUCCCUCAACAAUAAUAACAUAAUUGGAUCAUAUAACUAUCCCUUAACAUGCAACAAAGAGUCACUCCAAAGUCACUAAUAGCGGAGAACAAACGAAGAGAUUAUGGUAGGGUACGAAACCACCUCAAAGUUAUUCUUUCCAAUCAAUCCGUUGGGCUAUUCCUAUAAGUGUCACAAACAGCCCUAGAGUUCAUACUAGAAUAACACCUUAAGACACAAAUCAACCAAAACCCUAAUGUCACCUAGAUACUCCAAUGUCACCUCAAGUAUCCGUGGGUAUGAUUAUACGAUAUGCAUCACACAAUCUCAGAUUCAUCUAUUCAACCAACACAUAGGACCUCAAAGAGUGCCCCAAAGUUUCUACCGGAGAAUCAUGACAAAAACGUGUGCCAACCCCUAUGCAUAGGUUCAUGGGCGGAACCUGCAAGUUGGUCACCAAAACAUACAUCAAGUGAAUCACGUGAUAUCCCAUUGUCACCACAGAUAUCCACGGCAAGACAUACAUCAAGUGUUCUCAAAUCUUUAAAGACUCAAUCCGAUAAGAUUACUUCAAAGGGGAAACUCAAUUCAUUACAAGAGAGUAGAGGGGGGAGAAAACAUCAUAGGAUCCAACUAUAAUAGCAAAGCUCGCGAUACAUCAAGAUCGUAUCACCUCAAGAACACGAGAGAGAGAGAGAGAUCGAACACAUAGCUACUGGUACAUACCCUCAGCCCCGAGGGAGAACUACUCCCUCCUCGUCAUGGAGAGCACCGGGAUGAUGAAGAUGGCCACCGGAGAGGGAUUCCCCCCUCUGGCAGGGUGCCGGAACGGGUCUAGAAUGGAUUUCGGUGGCUACGGAGGCUUCUGGCGGCGGAACUCCCGAUCUAUUCUCCGUUCGGGAAGUUUUAGGAUACGUGGGUAUAUAUGGGUGAAAGGUGUACGUUGGUGGACCGAAGGGGGGCACGAGGCAGGGGGCGCGCCCCCUACCCUCGUGAGCUCCUCCUUCAUCUUCUGACAUAGGGUCCAAGUCUAUCUGGUAGGUUUCCUUCCAGAAAUAACUUCUCCAGUUGAUUUCAUUCCGUUUCGACUCCGUUUGAUAUUCCUUUUCUUCGAAACACUGAAAUAGGCAUAAAACAGCAAAUCUGGGCUAGGCCUCCGGUUAAUAGGUUAGUCCCAAAAAUAAUAUAAAAGUGGAAAAUAAAGCCCAAUAUUGCCCAAAAUAGUAGAUAAUAUAGCAUGGAGCAAUAAAAACUUAUAGAUACAAUUGAGACGUAUCACCUCCGUCUCCCCCGGCAUGCUCCUGGUGGUGCGGAGGUAGGCGAUGCCGUCUAAAGUGAUGGUCGAGCCCUACGGAAGAGCCAUCGACGAAGAAAGGAAAGAAGGAAGAAUGGCGGUGAAGCUCUGCUCGAAGCGGCGGGCGUUGCAGCACGCGGCGGUCGCUAAGGGUAGAGGAAGGAUGAGGAAGCAGGGGAGUGCGAGCGAGAAUGACUUCCGCCGCCCCCUUAUCCCAAUUUAUAACCCAUGAUUCGAAACAUGGGGAAGUGGGAUCGUUUGCGCUCGCCCCUCCCACUUCCCCGCAAUAAAUGCGCACGUACGCGCGCAGUAACUGCAUCGAGAAUGGCAACCGGCCCGCGGACUCUGCACUAAAUCCGCGUGCGUGGGCCGAGGGUGCGCAGCAGCGGGUCCUAUCGCGUGCAUGGCCUGUCAGGCCCCUCUAGCUCCCGAGCACCACAUGGCGCCUGCGCGAAGCCCAAAAGAUCGCCUCAAGAUUCGACGGGCUCUUCGGUUUCCCGCCCCUGUCGGGAUGCCGCGAUCUGGCUUCCGGAAGUUAGCACACAGUGGGUGUUGCCGGACCCGGCGGUCACAAAAUUCGCCUCCUCAGGGGGGAGGGGGAACUGUGAAGGCCCUCCCGCUCGAAGAUGUCAAACCUUCACAACUUUGGGGACUAUUGUUGGGGGGAUGAACCCCAGGGAGGCAACGGAACCCGGAUCCUUUUCAAAAACAAUGGGCCAACAACGCUCCUCAAGCCGGCUCACGCCUGGCCGGGUCGCUCGACCCGGCCGAGACCCUUGACCCGGCCAAAUUCCUCGACCCGGUCCCGGCGGCUGCCGCAAGGCGGCCGAACUCGGCGCACCAAGAUGUCUUCAACAAGCCUGCUUCCCCUUGACGUGUUCUCCAACCCGGCCACUGAUACGUCCACUUUGCAUCAUGCUUUUAUAUCAAUAUUUAUUGCAUUAUGGGCUGUUAUUACACAUUAUGUCACAAUACUUAUGCCUAUUCUCUCUUAUUUUACAAGGUUUACAUAAAGAGGGAGAAUGCCGGCCGCUGGGAUUCUGGGCUGAAAAAGGAGCAAAUAUUAGAGACCUAUUCUGCAUAGCUCCAAAAGUCCUGAAACUUCACGGAAGUCAAUUUCAGAAUAUAUAAUAAAUAUUGAGCGCAAGAAGUUCACCAGGGGGGCCACACCCUGCCCACGAGGGUGGGGGGGCGCGCCCUACCCCCCUGGGCGUGCCCCCCUACCUCGUGGGCCCCCUGGUGGCCCUCCGAUGGCCAUCUUCUCUAUAUGGAGUCUUUCGAUGAGGAAAAAAAUCAUAAGCCAUCUUGCCAAACGAGACUCCGCCGCCACGAGGCGGAACCAAUCUAGGGCUUUGUCGGAGCUGUUCUGCCGGGGAAACUUCCCUCCGGAAGGGGGAAAUCAUCGCCAUCAUCAUCACCAACGCUCCUCUCAUUGGGAGAGGACAAUCUCCACCAUCUCCUCUCAAAACCCUAGUUCAUCUCUUGUAUCCAAUUCUUGUCUCCAAGUCCAGGAUUGGUACCUGUGGGUUGCUAGUAGUGUUAAUUACUCCUUGUAGUUGAUGCUAGUUGGUUUAUUUGGUGGAAGAUCAUAUGUUCAGAUCCUAUAUGCAUAUUAAUACCCCUCUGAUUAUGAAUAUGAAUAUGCUUUGUGAGUAGUUACGUUUGUUCCUGAGGACAUGGGAGAAGUCUUACUAUUAGUAGUCAUGUGAAUUUGGUAUUCGUUCGAUAUUUUGAUGAGAUGUAUGUUGUCUCUCCUCUAGUGGUGUUAUGUGAACGUCGACUACAUGACACUUCACCAUUAUUUGGUCCUAGAGGAAGGCAUUGGGAGGUAAUAAGUAGAUGAUGGGUUGCGAGAAUGACAGAAGCUUAAACCCUAGUUUAUGCGUUGCUUCGUAAGGGGCUGAUUUGGAUCCAUAUGUUUCAUGCUAUGGUUAGGUUUACCUUAAUACUUUUGUUGUAGUUGCAGAUGCUUGCAAUAGAGGUUAAUCAUAAGUGGGAUGCUUGUCCAAGUAAGGGCAGUACCCAAGAACUGGUCCACCCACAUACUAAAUUAUCAAAGUACCGAACGUGAAUCAUAGGAACGUAAUGAAACCUAGCUUGACAAUAUUCCCAUGUGUCCUCGGGAGCGCUUUUCUCUAUAUAAGAUUUUGUCCAGGCUUGUCCUUUACUACAAAAAGGAUUGGGCCACCUUGCUGCACUUUAUUUACUUUUUUUACUUGUUGCUCGUUACCAAUUAUCUUAUCACAAAACUACCUGCUACCUAUAAUUUCAGUGCUUGCAGAGAACACCUUGCUGAAAACUGCUUAUCAUUUCCUUCUGCUCCUCGUUGGGUUUGACACUCUUACUUAUCGAAAGGACUACGAUAGAUCCCCUAUCCUUGUGGGUCAUCAAGAAUCUUUUCUGGUGCUGUUGCCGGGGAGUGAAGCGCCUUUGGUAGGUGGAAUUUGGUAAGGAAAAAUUUAUAUAGUGUGCUGAAAUUUACUGUCACUUGUUACUAUGGAAAGUAAUCCUCUGAGGGGCUUGUUCGGGGUAUCUUCACCCCGACCAGUAGAGCAAAGAGUUGCUCCUCAACCUACUGCACCUACUGAAAAUGAAAAUGAAAAUGUUUGCUUUGAAAUUCCUUCGGGUAUGAUAGAAAAAUUGCUAGCUAAACCUUUUGCAGGAGAUGGAACAACGCAUCCUAAUGAGCACCUAAUAUAUGUGGAUGAAGUUUGUGGAUAAUUUAAGCUUACAGGUGUACCCGGAGAUGUUAUUAAGAAGUAGGUCUUCCCUUUAUCUUUGAAGGAAGAUGCAUUGACAUGGUAUAGGCUAUGUGAUGAUACGGGGUCAUGGAACUACAAACGAUUGAAAUUGGAAUUUCAUCAGAAGUUUUAUCCUAUGCAUCUUGUUCAUCGUGAUCGCAAUUAUAUAUAUAAUUUUUGUCCUCGUGAAGGAGAAAGCAUCGCUCAAGCUUGGGGGGGGGGCUUAAAUCAAUGUUAUAUUCAUGCUCCAAUCAUGAGCUCUCAAGGGAAAUGAUUAUUCAAAAUUUGUAUAGUCGGCUUUCUUAUAACAAUCGCACCAUGCUCGAUACUUCUUGUGCUGACUCUUUUAUGAUGAAGACUAUUGAAUUCAAAUGGGAUUUAUUGGAAAGAAUUAAAUGCAACUCUGAAGAUUGGGACCUCGACGAAGGUAAGGAGUCAGGUAUGACACCUAAGUUUGAUUGUGUUAAUCUUUUAUGGAUACCGAUGUUUUCUGUAAAUUUAGCACUAAAUAUGGACUUGACUCUGAGAUAGUAGCUUCUUUUUGUGAAUCUUUUGCUACUCAUGUUGAUCUCCCUAGGGAGAAGUGGUUUAAAUAUCAUCAUCCCAUAGAAGUAAAAGUAGCUGCACCUAUUAAAGUUGAAGAUCGACAAGAUGGCAAACAGUGCCCCUACACCCGGCGGGUCCCAUGCCCGGAGAACCCGGUGAGCCCUGUCACCCGGCGGGUCCCAGCACUGUCUUUCUGAAUGAUGACAACCCGGCCCCACGGCCUUGUAACAUUACCAUUGUACCCCUGGGGGGUUGACCUAUAAAACCCGCCAGGAACCCUCCAUGCACAGGGGUGAAGAGAUCCGAUCAGUAGAACACACACAUGGAGAGGGAGCAGCCUAAGCCUUGGCCUACAUUCCUUCCUCCCCGAUACAGCUCAAGGAGCAACUCUGUACUAUCACACAUAAACCACACUCGGCAGGACUAGGGGUAUUAUCUCUUCGGAGAGCCCCGAACCUGGGUAUGUCUUGUGUCCCGCGCUCGCUCAUGCAGACCUCGCCUCUGGAGCCCACCAGUGCCCUCGUGCCUCCUCUUCUCUUUAUCCAUCCCUUGGCAUCUGCCGUGAGCCCACCAUGACACAGCGGUACCAUCGUCGUUGUUCCAUAUCUAAAUUAGGCCAAGUAGCAAACGAUGACCUCGCACCGCCGUCGUCGUCCAUGUCGUCAUAGUCGCCUCUGUCUGAGCCAUCGUCGUCGUCGCCACACCGCUUGAGGAAGGCAUCGUGGCGUCCCUUACAUGUCGUGCUUGCGGUGCAGACGCUUCGCUUCCUCCACCUUGCAUCGCCUCUCGCCAACUUGUUGACGGGCCGUGCGCUCAAACUUGACCAUCCCAACUUGGACGCGCUCGGCGUUGAAACGGCACCGGCGCCAAGACAUUCAACGCCACAAUGGUCUUGGACGGAUCAAGAGCCCAAGCCUCCGCAAGCACAGGGUCCUAGAGCACCUAGGUCGGUAGUAACUAGAUUUUGGCGAACGCUGUCGAGCGUUGCGCCCAUCCACUCCCAGCGCGCCUCCACCUCAGAGAGACAUUUAUUGCGUUGCGUGAACCGCAGCCUUAGAGGUAGUGGACAUGGCUCUGUGAUACGUCUCCGACGUAUCUACUUUUCCAAACACUUUUGCCCUUGUUUUGUACUCUAACUUGUAUGAUUUGAAUGGAACUAACCCGGACUAAUUGUUGUUUUCAGCAGAACUACCAUGGUGUUAUUUAUGUGCAGAAACAAACGUUCUCGGAAUGACCUGAAACUUCACAGAGCAACUUUUUGGAAAAUAUAAAAAAUACCUGCAAAAGAUGAAGGCCAGGGGCCCACCACCUGUCCACGAGGGUGGGGGGCGCGCCCCCUACCUCGUGGGUGCCCUGGUGCCUCUCCGACUCCAACUCCAACUCCAUAUAUUGUGUUUCGGGGAGAAAAAAAUCAGAGAGAAGAAUUCAUCAUGUUUUACGAUACAGAGCCAAGACAUUGGACAUUGAGAUCCUAAUGAAGAAAAUGGCAAUGUUGUGGUAGACCAGGACAUUGAGAUCCAUCCUGAGUGGGGUGUCUGGCCUCCCCCACCCCCUCAAGAGCCACCAAUGCUCUAUAACUAUCAGGAGUGGCUUGCGGGUGAAGGUCUGCAGGUAGAUCAUGGCAUCAUACCACCUAAUAAUAUUCAUGACAGUUCUGCAGUUGCUUGGAAUGCCUCAAUCUCCAGGAGUAACAACACAGACUCUAGUGCCACAAUUUCUGACUCUUAUGUUUUGGUUCCUCUCAAUCUCAUGAACCAACACUGGCCACAAGAAGCCUCAAGCUCUGCUCCACAGGAAAUUGGUCCAGUUACUACUGCACUAACUGCUACUGGAACAUCUGCUACAACCUCUGCUGCUCUGGAUUUGAUCCCAGCACCUCCUGCUCUGCCUACCAAUAGGCUUGACAUUUCACUCUCGGUUUCUGCUGCUGGAUUGCAGGUUGACAUGGUUUCUCAUGGGGAUUUCACACCAGCCAUGCUUCUACAUGAUUGUAUUCCAAUGCUCCGGCUCAACACUUAUCUCACUGCAGCAAUCAGGCCUAUCAUUGCAUCUUUUGGCCCCUAGAAUGAUCAUUUUGGUUUCACACAGGAUUCUGUGACUCUUAACAUUACCAUGGCUGAAAAUGCAGGCUCACUCUCUAUUGUUUCUGCUUACAAGGCCACCAAUCAGUUUGGGAGUUCUUCUAGGCGCACUGAGGAAAUUUCUGAAGCUUCUCUCUGGGAGCUUAAUGCACCCCCUGUGCCUGAAACUACACUGUUGCCUGAUGUUAUACCUGCUCUGUCUCUGUAGAGCACUCCUCUGGACAGUGACAUGUUUGAAUCUGAUACCUCCCUCAUAGCUCUGACUGCACCCCCUGCUCAGAACAAUCAGGAAGAUGCUGUUGCAGGGAUGCCGGUUCCUGUAAUUGUGGAUGCAAGUGGUAACUCCUCCCGAAAAGGGAAAUCUGUGGUGCCAAACUGCUCCAUUUCUCUGCGUAGAAGCACCAGAUCCAAUAAGUAUGAUGGCUUCAAGGUGCCCCCACUGACGGACAGCAAGAUCAAGUCAUCCAAAGUUAAGCCGCGACAGGUACCCUCUGCCCUUACCAUCAGGUACACCCCUGCAGAGCAUAUUCCUCCUGCAACACCAAUCCAGGUAAUCCAACAGAUUGGCACCAACCUAUGUGGUAUUCCUGCUGAUGAACUCUCUGAAGAGGCCCUCAUGGCAGCCCAGGAGGAGGAGCCGGCCUCUUCCACCUAAUCUUACUUUGCCUUUCCUAAUAAUAUGCCUCUUUUGGUUUCAUGGAAUGUCCUGUGUUGGAACGUUCACGGUUUAAAUUCAGACGAAAAAUAGCUAGCUCUUUCGAAUGCUAUUGUCUCUAGUGGAUGUGCUAUCGUUUGUUUACAAGAAACAAAGAAGUCAACUUUUGAAUUGUCUUUUGUUAAAUCCAUUUGCCCUUGUAGAUUUGAUCAAUUUGCUUAUGUGCCUUCUCGUGGAGCAUCGGGUGGUAUUGCCACGAUCUGGAACAGUUCCAUAUUCACAGCAGAUGUUCUGUUUACUGAAGACUUUGCUCUGGUUACUCGCUUUCGUUCCACACAAUCAACACAAUGCUGGACGCUUGUUAACAUCUAUGGGCCUUGCCAAGGGGAACAGCGAGUUAACUUCAUAAAUUGGUUAGGAGCUUUGGAUAUUCCGGCAAAUGAGGAUUGGCUUUUUGUGGGUGAUUUCAAUUUUAUUCGUGCACCUGAAAAUAGAAACAAACCAGGUGGUUCAAUGGCUGACAUGAAUACAUUCAAUGACUUAAUCAGAUCACAAUGCCUAAUUGAACUACCAAUAAAAGGCUGCAUGUUUACCUUGAGCAACAUGCAACAAGAUCCUCUUAUUGAACAACUCGAUUGGUUCUUCACAAGCACAAACUGGACAAUAUCUUACCCUAAAACCAUGGUAAAACCACUAGGUAAACAUGUUUCUGAUCAUAUACCUUGUGUGGUUAAUAUUGAAACUGCCAUCCCUAGAUCCAAACUAUUUCGCUUUGAAACAUAUUGGGUCCAACACCCUGGUUUUAUGGAUGUGGUUGCAAAGUCUUGGGCCAAAAAUGUCACAUCCACAAAUCCUGCCACAAAUCUUUGUCGUAAACUUAAAAUUCUACGCAGAGAUCUUAAACAAUGGAGCAAAGGAAUUUCCAAACUCUCUGUGGCAAUUGAGAAUUCUAAUAAAGCUCUCUGCGAGAUCGAUGAAUUGGAAAAUAAACGUUCAUUAACUGUCCCGGAGAAUAACUUCGGAGAAAUCCUCAAAAACCAUAUUCUCCGGUUGCUCAGAUAUCAGCAACUCUAUUGGAAAAACGGUGCACCAUACGGUGGGUUAAAUUUGGGGACGAACCAUCAAAAAAUUUCCAGGCAAUGGCUUCGGAAAGGUACAGAAAGAACAAUAUUGCAUCCCUAACUACUACUGAUGGGAUUGUUGUUGAAGAUCACACAGGGAAAGAAUCAAUCAUCUUCCAAACUUUCAAAGAAAGAAUGGGUUCUUCAUCUGGACAUGACAUGAAAUUUGACCUACACAAAAUCAUCAAGAAGUGCCAUGACUUGGAUGCUCUCACUGUCCGCUUUUCAAAUGUCGAGAUUGACAACGUAAUUAGAGAGAUGCCCGCGGACAGAGCACCUGGCCCGGAUGGUUUCACGGGUGUGUUUCUCAAGAAAUGUUGGCCAAUAAUUAAGGAGGACUUCUACAAGCUGUGCCAUCAAUUUCACGAGGGCAAUCUUUCACUUGAGAGCAUUAAUGAUGGGUUCAUCACACUCAUCCCAAAGAUCAGCUCUCCCGAAACGAUCAAUGAUUAUAGACCAAUCAUGCUCUUGAACUGUUGUCUUAAGGUUAUCACGAAGAUCCUGGCCAAUAGAUUACAAAAAGUCAUACUCAAGAUCGUACACCAUAACCAGUAUGGAUUUCUCAAGGGGAGAACUAUUCAAGAUUGCCUUGCGUGGGCAUACGAAUACAUAUAUCAAUGUCAACAAUCCAAGCAGGAAAUUAUGCUCCUAAAACUAGACUUUGCAAAAGCAUUUGACACGAUUGAGCACGAGGCCAUGAUUGACAUUAUGAAAAGCAUGGGGUUUAAUGAUAAGUGGAUAAGCUGGGUUCGAUGCAUAUUCUCCUCAGGUAAAUCAUCAGUGUUACUAAAUGGAACACCUGGUCGGCAAUUUCUUUGUCAAUGUGGAGUACGGCAGGGCGACCCCCUCUCUCCACUAAUUUUUGUACUUGCGGCCGGUCUUCUUCAAGCAGCCAUCAAUGAUGCUUUCCAGCGCAAUCUUAUACGCCUACCAUUUCAUUCAACAAACCAAAAAGAGUAUUCUGUGAUCCAGCACGCCGAUGACACUAUAUUGGUCAUUCCAGCAUGCAUGCAACAAGCUCAGAUUGUCAAGACCAUAUUAACCGACUAUGCCUCCUCAGUUGGACUAAGAAUAAACUUCCACAAGUCUACUCUUAUCCCAAUCAAUUGUGGCCCAGAAAAAAGUGAGGAGAUUGCCAACACCUUCGGAUGUGUCGUGGGGAAAAUGUCAUUCACCCACCUUGGACUGCCACUUGGCACUACUAGACCCUCUGUCCAAGAGCUUAUGCCCCUUGUUUGCUCACUCGAGCGACGGUUAUCUGCCACCCUCAACAUGGUUUCUUAUGGUGGCAAACUAUCGCUUCUAAACUCGGUCAUUACAUCGCUCAUUAUCUUUGCCAUCUGUACUCUGAGACUGCCGACAAAAAUCAUUGAAUUACUGGACAAAAUAAGAAGGAAAUGCAUGUGGAUUAAAAAACGGACCAUGGCGACAAAAAUAACUCCCUUGCCUCCUGGGAAAUGGUGUGUCGGCCCAAGACCAGUGGUGGCUUGGGCGUAUUAAAUCUGCGUGCUCAAGGCGAGGCCCUACUGCUUAAAUACCUUCACAAGUUCUACAAUAAGUGGGACACACCGUGGGUGCAAUUGAUUUGGGACACUUACUACAUUGACCAAAUCCCACAUGCAUCGGACCCAUGUGGAUUGUUUUGGUGGGGAGAUGUGAUCAAGCUAAUACCAACUUACCGGGGUAUCUCUAAGGUGACUGUGGGGAAUGGUGAAAAUGUACUCUUUUGGAAAGACAUGUGGAGAGAGGACAUACUUGCUGACUCAUAUCCUCGAGCACUCUCAUAUGCCAAAAAUGAGGAUCUGUCUGUCCAACAAUUCUUGGGCAUCACCACCCUACAAGAGGCAUUUCAUUUACCACUCUCACCACAAGCACAUGCAGAAAUGAGACAGCUUCAGCUGGAAGUCUCGGAGGUUCAACUCUCCAAUGAGAUUGACAAGUGGACAUACGUUUGGAACACCAAUCUCUUCUCUGCAAAACAAUACUAUACAUUCUACUUCAGAGAAAUUCAAGCACAUGAAUCUUUUGGAUGGAUUUGGAAAUCUAAGUCAACCAUGAAAAUAAAAGUCUUUGGGUGGCUGCUACUUUCUGACCGCCUCAACACCAGGAAUAUGCUAAAGCGAAGGCAUUACAAUAUUGGAGAUGAUUAUGACUGCAUCCUUUGUGGUUUACCAAUUGAGGAGACGUUGGAACAUCUCUUCUUCGAGUGCCACUUCAGCUAUGACUGCUAGUCUCACCUUGGCCUCUCCUGGUCUCAGGGCAGCACAAGACUGGACAACAUCUCCAAAGCAAAACAAGACUGGAAUAGGCCACUCUUUAUGGAACUAUUUUUGUUGGCGGCCUGGAGUAUACGGAAGGAGCGCAACAACAAACACUUUAGAAAUAUCAUACCAUCUAAAACCUCCUGGUUAAGUAGACUUAAGGCUGACUUUUCACUGCUCACCCAUAGGGUUAGAGAGGAGCAAAAACAAUACAUUUCAAUAAUACGUGCAUCCCUGUAAACUAGUACAUGCUUCCCAUCCCCCAAAGGAGGAUGGUUUGUAAUUACAAUGUACAAUCUCACUAACCUAUAUUAAUAUAUAACACAAUGGGAGGUACUCCUACUGUUUCUGAUCAAGAAAAGACAAAUGUUUAUUAUUCAUGCUAUAAUUGUAUUAACCGGAAACAUGAUACAUGUGUGAAUACAUAGACAAACAAAGUGUCACUAGUAUGCCUCUACUUGACUAGCUCGUUGAUCAAAGAUGGUUAUGUUUCCUAGCCAUAGACAAAGAGUUGUCAUUUGAUUAAUGGGAUCACAUCAUUAGGAUAAUGAUGUGAUUGACUUGACCCAUUCCGUUAGCUUAGCACUUGAUCGUAUAGUUUGUUGCUAUUGCUUUCUUCAUGACUUAUACUUGUUCCUAUGACUACGAGAUUAUGCAACUCCCGUUUACCGGAGGAACACUUUGUGUGCUACCAAAUGUCACAACGUAACUGGGUGAUUAUAAAGGUGCUCUACAGGUGUCUCCGAAGGUACUUGUUGGGUUGGCGUAUUUCGAGAUUAGGAUUUGUCACUCCGAUUGUCGGAGAGGUAUCUCUGGGCCCACUCGGUAAUACACAUCACUUAAGCCUUGCAAGCAUUGCAACUAAUGAGUUAGUUGUGGGAUGGUGUAUUAUGGAACGAGUAAAGAGACUUGCCGGUAACGAGAUUGAACUAGGUAUUGAGAUACCGACGAUCGAAUCUCGGGCAAGUAACAUACCGAUGACAAAGGGAACAAUGUAUGUUGUUAUGCGGUUUGACCGAUAAAGAUCUUCGUAGAAUAUGUAGGAGUCAAUAUGAGCAUCCAGGUUCCGCUAUUGGUUAUUGACCAGAGAUGUGUCUCGGUCAUGUCUACAUAGUUCUCGAACCCGUAGGGUCCGCACGCUUAAAGUUUGAUGACGGUUAUAUUAUGAGUUUAUGUGUUUUGAUGUACCGAAGGUAGUUCGGAGUCUCAGAUGAGAUCGGGGACAUGACGAGGAAUCUCGAAAUGGUCGAGACGUAAAGAUCGAUAUGUUGGACAACUAUAUUCGGACAUCGGAAAGGUUCCGAGUGGUACGGGUAUUUUCAGAGUACCGGGGAGUUACGGGAAUAUGGGGAAAAAUAUAUGGGCCUUAUUGGGCUUUAGGGGAGAGAGAGAGGCAGGCCGUGCGCCCUCCAAUGACUAGUCCGAAUUGGACUAGGGGAAGGGGUGGCGCCCCCUCCUUCCCUCUCUUCCCUCUACCCCUUCAUUGUCUCCUACUCCUACUACUUGGAAGGGGGGGAAUCCUACUCCCGGUGGGAGUAGAACUCCUCCAGGGCGCGCCAUAGGGGCCGACCCUCUCCCCCUCCUCCACUCCUUUAUAUAUGUGGCUAGGGGGCACCCCAUAGACACAACAAUUGAUCCCUUGGAUCUCUUACCGUGUGCAGUGCCACCCUCCACCAUAAUUCACCUCGGUCAUAUCGUAGCGGUGCUUAGGUGAAGCCCUUCAUCGGUAGAACAUCAUCAUCGUCACCACGCCAUCGUGCUGACGGAACUCUCCCUCAAAGCUCUUCUGGAUCAGAGUUCAAGGGAUGUCAUCGAGUUGAACGUGUGCAGAACUCGGAGGUGCCGUGCGUUCAGUACUUGAUCGGUUGGAUCAUGAAGACGUACGACUACAUCAACCGCGUUGUGCUAAUGCUUCCGCUUUUGGUCUACAAGGGUACAUGUACAUACUCUCCCCUCUCGUUGCUAUGCAUCACCACGAUCUUGUGUGUGCGUAGAAUUUUUUUAAAAUUACUAUGUUCCCCAACAGUGGUAUCAGAGCCAGGUUUUAUGUGUUGAUGUUAUAUGCGCGAGUAGAACACAAGUGAGUUGUGGGUGAUACAAGUCAUACUGCUUACCAGCAUGUCAUACUUUGGUUCGGCGGUAUUGUUGGAUGAAGCGACCCGGACCGACAUUACGCGUAUGCUUACGUGAGACUGGUUCUAUCGACGUGCUUUGCACACAGGUGGCUGGCGGGUGUCAGUUUCUCCAACUUUAGUUGAAUCGAGUGUGGCUAUGCCCGGUCCUUGAGAAAGUUAAAACAGCACUAACUUGACAAGCUAUCGUUGUGGUUUGGAUGCAUAGGUAAGAAUGGUUCUUGUUCAGCCCAUAGCAGCCACGUAAAACUUGCAACAACAAAGUAGAGGAUGUCUAACUUGUUUUUGCAGGGCAUGUUGUGAUGUGAUAUGGUCAAGACAUGAUGAUAUAUUUUAUUGUAUGAGAUGAUCAUGUUUUGUAACCGAGUUAUCGGCAACUGGCAGGAGCCAUAUGGUUGUCGCUUUAUUGUAUGCAAUGCAAUCGCCCUGUAAUUGCUUUACUUUAUCACUAAGCGGUAGCGAUAGUCGUACAAGCAAUAGUUGGCGAGACGACAACGAUGCUAUGAUGGAGAUCAAGGUGUCACACCGGUGACGAUCGUGAUCAUGACGGUGCUUUGGAGAUGGAGAUCACAAGCACAAGAUGAUGAUGGCCAUAUCAUAUCACUUAUACUGAUUGCUUGUGAUGUUUAUCCUUUAUGCAUCUUAUUUUGCUUUGUUUGACGGUAGCAUUAUAAGAUGACCUCUCACUAAAUUUCAAGAUAAAAGUGUUCUCCCUGAGUACGCACCAUUGCCAAAGUUCGUUGUGCCGAGACACCAUGUGAUGAUCCGGUGUGAUAAGCUCUACGUUCAUCUACAACGGGUGCAAGCCAGUUUUGCACACGUGGAAUACUCGGGUUAAACUUGACGAGCCUAGCAUAUGCAGAUAUGGCCUUGGAACACUGAGACCGAAAGGUCGAGCGUGAAUCAUAUAGUAGAUAUGAUCAACAUAAUGAUGUUCACCAUUGAAAACUACUCCAUUUCACGUGAUGAUCGGUUAUGGUUUAGUUGAUUUGGAUCACGUGAUCACUUAGAUUAUUAGAGAGAUGUCUAUCUAAGUGGGAGUUCUUAAGUAAUUUGAUUAAUUGAACUUUAAUUUAUCAUGAACUUAGUCCUGGUAGUAUUAUCAUAUCUAUGUUGUAGAUCAAUAGCUCGCGUUUAGCUCCCCUGUUUCAUUUUUGAUAUGUUCCUAGAGAAAACUAAGUUGAAAUAUGUUAGUAGCAAUGAUGCAGAUUGGAUCUGUGAUCUGAGGAUUAUCCUCAUUUCUGCACAGAAGAAUUAUGUCCUUGAUGCACCGCUAGGUGACAGACCUAUUGCAGGAGCAGAUGUAGACAUUAUGAACGUUUGGCUAGUGCAAUAUGAUGACUACUUGAUAGUUUAGUGCAUGAUAACCCACAAGUAUAGAGGAUCGCAACAGCUUUCGAGGGUAGAGUAUUCAACCCAAAUUUAUUGAUUCGACACAAGGGGAGCCAAAGAAUAUUCUCAAGUAUUAGCAGCUGAGUUGUCAAUUCAACCACACCUGGAAACUUAAUAUCUGCAGCAAAGUGUUUAGUAGCAAAGUAAUAUGAUAGUGAUGGUAACGGUAACAAAAGAGUAACGAAAGCAAAGUAAUGUUUUUGGUAUUUUGUAGUGAUUGUAACAAUAGCAACGGGAAAGUAAAUAAGCGUAAACUGGUAUAUGGAAAACUCGUGGGCAUCGGAUCAAUGAUGGAUAAUUAUGUCGAAUGCGGUUCAUCAUGUAACAGUCAUAACAUAGGGUGACAUAGAACUAGCUCCAAUUCGUCAAUGUAAUGUAGGCAUGUAUUCCGAAUAUAGUCCUACAUGCUUAUGGAAAAUAACUUGCAUGACAUCUUUUGUCCUACCCUCCCGUGGCAGCGGGGUCCUAAUGGAAACUAAGGGAUAUUAAGGCCUCCUUUUAAUAGAGAACCGGAACAAAGCAUUAGCACAUACUAAAUACAUGAACUCCUCAAACUACGGUCAUCACCGGUAAGUAUCCCGAUUAUUGUCACUUCAGGGUUAACAGAUCAUAACACAUAAUAGGUGACUAUAGACUUGCAAGAUAGGAUCUAGAACUCUCAUAUAUUGAUGAAAACAUAAUAGGUUCAGAUCUGAAAUCAUGGCACUCGGGCCCUGACAAGCAUUAAGCAUAGCAAAGUCAUAGCAACAUCAAUCUCAGAACAUAGUGGAUACUAGGGAUCAAACCCUAACAAAACUAACUUGAUUACAUGGUGAAUCUCAUCCAACCUAUCAUGGUCCAGCAAGCCUAUGAUGGAAUUACUCACGCACGGCGGUGAGCAUCAUGAAAUUUGUAAUGGAGGAUGGUUAAUGAUGACGACAGCGACGAAUCCCCCUCUCUGGAGCCCCGAACGGACUCCAGAUCAGCCCUCCCGAGAGGUUUUAGGGCUUGGCGGCGGUUUCGUAUCGUAAAACACGAUGAUUUCUUCUCUCCUAUUUUUUCUCCCCAAAAGCAGUUAUAUAGAGUUGGAGUUGGAGUCGGGGGGGGGGUCUCCAGGGGGCCCACGAGGUAGGGGGCGCGCCCUAGGGGGGGGCCACCCUCGUGAGAAGGGUGUGGGCCCCGUGAUCUUCAUAUUUGGCGAGGAUUUUUUAUUAUUUAUUGUAAGAUAUUUCAUGGAGUUUGAGGUCAUUCUGAGAACUUUUGUUUUCUGCACAUAAAACAACAUCAUGGCAGUUCAGCUGAAAACAGCAUCAAUCCGGGUUAGUUCCAUUCAAUCAUACAAGUUAGAGUCCAAAACAAGGGCAAAAGUGUUUGGAAAAGUAGAUACGUUGGAGACGUAUCAACUCCCCCAAGCUUAAACCCUUGCUUGUCCUCAAGCAAUUCAGUUGGGAAACUGAAAGAAAUAAAGAAAAACUUUUACAAACUCUGUUUGCUCUUGUUGAUGUAAAUAUUUCAAGCUAGUCUUUCAAGUUUUCAGCAAAGAUUAUAACUAACCACAUUUGCAAUAAUUCUCAGGUCUCAUGUUUACUCAUAUCAAUAGCAUAAUCAACUAGCGAGCCAUAAUAAUAAAACUCGGAUGACAACACUUUCUCAAAACAAUCAUAAUAUGAUAUAACAAGAUGGUAUCUCGCUAGCCCUUUCUGAGACCGCAAAACAUAAAUGCAGAGCACCUUUAAAGAUCAAGGACUGACUAGACAUUGUAAUUCAUGGUAAAAGAGAUCCAAUCAUAGUCACACCCAAUGUAAACUAACAAUAAUGAAUGCAAAUGACAGCUGUGCUCUCCAGCUAGUGCUUUUUAAUAAGAGGGUGAUGACUCAACAUAAAAGUAAAUGGAUAGGCCCUUCGCAGAGGGAAGCAGGGAUUUGUAGAGGUGCCAGAGCUCGGUUUUGAAAUAGAGGUGAAUAACAUUUUGAGCGGUAUACUUUCAUUGUCAACAUAACAACCAAGAGAUGGCGAUAUCUUCCAUGCUACACGCAUUAUAGGCGGUUCCCAAACAGAAUGGUAAAGUUUAUACUCCCCCUCCACCAACAAACAUCAAUCCAUGGCUUGCUCAAAACAAUGAGUGCCUCCAACAUACAUCAGGUCCCAGGGGGAGUUUUGUUUGCAAUUAUUUUGGUUUAGUUUGCAUAAAGCAUGGGACUGGGCAUCCCGGUGACCAGCCCUUUAUCUCGUGAGUGAGGAGCCGAGUCCACUCCUCUUGAGAAUAACACACCUAACAUGGAAGAUACAAACAACCCUAGUUGAUACAUGAGCUAUUCGAGCAUACAAAACGGGAUUUAAUUUGAAGGUUUAGAGUUUGGCACAUACAAAUUUACUUGGAACGGCAGGUAGAUACCACAUAUAGGAAGGUAUACUUGACUCAUCUGGAUUAACUUUGGGGUUUAAGGGAUGUGGAUGCACAAGCAGUAUUCCCGCUUAGUACAGGUGAAGGCUAGCAAAAGACUGGGAAGCGACCAGCUAGAGAGCAACAACAGUCAUGUACAUGCAUUAAAACUAAUAAACAAUGGAUGCAAGCAUGAGUAGGAUAUAAUCCACCAUGAACAUAAAUAUCGUGAAGGCUAUGUUGAUUUGUUUCAACUACAUGCUUGAACAUGUGCCAAGUCAAGUCACUUAAAUCAUUCAUAGGAGGAUACCACCCUAUCAUACCACAUCAUAACCAUUUUAAUAGCAUGUUGGCACACAAGGUAAACCAUUAUAACUCAUAGCUAAUCAAGCAUGGCACAAGCAACUAUGAUCUCUAAUUGUCAUUGCAAACAAGUUUAUUCAUAACAAGCUGAAUCAAGAACGAUGAACUCAUCAUAUUUACAAAAACAAAAGAGGUCGAGUUCUUACCAGCUUUUCUCAUCUCAGUCAGUCCACAUAUAUCAUCAUAAUUGUCUUUCACUUGCACGACCGAACGAUGUGAAUAAUAAUAAGAGUGCACGUGCAUUGGACUAAGCUGGAAUCUGCGAGCAUUCAAUAAACAGGAGAAGACAAAGCAAUAUGGGCUCUUUUGUCAGGUAAACAAUAAUGCAUAUAAGAGCCAUUUCAACAAUUUAAUCAUGGUCUUCUCCUACUGACCCCCAAAGAAAGAAAAAGAAAUAAAACUAUUUACACGGGAAAGCUCCCAACAAGCAAAAGAAGAACAGGAAAUAUUUUUGGGUUUUCUUUUUAAUUACUACUACAAGCAUGGAAAGUAAAUUAAUUAAAAGCUACAACUAAUUUUUUUGGUUUUUUUCUUAAGGUUUAUUAAACACAUAAGAAGAAAGAAUAAAAAGGAAAAUAAACUAUCAUGGAUGAUACAAUGAAAAAGUAUGAGCACUGACAUCUAGCAAUGAGUGUGUGUGAACAUAAAUGUAAUGUCGGUGAGAAAUAUGUACUCCCCCAAGCUUAGGCUUUUGGCCUAAGUUGGUCUAUGGCCACGGCUGGCCUGGCGGAUAUCCAUAAUAAUAGUUGGGGUCAUACUGCGAUGAGGAAGAAGAAGGCUCCGAUUGCCACUGGUUGGCAAUCAUCUUCGGAUCGCACUGAUAGUUAGACUGUCGUGAAGGAUCAAAUUGUGGUUCCGGUUCUGGCUCCUCGGCUGGUGCAGGGUUCCGGUAGGCGUGGAUAGCCGUCAACGGAACAAGGUACUUGCCUACAAUCAAAUCAAACAAAGCAGGAGCAGGCAGGGUAAUAGUCUCAGGAUGAUGUUUAUUAAAGAACAAUUGAUAUUUAAGCUCUCUUGCCCUAUUCUUAACAAUAAAAUCAUGUGCCACCAUACUUUUAUAAUCUAAAUAAACACGGGGUAGCACUUUUUCUUCCUUCUCAGCAUGCCUAAUAGCUAUGUUAAAAUGUGCAGCUAGGCGUGUAGCAUAGAUUCCUCCAAAGAUGGGACCCUUAGUACGGUUCAUACUUAACUGUCUAGCAAUAUUUCCGCCCAUACUUGUUAUCACUGUAUAAACCUUGGAGCAAAAUAAUAAUAUCAGGGAUACUAAGGUUUCCACAGUUUCCGCGACCAAUUAAGCAACGACUAGCAAAUAAUGCAAAGUAACGUAAGACAGGAAAAUGUAUGCUAGUGAUUCGUGCAUCGAAAAACUUCCUAGUUUCCCCUACCGUGAUAGUAUUAAUAAAUCCCUCCACAUCAUCACGAUGUGGUUCUUCUGUCUUGCCCUCAAAAGGGACUAAACAAAUCCGACAAAAAUCAUAAAGUGACAUCUCCUUAUGCUCAUCAUAUAAAUGAAACUCCACCAUAGGUGGUGAGUUCCUAGAAUGAAAAUGAAAGUUUUGCACAAAGGGAUUUGUGAGCAAGAGAUACUGAUUGCAUUGGUCAUGGAGGAAAGUGAUGAGGCCUGCAUUAUGAGCCAACUCAUGAAAAUCUUCAUAAAUCCCGGCUGCUCUCAAGAAAUCCUCGGAAGGCCAUUCACACGCCCGAACCUCCGCGGUGCAUGGCAAAUUAUACUUAGGCUUCGGUACCUUUUCCUUUGAGCUUUGGCUCGAUGAGCCCCUCAAUAAUCUCAUCAUCAUUUUCUGAAAAAAUCUGAAAUUUUUAGUAACUUCAAAAUAAAAGUAAAGCAAACUCAAUAAUAUUGAUAGCAACUACUCCUACAAGUGCCUAGGGCCUAUAUCAUGCAUCAAAACUACUUUUGACCAUAUAAAUUUGACAUGCAAGCUCAAGAACAGGGUCACCUAAGCAGCAAAAAUUUGCAAUGAAUAAAACACUAGAACAAAAACUAAAUGGACAAAUGGAGGAGUCACAUACCAAGGAACAAUCUCCCCAAGCAGUUUUGUGAGAGGUGCUUUGAGCAAGGAGAUCAAAAAUGGCAGCAAAGUGAGCUUGGACUCGGGUUUGAGUUGGUUUUUCGUGUUUGGGGGAGGAAGAUGAAGUGUGUGGCUGAAAGAAUAAGUGGAGGAGGGCCACUAUGGGCCCACGAGGUAGGGGGCGCCCUCCACCUUCGUGGCAAGGUGGUUGGCCCCCCUGGUGUGUUCUUUGUUCCAUAAAUCCUCAAAUAUUCUAUAAAAAUCAUAUUUAAUUUUUAGGGCAUUUGGAGAACUUUUAUUUUCGAGGUAUUUUUAUAUUGCACGGAUAAUCAGAUAACAGAUAGAAAAUUAUUUAUUUUCACUUUAUUUCAACUAAAUAACAGAAAGUAUAGAGAGGGUAGAGAAGGUUGUGCUUCUAGUUUCAUCCAUCUCAUGCUCGUCAAAAGGAAUCCACUAACAAGGUUGAUCAAGUCUUGUUAACAAACUCAUCCGAUUAACAUGAAACUGGAGAAAUUUCGAAUAACACUAGGUUACCUCAACGGGGAUAUGCACUUCCCCGAUAAUAAGUGUAUCAUAUUUCUUCUUGACAGUAGGAAGAGGAAAUUCAAAACCUCCAAAUAUAAUUGAUGGAAUUUUUCCGAUAGAAUUGAUGCUAUGAACUUGAGGUUGUUUUCUCGGAAAGUGUACCGUAUGCUCAUUACCAUUAACAUGAAAAGUGACAUUGCCUUUGUUGCAAUCAAUAACAGCCCCUGCAGUAUUAAGAAAAAGUCUUCCAAGAAUAAUAGACAUACUAUCGUCCUCGGGAAUAUCAAGAAUAACAAAGUCCGUUAAAAUAGUAAUGUUUGCAACCACAAUAGGCACAUCCUCACAAAUACCGACAGGUACAGCAGUUGAUUUAUCAGCCAUUUGCAAACCUAUUUCAGUAGGUGCCAACUUAUUCAAAUCAAGUCUACGAUAUAAAGAGAGAGGCAUAACACUAACACCGGCUCCAAGAUCACAUAAAGCAGUUUUAACAUAGUUUCUUUUAAUGGAGCAUGGUAUAGUAGGUACUCCUGGAUCUCCAAGUUUCUUUGGUAUUCCACCCUUAAAAGUAUAAUUAGCAAGCAUGGUGGAAAUUUCAGCUUUCGGUAUCUUUCUUUUAUUUGUAAUAAUAUCUUUCAUGUACUUAGCAUAAGGAUUGGUUUUGAGUAUAUCAGUUAAUCGCAUUCGUAAAAAGAUAGGUCUAAUCAUUUCAGCAAAGCGCUCAAAAUCCUCAUCAUCCUUUUUCUUGGAUGGUUUGGGAGGAAAGGGCAUGGGUUUCUGAACCCAAGGCUCUCUUUCUUUACCAUGUUUCCUAGCAACAAAGUCUUUCUUAUCGUAACGUUGAUUCUUUGAUUGUGGGUUAUCAAGAUCAACAGCAGGUUCAAUUUCUACAUCAUUAUCAUUACUAGGUUGAGCAUUAUUAUGAACAUCAUCAUUAACAUUUUCAUUAGGUUCAUGUUCAUUACCAGAUUGUGUUUCAGCAUCAGAAAUAGAAAUAUCAUUUGGAUUAUCAGGUGGUUCAGCAAUAGGUUCACUAGAAGUUUGCACAGCUCUAUCAUUUUUCUUUUUCUUCUUUUUAGAAGAACUAGGUGCAUCAAUUUUAUUUCUCUGAGAAUCUUACUCAAUUCUCUUAGGGUGGCCUUCAGGAUACAAAGGUUCCGGAGUCAUUCUACCAGUUCUAGUAGCCACUUUAACAACAUAAUUAUUUUUCUUACUAUUCAUCUCAUUGAGCAAUUCUUUUUGAGCUUUAAGUACUUGUUCUACUUGAGUGGUAACCAUAGAAGCAUGUUUGCUAACAAGUUUAAGUUCACCUCUAAUAUUAGCCAUAUAAUCACCCAAGUAUUUAAUCAUAUCAGCAUCUUGUUUUAAUUGUCUACCAAAAUAAGCAUUGAAGUCUUCUUGCUUAAAGAUAAAAUUAUCAAACUCAUCCAAGCAUUAACUAGCAAUUUUAGUAGGAGGGAUUUCAGCUUUAUCAUAUCUAUAGAGAGAAUUUACCUUUACUACCUAUGUCGGGUUAUCGAGGUCUGGAGGUUCUUCAAUAAAUAAAGGAUUAAGAUCAUAUGUUUCUUCAACAAGCGGUAAAUUAAGACCACGUAUUUCUUCAAUAGGAGGUAAAUUCUUAAUAUCUUCAGCUUUAAUACCUUUUUCUUUCAUAGAUUUCUUUGCCUCUUGCAUAUCUUCAGGACUGAGAAAUAGAAUACCUCUCUUCUUCGGAGUUGGUUUAGGAAUAGGAUCAUUAAUUGGAGCAGGAGCUGGCUCAGGAGGUUCCCCAUUAUUUUCAUUUGUCAACAUAUUAUUCAAUAAGAUUUCAGCUUCAUCUGGUGUUCUUUCCCUGAAAAGAGAACCAGCAGAACUAUCCAGGUAAUCUCUGGAAGCAUCGGUUAGUCCAUUUUAAAAGAUAUCAAGUAUUUCAUUUUUCUUAAGAGGAUGAUCAGGCAAAGCAUUAAGUAACUUGAGAAGCCUCCCCCAAGCUUGUGGAAGACUCUCUUCUUUAAUUUGCACAAAGUUGUAUAUUUCCUUUAAAGCAGCUUGUUUCUUAUGAGCAGGGAAAUAUUUAGCAGAGAAGUAAUAGAUCAUAUCCUGGGGACUACGCACACAACCAGGAUCAAGAGAAUUAGACCAUAUCUUAGCAUCACCCUUUAAUGAGAAUGGAAAUAUUUUAAGGAUAUAAAGGUAGCGAGAUCUCUCAUCAUUAGUGAACAAGGUAGCUAUAUCAUUUAAUUUAGUAAGAUGUGCCACAACAGUUUCAGAUUCAUAACCAUGAAAAGGAUCAGAUUCAACCAAAGUGAUUAUACCAGGAUCAACAGAAAAUUCAUAAUCCUGAUCAGCAACACAGAUAGGUGAAGUAGCAAAAGCAGGAUCAGGUUCAUCCUAGCAUUUAGAGAUUGCUUAUUCCAUUUAGCUAAUAACCUUUUGAGUUCAUAUCUAUCUUUGCAAGCUAAAAUAGCUAAAGAAGCAUCUUGAUCAAAUAAAUAACCCUUGGGAAUAACAAGUGAUUCUUCAUCAUCACUUUCAUCCUCAUAAUCAGAUUCAAUAUUUUCAAUCUCUCUAGCCCUAGCAAUUCGUUCCUCGAGAAAAUCACUAAGUGGCAUAGUAGUAUCAGGCAUAGAGGUAGUUUCAUCAUAAGUAUCAUGUAUAGCAGAAGUAGCAUCAUCAAUAACAUGCGACAUAUUGCUACCUCUUGAGCACUGCGUUGGAUUUCCCCGAAGAGGAAGGGAUGAUGCAGCAAAGUAGCGUAAGUAUUUCUGUCAGUUUUUGAGAACCAAGGUAUCAAUCCAGUAGGAGGCUACGCUCGAGUCCCUCGUACCUACACAAAAACAAUAGCUCAACGCAACCAACGCGCUUAGGGGUUGUCAAUCCCUUCAUGGUCACCUACGAAAGUGAGAUCUGAUAGAGAUGAUAAUAUUUUUUGGUAUUUUUGGUAUAGAGAUGCAAAGUAAAUAAAAUAAAAGCAAAGUAAAAGCAAAGAAAUAAUAAAGUGGUGGAGAUUUAUAUGAUGAGAAAGAGACUCGGGGCCAUAGGUUUCACUAGUGGCUUCUCUCAAGAGCAUAAGUAUUCUACGGUGGGUGAACAAAUUACUAUUGAGCAACUGACAGAAUUGAGCAUAGUUAUGAGAAUAUCUAGGUAUGAUCAUGUAUACAGGCAUCACGUCCGAGACAAGUAGACCGAAAUGAUUCUGCAUCUACUACUAUUACUCCACUCAUCGACCGCUAUCCAGCAUGCAUCUAGAGUAUUAAGUUAAAAACAGAGUAACACCUUAAGCAAGAUGACAUGAUGUAGAGGGAUAAUUUCAUGCAAUAUGAUAAAAACCCAUCUUGUUAUCCUCGAUGGCAAGGACACCGCAAGAUUGAACCCAAAGCUAAGCACUUCUCCCAUGGCAAGAAAAAUCAAUCUAGUAGGCCAAACCAAACUGAUAAUUCGAAGAGACUUGCAAAGAUAACCAAUCAUACAUAAAAGAAUUCAGAGAAGAUUCAAAUAUUAUUCAUAGAUAGACUGGAUCAUAAACCCACAAUUCAUCGGUCUCACCAAACACACCGCAAAAAGAAGAUUACAUCAAAUAGAUCUCCACGAGAGAGGGGGAGAACAUUGUAUUGAGAUCCAAAAAGAGAGAAGAAGCCAUCUAGCUACUAGCUAUGGACCCGUAGGUCUGAAGUAAACUACUCACACUUCAUCAGAGGGGCUUGGAUGAUGAUGUAGAAGCCCUUCAUGAUCGAUGCCCCCUCCGGCGAAGCUCCGGAACAGGCCCCAAGAUGGGAUCUCGUGGAUACAGAAAGUUGCGGCGGUGGAAUUAGGUUUUUGGCUCCGUCCCCGAUCGUUUGGGGGUACGUGGAUAUAUAAAGGAGGAAGAAGUACGUCGGUGGAGCUUCGAGGGGCCCACGAGGCAGGGGGCGCGCCCUAGGGGGGCGCCCCUACCCUUGUGACCACCUCGUGGCUUUCUUGACAGAGGGUCCAAGUCUCCUGGAUCGUAUCUGAUGAGUAAAUCACGUUUCCGAAGGUUUCAUUCCGUUUGGACUCCGUUUGAUAUUCCUUUUCUCCGAAACCCUAAAACAGGCAAAAAACAGCAAUUCUGGGCUGGGCCUCCGGUUAAUAGGUUAGUCCCAAAAAUAAUAUAAAAGUGGAAAAUAAAGCCCAAUAAUGUCUAAAAUAGUAGAUAAUAUAGCAUGGAUCAAUCAAAAAUUAUAGAUACGUUGGAGAUGUAUCACAUAUCAGAACGAAUAGCAGAAGCAGGUUUAGGUGUCGCAAGCUUACUCAUAACAGAAGGUGAAUCAAGUGCAGAGCUAGAUCGCAGUUCCUUACCUCCCCUCGUAGUUGAGGGAUAGAUCUUGGUUUUUGGAUCUCUCAAGUUCUUCAUAGUGUCCAGCAGAUAUAAAUCCCAGGUGACUCAAAGAAUAGAGCUAUGCUCCCCGGCAACGACGCCAGAAAUUGGUCUUGAUAACCCACAAGUAUAGGGGAUCGCAACAGCUUUCGACGGUAGAGUAUUCAACCCAAAUUUAUUGAUUCGACACAAGGGGAGCCAAAGAAUAUUCUCAAGUAUUAGCAACUGAGUUGUUAAUUCAACCACACCUGGAAACUUAAUAUCUGCAGCAAAGUGUUUAGUAGCAAAAUAAUAUGAUAGUGAUGGUAACGGUAACAAAAGAGUAACGAAAGCAAAGUAAUGUUUUUGGUAUUUUGUAGUGAUUGUAACAAUAGCAACGGGAAAGUAAAUAAGCGUAAACCAGUAUAUGGAAAACUCGUAGGCAUCGGAUCAAUGAUGGAUAAUUAUGCCGGAUGCAGUUCAUCAUGUAACAGUCAUAACAUAGGGUGACACAGAACUAGCUCCAAUUCGUCAAUGUAAUGUAGGCAUGUAUUCCGAAUAUAGCUAUACAUGCUUAUGGAAAAGAACUUGCAUGACAUCUUUUGUCCUACCCUCCCGUGCCAGCGGGGUCCUAAUGGAAACUAAGGGAUAUUAAGGCCUCCUUUUAAUAGGGAACCGGAACAAAGCAUUAGCACAUAGUGAAUACAUGAAAUCCUCAAACUACGGUCAUCACCGGUAAGUAUCCCGAUUAUUGUCACUUCGGGGUUAACGGAUCAUAACACAUAAUAGGUGACUAUAGACUUGCAAGAUAGGAUCUAGAACUCUCAUAUAUUGAUGAAAACAUAAUAGGUUCAGAUCAAAAAUCAUGGCACUCGGGCCCUAGUGACAAGCAUUAAGCAUAGCAAAGUCAUAGCAACAUCAAUCUCAGAACAUACUGGAUACUAGGGAUCAAACCCUAACAAAACUAACUCGAUUACAUGGUGAAUCUGUAGCGACCCGACCCGAAUGGAUCAAGUCUCUGUGCUUAAGUGUCAUCCCUGGAUCGGUAUGCUGACACACAGUACUCGAGGAUUUAUAACAGAGGUAAAUCACAUGUAAAAGUAACGUAAAUACUAUUACCUCAAUCCAAAUAGCGGAAGUAACAAGGUUGUGGAUUCCCAUCAACACCAACGGCAAAGUUGAGUGUAGAAAUCGUAACCCUAACGUAUCACUUACUCGUCGUAAGAUCUCCUGCAACAUGAGACGUUGCAGCCACAAAGGGUUAGUACAUUGAAUCUACUAGCAAAUUCACACUAUAGAGCAAUGAUGAAUAAUGGCUAUCACUACAUGCAUAUAUGGCUGGUGGAAAAGCUCUACGGUUAUAAGGUUUUUGCGAAAAGCCAAUUUUUCCCUACUGCAAAGGAAUAAAUUUUAUUUAACUAUCAUGGUGGUUGUUGAACAUUGAGAAUGGUUGACAGCAUUCUCAAUCCCAAUUAAGUAACAUCAUUAAACCCAACAACUUAAUUUAAAGUAACAUGAUGAGAUUCACAUGAUAAUCCAAGUACUAGAUACUCAAGAUGUCCAUAACCGGGACACGGCUAACCAUGAUUAGUUUAUACACUCUGCAGAGGUUUGCGCACUUUUCCCCACAAGACUCGAUCGCCUCCGUUUGGUUUCUCGCACUACAUGGUGUUUGAGAAACAGAUGACCGAGACAUAGUCUUUUAGAAGAGCUUGCACCUUACGAUGGAUAGACCGUUACACCUACUUUCCCCUACAUCUGCUAGUCUACCCUGUAAGAGUUCGCACGACUUAAUCAACUAUGCUAGAGCCCAUAAUAGCUUGUGGCUGCACAUGGAAGUUUCUAGUAUGAAUAAUCUCAUGAUCCCUUUGAGCCUGGGUGGCGGUCCAUAAAAUAACAGGCAAUCCUGGUCUACCCAGGUGCCUAGACAGGCAAUCCUGGAAUACCCAGGUACCUCAAUCCACCUAGAUGUGUGUUUAAGUUGCCACCUUAAGUAAAUCAUUAAUUAACCAUCUCACAUCUGUCAUGAAUACUCUCAAAACCCAAUCCACGUCUACGAGCAUAGCAUGGCACUAUAAGCAUAACGUAAUAGUAACUCCCAAGGUUUGAAUGCAGGGCAAAUAGGUUCCUGCCUCAUCAACUACUUCCCAAUACCCACAUGUUAUCAAUCCUACUCAUGCAAUGUUUGAGGGUGAAACUAAUGCAUAAAAACUGGGUAUGAAAGGAAUAUGAUCAAAGUGUGAACUUGCCUGCAAUGUUGAUGAAGAUGAUUCGCACUCAUAACUCUUGAUAGUUCUACUCAUCACACUCCGGUCAAUCUAUCGUAAGCAAGCAAUAGUAACCACACAUAAGCAAUCACUCAAAGAUCGGAGAGAACAAUGAAAACAAUUCGGAAAACGUCAAAACCAAGCAAAUAACUCUUGCAACAUAAAACAAUUUCUAACAGUACCAAAAUUAGAUGAAUUUGGCCUUAUCAGAAAGUUUAGGUCAAGAUCUUCGAUUUGCAAAAAGAAUCAACUCAAACGGAGCUACUAAACUCAAGUUAUGAACAAACGAAGUUUGAAUACAAAUCUGAUCUAAUUCAAAUUUUAAAACUUUCAAAAACAUGUUUGAGUUGUUUUAAUGGAUAGAGGAGUUCGUAACGAAGACGUGAGCGUUGGUUUCAUUGGAUUUGGACUAACGAGUAAAAAGUUGUGAUCGUUUGAAGAUUAGGGACUAAUCUGUAAAGAAAAACAUCACGGAUAGGUCCCUGGCCGAAUUUAAAGGAAAAAGGGGAAAUUCUAAAUAACGAACGUUUGUUACCGAACGCUAACGAAUGAAUUCGUUCGCUGCGAAGGGAUAAACAGCGAACGUGCACACAAUAGGACUAACUAAAAAAACCGAUCUAAUAUAAAACCGAACUAAAAAAACGAGGCGGGUUACGGUUUAUACCGAUUCACCUAAAAGAACCGGCGACGGCGGUGGUUACUCCGGCGAGACGGGAUGGCGGUGCGGCGGCUCCGGCGUGGUGCGGCAGCGACUUGCGGCGCGGGGCAAGGUGGCGGCGCAAGCGGCAGCAGCAGCAGCUGCAGCGGUGGCGAGUGGUGGCGAGGGCGUUGGGCGGCGGCGGCGCUAGAUCCGAGCGGCAGCGGCGGGAGCGAGCGGCGGCUCGGUGCGAGGAGAGAAAGGCGGGGCCCGGGGCCUCGGGUAUUUAAGGAGAGGGGCGAGGGAUGGCGUGGGGGAGGGGUAAGAGGAGGCCGGCGGCAGCACGGAGGCGGCGGCGAUGCCGUGGCGGCUCGGGACUCUGUCCCGAGCUCAGGGACAAGCGGGGCGCGGUGACGGGCCGGUUGGUCGUGGCCUGGCGACUGGGCCGGCCCGGUCCGAUCGGUCCUAAGUUUUUUUUUUACAUUUACUUAGACAAAUAAAAAAACAGAAAAAAGGAAUAUAUUAUAUAGGCAUAUAAUAUAUCAAAAUUUCCAGAAAAAGAUUUCCUACAAGGUGAACAUUUUCCUAACAUCAAAUAAAAUACACACAAAUUCAGAUAAUUCAAAGAGUGCUACUGCCCUAAUAAAAUCCAAUAAAAACCAUUUUAAAAAUACCAAAAUUAGUUCAAAUUUAUUUCUCUCCAAUUUUCUGUUGUAGGGAAUCAUGUUACCCUAAUUUCCAUAUAUUUUAUUUUUGGAGAAAAGUAAUUUGAAUAAAACUCAAAUAAUUCCAAAUUGAAAAUAAUUUCAAAAGGACUUUGAAUUUGAUCCUUGAAACUCCCAACUCAUAUUUCAUAUAUUUUGAAGAAGUCAUUUUAUCUUCUCUCAUGAAAAUCAUUGAGUUGCUUGAAUUUUAUAAAUUUGAAAUAUUUUCAAAUGAAAUUCAAAUAUUUUCAACAACCCUUUUCAUUUACUUAAAUGGAAGAAGUCAUGUCAUCUUCUCUUGAGGGUUUUGUAUUUGAAAAGAAUUUGAACUCACGGAGAUCAAAAUGCAAAAGGUGAAAGUUUGGGAAAGUCCUUUUAUUCCCUCUCAUUUAACUUUCAAAAAGUUCGAAUUCACUCACUUUCAGUCAAUCAAUCCAACAAUCAAUCAAUUCUAUCUAUUUAAUAUAACAUUCCAAAAUUUAGAAUUUUGGGAUGUUACAGAAUCUCAUCCAACCAAUCACCGUCCAGCAAGCCUACGAUGGAAUUACUCACGCACGACGGUGAGUAUCAUGAAAUUGGUGAUGGAGGAUGGUUGAUGAUGACGACGGCGACGAAUCCCCCUCUCCGGAGCUCCGAACGGACUCCAGAUCAGCCCUCCCGAGAGGUUUUAGGGAUUGGCGGCGGCUCCGUAUCGUAAAACGCGAUGAUUUCUUCUCUCUUAUUUUUUUCUCCCCGAAAGCAGUUAUAUAGAGUUGGAGUCGGGGGGUCUCCAGGGGGCCCACGAGGUAGGGGGGCGUGCCCUAGGGGGGGCGCCCCCACCCUCGUGAAAAGGGUGUGGGCCCCCUGGUCUUCAUCUUUGGCGAGGAUUUUUUAUUAUUUAUUGUAAGAUAUUCUGUGGAGUUUUAGGUCAUUCCGAGAACUUUUGUUUUCUGCACAUAAAACAACAUCAUGGAAAUUCUGCUGAAAACAACGUCAGUUCGGGUUAGUUCCAUUCAAAUCAUACAAGUUAGAGUCCAAAACAAGGGCAAAAGUGUUUGGAAAAGUAGAUACGUUGGAGACGUAUCAGUGCACCAUGCUUAACAGCUUAGAAUCGGGACUUCAAAGACGUUUUGAGCGUCAUGGAUCAUAUGAGAUGUUCCAGGAGUUGAAGUUAAUAUUUCAAGAAAAUACCUGAGUUGAGAGAUAUGAAGUCUCUAGCAAAGUUCUAUAGCUAAAAGAUGGAGGAGAAUAGCUCAAGCAGUGAGCAUGUGCUCAGAUUGUCUGGGUACUACAAUGCUUGAAUCAAGUGGGAGUUAAUCUUCCAGAUAAAAUAGUGAUUGAAAGAAUUCUCUAGUCACCAUCACCAAGUUAGUAGAACUUCGUGAUGAAUUAUAGUAUGCAAGGGAUGACGUAAACGAUUCCCGAGCUUUUCAUGAUGAUGAAAUCGAUGAAGGUAGAAAUCAAGAAAGAGCAUCAAGUGUUGAUGAUUAACAAGACCACUAGUUUCAAGAAAAGGGCAAAGGGAAAGAAAGGGAACUUCAAGAAGAAUGGCAAGCAAGUUGCUGCUCAAGUGAAGAAGCCCAAGUCUGGACCUAAGCCUGAGACUAAGUGCUUCUACUGCAAAGGGACUGGUCACUGGAAGCGGAAAUGCCCUGAAUAUUUAGUGGAUAAGAAGGAUGGCAAAGUGAACAAGGGUAUAUUUGAUAUACAGGUUUUUGAUGUGUACCUUACUAGUAUUUAUAGUAGCCCCUGGGUAUUUGAUACUUGUUCGGUUGCUAAAAAUUAGUAACUCGAAAUAGGAGUUACAGAAUAAAUAGAGACUAGUUAAGGGUGAAGUGACGAUGUGUGUUGGAAGUGGUUCCAAGAUUGAUAUGAUCAUCAUGGCACACUCCCUAUACUUUCGAGAUUAGUGUUAAACCUAAAUAAAUGUUAUUUGGCAUUUGCGUUGAGCAUGAAUAUUAUUUGAUCAUGUUUAUUGCAAUACGGUUAUUCAUUUAAAAUUAGAGAAUAAUUGUUAUUCCGUUUACAUGAAUAAAACCUUCGAUGGUCAUAUACCCAAUGAAAAUAGUUUGUUGGAUCUCGAUCAUAGUGAUACACAUAUUCAUAAUAUUGAUGCCAAAAGAUGCAAAGUUGAUAAUGAUAGUGCAACUUAUUUGUGUUACUGCCAUUUAGGUCAUAUCGGUGUAAAGCGCAUGAAGAAAAUCCAUGCUGAUGGGCUUUUGGAAUCACUUGAUUAUGAAUCAGUUGAUGCUUGCGAACCAUGCCUCAUGGGUAAGAUGACUAAGACUCCGUUCUCCGGAACAAUGGAGCGAGCAACAGACUUGUUGGAAAUAAUACAUACUGAUGUAUGCAGUCCGAUGAGUGUUGAGGCUCGCGGCGGGUAUCGUUAUUUUUCUGACGUUCACUGAUGAUUUGAGUAGAUAUGGGUAUAUCUACUUGAAGAAACUUAAGUCUGAAACAUUUGAAAAGUUCAAAGAAUUUCAGAGUGAAGUGGAAAAUCAUCGUAACAAGAAAAUAAAGUUUCUAUGAUCUGAUCGUAGAGGCGAAUAGUUGAGUUACGAGUUUGGCCUUCAAUUAAAACAAUGUGGAAUAGUUUCACUAACUCAUGCCACCUGGAACACCACAGCGUAAUGGUGUGUCCGAACGUCAUAACCAUACUUUAUUUGAUAUAGUGCAAUCUAUGAUGUCUCUUACCGAUUUACCACUAUCGUUUUGCGGUUAUGCAUUAGAGACAGCUGCAUUCACAUUAAAAAGGGCACCAUCUAAAUCUGUUGAGACGACACCGUAUGAACUAUGGUUUAGCAAGAAACCUAAGCCGUCGUUUCUUAAAGUUUGGGGUUGCGAUGCUUAUGUGAAAAAGUUUCAUCUUGAUAAGCUCAAACCCAAGUCAGAGAAGUGCGUCUUCAUAGGAUACCCAAAAGUAACUGUUGGGUACACCUUCUAUCACAGAUCCGAAGGCAAGAUAUUUGUUGCUGAGAAUGGAUCCUUUCUAGAGAAGGAGUUUCUCUCGAAAGAAGUGAGUGGGAGGACAGUAGAACUUGAUGAGGUAACUGUACCUGCUCCCUUAUUGGAAAGUAGUUCAUCACAGAAAUAUGUUUCUAUGACUCCUACACCAAUUAGCGAGGAAGCUAAUGAUGAUGAUCAUGUAACUUCAGAUCAAGUUAGUACCGAACCUCGUAGGUCAACCAGAGUGAGAUCCGCACCAGAGUGGUACGGUAAUCCUGUUCUGGAGGUCAUGUUAAUUGACCAUGACGAACCUACGAACUAUGAGGAAGCGAUGAUGAGCCCAGAUUCCGCGAAAUGGCUUGAGGCCAUGAAAUCUGAGAUUGGAUCCAUGUAUGAGAACAAAGUAUGGACUUUGAUUGACUUGCCUGAUGAUCGAUGAGUCAUUAAAAAUAAAUGAAUCUUCAAGAGGAAGACAGACGCUGAUAGUAGUGUUACUAUCUACAAAGCUCGAAUUGUCGCAAAGUGUUUUCGACAAGUUCAAGGUGUUGACUACGAUGAGAUUUUCUCACUCGUAUCGAUGCUUAAAAGUUUGUCCGAAUCAUGUUAGCAGUUGCCGCUUUUUAUGAAAUCUGGCAAAUGGAUGUCAAAACUGUAUUCCUUCAUGGAUUUCUUUUAAAAAAAGAGUUGUAUAUGAUGCAACCAGAAGGUUUUGUCGACCCUAAAGGUGCUAACAAAGUGAGCAAGCUCCAACGAUCCAUCUAUGGACUGGUGCAAGCAUCUCGGAGUUGGAAUAUAUGCCUUGAUAAAGUGAUCAAAGCAUAUGGUUUUAUACAAACUUGCGGUGAAGCCUGUAUUUACAAGAAAGUGAGUGGGAGCACUACAACAUUUCUGAUAAGUAUAUAUGAAUGACAUAUUGUUGAUCGGAAAGAAUGUAGAAUUUUCUGGAAAUAAUAAAGGAGUAUUUGAAAGAAGUUUUUCAAAGAAAGACCUCGAUGAAGCUGCUUACACAUUGAGCAUCAAGAUCUAUAGAGAUAGAUCAAGACGCUUGAUAAGUUAUUUCAAUAAGUACAUACCUUGACAAGAUUUUGAAGUAGUUCAAAAUGGAACAGUCAAACAAGGAGUUCUUGCCUGUGUUGCAAGGUGUGAAGUUGCGUAAAGACUCAAAACCCGACCACAACAGAAAAUAGAAAGAGAAUGAUAAGUCAUUCCCUAUGCCUCAGUCAUAGGUUCUAUAAAGUAUGCUAUGGUAUUUACCAGUCCUAUUGUAUACCUUAGCAUCUUUCUGGCAAGGGAGUACAAUAGUGAUCUAGGAGUAGAUCACUGGACAACGGUCAAAAUUAUCCUUAGAGGACUAAGGAAAUAUUUCUCAGUUAUGGAGGUGAUAAAAGAGUUCGUCGUAAAGAUUUACAUCGAUGCAAGCUUUUUACAUAGAUCUAGAUGAUUCUAAGUCUCAAUCUGGAUACAUAUUGAAAGUGGGAGCAAUUUGCUAGAGUAGCUCCAUGUAGAGCAUUGUAGACAUAGAAAUUUGCGAAAUACAUACGGAUCUGAAUGUUGCAAACCCGUAGACUAAACUUCUCUCACAAGCAAAACAUGAUCACUCUUUGGGUGUUAAUCACAUAGCGAUGUGAACUAGAUUAUAGACUCUAGUAAACCCUUUGGGUAUUAGUCACAUGGAGAUCUGAACUAAUCACAUAAAGAUGUGAACUAGAUUAUUGACUCUAGUGCAAGUGGGAGACUGAAGGAAAUAUGCCCUAAAGGCAAUAAUAAAGUUAUUAUUUAUUUCCUUAUAUCAUGAUAAAUGUUUAUUAUUCAUGCUAGAAUUGUAUUAACCAGAAACAUGAUACAUGUGUGAAUACAUAGAUAAACAGAGUGUCACUAGUAUGCCUCUACUUGACUAGCUCAUUGAUCAAAGAUGGUUAUGUUUCCUAGCCAUAGACAAAGAGUUGUCAUUUGAUUAAUGGGAUCACAUCAUUAGGAGAAUGAUGUGAUUGACUUGACCCAUUCCGUUAGCUUAGCACUUGAUCGUUUAGUUUGUUGCUAUUGCUUUCUUCAUGACUUAUACAUGUUCCUAUGACUAUGAGAUUAUGCAACUCCCAUUUACCGGAGGAACACUUUAUGUGCUACCAAACGUCACAACGUAACUGGGUGAUUAUAAAGGUGCUUUACAGGUGUCUCCGAAGGUACUUGUUGGGUUGGCGUAUUUCGAGAUUAGGAUUUGUCACUCCGAUUGUCGGAGAGGUAUCUCUGGGCCCACUCGGUAAUACACAUCACUUAAGCCUUGCAAGCAUUGCAACUAAUGAGUUAGUUGCGGGAUGAUGUAUUACGAAACGAGUAAAGAGACUUGCACACGCACAUGCAAAACACAAAAUAUCAAUCGUCAUCGAACUUUAUGCGUGCGGACCCUACGGGUUCGAGAACUAUGUAGACAUGAUCGAGACACGUCUCCGGUCAAUAACCAAUAGCGGAACAUGGAUGCUCAUAUUGGUUCCCACAUAUUCUACGAAGAUCUUUAUCGGUCAAACCGCAUAACAACAUACAUUGUUCCCUUUGUCAUCGGUAUGUUACUUGCCCGAGAUUCGAUCGUCGGUAUCUCAAUACCUAGUUCAAUCUCGUUACCGGCAAGUCUCUUUACUCGUUCCGUAAUACAUCAUUCCGCAACUAACUCAUUAGUUACAAUGCUUGCAAGGCUUAUAGUGAUGUGCAUUACCGAGUGGGCCCAGAGAUACCUCUCCGACAAUCGGAGUGACAAAUCCUAAUCUCAAAAUACGCCAACUCAACAAGUACCUUCGGAGACACCAGUAGAGCACCUUUAUAAUCACCCAGUUACGUUGUGAUGUUUGGUAGCACACAAAGUGUUCCUCCGGUAAACGGGAGUUGCAUAAUCUCAUAGUCAUAGGAACAUGUAUAAUUCAUGAAGAAAGCAAUAGCAACAUACUAAACAAUCAAGUGCUAAGCUAAUGGAAUGGGUCAAGUCAAUCACAUCAUUCUAUAAUGAUGUAAUCUCGUUAAUCAAAUGACAACUCAUGUCUACGGUUAGUAAACAUAACUGUCGGUGUCAAACCGGCGGAUCUCGGGUAGGGGGUCUCGAACUGUGCGUCUAGGUGGAUGGUAACAGGAGGCAGGGGACACGAUGUUUUACCCAGGUUCGGGCCCUCUUGAUGGAGGUGUAGGAUCGAAAGUAUGUCUAGAGGGGGGUGAUUAGACUACUUUACCCAAUAAAAACUUAACCUUUUCCCAAUUUUAGUUCUUGGCAGAUUUUAGCUAAUUUAGGACAAGUCAAGCAAUCAUCACAUAAUUCAAGCAAGCAUGCAAAGAGUAUAUAGGCAGCGGAAAGUAAAGCAUGCAACUUGCAAGAAUGUAAAGGGAAGGGUUUGGAGAAUUCAAACGCAAUUAGAGACACGGAUGUUUUUCCUGUGGUUCGGAUAGGUGGUGCUAUCCUACAUCCACGUUGAUGGAGACUUCAACCCACAAAGGGUAAUGGUUGCGCGAGUCCACACAGGGCUCCACCCAAGGGUAACAGUUGCGCGAGUCCACACAGGGCUCCACCCACGAAGGGUCCACGAAGAAGCAACCACCCACAAAGGGUCCACGAAGAAGCAACCUUGUCUAUCCCACCAUGGCCAUCGCCCACACAGGACUUGCCUCACUAGCGGUAGAUCUUCACGAAGUAGGCGAUCUCCUUGCCCUUACAAACUCCUUGGUUCAACUCCACAAUCUUGUCGGAGGCUCCCAAGUGACACCUAGCCAAUCUAGGAGACACCACUCUCCAAGAAGUAACAAAUGGUGUGUAGGUAAUGAACUUCUUGCUCUUGUGCUUCAAAUGAUAGUCUCCCCAACACUCAACUCUCUCUCAUAGGAUUUGGAUUUGGUGGAAAGAAGAUUUGAGUGGAAAGCAACUUGGGAAGGCUAGAGAUCAAGAUUCAUAUGGUAGGAAUGGAAUGUCUUGGUCUCAACACAUGAGUAGGUGGUUCUCUCUCAGAACAUAUGAGUUGGAAUGGUGUAUGUGUUCUGAUGGCUCUCUCCAUGAAUGAAGAGGAGGUGGAGGGGUAUAUAUAGCCUCCACACAAAAUCCAACCAUUACACACAGUUUUCCAAUCUCGGUGGGACCGAAUCACGAACUCGGUCGGACCGAAAAUGUAAACCUAGUGACCGUUAGAGAUUUUCGGUGGGACUGACAUGCAACUCGGUAGGACCAAUAUGGUUAGGGUUUGGGCAUAACGUAAUCUCGGUGAGACCGAUUACACAAACUCGGUGAGACCGAAUUUGGUAAUUAGCUAACCAGAGAGUUGGUCAGGCAAACUCGGUGGGACCGAUUUGCUCUUUCGGUGAGACCGAAAAGUUACAAAGGGGAAACACUGAAUUUACAUUGCAAUCUCGGUGGGACCGAUUCGCUCUUUCGGUGAGACCGAAAAGUUACGAAAGGGAAACAGAGAGUUUGCAACCCCAUCUCGGUGAGACCAAGAUCCCUAUCGGUAGGACCGAAUUGCUAGGGUUUGGCAGUGGCUUAUGACAAAUGAAAACUCGGUGGCGCCGGAAGAAUCGGUAGGACCGAGUUUGGCUUAGGGUUUAGGUCAUAUGUGGAUAUGGGAAAGUAGUUGAGGGUUUUGGAGCAUAUCACUAAGCACAUGAAGCAAGAGGCUCAUUAAGCAACACCUCAUCCCUCCUUGAUAGUAUUGGCUUUUCCUAAAGACUCAAUGUGAUCUUGGAUCACUAAAAUAUAAAAUGAAGAGUCUUGAGCUUUUGAGCUUGAGCCAAUCCUUUUCCCUUAGCAUUUUGAGGGUUCCACUUUCACAUCCAUGCCAUGCCAAUCAUUGAGCUUUCCUGAAAUAAUUAUCUUGGAAUAGCAUUAGCUCAAUGAGCUAUAUGUUGUUAUGAAUUACCAAAACCACCUAGGGAUAGUUGCACUUUCAAUCUCCCCCUUUUUGGUAAUUGAUGACAACAUAUAGAUCAAAGCUUCGAUAAAUGAUAAUAAGCAUGAAAUAUAUCGUCGCUUUGAGAAGUACGUGAUAAGUAAGAGCUCCCCCUAAAUUUGUGCAUAUUUAAAAUUUGCUUUGGACUGCAAAUGCACAAGGAGUUAGAGUCAUGGGUUACUCUUCCAUGUCACAUACAUCUUGGUGGAGCGCUUAAAAUGAUAAUAAUGAAAUACAUGCACUCAUCACCAAGAAUAGUGAAUGAUCACAUAAGAUAGAUAAGAUAAUAGCAUUAAGAAAACAUUAAGUGUAGCUUAUGAUCAAACACAUGAUCAUCAAUGUCUCACAAAUAAUGACGUAGUAUCUCUAGCACUCAAAAGCAAACAAGUUCGAAAACCACCAAAUAAAGCAAGAGAGAAAAAAAACCAACACACUCUCUCUCGAAGCCUAUGAUCUAUACAUCUUCUCCCCCUUUGGCAACAAGUUGCCAAAAAGUUCCUAGAAAAUGCAUAGUGCUAGAUCGACGCUCAGGCUUGAUCUUCUGGUGGUGGUGGAGUCCGGAUCACUCCAAGGACGAAGGCUUCGGUAGACGCUGAAGUAGACGCUGGAAUUGGAGCUGAAGUAGAUGCUGGAGCUGGUGGAACUAAGGCUGUAGCUGGUGCUGAAGUGGUGGCUCUGGUGUCAGCAACUGGCACGGCAGAUGACCUCGGGCCUCGUGGCACUCUGGCAAAGGCAUGAGUGGUAGUCCUGCCUCUCCUCUCCUGCAUGUCCUCCUGGAGCUGCUCCACUGCAUACUGAACUUCUGUUACUUUGACAUCCAAGUCAUAGAACUUCUGUUCCAUGAUUCUCUCUAGGCUCUGCUGAUUCUGAGUGAGGGUGGCCAGACUUUGCUCAAUCCUCAGCGUGGAUGCAAUCAAGUAACCAAGCUGCUCUUGUUUAGUCUUCAAGAAAUACUCAGAUGCCUCCUCUUGAGUUGGCAUCUUGGCAGCUUUCUCCUUUCUUGCCUUCUCCUUCUUUGCUUGUGCUUGAACUGAUGAUGGCUCAUUCUCAGUCAUGACCACUUGGUUAUCUUCAAAAUCUGGAUGGAUAGGCAGGUGUUCCUUGUCCAAUAAGUAUAUGCCCGUGCCCAUCUUGGAGUUGAUGAGCUCCUGGAUCUAAGGGGCAUAUCCGCAACUCCUCUUCCGAUCUGCUGCAGUCCUUUUGAUAGUUUCCACUAUGAGGCUCAUCACCUUGAACUUCUGAGGCACAUCAAAUACAUGUAGCAAGUUGAUCGCAUGGCCUCUGAUCAUCUUGUGAUCACCUGACUUGGGCAACAAGGUGUGCCUCAAGAUCCAAUUGAUGGUUGGCAGUCCUGACAGAAGAUAGUGCACUGAGCCAAAUUUGAAAGUGUCAAGUGCCUCAUUUGGAAUUUCCUUAUACAUAUUGGACAUGGAAUUGUGGUCCAUCUUCUUCUUGGCAUAUAUGUCCAUGUCAUCAUCAUGCUCCUCUGGGGCAUUAACCAACUUUGCCCAUUCCUCAACAGUGGAUUGGUACCUCGUACCCUCAGACAUCCAUGUGAUCCUCCCAUCUGGAUAAAAGUGAGCUGUGGAGUAGAACUGCAUGAUGAGUUCCUCGUUCCACUUUGUGAGCUUCUGCCCAACAAAGUCCUCUACUCCACACGCCUUGAAGCUGUCCUGAACUCCUGGGUAGUACUCUUCAUUGUCCUUAAUGUAUUGCCAAUCAACCCAUCUCAUAUCACAGACUAUUGGCUUCUUAUCAAGCAAAACAGUCUCAUAGAAAUCCUAUUGCUCCUUGGUGUGAAACCUGUAGUCAACUGCUAUCCUUCUCCUUGAAGCAUAUGGGUCUACUUCUCUCCACUUCCUCAGCCCUGAAUCUCUCCUGAGCUUCAUGUCCUCAGCCACAGGAUGAGCAUCGUUGUGGUCUGGGAUCUUGGGCUUGAGCUUUCUCAGAACAUUCUCUUCCUCUUCUUCAGCAACAGUCUUAGGCACUGGGGCCUUGUUCUUCUCAGCUGCAGGAAUGCUCCUUGUAUUCCUCUUGGGUGCAGACUUGGGCUUGGAGGCAGCUUUGGGCUUAGAUGCAGUAGCCCCUGAUCUUAUGGCAUCACCCAUCAGCUUGGGUGCCUUGGGUGCUGGUGCAGCUACCUCUUCUUCCUCUUCCUCUUCCAUGAUGGAAGCCUUUCCUAACACUCUGGCUACAGUCUUCUUGACCCUUUCCUUCCUCUUCUUGCCUUCUGCAGCAACUGGCUUUUGGGGAGUGGGCUUCUUAGUUGAGUCUCUUGCCUUUGACAUGGGUUGCCUGCCUGCUGGCCUUUUGAUCUUUAGGCCUGGCUUUGUGCCUUGAGCUGGCUCAACUCUCUUGGAAGUGGCCUCUUCCUCUGACACAUAGUCUUCAUCUUCGGAGUCUGAAGUUCUCUUCUUCCUUUGUCUCGUGGCAGCCUUUGGCAAAUUGCUAGGAGUGCUCCUGUUGCCUUCAUCAGAAGAGCUGGAGGGACUAGUGCCCUCACUCAUGUGCACCUGCUGCUCUGACAUAUUCUGGCUAUCACUUUGAUCAGACAUGCUACAAACUAACUGCUGACCCUGUGAAUAGUUUAUAGAUGAGAUAGACUAGAUGAGCAUCACAAAAUGCAGAGAUUUUUGCAAAAGAAUUAUCCAAAAACUUAGUUUUAGUUUCCCACUGAAAUCAUCUCGGAUCUACCGAUUUUUAAACUCGGUGAUACCGAAGCAGUUUUGGCACCUAAACUAGUGAACUCGGUCAGACCGAGUCACAGUUCGGUGGCACCGAGACUGCUAGGGUUUCACUGAGUUCUAAAAUCGGUCACACCGAUAAGUAAUUCUCGGUCAGACCGAGUCUCACUUGUGCAAUGGCAUAAGCCAAAUCGGUGGGACCGAGUUUUUCAACUCAGUGGGUCCGAGAUGGUUUCGGCGGAAACCUAACCCUAAAAUUUUCAAAUCAAAGCUAAUCUAUGGGCGCAUUGACUGGAUAGGAGUGUUUCAAUCGUGGCAAGAAUCAUGAAGAACACAAUGUGCUAGGAAUUGGACGGGAAAUAGCACUGUGAUCAAGUCCAUAUCCUAGUUCAGCGGAGACUUGCUACGGCGGCAACGGCGGGGCAGAAUUCCCGUUGACAGCGACGGAGACCAGCGACUGGAGGCGGCUGGCGGCAAGAAGAUGAUCCGGAGACCACGUUGGCAGAGCAGGCUAUCACGCGGGCGAAGGGGUUCGGAGAAAUUUCCAAAUUUUGCCCGUGACUAUAUAUAGCCCGACCCUGUCGGUGUGACCGAGUGGAACAACUCGGUGGCAUCGAGAUUCAUAACUGCAGGCAGUUACUGAAACUCGGUGUGACCAAAAUGUUCAAAUCGGUUGCACCGAGAUCGAAAACCUAGAUCAACUUAAUGAUCUCGGUAGGACCGAAAGUGGAGUAUCGGUCAGACCGAGAAUCAUAAAGAGGUUUUGGAAGUUUAAGUCUAUGACGAAUCGGGGACUCCGAGCGCUCCUCACACAGAGUGGUUCGAAUCUGACUUGAUCAAAUUUUGUGAUGCAGCAUGAAUAGAGUUUGAGACGAGAAAAGCAUAGAUAGCUAGAGGAGGUUCUUAGGCAUUCUUGUCCAUCCACUUGGCAGAAGAAGAUAAAACCAAACAAUCAAAACAACAAGUGGAUGUCCUCGAAUGAGUAAAAGAUGCAACCAGCAUGCUCACACAAUAAGAUGGCAAAUGAAAUAUGUGACAAGGCAUGCACAACCAAUUCUAGCAUCUAUCAAGCAAUUUGCGAUGACUAGGUCAUCUAUAUAUGAGUAUAUUGACUUAGGAGUCAAGUGAGAACACUUGAUCAUAGGUCAUACUCAUCGUUUAAGCUCAAGUGGGGUUACCACUUUUACAUAAAGCAUUGUUGUGUUCACAUCUUUAGAGUUGCUUUAGCUCAAGUCUUAGAGUAAAGCUCCCCCUAGAUGUGAUAUCCCCCCUAAGAGGGAUGAACUAACCUUGGGUUUUGUCGAUGAUGACUUCAUGUAGAUGUUGAAGAUGUGGAUGCUCAAUGUUGAUGUAGAUCACUUGGAGCUAUCCAUUUGAGUGAAUUGCACUUUCAAUAUCUACAUGGGUUAGUCCCACAAGGAACAAACAAGGAUAUCCAUAGACAUAGAGUAAUGCACACACAAGAUGAUGUCCAUGAAAACUUUUAGGUUACCUUGUCCCUUGUCUUACCAACAAGAGGGUUUGUGACUCCUUGAACUAGUGCACGAUGUGGGAGUUGAUUGCACUUGUUCUUGCCAAAAUGAUGAGAGUGAAGUAUGUUGGCGGAGUCACCCUCAAGAACUCUCUAGUUCUUCUUCUUUUGGAUCCACAUCAUCUUUAUGGGAAUCCUUGGAGUUGUAGUCGUACUUGAUGAAGUGGAACUUGAAGUAGUCUUGGGAAUCCACUUGACUAAGGUCUUUGGAGCUUCUUCAAAUGCAUCAAUUUCCUCUUGAAGCUUGUCCUUGCCUUUUUGCUUGUAGUCUUGUGGUGGAAGAUCAUCUUGAGCUUGUGUCCCCUUGAAAGAAGUAUACUUCUCUUGUUGAGGGACAAACUUUGUCUUGGGGUAUUGAUCUUCUUCCCACUCAACUCCAUUGGCAUUGAACUUUCGUUCAAAACCAACACCUUGAUUCUUCCGGUGCAUUCCUUGCUUGCGCACAAUUUCCUCGAAUUGCUUACUCCCGGCAAGGCUUUUGUACACUCCUUUCUCUAUAAUUCCUUUCAAUAAACUAUUUUCUUGCUCAAGUGUAACUUGGCUAAGGGAAUCAUUAGUGGAAUCAAGAGAGCUACUAGAAGUAACAAUAUUGGAUUUAGCAUGAUCAUUGUUACUACUAGAGGAAGAAUCUUUCUUGUUCUUGUUACUAGACUUGACUUGAGGCAUGUAAGUGGAUAAGAGUAAACGCUUGGCAAUGUAAGAAGAACUUUUCUUGCGGAGAUCAUCAUUGAUUGCUUUUAAGAACUCAUGCUCUUGCUCAAGAUUGAGCUUUUUAAAGCGUAAUUUCUCAUGAGCUCUUAAAAGUUCUCGAUGAUCUUCGAAGAUGGUUUCAUGAGCUAACUUAAGAGUGUUUAGUUCUUUAGUUAGGGCCUCAAUCUUCUCCUUAUCAUUGUCAUUCGUUUUAUCUUCAUUAGCAUGAUUAAUUGAUGUUUCAUCGUAGUAUUCAUCACUAGAGUUGUCAACAAGCAAAUCAUCACCUAACAAGUCAUCUUCAUCACUAUUGAAAUCAACAUACUCGGGGUGUGUUACCUUAGGACCUUUGGCCAUGAAGCAUCUUCCAAAUCCUUCAUUUGGUGAGUCAUAUGUCGUAGGAGUUGGUUGACACAAGUGCUAGACCGGCAACACCUUCAUCUUGAGUAUCUUCAGAGUCGGAGUGAUAACUUCUCUCGGAGUGGCUGUCGGAGUUAGAGUCGGAUAUCCAUUCACCAACAUGAGCUUGAUGUCUUCGUCUUGUGUAGAUCCUUGAUGAUUUUUCCUUCCUUUCCGAAUCCUUGCUUCUCCAUGAGUAUCUUCGUUCAUAACGAUCAUCUCUACUCCUCCUCUCUCUUGGUGGUGAUUCUUUGCUUCUUCUUUUUGGAGAAUCUUCUCUUCUCUUGUGGGGAGCCGUACACUCAUUGGAAUAGUGUCCGGGUCUUCCACAAUUGUAGCAGUUUCGCUCUCGACUAGAAGAUCUUUUGUCAUUGUAGGACCUUGACUUGAAGCUUCUAUCUUUGCUUCUACUCUUGUAGAACUUGUUGAAGUUCUUCACCAUUAAGCUCAAUUCUUCAUUGAAGUCUUGUUUCUCACUUGAUGAUGUAGGGGCUUCACAUGAGGCUUUAUAGGCACCACUUGAUUUGUUGUGAAGUUCCUCUUUAUCCUUAAGUGACAUCUCAUGAGCAACAAUUCUUCCAAUCACCUCCGUUGGCUUGAGAUCUUUGUAAUUGGGCAUCAUUUGGAUCAAUGUGGACACGGUAUCAUAUUUCCCAUCCAAGGCUCUUAGAAUCUUCUUGAUGAUGAAUUUAUCGGUCAUCUCUUCACUUCCUAAGCCGGCAAUCUCAUUUGUGAUGAGAGCAAGCCUAGAGUAUAUUUCAGCGACACCUUCACCAUCCUUCAUCUUGAACUUGUCAAGUUGGCUUUGAAGCACAUCCAACUUGGAUUCCUUGACGGAGUCGGUACCUUCGUGCAUAUCAAUCAAAGUGUCCCAAAUUUCCUUCGCAUUCCCAAGACGGCUGAUUUUGUUGAAUUCUUCGGGGCACAAUCCGUUGAAGAGAAUAUCACAAGCUUGAGCAUUGUAUUGCUACAUCUUCAACUCAUCCGCGGUAGCUUCAUGGUUUGGUUCUCUCCCAUCAAAUAAGUCACCUUGCAAGCCAACACACACAAUAGCCCAAACGGCGGGGUUAUGUCCAAGAAUAUGCAUUUUCAUUUUAUGCUUCCAACUAGCAAAAUUAGUACCAUCAAAGUAGGGACCUCUACGGUGAUAAUUUCCUCGCUAGAUGCCAUACUCUCCUAGGUUGUGAAACCAAGGCUAUGACCACCAAAGCUAUGGAGAUCAAAGCAAAUGGAGACCAAAGCUCUGAUACCACUUGUAGGAUCGAAAGUAUGUCUAGAAGGGGGGUGAUUAGACUACUUGACCCAAUAAAAACUUAACCUUUUCCCAGUUUUAGUUCUUGGCAGAUUUUAGCUAAUUUAGGACAAGUCAAGCAAUCAUCACAUAAUUCAAGCAAGCAUGCAAAGAGUAUAUAGGCAGCGGAAAGUAAAGCAUGCAACUUGCAAGAAUGUAAAGGGAAGGGUUUGGAGAAUUCAAACGCAAUUGGAGACACGGAUGUUUUUCCCGUGGUUCGGAUAGGUGGUGCUAUCCUACAUCCACGUUGAUGGAGACUUCAACCCAUGAAGGGUAACGGUUGCGCGAGUCCACACAGGGCUCCACCCAAGGGUAACGGUUGCGCGAGUCCACACAGGGCUCCACCCACGAAGGGUCCAUGAAGAAGCAACCACCCACAAAGGGUCCAUGAAGAAGCAACCUUGUCUAUCCCACCAUGGCCAUCGCCCACACAGGACUUGCCUCACUAGCGGUAGAUCUUCACGAAGUAGGCGAUCUCCUUGCCCUUACAAACUCCUUGGUUCAACUCCACAAUCUUGUCGGAGGCUCCCAAGUGACACCUAGCCAAUCUAGGAGACACCACUCUCCAAGAAGUAACAAAUGGUGUGUAGGUAAUGAACUCCUUGCUCUUGUGAUUCAAAUGAUAGUCUCCCCAACACUCAACUCUCUCUCAUGGGAUUUGGAUUUGGUGGAAAGAAGAUUUGAGUGGAAAGCAACUUCGGAAGGCUAGAGAUCAAGAUUCAUAUGGUAGGAAUGGAAUGUCUUGGUCUCAACGCAUGAGUAGGUGGUUCUCUCUCAAAACAUAUGAGUUGGAAUGGUGUAUGUGUUCUGAUGGCUCUCUCCAUGAAUGAAGAGGAGGUGGAGGGGUAUAUAUAGCCUCCACACAAAAUCCAACCGUUACACACAGUUUUCCAAUCUCGGUGGGACCGAAUCACGAACUCGGUCGGACCGAAAAUGUAAACCUAGUGACCGUUAGAGAUUUUCGAUGGGACUGACAUGCAACUCGGUAGGACCGAUAUGGUUAGGGUUUGGGCAUAACGUAAUCUCGGUGAGACCGAUUACACAAACUCGGUGAGACCAAAUUUGGUAAUUAGCUAACCAGAGAGUUGGUCAGGCAAACUCGGUGGGACCGAUUUGCUCUUUCGGUGAGACCGAAAAGUUACAAAGGGGAAACACUGAAUUUACAUUGCAAUCUCGGUGGGACCGAUUCGCCCUUUCGGUGAGACCGAAAAUUUAUGAAAGGGAAACAGAGAGUUUGCAACCCCAUCUCGGUGAGACCGAGAUCCCUAUCGGUAGGACCGAAUUGCUAGGGUUUGGCAGUGGCUUAUGACAAAUGAAAACUCGGUGGCGCCAGAAGAAUCGGUAGGACCGAGUUUGGCUUAGGGUUUAGGUCAUAUGUGGAUAUGGGAAAGUAGUUGAGGGUUUUGGAGCAUAUCACUAAGCACAUGAAGCAAGAGGCUCAUUAAGCAACACCUCAUCCCUCCUUGAUAGUAUUGGCUUUUCCUAAAGACUCAAUGUGAUCUUGGAUCACUAAAAUAUAAAAUGAAGAGUCUUGAGCUUUUGAGCUCGAGCCAAUCCUUUUCCCUUAGCAUUUUGAGGGUUCCACUUUCACAUCCAUGCCAUGCCAAUCAUUGAGCUUUCCUGAAAUAAUUAUGAAUUACCAAAACCACCUAGGGAUAGUUGCACUUUCAGGAGGUAAAACCCUACGUCCUGCUUGAUUUAUUCUUGAUGAUAUGGGUAUUACAAGAGUUGAUCUACCACGAGAUCGGAGAGGCUAAACCCUAGAAGCUAGCCUAUGGUAUGAUUGUUGUUAUUGUGUCCUAUGGACUAAACCCUCCGGUUUAUAUAGACACCGGAGGGGGCUAGGGUUACACAGAGUCGGUUACAAGGAAGGAGAUCUACAUAUCCGUAUUGCCAAGCUUGCCUUACACGCCAAGGAGAGUCCCAUCCAGACACGGGACGAAGUCUUCAAUCUUGUAUCUUCAUAGUCCAACAGUCCGGCCAAAGGUUAUAGUCCGGCUGUCCGGAUACCCCCUAAUCCAGGACUCCCUCAGUAGCCCCUGAACCAGGCUUCAAUGACGAUGAGUCCGACGCGCGGUGUUGUCUUCGGCACUGCAAGGCGGGUUCCUCCUCCGAACACAUCACCAAAGAGUUUGAAUACCACGAUAGUGUCCGACCCUGCAAUAUAAAUUCCACAUACCAUCGUAGAGAGAAUAAUAUUUCCACAAAUCUUAAUCUGCUGACACGCUUUGGCCACAUGACAUCAGGCCAUGGCUCGGUGAUUAUUCGAACCGUUUUUCUUCAACUAGCUCCACAUAUAACGCGAGGCGGUUUCUUGACACGUCUUGUCAAAGCAGAGAUCGUGUUCCCCUAAUUACAGGACUCUCAUCAAUACGGUCGUGGGUAACCCAACCGUGCCUAGGACUCCUAGAUAUUAGGCAAGUCCCAAAUGGCCACUAGGAGUGUUGGGGAACGUAGUAAUUUCAAAAAAAAAAUCCUACGCACACGCAAGAUCAUGGUGAUGCAUAGCAACGAGAGGGGAGAGUGUUGUCUACGUACCCUCAUAGACCGGAAGCGGAAGCGUUAUAACAACGCGGUUGAUGUCCCUCAAGCACCGAAACUACGGCACCUCCGAGUUUUUACACACGUUCAACUCGAUGACGAUCCCCAGACUCUGAUCCAGCAAAGUGUCGGGGAUGAGUUCCGUCAGCACGACGGCAUGGUGACGAUCUUGAUGUUCUACCGUCGCAGGGCUUCGCCUAAGCACCGCUACAAUAUUAUCGAGGAUUAUGGUGAAGGGGGGCACCGCACAUGGCUAAGAGAUCAAUGAUCAAUUGUUGUGUCUCUGGGGUGCCCCCUGCCCUCGUAUAUAAAGGAGUGGAGGAGGGGGCCGGCCAAGGAGGGUGGCGCGCCCAAGGGGGAGAGUCCAACUCCCACCGGGAGUAGGACUCCCCUUUUUCCUAUUAGGAGUAGGAGAGGGAAGGAAGAGGAAGGAGGGAGGAAGGAAAGGGGGGCGGCCCCCCUCCCAAUUCGGAUUGGGCUUGGGGGGGCGCGCCCCCUCCCUUGCUCCUUUCCCCUCCUUUCCACUAAGGCCCAAUAAGGCCCAUAUACCUCCCGGGGGGUUCCGAUAACUCCCGGUGAUCCGGUAUUGUCCCAAUCUUACCCGGAACCUUUCCGGUGUCCAAAUAUAGUCGUCCAAUAUAUUGAUAUUUAUGUCUCGACCAUUUCUAGACUCCUCGUCAAGUCCUUGAUCACAUCCGGGACUCCGAACAACCUUUGGUACAUCAAAAUAUAUAAACUCAUAAUGAAACUAUCAUCGUAACGUUAAGCGUGCGGACCCUACGGGUUCGAUAACAAUGUAGACAUGACCGAGACAAGUCUCCGGUCAAUAAGCAAUAGCGGAACCUGGAUGCUCAUAUUGGCUCCUACAUAUUCUACGAAGAUCUUUAUCGGUCAGACCGCAUAACAACAUACGUUGUUCCCUUUGUCAUCGGUAUGUUACUUGCGCGAGAUUCGAUCGUCGGUAUCUCAAUACCUAGUUCAAUCUCGUUACCGGCAAGUAUCUUUACUCGUUCCGUAAUACAUCAUCUUCCAACUAACUUAUUAGUUGCAUUGCUUGCAAGGCUUAAGUGAUGUGUAUUACCGAGAGGGCCCAGAGAUACCUCUCCGACAAUCGGAGCGACAAAUCCUAAUCUCGAAAUACGCCAACCCAACAUGUACCUUUGGAGACACCUGUAGAGCACCUUUAUAAUCACCCAGUUACGUUGUGACGUUUGGUAGCACACAAAGUGUUCCUCCGGUAAACGGGAGUUGCAUAAUCUCAUAGUCAUAGGAACAUGUAUAAGUCAUGAAGAAAGCAAUAGCAACAUACUAAAUGAUCGGGUGCUAAGCUAAUGGAAUGGGUCAUGUCAAUCACAUCAUUCUCCUAAUGAUGUGAUCCUGUUAAUCAAAUAACAACUCAUGUUUAUGGUUAGGAAACAUAACCAUCUUCGAUUAACGAGCUAGUCAAGUAGAGGCAUACUAGUGACACUUUGUUUGUCUAUGUAUUCACACAAGUAUUACGUUUCCGGUUAAUAAAAUUCUAGCAUGAAUAAUAAACAUUUAUCAUGAUAUAAGGAAAUAAAUAAUAACUUUAUUAUUGCCUCUAGGGCAUAUUUCCUUCAGUCUCCCACUUGCACUAGAGUCAAUAAUAUAGAUUACACAGUAAUGAUUCUAACACCCAUGGAGCCUUGGUCCUGAUCAUGUUUUGCUCGUGGAAGAGGCUUAGUCAAUGGGUCUGCUACAUUCAGAUCCGUAUGUAUCUUGCAAAUCUCUAUGUCUCCCACCUGGACUAGAUCCCGGAUGGAAUUGAAGCGUCUCUUGAUGUGCUUGGUUCUCUUGUGAAAUCUGGAUUCCUUUGCCAAGGCAAUUGCACCAGUAUUGUCACAAAAGAUUUUCAUUGGACCCGAUGCACUAGGUAUGACACCUAGAUCGGAUAUGAACUCCUUCGUUUGCUGCUUCCGAAGCAUCUAUGUACUCCGCUUCACAUGUAGAUCCCACCACGACGCUUUCUUUAGAACUGCACCAACUGAGAGCUCCACCGUUUGAUGUAAAUACGUAUCCGGUUUGCGAUUUAGAACCGUCCGGAUCAGUGUCAAAGCUUGCAUCAACGUAACCAUUUACAAUGAGCUCUUUGUCACCUCCAUAUACGAGAAACAUAUCCUUAGUCCUUUUCAGGUAUUUCAGGAUGUUCUUAACCGUUGUCCAGUGAUCCACUCCUGGAUUACUGUGGUACCUCCCUGCUAGACUUAUAGCAAGGCACACAUCAGGUCUGGUACACAGCAUUGCAUACAUGGUAGAGCCUAUGGCUGAAGCAUAGGGAAUAUCUUUCAUUUUCUCUCUAUCUGCUGCAGUGGUCGGGCAUUGUGUCUUACUCAACUUCACACCUUGUAACACAGGCAAGAAUCCUUUCUUUGCUUGAUCCAUUUUGAACUUCUUCAAAACUUUGUCAAGGUAUGUUCUUUGUUAAAGUCCAAUUAAGGGUCUUGAUCUAUCUCUAUAGAUCUUAAUGCCCAAUAUGUAAGCAGCUUCACCGAGGUGUUUCAUUGAAAAACUCUUAUUCAAGUAUCCCUUUAUGCUAUCCAGAAAUUCUAUAUCAUUUCCGAUUAGCAAUAUGUCAUCCACAUAUAAUAUCAGAAAUGCUACAGAGCUCCCACUCACUUUCUUGUAAAUACAGGCUUCUCCAAAAGUUUGUACAAAACCAAAUGCUUUGAUCACACUAUCAAAGCAUUUAUUCCAACUCCAAGAUGCUUGCACCAGUCCAUAAAUGGAUCGCUGGAGCUUGGACACUUUGUUAGCUCCUUUUGGAUCGACAAAACCUUCCGGCUGCAUCAUAUACAACUCUUCUUCCAGAAAUCCAUUCAGGAAUGCAGUUCUUGACAUCCAUCUGCCAAAUUUCAUAAUCAUAAAAUGCGGCAAUUGCUAACAUGAUUCGGACAGACUUAAGCAUCGCUACGGGUGAGAAGGUUUCAUCGUAGUCAAUUCCUUGAACUUGUCGAAAACCUUUUGCGACAAGUCGAGCUUUGUAGACAGUAACAUUACUGUCAGCGUCAGUCUUCUUCUUGAAGAUCCAUUUAUUUUCAAUUGCUUGCCGAUCAUUGGGCAAGUCAACCAAAGUCCACACUUUGUUCUCAUACAUGGAUCCCAUCUCAGAUUUCAUGGCUUCAAGCCAUUUUGCGGAAUCUGGGCUCACCAUUGCUUCUUCAUAGUUCGUAGGUUCAUCAUGAUCUAGUAGCAUGACUUCCAGAACAGGAUUACCGUACCACUCUGUUGCGGAUCUUACUCUGGUUGAUCUACGAGGUUCAGUAGUAACUUGUUCUGAAGUUUCAUGAUCAUCAUCAUUAGCUUCCUCACUAAUUGGUGUAGGUGUCACAGAAACUGGUUUCUGUGAUGUAUUACUUUCCAAUAAGGGAGCAGGUACAGUUACCUCAUCAAGUUCUACUUUCCACCCACUCACUUCUUUCGAGAGAAACUCCUUCUCUAGAAAGGAUCCAUUCUUAGCAACAAAUGUCUUGCCUUUGGAUCUGUGAUAGAAGGUGUACCCAACAGUCUCCUUCGGGUAUCCUAUGAUGACACAUUUCUCCGAUUUGGGUUCGAGCUUAUCAGGUUGAAGCUUUUUCACAUAAGCAUCGCAGCCCCAAACUUUCAGAAACGACAACUUUGGUUUCUUGCCAAACCAUAGUUCAUAAGGCAUCGUCUCAACGGAUUUUGAUGGUGCCCUAUUUAACGUGAAUGCGGCCGUCUCUAAAGCAUAACCCCAAAACGAUAGCGGUAAAUCUAUAAGAGGCAUCAUAGAUCGCACCAUAUCAAGUAAAGUACAAUUACGACGUUCGGACACACCAUUACGCUGUGGUGUUCCGGGUGGCGUGAGUUGCGAAACUAUUCCGCAUUGUUUCAAAUGUAAACCAAACUCGUAACUCAAAUAUUCUCCUCCACGAUCAGAUCGUAGAAACUUUAUUUUCUUGUUACGAUGAUUUUCAACUUCACUCUGAAAUUCUUUGAACUUUUCAAAUGUUUCAGACUUAUGUUUCAUUAAGUAGAUAUACCCAUAUCUGCUUAAAUCAUCUGUGAAGGUGAGAAAAUAACGAUAUCCGCCACGAGCUUCAACAUUCAUUGGACCACAUACAUCUGUAUGUAUGAUUUCCAACAAAUCUGUUGCUCUCUCCAUAGUACCGGAGAACAGCGUUUUAGUCAUCUUGCCCAUGAGGCACGGUUUGCAAGUACCAAGUGAUUCAUAAUCAAGUGGUUCCAAAAGUCCAUCGGUAUGGAGUUUCUUCAUGCGCUUUACACCGAUAUGACCUAAACGGCAGUGCCACAAAUAAGUUGCACUAUCAUUAUCAACUCUGCAUCUUUUGGCUUCAACAUUAUGAAUAUGUGUAUCACUACUAUCGAGAUUCAUCAAAAAUAGACCACUCUUCAAGGGUGCAUGACCAUAAAAGAUAUUACUCAUAUAAAUAGAACAACCAUUAUUCUCUGAUUUAAAUGAAUAACCGUCUCGCAUCAAACAAGAUCCAGAUAUAAUGUUCAUGCUCAACGCUGGCACCAAAUAACAAUUAUUUAGGUCUAAUACUAAUCCCGAUGGAAGAUGUAGAGGUAGCGUGCCGACCGCGAUCACAUCGACUUUGGAACCAUUUCCCACACACAACGUCACCUCGUCAUUCGCCAGUGUUCGCUUAAUCCGUAGUCCCUGUUUCGAGUUGCAAAUAUUAGCAACAGAACCAGUAUCAAAUACCCAGGUGCUACUGCGAGCUCUAGUAAGGUACACAUCAAUAACAUGUAUAUCACAUAUACCUUUGUUCACCUUGCCAUCCUUCUUAUCCGCCAAAUACUUGGGGCAGUUCCGCUUCCAGUGACCAGUCUGCUUGCAGUAGAAGCACUCAAUUUCAGGCUUAGGUCCAGACUUGGGUUUCUUCUCCUGAGCAGCAACUUGCUUGUUGUUCUUCUUGAAGUUCCCCUUCUUCCCCUUGCCCUUUUUCUUGUAACUAGUGGUCUUGUUGACUAUCAACACUUGAUGCUCGUUCUUGAUUUCUACCUCCGCAGCUUUUAGCAUUGCGAAGAGCUCGGGAAUUGUCUUAUCCAUCCCUUGCAUAUUAUAGUUCAUCACGAAGCUCUUGUAGCUAGGUGGAAGUGAUUGGAGAAUUCUGUCAAUGACGCAAUCAUCCAGAAGAUUAACUCCCAGUUGAAUCAAGUGAUUAUUAUACCCAGACAUUUUGAGUAUAUGCUCACUGACAGAACUGUUCUCCUCCAUCUUGCAGCUAUAGAACUUAUUGGAGACUUCAUAUCUCUCAAUCCGGGCAUUUGCUUGAAAUAUUAGCUUCAACUCCUGGAACAUCUCAUAUGCUCCAUGACGUUCAAAACAUCGUUGAAGACCCGGUUCUAAGCCGUAAAGCAUGGCACAUUGAACUAUCGAGUAGUCAUCAGCUUUGCUCUGCCAGACGUUCUUAACAUCAUCAGUUGCAUCAGCAGCAGGCCUGGCACCCAGCGGUGCUUCCAGGACGUAAUUCUUCUGUGCAGCAAUGAGGAUAAUCCUCAAGUUACGGACCCAGUCCGUAUAAUUGCUACCAUCAUCUUUCAACUUUGCUUUCUCAAGGAACACAUUAAAAUUCAACAGAACAACAGCACGGGCCAUCUAUCUACAAUCAAACAUAAACAAGCAAGAUACUAUCAGGUACUAAGUUCAUGAUAAAUUUAAGUUCAAUUAAUCAUAUUACUAAAGAACUCCCACUUAGAAAGACAUCCCUCUAAUCUUCUAAGUGAUCACGUGAUCCAAAUCAACUAAACCAUAACCGAUCAUCACAUGAAAUGGAGUAGUUUUCAAUUGUGAACAUCACUAUGUUGAUCAUAUCUACUAUAUGAUUCACGCUCGACCUUUCGGUCUCAGUGUUCCGAGGCCAUAUCUGCAUAUGCUAGGCUCAUCAAGUUUAACCUGAGUAUUCUGCGUGUGCAAAACUGGCUUGCACCCGUUGUAGAUGGACGUAGAGCUUAUCACACCUGAUCAUCACGUGGUGUCUAGGCACGACGAACUUUGGCAACGGUCCAUACUCAGGGAGAACACUUUUAUCUUGAAAUUUAGUGAGAGAUCAUCUUAUAAUGCUACCGUCAAUCAAAGCAAGAUAAGAUGCAUAAAAGAUAAACAUCACAUGCAAUCAAUAUAAGUGAUAUGAUAUGGCCAUUAUCAUCUUGUGCUUGUGAUCUCCAUCUCCGAAGCAUCGUCAUGAUCACUGGCACGACACCUUGAUCUCCAUCAUAGCAUCGUUGUCGUCUCGCCAAUCUUAUGCUUCUACGACUAUCGCUACCGCUUAGUGAUAAAGUAAAGCAUUACAGGGCGAUUGCAUUGCAUACAAUAAAGCGACAACCAUAUGGCUCCUGCCAGUUGCCGAUAACUUGGUUACAAAACAUGAUCAUCUCAUACAAUAAAAUUUAGCAUCAUGCCUUGACCAUAUCACAUCACAACAUGCCCUGCAAAAACAAGUUAGACGUCCUCUACUUUGCUUGUUGCAAGUUUUACGUGGCUGCUACGGGCUUAGCAAGAACCAAUCUUACCUACGCAUCAAAAACCACAACGAUAGUUUGUCAAAUUGGUGAUGUUUUAACCUUCGCAAGGACCGGGCGUAGCCACACUCGGUUCAACUAAAGUUGGAGAAACUGACACCCGCCAGCCACCUGUGUGCAAAGCACGUCGGUAGAACCAGUCUCACGUAAGCGUACGCGUAAUGUCGGUUCGGGCCGCUUCAUCCAACAAUACCGCCGAACCAAAGUAUGAUAUGCUGGUAAGCAGUAUGACUUAUAUCGCCCACAACUCACUUGUGUUCUACUCGUGCAUAUAACAUCAACACAUAAAACCUAGGCUCUGAUACCACUGUUGGGGAACGUAGUAAUUUCAAAAAAAAUCCUACGCACACGCAAGAUCAUGGUGAUGCACAGCAACAAGAGGGGAGAGUGUUCUCUACGUACCCUCGUAGACCGGAAGCGGAAGUGUUAUAACAACACGGUUGAUGUAGUCGUACGUCUUCACGGCCCGACCGAUCAAGCACCAAAACUACGGCACCUCUGAGUUUUUGCACACGUUCAGCUCGAUGAUGAUCCCCGGACUCCAAUCCAGCAAAGUGUCGGGGAUGAGUUCCGUCAGCAUGACGGCGUGGUGACGAUCUUGAUGUUCUACCGUCGCAGGGCUUCGCCUAAGCACCGCUACAAUAUUAUCGAGGAUUAUGGUGGAGGGGGGCACUGCACAUGGCUAAGAGAUCAAUGAUCAAUUGUUGUGUCUCUGGGAUGCCCCCCUGCCCCCGUAUAUAAAGGAGUGGAGGAGGGGGCGGCCAAGGAGGGUGGCGCGCCCAAGGGGGGGAGUCCAACUCCCACCGGGAGUAGGACUCCCCUUUUUCCUAUUAGGAGUAGGAGAGGGAAGGAAGAGGAAGGAGGGAGGAAGGAAAGGGGGGCCGGCCCCCCUCCCAAUUCGGAUUGGGCUUGGGGGGGCGCCCCUCCCUUGCUCCUUUCCCCUCCUUUCCACUAAGGCCCAAUAAGGCCCAUAUACCUCCCGGGGGUUCCGAUAACCUCCCGGUGAUCCAGUAUUGUCCCAAUCUUACCCGGAACCUUUCCAGUGUCCAAAUAUAGUCGUCCAAUAUAUCGAUCUUUAUGUCUCGACCAUUUCGAGACUCCUCAUCAAGUCUGUGAUCACAUCCAGGACUCCGAACAACCUUCGGUACAUCAAAAUAUAUAAACUCAUAAUGAAACUGUCAUCAUAACAUUAAGCGUGCGGACCCUACGGGUUCGAUAACAAUGUAGACAUGACCGAGACAAGUCUCUGGUCAAUAAGCAAUAGCGGAACCUGGAUGCUCAUAUUGGCUCCUACAUAUUCUACGAAGAUCUUUAUCGGUCAGACCGCAUAACAACAUACGUUGUUCCCUUUGUCAUCGGUAUGUUACUUGCGCGAGAUUCGAUCGUCGGUAUCUCAAUACCUAGUUCAAUCUCGUUACCGGCAAGUCUCUUUACUCGUUCCGUAAUAAAUCAUCUUGCAACUAACUUAUUAGUUGCAUUGCUUGCAAGGCUUAAGUGAUGUGUAUUACCGAGAGGGCCCAGAGAUACCUCUCCGACAAUCGGAGCGACAAAUCCUAAUCUCAAAAUACGCCAACCCAACAUGUACCUUUGGAGACACCUGUAGAGCACCUUUAUAAUCACCCAAUUACGUUGUGACGUUUGGUAGCACACAAAGUGGUCCUCCGGUAGAUGGGAGUUGCAUAAUCUCAUAGUCAGAGGAACAUGUAUAAGUCAUGAAGAAAGCAAUAGCAACAUACUAAAUGAUCGGGUGCUAAGAUAAUGGAAUGGGUCAUGUCAAUCACAUCAUUCUCCUAAUGAUGUGAUCCCGUUAAUCAAAUGACAACUCAUGUCUAUGGUUAGGAAACAUAACCAUCUUUGAUUAACGAGCUAGUCAAGUAGAGGCAUACUAGUGACACUUUGUUUGUCUAUGUAUUCAUAUAAGUAUUACGUUUCCAGUUAAUACAAUUCUAGCAUGAAUAAUAAACAUUUAUCAUGAUAUAAGGAAAUAAACAAUAACUUUAUUAUUGCCUCUAGGGCAUAUUUCCUUCAAGGAGGACGCUUGAUAUUCACCCUCUUUGUAAAGGGACAAGGCUUUUACUUUUUUCCCUCUCGUGCUCAAUCGAAUCCUUCCCCCGCCUCGAGUUCUAACACCCAAAGCCCAGGUCAGGUGCUUUGGACCUUCAAUCAUGUCCGGAUCUAGCCUUCAAGGCCGGUGGAUGACGUCCUCCGCUACGGAAGAGGAUAUCAAGAAGUUGAGGGAGGCCAGAUACCUGACCGCCGAGGUUUCGCAUUGGCUGCCUGCCCGAGGGCAGGUCGUCCGUACUCCCGAACCCAACGAGAACGUUGUGUUCAUCUCCCACUUCCUCUGAGGUCUAGGCCUCACUCUGGAUCCCUUCGUUAGGGGUUUGAUGUUCUAUUACGGGCUAGAUUUCCACGAUCUAGCCCCGGACUCCUUUCUCCACAUCUCGGCAUUUAUUGUCGUAUGUGAGGCCUUCCUCCGCAUUACCCCUCACUUCGGCCUGUGGCUCAAGACCUUUGACGUGAAGCCGAAGAUGGUCGAGGGGCAGCAUGUAGCGUGCGGAGGCGCAUUAAUAAGCAAGAUCGCUGGAGCUCCAUGGCCAAAAGGUUCCUUUCCAGAGGUGUCCGGAUUAUGGCAACGGGAGUGGUUUUACAUUACAGCUCCCAAAAGUGUCAAGUGGGUGGCUGCCCCUGCUUUCCGCUCGGGCCCUCCACCACAACUGAUGUCAUGGAUUAGCAGAGGGCUGAGCUGGGGUCCAGCCAAGGACGUGCCUAUAUUGCAGACUCGUAUUCAAGAUCUCUUCGAGGGAGAUUUUAGUUUGGUUAUGGUAGUGCAAGUCAUGCUGGUUCGUCAAGUCCAGCCUUGCAAACGCUGGCCCCUCCGCAUGUGGGAGUUCAACCCAGAAGUACCGCGUACUAUUCAGAAUUUCCUCGGCCUAACGCAUGAGGAGAUGUAUAAAUCAUUCUUCGGGCCUCAAAUAGAGUGUCCGGACACUACUGAGGACGUGGGCCUGAGUAGCAACCGCACCGCGGCCCAAGUAAGUAAUUCUCUAGCCGAACAUACUGUCUUUCAUUUAUCAUGAUGUCAUUCUGAAGAAUCACUUUUUGACCAGGACUGGAUAACAAAGGUGAAGAUGAUCCGGUGUUCGGCCCCCCUUCCUGAAGGCUUGGACAAUUCGGUGCUGGAGAAGAUGCUCGAGCCAGCACCUUGCCCGGUGCCCUCAAAGGAAGAUGAAGGGGGAAUAAAGAGGGCGAAAGCGGGCCUCCAACGCUACCUAUUCUGAUCGAGGGAACGAGCGCCUCCGUGAGGGAGGAUAACCAAGGGGAGGAAUCUGACAUUCUCUCACCCCGGGGAAGGAAGAGGACUACCUCUGAAGAUCCGGAAACCAAGGUUUCCAAACGGGAGAAGAAAUCUCCACCAGAGGGUCCUGCCUUGGAGGGUGCUCUUGCCGCACGAAGUCUGCGCGGAGAUCAGCCCUCUAACGAGCUGUAAGUAAUCAAAAAGUACUUUAAUAGUGAAGAUAUACUACCUUAACUCUGAGGAAAAUAACCGAAGCAUUUAUCUUGCAGUUCGGAUCUUAGCCCUUCUCAACAGAGCUCGUCUUCGGGGGAUCUUCUUCCGGAGAUGAUGGAGAGCGAACGCCUCCCCCGGACUCCCCCGCUCAAGAAGCGGGUGACCUUGAAGUGUCGUCACGGAGGGCCUUGCCGAAUCAGGUGAGGCUAGAAGAUAAUCCUAUGGUCGCCCGAAGUCCCCAGUAUCCGGCUCUUGAAGAGAGCAACCAAAAGAAUCCGGCACCGUUUGGUAUGCGGUCGGACGCACUGAGGGAUCUGCUAGAGCGAGCAACUAUCUCAGAAGAACACCGUACAUUGAUGGGUACGGUGAUUGAAAGGAUUUCGUCCGCCGAAAGCGGGUUGCAUGAAGCCUUUAUGAGUCUACUGACGGGUUUUGAGGUACGUGAAAUGAUAUACAUUUGUGAUAGUACCGCACAUUUUUAGGUGUGCCCUGUGUAGAUAGUAGCCCCUGAGACUCUGGUUGUCGUCGAGAACGGCGGCAAACAGAGGAUCGUAGUCCCAAGUAAUAACCAGACCGCCUUCAUGUGCAGGUGGUUGAAGCUCCGGUGGCUAGCCGGACUUAUGGGUUUGCCGAACUAAAGCGACAACUGGAUGUGGCGGAUGCCGACAUCGAGCUUGUUAACAAGCGGCUCGACGAGGCACAAGGUAGGUGAUUUUUCUGGUGAAUGUCACAUAGUAAGAGCAGCGUGAUGCCAGUAUCUUUAAUAUGUUGUGACUGCAGAUGGAGCUGCCACCGUGGAGACCCUUCGGGCGGAGCUUGCCCGAGCUAUGGAGCAAGCAAGGAGUAAUAAUGCGGCCGCUUUAAAGGCGGCUGAAGAGUUAAGAGCCGAAAAGGCUGCACAUUGCGAGAGCAAAGAUAAAAUGGCCAAGAUGGCUAUAGAGUUAAAAGACACUGUCGACCGUUGCCAGUUCCUCGAAGAAAAAAACCAGGCGAGGGUGACGGACCUUGAGAAGGCCACAACGGUGACCAAGGACACCCGCUCUGGCAUGAGAGCGAAGAAGGAGGAACUGCGUGAAGCCGGGGAUAUUGCGGCUGGGAAGCCCUUUAUGCUGCGAAGGAAGUUCGGAGAUCCGCGGUAUGCCCCUCUGGAUCGGCUGUGGAGUUCGGCAGACGCAUAUAUGUACUUGGCGGCAAGCGUUGUUGAUGCGGCCGAAUACUUCCGAGAUCAAACAGAUCGUGAAGUGGACAAGCUGUUCUGGUCGCAGUUUAACGUUCCAGAGCGUCCACUUCCAUUGACUGAUCAGCUAGCCGAAUGGGCCGAACUCAAUAGGUUGUCCGGACUCGCCAUGAGGUCUGUUGUGGAUCAGCUGUGGCCGGAAAGGCCAAAGCCGAACAACUAUUUUAGCCUGGUGCAGCAGUUCCUUGGUGCGGUGCCGUGCAUCAAUGCGAUGAAGAGGUCGGCGUGCAUAGAGGGCUCGCUGAUGGCCCUUGCCCGUGUCAAAGCAUACUGGGCGGAGAUGGAUGCUACCACUGUUGCGGCGCAGGGUUUGGCCAUAGGCCGAGUGGCUGCCGAGCACUAUUUUGAAGAAGUUCUUGAGGGUUCUCGUUUGAUAGAGGCCCAGUGCUCGAAGAAUAUUAUGUUUGAGUGACAUGUAUUCCCAUUGUAAAAACAAUGUUUUUAUUAAAUUUAUCAAGGUUGUAUUUAUACUUUUGCCCGAAAGUAAUAUGAUGCCUCCUGUGCGGCCGUUUACGUAUAUAUAUGUAUAUCCUGAAAGAUUGCAGUCGUCGGCUUCAGCCCCCACGCAUAUAAUGCGGGGGUGUUCGCAGAAGACACGUGUUCACACUUAAUCCAACAUCUUGGUCCUAUUAAGGAGGUGAUAGCGCGGCGAACUAGGCAACCGGACUAUAAUGCUUUAACACUUUCACUUAGCCAGAGGAGUUUGACAGUGGGGCUACUAUAUAGCCCCUGGUGGCUCCACACUCACCCGAAUUCGGGGUGCGUACAUGCCUGGCUGGGAAACGGCCCUUCGUUAAGGCGGAGGAAUUCUAAGAUUCCGAUAGGUCAUCGAGUGGUUGACCAGUCUCACGCUAUAUCAUGACAGUUAGUUUUCGGCUUUCUCUACUGAGGUGCUCGUCUGGAUGAACCAGGGCGCAAUCGCAGUAGUUCUCCUGGUGCCGCCUUAGCCGAUAGAGCGGAACGUAAGGCAGCAAAACACAGGAGCCGGGCAAACCCAACAUUUGACCAAAGACAUGAUUCAGAGCUGAUGCAUAUAAGGCCAAACUCGCGACGUCGAACACUCCCUAAGGUAUUCGGUCUUUAUUGUGGGCCUGAACAGUUCCCUUUGUAAGAAGCCCCUAGUGUCCAGGUACGUGCAUUACUCUGACGUGGCCACAUGCCAAGACAUCAGCAUCCUUCUCAAUUGUACUGAGAAUCUGAGGGAUGUGUAUCAACAAGAGACAGUAAAAAAGGUUGACGCAGGGUCUUAAUCUAAAAAUAAUCCUUGGAACGGGUCCCUGCUGCAUGUAUGCGCCUGUGUCCCCGUUGUGCCGUAUCCUGGACGGGUGUAGCAUGAUGGUCAUAUGUAAAAGAGAGGAACUUAGGUGAAAAGUUGUCGUGCAAAAAGGUAGGUUUAAAGAAACCAUGUUCAAUUCAAGAUGAGUAAAAGUUGCCACUUGUCUGCGCUCAUUGAGCCCCUUGUAUUUGUAAUAGGGGUAUGUCCAUCAAACCUGUAUGAAUUACAUAUAGCUGCGCCGGACUCGUCUAACCGUGUCCGUGGUCUUGACGACCUAUCGAAUGCUUUAGUUGGUGACCGUUUUAGUGUGCGGCUGCCAAGGCCGCCGCACUCUCUUCAGUGCAUAGGGAUCGCUCAAUAUUUCCAUUUACUAUAAUGAUGCCACGUGGACCGGGCAUCUUAAGAGUGAGGGAAGCGUAAUGCGGUAUUGCAUUAAAGCGAGCGAAAGCUUCGCGUCCAAGUAGUGCUUGAUAGCCACUUUGUAAUGGCACAAUGUGGAAGGUUAAAUUUUCUCUACAGAAGUUAUCGGGGAAGCCGAAUAUAACCUCUAGUAGCAGGGAGCCCGUGCAAUGAGCCCCUGGGCCUAGCGUUACUCCUUUAAAGGUAGUAUUGCUGUGGCAAAUUUUUGUUGGGUCUAUCCCCAUUUUGCGGACUGUGUCCUGAUAUAUCAGGUUUAGACUGCUGCCACCGUCCAUCAGGACUCGUGUGAAGUGGUAUCCGUCAAUUAUUGGAUCUAAUACCAAGGCAGCCCAUCCUGCGCGCCGGAUACUUGCCGAGUAAUCCUGAUGGUUGAAGGUGAUCGGUUGAGACGGCCAGUGGCAGAACUCCGCGGUGAGAGGCCCUUGGGCAUAUUUAUCUGGGAGUGUCGCUUUGUUUCUCCCCUUUAUCACAUGUAACACAUGUACUGUUUUGACUUCUGGUGGAAAUUUCUUCUGUUCCCCAGUGUUUUGCUUGCGAGGCUCAUCCUCGUCUUCGCUUGGUGUAUCCUGCCCCUUAUGUUCGGCGUUGAGCUUGCCGGACUGCUUGAAGACCCAACAUUCUCUGUGUGUAUGAUUUGCAGGUUUAUCGGGGGUGCUAUGGAUCUGACAUAUUUGGUCCAGAAUUUUGUUUACGCUGGAAAAUUCAUCUCUGGCGCCUUUAGAGGAUGGCUUUUGCUGACCUGGCCAGGAGCUUCUGAAUCCGGCGUUGACCGCCGUGCUCUUCGGGAUGUCUUCUUUAUUCCGGCGCUUAUUUUUACUGCAUUGGGAUUUCCCGUUUCCAUCCCUGUCUUCGGAUGUAUUUGGGUCGCUGGUGCUGCAUCGGGCUAACCAGCUGUCCUCGCCCACGCAAAAGCGGGUCAUGAGGCUUGUUAAUGCUGCCAUUGUUCGCGGCUUUUCUUGGCCGAGGUGUCUGGCAAGCCAUUCGUCACGAACGCUAUGUUUGAAAGCCGCUAAGGCUUCGGCGUCCGGAUAGUCGACUAUUUGGUUCUUUUUAGUAAGAAACUUGUUCCAAAGCUUUCGGGCUGACUCUCCGGGCUGUUGAGUUCUAUGACUCAAAUCGUCUGCAUCCGGUGGUCGGACAUAAGUCCCUUGAAAAUUUGCCCGAAAAGCUUCUUCAAGCUCUCCCCAACUUCCGAUGGAGUUUUCAGGGAGGCUUUUAAGCCAGUGUCGAGCUGGCCCUUUGAGCUUGAGGGGUAAGUAUUUAAUGGCGUGGAGAUCGUCUCCUCGAGCCAUAUGGAUAUGGAGGAUGUAAUCCUCGAUCCAGACCCCUAGGUCUGUUGUUCCGUCGUAUGCCUCUAUGUUUACGGGUUUAAAUCCCUCUGGAAAUUCAUGGUCCAGCACCUCGUCGGUGAAACAUAGGGGGUGUGCGGCACCCCUGUAUUUGGGUGUACCGUUGUGUUCGGAUAUUUUUUGUGUUGCAUUGCUUACAAGAGCGUGCUUUCUUGGACCGUAGAUAGAUCUGGUUGAGCCAUCUCUUUGAUGCGAGUCCUCGUGUGGAUCAUGUGCUGGCUUGUGUGCGGCGCCGUGUGCCGCUCUAUGUUGGCCGUGAGUUCGUCUAUCCGACCAGAUGGCUGCUUUGUUUUUUGAUUGGGGGGGCUCUAAGGCCUCCUCAUCAAAUUCGGGCAGUAGCUUUCGCUUCGGGUAGCUCUUUGUGUGGCGACUGCCGCCAUAUUUGUCUGCGGUGUUGAGUACUUUGCUCCAUCUGAUUCUGAGUGCAUCUUCCGUAGUCUUUAGCUUACGCUUCUGCUUCUUCAGGCUACGUGCAGUGGCGACGAGCCUUUUAUGGAGGUUCUUCUGCUCCAGGAACUUGUCUGGCGUGAGGUCAUCCGGACUGUUAUCUUCGCUGGGGACGGGUUGUUCGGUUUGAUUAUCCAAAUUGCCUUGUUCGGACGGUUGCUCGAUGCCAUGUUCGUCGUCCGCCGGCUCGCCCUGCUCUGUGGCUGGGUCUGUAUGACCGCUGUUUCUAUCGAGGCGGGGUUUGGAGCGGCGCUUGCGCCGCCGCUUUGACUGCUUUUCGAGGGAACAAUCCUUCGCUGCGUCCUCCCGUUCCUCGCCGUCGUUUCCUUUGGGUGUGUCCACCAUAUAUACAUCGUGAGAUGAGGUGGCUAUCUAAUGCCCUGUGGGCAGUGGUUCCUGUUCGUCUCCUGCAUCGUCGUCCAUACCGCCGAUGUCUUCGGAGUCGAAGUCGAGCAUGUCGGUUAAGUCAUCGACAGUGGCUACUAAGUGGGUGAUGGGUGGGCGGUGAAGUUCUUCGUCAUCCGCAUCCCGAUCCUGCCGGACAUAGUUCAGCCAGGAUCCUCCUAACAAGGAGAGAGACCUUAAUGAGUUCAGUAUGUCGCCGAAGGGAGAGUGCUGAAAAAUAUCCGCGGAGGUAAACUCCAUGAUCGGCGCCCAAUCGGAUUCAAUAGGAACGGGUGCAGGCGGAUUCAAUAGCAACACGGCUCUUGUGAAGGGUAACGUCGAUCCUCGGCUCGAUCGCCGCUGAGAGUGCGGCCUCCGUGGCGGGGUCUAUCCCUCCGUCCUCGGAUGGCGCGAUAGGCUCCGAAUUGAGGGUCGGAGCAGUUGUCGGUGCGAUCUCCUGCACAUUGUCCGCUGGCAGAGCUAAAUCAUGCUCAUCAAGAACGUGCGGCGCACUCGGCAGGGGCUCGAAUCCGUCAAAGAUCAAGUCUCCGCAGACAUCGGCCGUGUAGUUUAAGUUUCCAAACCUGACCUGAUGGCCAGGGGCGUAAUUUUCGAUCUUCUCUAGAUGGCCAAGCGAGUUGGCCCGCAGUGCGAAGCCACUGAAUACAAAGAUUUGUCCGGGGAGAAAAGUAUUACCCUGGACUGCAUCACUAUCGAUGAUCAAAGGAGCCAUCAAGCCUAACGGUGACGACACAGAGGAACUCUCAAUGAAAGCACCAAUGUCGGUGUCAAAACCGGCGGAUCUCGGGUAGGGGGUCCCGAACUGUGCGUCUAGGCGGAUGGUAACAGGAGGCAGGGGACACGAUGUUUUACCCAGGUUCGGGCCCUCUUGAUGGAGGUAAAACCCUACGUCCUGCUUGAUUUAUUCUUGAUGAUAUGGGUAUUACAAGAGUUGAUCUACCACGAGAUCGGAGAGGCUAAACCCUAGAAGCUAGCCUAUGGUAUGAUUGUUGUUAUUGUGUCCUACGGACUAAACCCUCCGGUUUAUAUAGACACCGGAGGGGGCAAGGGUUACACAGAGUCGGUUACAAGGAAGGAGAUCUACAUAUCCGUAUUGCCAAGCUUGCCUUCCACGCCAAGGAGAGUCCCAUCCGGACACGGGACAAAGUCUUCAAUCUUGUAUCUUCAUAGUCCAAUAGUCCAGCCAAAGGUUAUAGUCCGGCUGUCCGGAUACCACCUAAUCCAGGACUCCCUCAAUAACCAUCAUAGAUUCAACGAGCUAGUCAAGUAGAGGAAAACUAGUGACACUCUGUUUGUCUAUGUAUUCACACAUGUACUAAGUUUCCGGUUAAUACAAUUCUAGCAUGAAUAAUAAACAUUUAUCAUGAUAUAAGGAAAUAAAUAGUAAAUUUAUUAAUGCCUCUAGGGCAUAUUUCCUUCAAUUCCCCCCUCUGGCAGGGUGCCAGAACGGGUCUAGAUUGGUUUUCGGUGGCUACGGAGGCUUCUGGCGGCGGAACUCCCGAUCUAGGUUAUGUUCUGGAGGUUUCAGUAUAUAUAAGAGGUUUUGGCAUCGAGAACAAUUCAUGGGGGGGUCUCCGGACUGUCCACAAGGUAGGGAGGUGCGCCCAGGGGGGUGGGCGCGCACCCCACCCUCCUGGGCAGCUCGAGACUCUUCUGGCCCAACUCUUUUACUCCAGGUCCUUCUUCUGGUCCAAAAAUAAGUUCCGUGAAGUUUCAUGUCAAUUGGACUCUGUUUGGUUUUUCUUUUCUGCGAUACUCAAAAACAAAGAAAAACAGAAACUGGCACUGGGCGCUAGGUUAAUAGGUUAGUCCCAAAAAUCAUAUGAAAUAGCAUAUAAAUGCAUAUAAAAUAUCCAAGGUUGAUAAUCUAAUAGCAUGGAACAAUCAAAAAUUAUAGAUAUGUUGGAGACGUAUCAAGCCCGAAGAACUCCAGGAAGCCGCGGAAGAAAGCGCUCGCCGUAAGACCAAACCUGCGCUUGAAGUGCGUAAAGAAGACCAUGCGCUCCAUGCCCUCGGGCCGUGGCUCCCGCUCCCCCUGCGGCAGGCGCACGGCGACCUCCGUCUCCCCCGGCAAGCGUCUGGUGGUGCGGAGGUAGGCGAUGUUGUCUAAAGUGAUGGUCGAGCCCAUCCACGAGCCCGACGGAAGAGCCAUCGACGAAGAAAGGAAAGAAGGGAGAACGGCGGUGAAGCUCUGCUCGAAGUGGCGGGCGUUGCAGCGCGCGGCGGGCGCUAAGGGCAGAGGAAGGAUGAGGAAGCAGGGGAGUGCGAGCGAGAAUGACUUCCGCCGCCCCUCUCCUAAUUUAUAACCCACGAUUCGAAACAUGGGGAAGUGGGAUCGUUUGCGCUCGCCCCUCCCACUUCCCCGUAAUAACUGCGCACGUACGCGCGCAGUAACUGCAUCGAGAAUGGCAACCGGCCCGCGGACGCCACAAUAAAUCCGCGCGCGUGGGCCAAGGGUGCACAGCGGCGGGCACCAGCGUGUUGCCCCGUCCUAUCGCGUGCAUGGCCUGUCAGGCCCCUCUAGCUCCCGAGCGCCACAUGGCGCCUGCGCGAAGCCCAAAAGAUUGCCUCACGAUUCGAUGGGCUCUUCGGUUUCCUGCCCCUGUCGUGAUGUCGCGAUCCGGCUUCCAGAAGCCGGCACACAGUGGGUGUUGCUGGACCCGGCGGUCACAAAAUCCGCCUCCUCGGGGGGGGGCCUUCACAACUUCGGGAACUAUUGUCGGGGGGAUGAACCCCAGGAAGGCAACGGAACCCAGAUCCUUUUCAAAAACAACGGGCCAACAACGCCCCUCAAGCUGGCUCACGCCUGGCCGGGUCGCUCGACCCGGCCGAGCCCCUUGACCCGGCCAAAUUCCUCGACCCGGCCCCGACGGCUGCCGCAAGGCGGCUGAACCCGGCGCACCAAGACAUCUUCAACAAGCCAGCUUACCCUUGGCGUGUUCUCGAACCUGGCCACGGGUCAGCUCCCGUCCCAUCCUGGUCGUACGAUGGGACGAGUCUUCAAUCAAGAGAUGAGCAAGGCAACGAUGCCCCUCCCAUGCCUCUGGUCAGCCGAGGCAUGGCAACAGUACCUCACCUACCGGCUGACUAGGGCCGGCGUGGCUACAGUGCACCCGUCGUCACUGCUGACGCCAGCAAGCGGCGACCUGACGAAGCGCCACUGUAGCGGACUCGACCCGGCCACUCCGUGACGAUCGACAAGACAGCAAACAGUGCCCCUACACCCGGCGGGUCCCAUGCCCGGAGAACCCGACGAGCCCUGUCACCCGGCGGGUCCCAGCUCUGGCUUUCCCGAUGAUGACAACCCGGCCCCACAGCCUUGUAACAUUACCAUUGUACCCUUGGGGGUUGACCUAUAAAACCCGCCAGGAACCCUCCAUGCACGGGGGUGAAGAGAUCCGAUCAGUAGAACACACAGACGGAGAGGGAGCAGCCUAAGCCUUGGCCUACCUUCCUUCCUCCCCGAUACAGCUCAAGGAGCAACUCUGUACUAUCACACAUAAACCACACUCGGCAGGACUAGGGGUAUUAUCUCUCCGGAGAGCCCCGAACCUGGGUAUGUCUUGUGUCCCGCGCUCGCUCAUGCAGACCUCGCCUCUAGAGCCCACCAGUGCCCUCGAGCCUCCUCCUCUCUUUAGCCAUCCCUUGGCAUCUGCCGUGCGCCCACCACGACACAGCGGUACCAUCGUCGUUGUUUCAUAUCUAAAUUAGGCCAAGUAGCAAACGAUGACCUUGCACCGUCGUCGUCGUCCAUACCGUCAUAGUCGCCUCUGUCUGAGCCAUCGUCAUCGUCGCCACACUGCUUGAGGAAGGCGUCGUGGCGUCCCUUACAUGUCGUGCUUGCGGUGCAGACGCUCCGCUUCCUCCACCUUGCAUCGCCUCUCACCGACUUGUUGACGGACCGUGCGCUCAAACUCGACCAUCCCAACUUGGACGGGCUCGGCGUUGAAACGGCACCGGCGCCGAGACAUUCGACGCCACAAUGGUCUUGGACGGAUCAAGAGCCCAAGCCUCUGCAAGCACGGGGUCCACGAGCACCCAGGUCGGCAGUAACUAGAUUUUGGCGAACGCUGUCGAGCAUUGCGCCCGGCCGCUCCCAGCGCGCCUCCACCUCAAAGAGACAUUUAUUGCGUUGCGUGAACUGCGGCCUUAGAGGUAGUGGACAUGGCUCUACGAUAGCGGAGCCACCUCAUACUUAGCGGGCGGCGGGGGCGGUCGACCAUGAGGCCGGAUGCAACAAGCGCGAGCGUGUAAGGUGGUUGGGAGCACUCUGUCGAGAGGAAGAGGUUGAGGAGGCUGGGAGCGUGGGGUUCCUCUUCACUGGGGAAUUUAGUGAGGCUGACAUGUGGGUCCCAUCGGUCAUAAAAAGGGGCAAAUUUAAUUGUCCAGAUAACAUACCUGAUGAGUGGGCUCCAAUAGUAAUAAAAUAAUUUUAAUUUAAUCAAACCAGUCAUCAGUGUAUUUUUGAAACGAAAAAGCAACUUUGUGGUAAUUUUCGGCGAAUUUUAAAAAUAGAUAGUUUUUUGGAAUCCUUUUGCCGUAAUACUGAUAGAUUAUCUUUUAUGCUAUAUACUCUCCCCUCCCUGACUCCACCAUGCCACCUCAAUAUUUAUUUGUGAAAAAGAUCACUUGCAUAUUCCUUAAUUCAGUGUUAUAGACUCCACAUAAACUUAUGUUUGUUGCAAAAGCAAUAAUGCAAUUUCUACGAAGCUUAAUAGGGAGUACUAAUAUAUUUUUUCUCCUAAAACAACAUCUAGGGGUAUCUAUGAUCAUCUAUGUUCACCGAACAAUUAUUAGCCAAUGGACAGAUGCAUAAUCAAAUUGAAUUAUCUAAAAUGAACUGUGCAUAUCUUGCUACCCAUACUUUUGUGGUCAUGGAUAUGAAAUUUUAGCACCAUUAUCAUAAAAAAAACACGCUCAAUUUCUUUUGUUGUGGCUAUAAAACUUGCCACGGUUAACAGGUGUGCCAGUACUUCUGAAGUGAUGAUGGAGGUACACAGAUUAGUUCGUUACUGCUAUCCCAAAUGCAAAACUGUACAAAAUACUGUCGUCUCAAGUCACAAAGUUCUGAAUUCUUCAGCUCAGUGCGGAUAUUUCACAUUCCAUUUGAAGUCCAAACCCUACAAGCACAACAGUCGGUAGAUAAAAAAUUACCAGUCCAUGAUACUGGCUCACCAAGUCAACAACUACAGGCAGCAGACCAUUGCUUGAAUAGAUUCACUAACAGUCUAUAAAAUUCAGAGUUGUAACUUAUGUUCGAUAAACAGCAAGAGUACUCCAGUAACCAAAUUUGCUUAUAGGAACCAACUUCUAGAUGAUACCGAUGCUGCAAAUUACAGCAAUUGUCAAACUUGACAUUUUAAUAGUGUCAACAAGGUGCUGCAAACAUGCUGGCUAGAUGAUGAUACUAAUUGAAAAGCAAUGCUAACUUCUAGCAUUACAAACCAAAAGCACGAGCAAGGCAAAAUCAUGGCGUUGGUGUUGCUCAUCAUUACCUUGACAUGAACACAGCGGUACUCAUAAACUCAUAACCUGAAGUGGUGCAACCAACCCAAUAAGUUUCAGAGAACUGAAGCCUAACACUAACAAAACCAAUGUUCAGUCCCGUGGCACAGUUCGGUUCAGAAGGAACAGAAAAGCAACAGCAGUCAGAUCAUAAGCGACGUUACUAAAUCUCAGCUUGCAAAAGCGGCACCAUAGAUUCAUAAUUCUGUUCUUACAGCGAACGAAGCAUCGGCAAACAUUCAGCAACUCCCAUCAAGCACUAGCACUACUUCUACUUGGUGAUAACCAGGGCGAACAGCUAUUUAGAUACAGGCAAUGGAAUCUAAGAGGAGGUGAACUUGGUGACUGCCUUGGUGCCCUCGGAGACGGCGUGCUUGGCGAGCUCCCCAGGGAGGACGAGGCGGACGGAGGUCUGGAUCUCCCGGGAGGUGAUGGUGGGCUUCUUGUUGUAGCGGGCGAGCUUGGCGGCCUCGCCGGCGAGCUUCUCGAAGAUGUCGUUGAUGAAGGAGUUCAUGAUGGACAUGGCCU